ACCCAACCCAACGAAAUGGACUGCGUACGUGUAGUUGCCAGUUGCCAGUUUAAAUGUCUUAGUUAUCAUCUGGCGGACACAGGUUAACUGAGAUAAUGCACGUAGGUGAGCAUCUGACAACACUGUUCCACAACUGUCAAGCGAGCUUAUUUACAUCAACAACUGCAGCAUCCUCCAGUAGCUGCCAUCAACUAUCUUUCUACCCAUCAGCGGCAUAGAAGGGAAGUGACUUGAGUGGCAUCACCUUCUCCUGCAAAGGGAAAUGGAGACUGGUGUGAGUGGAUUUAUACCUGUGUUAACAGAACAUUACGAACAGUGUGCCUCUGAUUCCACCUCAGAGUUCUCCACAUGUUCUGAGGGGAAAUGAAGCCCAGUGGAACAGUUUUCAAGCACUUCAGGUCUCUUCAGCCAUGCUUUGUGAGCUUCGAUUGCUUUCAUCUUGAAGCGAAACAUCUGCAAGUGCCAUAUCCAACCAAUUCAGGUGCUCGGCUGCUAUAGAAGUAAUUUGCAAGAAGUUGCCUGAAUGAAAAAUCAGGGACUGACAGCAGAAGAGUGAAUAUGUGCUCCAGACCUCUGAUAAAGAAAUGCUUGGCUUCUCAAGUUCAUCUCCGUUGACGUGAAUUCCAGUACCCUGACAUUCUGGGCAAACUAUGGACGUUAUUUUGCUUCUCUUAGGUGCAUUCUUUGCCUUCCUUCCUCGGUUGCUCUUCCCCUUCCUAGCUAUUUCAUCGUUCAGCAUCUCGUAUUGGCACAGAAUAGUCCAGUGUAAAAGGCAGGAAGUGUGAAAUAGAUGGUAAGCCUGCAUAAAUCAAGUGUAGAGAAGUCAUUACAGAACAUUUGGAAUUUGGUGGAAACAUAACUGCUAUGUUUUCAGGUAAAAAAUGUACAAAAAGGUAAACAGGUCCAUGCUCUCUAAUCUAUAAGAGCAAUUAUUAUGAAACAGGAAUACAGUAGCAAAGAAUGCUCAAAGAUGCUCACCCCACUUGAAUUUCUACUGCUGCAAGCUAGUUUUCCUGUAUUGCAGUUCAGCAAGGUGGCAACAUCCUUUCCAGAGAGCAUUGGUCUGCCGCAAAGAUCACACACUUUCUCAGCUGCUAUUCGCUUCUGCUUCCUCAACUCUCUCCUUGCUGCCUUGCUUGAUAAGAGACCAACUUGAAGAUCAUUUGAGGUACCUACCGGUGAACAAGUCACAAUAGCUUGCCUACUGCCCUGUAAAGAGCUGUUCUGACCAUUUGACUCUUCUGAAGAUGCUUCUUGAUCAGAGAAUGAUUUUCUCAUUCGCUUUCCACGGUGUCCAGCAUCAUCAAUUACAAAGAAAGAUCCAGCAGAGACAGACAGGUCUUGUUCCUCAGAAGACCACUUCCUGCCUAAAUCAUAGGUAUAAGAGAAGUUGACUAUGGCAAAUCCAGAUUGCUCAUAAGUGUUACAACUCUCAAAACCAUGGGAGCCUUGUCCUACCCAAGCACACCAGAUCUUGCUUAUCUUCCUGCAGUUCUUGCUAGCUUCAUAGAUCCUGUAUGAAAUAUUCCCAUAGCCCAAAAGAUGCACAGGCAAAUCUGAAACAACAUCCUUUAGCAAUACACCAGGAAUAACAACAGGACCAUCAGUUCCAUGGUUUGAAAGCAUGUGAUCUUCAGAUACAGCAGCAGUUCUACCAUUAGCACGGCCUUUUGCACCAUAGCGUGCACCUUUCACACCAUUAGAGGAGGUUGAACCAUCUCUCAGCCUUGAUGUCACCUCAGUAUCAUUCCCUGAAACCUCAGGCUCUGGAACCAGGGCAAGCUCUCUGGUGCUCUGUGAGCUUGAGUCCAGCAGGAGCGGAUCCUUCUCGCGUAAGUUGUUGAAGAAGAGCACACCAUCAUUAAACGGCCAUGGCAUGGGCCCAAACAGCGUAACCUUGGCCUCAGCAUACCGCCGUGAAUGCAGGUUUCCCUUGAGGUGGUCAAACAGCACAUUGUCGCUGAAGCACUCGGUGAGGCAGAUGGUGCAGAAGAAGAUGACACGCUUCCCGACACGCCGUAGUUCGACGUAGGUGUGCCCGCUCUGCCGCACCUCCCGAAGCGUGGCCUUUGCAGCAAUCUCACGUAUGUCAACAGGGCCAUUCCUUUGCACCACCAGCUCCUUACCCACCAUCGUGGAUCAACAGGCUACCACCAACCUCAAAUUUCUGCUGCUGUGCUCACAGAUCCCUCCAGAAACAACCUCCACGCCCUUGUCUCCUUGAAAUUCUCAGGAAAUUACCACCAAAUUUCACCCCUCUUGAGAUCUAUGCUUCCCUCCAGACCCUAGAAUUACAAACUUAACAACAUACUAAACCUAACGAAGUACGUAGGGGCGGCGGCGGACCCAGUAAAGGACUUGGGUGUAUACAUGCAGAGCUGAUAAUUCAAAAACAAUCGAGGUUAGUAGACAUAAUACAUGUAAGCACGCGUAAUUAGACCAGAUCCGAAUACAAAUAGCGUAGUUUAGGGUUUGGCUGCUCGGUUUCGCACAGAAAAUUGAAGAGGAGGGGUGGAGGGGGAAGGGGGAGGAGCGUACCUGGCAGUGCACGUCGCCGGUGAAGAGCCCGAAGAAGACAUGGCACCUGAUGGAGACUAGGCACCUGUCGCGGGAGGCCGCAGUAGCGGCGCGGUAGCCCAGGCGUCGCCUCGAGAGGAAGAGACAGAUAGAGCUCGAAGGGGGGUUUGGGUGACGGGAGAACAAAAGGAAGGGCCGCACGGAUAAAGCGGCGGUCGCCCAGCCGUCGCCCGGAGCGAGAGAGAGGGAGAGAGGGGCGGAGGUGAGGGAGAGAACGCGCGCGCAGGCCGCGGGGAACGGGAGAAGAAAGGCAGGGCUGCACAGAUAAACGCGAGAACGAAGAAGAAUAUUCGGACCAGACGUUCGAUGAAGGGAGGGUUGUCGCUGGCGAGCAAAAAAAUUGAUCAAACUUAUUAGAAAAAACUAACUGUGUUUAUAUUUAUUAGAUUCACUGAAAUAUAUUUUUAUAGUAUUUGGCACUCUUUUUCAUAAAUUUGAUCAGAUUUUUGAAUAUUUUGAUUUUCGACAAAACUAUUAUUGUAAUCGUUUGUUGGAUAGUCCCAUAUCGUGUUUAUCGAGAGGUGUCUAAUCAGAAUAAAUUACGGUGCGUUUGGUGACGAAGAGUGGAGAAAAAUAGAACUCUAUUUUUAUUUUCUAAAUGUUUGGUUUAUAAUAAAAUAGAGUCGAGCGGCUUCUAAGUUUCUAUUUCUAUUAUAUACUUAGAUGUCUUUGUUUCAUCAAUAUGAUCGGACACGAGCGUUUUGUUCGCUCUCUUGUCCAUGGCUUUCUAACUAAAUAAAGAACGAAAUAACUUCGUUCUAUUGUAUCUUUAAACUAAACAAAAAAUUAGAAUGACUUCGUUCUACCUAACAAAUACGGAGGAGAAUGGCUUUAUUCUCGUAAUCUCCCGACCAAACUACAAAAACCCAAACAGGACACGCACCUUCCGUGAACUUCUCGCAUCGCCGAUUCGUGAAGCAGUAGUAAACCACAUCCACAUGACUGACGCGGGGGUUGCAUGAUUCUAUCAGGCAGAUAAAAAAAGGCAGCAUCACACUUCACACGCCUUGUUUUCUCGAAGGGAAUGGCUAGAAUAUGACGGUCACAUUCAUCUCUUUUCCCUGCCAACCGUUCGUUUUUUUUAUUAUUGGCCAGGUCGAGUUUUUAGAUGCAAUUUUGCCGGUGUCGACAGGUUUUAGCUCCACGAAGCGAGAAUCGUUUCCGUGCCUAAACGUUCUAUUCUGGCACCGGUUCCCGAAUUGACAUUUCGCGUCUUUGCCUGCACACCAAACAACACCGACGUGACACGCAACCACGCAGAAGGAGACACUACUGUAGCGUGAUGUAUUUCCUAAUUUAUUAUAUUUCGUGAAUAGCAGUUCGAUUUGUUUUCUAAAAAAAGAAAUAAGUUUCUGUGUGGCUGUCAACGUGAGACCACAUAGAAUAGACUAGACCCAUGAGGCCACGAGCAUCUCUAGAGCAUAAUCCUUUUUUAGGCCACAAAGAUGCCAGGGGAUAUCUUACGUUCUUUACAGAGACCUCUACACUAUUUUCUUUCAGAGGUAACCAAACAAAAUCCUCCGAGGGCAAUAGAAAAAUGAAGCUAUCAACAACCAGCAGAUGAAUUCAUGAUCUGACGGUGCCAUCACCCAUCAGCCAAAAGAAAUCGGCACACCUACCUCAAGUUUCAUGGUGCGCAGGAACAGCAAUGACGGAUCUAGAAAUCUUCGAGAGGCUAGACAAAAUAAGUACAUAUACUAUAAAUAAACAGCUUUAUCUAUAUGUUACACAUAUUUAAAUAUAUUUUAAUGCUUCGUGCACGUUUACAAAUUCAUUGGCACUAAUGUAAGAGCCUGAGUAAGACCCUAGCCUUGUCUGCACCUGGGUCCGCCCUGCGCUGAGCCAUUGAUACCCUGUUCCAUUUCAUAUUGCGUUGGUCUCCAACGACGAGGAUAUCAAGGAUAUUUUUUUUCUAAAUAAUACUACAAAAACAACAAGAAAGUUAUUUAUCCAAAAUAAGUUGGUGUCGGAAAUGACCUCCGGACUAUGGGAUCCGACGGUCAGUGAGCAUGCUGAGAAAAAAUUCCCUGAUCGCCGGUGGCCGUUAGUUAGUUGGAAGAGACAGGUAUGUCGGCCCCGAAAGGACCUGACCCCGGUCGAACCAUGUGGUACCGAGCCCAGGGUCGAGUGUGGUGGAGCCUGACAAGAAAGGAUGGGCGUGUCAGAAGGGAAACACUCAAAUGGAUCCUGCGUUUGGCCUUGGACUGAUUCGUCAUAAAUGACCGGUUGCAUUAACCACGCCUCGCACCGAGCCACAGCGUGGACGCCGGUCCGUUUCCUACCCAUCACCUACGGACCCCUCGGGCAGCAUUGCGCUCAUGACCUACAAGCCCCCGGACUGCGGCACAUUAAUGGCAUGUCGUCCCUCAGCCUGCGGCACACUUAUGUCCUAUUGAACUAGGCCUAUGUGUGCAGACCUCUCAUAUGGCACUACACAACGGGCUACGGCGAGCCCAAGCGAAGCCUGGGGUUGGCAUAGCCGGAAUGAUGGCACCUGGGACCAUUGAAAGUCGCCUAGAGGGGGGGUGAAUAGGGCGAAACUGAAAUUUACAAAUAUAAACACAACUACAAGCCGGGGUUAGCGUUAGAAAUAAAGAAACGAGUCCGCGAGAGAGGGCGUAAAACAAAUCGCAAGCAAAUGAAGAUUGAGACACGUGGAUUUGUUUUACCGAGGUUCGGUUCUCGCAAACCUACUCCCCGUUGAGGAGGCCACAAAGGCCGGGUCUCUUUCAACCCUUCCCUCUCUCAAACGGUCUCUCGGACCGAGUGAGCUUUCUCUUCUUAAUCACUUGGAACACAAAGUUCCUACAAGGAUCACCACAAGAUUGGUGUCUCUUGCCUCAAUUACAAGUGAGUUUGAUCGCAAUGAAGGAGUCAAGAAAGCACGAUUAAAAAGCCAAGCGACAAGAGCGACAAAUAACACACGGAUCACUUUCUCUCUCAAGUCACUAAUCACUAAUGAUCUCUUUUCUCAAUUGUGAAACUUGGAGAGAUGGAGGCUUUGAAUGUGUCUUGGAAUAGAUUGCUAGCUCUUGUAUUGAAUGUUGAAGGUUGGAAUGCUUGGGUGAAGUGAAUGGAGGUGGUUGGGGUUGUAUUUAUAGCCACCAACCACUUCCUAGCCGUUGGGCCAUUCUGCUGAGCGCGGACGGUCCGCCCUCCUGGUGCGGACGGUCCGCCCCUGUAGAUCAACGGCUGAAAAUGCAACGGUCAGCAGUAACGGCUAUAUCAACGGCUAUAUUGCAUUUAAUGCGUCGUCAGAUGUCAGACAGAGCCAGUCGUGGACGGUCCGGUCGUGCACCCCGGACGGUCCGCGAGGCCCCCUAUAAUUCAUUUCUCCGAACCCGUCACCUUCGGGUUUUUCGGUUUCUUACCGACCGGACGGUCCGCGCCUGAGGCCGGACGGUCCGCGCGAGGGCUCGGACGGUCUUCGCUUUUCCUCCGGACAGUCUGUAGUGGAAACUUGUGUUUUUGCAUUGGUUCUGUCCGAGGGUCAUUCUUCUGUCACGGACGGUCCGCCGCAGGGGCCCGGACGGUCCGCGCUUGGCCUGUUUUUCCAAAAAGCUUCUCCUGUCCGGAAUAAUCUACGGUAUUCCGGACAGUCGAAUUAGUAUAGUUGUGGAUGAACCUUUGGCACCUGUAGAACGUAUAAUCUAGAGCAAACUAGUUAGUUCAUCAAUUUGUGUUGGGCAAUUCAACCACCAAAAUAAUUUAGGAACUAGGUGUAAGCCUAAUUCCCUUUCAAUCUCCCCCUUUUUGGUGAUUGAUGCCAACACAAACCAAAGCAAAUAUAAAAGUGCAUAAUUGAACUAGUUUGCAUAAUGUAAGUGCAAAGGUUGCUUGGAAUUGAGUCAAUAUAAAUACUUACAAAAUAUGCAUGAAUUGUUUCUUUCUUAUAUAACAUUUUGGACCACGCUUGCACCACAUGUUUUUGCAAACUCUUUUGUAAAUCCUUUUCAAAGUUCUUUUUGCAAAUAGUCAAAGGUAAAUGAAUAAGAUUUUGAGAAGCAUUUUCAAGAUUUGAAAUUUUCUCCCCCUGUUUCAAAUGCUUUUUCUUUGACGAACAAAACUCCCCCUAAAUGAAAUCCUCCUCUUAGUGUUCAAGAGGGUUUUGAUAUGCCUUUUUGAAAUGCUACUUUCUUCCCCUUUUUUUUGAACACAAUAGAAUACCAAUUGAAAAUAUUCAGUUUUUUUGGAAUUGGUGGUGGUGGUGUGGUCCUUUUGCUUUGGGCUCAUUUCUCCCCCUUUUUGGCAUGAAUCGCCAAAAACGGAAUCAUUAGAGCCCUCGAAGUGCUUUCUUCACCUUUGGUCAUAAAUGAAUGAGUUAAGAGUAUACCAAAGACGAAGUCCUUUUCCUUGAUGCUCAUUUCUCCCCAAGGAAUAGAGAGUUGCUUGGAGUGAUGGCGAAGUAUGAGUUACGGAGUGGAAGCCUUUGUCUUCGCCGAAGACUCCAAUUCCCUUUCAAUAUACCUAUGACUUGGUUUGAAAUAGACUUGAAAACACAUUAGUCAUAGCAUAUAAAAGAGACAUGAUCAAAGGUAUAUAAAAGAGCAAUGUGUGCAAUUUUAACAAAAGAAGUUCCUAGAAUCAAGAAUAUUGAGCUCAUGCCUAAGUUUGUUAAAAGAUUGUUCAUCAAGAGGCUUGGUAAAGAUAUCGGCUAAUUGAUCUUUAGUAUUAAUGUAUGAAAUCUCGAUAUCUCCCUUUUGUUGGUGAUCCCUCAAAAAGUGAUACCGAAUGGCUAUGUGUUUAGUGCGGCUAUGCUCGACGGGAUUGUCGGCCAUUUUGAUUGCACUCUCAUUAUCACAUAGCAAGGGGACUUUGGUCAAUUUGUAACCGUAGUCCCGCAGGGUUUGCCUCAUCCAAAGCAAUUGCGCGCAACAAUGACCUGCGGCAAUGUACUCAGCUUCGGCGGUGGAAAGAGCAACCGAAUUUUGCUUCUUUGAAGCCCAAGACACCAAGGAUCUUCCCAAGAACUGGCAAGUCCCCGAUGUGCUCUUCCUAUUGAUUUUGCACCCCGCCCAAUCGGCAUCCGAAUAACCAAUCAAAUCAAAUGUGGAUCCCCUAGGAUACCAAAGCUCAAACUUAGGAGUAUAAGCCAAAUAUCUCAAGAUUCGUUUCACGGCCGUAAGGUGAGCUUCCUUAGGGUCGGCUUGGAAUCUUGCACACAUGCAUACGGAAAGCAUAAUAUCCGGUCGAGAUGCACAUAAAUAUAGCAAAGAACCUAUCAUCGACCGGUACACCUUUUGAUCCACGGACUUACCUCCUGUGUCGAGGUCGAGAUGCCCAUUUGUUCCCAUGGGUGUCUUGAUGGGCUUGGCAUCCUUCAUUCCAAACUUGGUUAAGAUGUCUUGAGUGUAUUUCGUUUGGCUAAUGAAGGUGCCCUCUUGGAGUUGCUUUACUUGGAAUCCUAAGAAAUACUUCAACUCCCCCAUCAUAGACAUCUCGAAUUUCUGUGUCAUAAUCCUACUAAACUCUUCACAAGUAGACUCGUUAGUAGACCCAAAUAUAAUAUCAUCAACAUAAAUUUGGCAUACAAACAAGUCAUUUUCAAGAGUUUUAGUAAAGAGUGUAGGAUCGGCUUUACCGACUUUGAAGCCAUUAGCAAUAAGGAAAUCUCUAAGGCAUUCAUACCAUGCUCUUGGGGCUUGCUUGAGCCCAUAAAGCGCCUUAGAGAGCUUAUAGACAUGAUUAGGAUACUCACUGUCUUCAAAGCCGGGAGGUUGCUCAACAUAGACCUCUUCCUUGAUUGGUCCAUUGAGAAAGGCACUUUUCACGUCCAUUUGAUAAAGCUUAAAGCCAUGGUAAGUAGCAUAGGCCAAUAAUAUGCGAAUUGACUCAAGCCUAGCUACGGGUGCAUAGGUUUCACCAAAAUCCAAACCUUCGACUUGAGAGUAUCCCUUGGCCACAAGUCGAGCUUUGUUCCUUGUCACCACACCAUGCUCGUCUUGCUUGUUGCGGAAGACCCAUUUGGUUCCUACAACAUUUUGGUUAGGACGUGGAACUAAAUGCCAUACCUCAUUUCUCGUGAAGUUGUUGAGCUCCUCUUGCAUCGCCAUCACCCAAUCCGAAUCUUGAAGUGCUUCCUCUACCUUGUGUGGCUCAAUAGAGGAAACAAAAGAGUAAUGUUCACAAAAAUGUGCAACACGAGAUCGAGUGGUUACCCCCUUAUGAAUGUCGCCGAGGAUGGUGUCGACGGGGUGAUCUCGUUGGAUUGCUUGGUGGACUCUUGGGUGUGGCGGCCUUGGUUCUUCCUCAUCCUCCUUUUCUUGAUCAUUUGCAUCUUCCCCUUGAUCAUUGCCAUCAUCUUGAGGUGGAUCAUCUUCUUGACUUUGCCCUUCAUCAACUUGAGCCUCAUCCUCAUUUUGAGUUGGUGGAGAUGCUUGCGUGGUGGAGGAUGGUUGAUCUUGUGCACUUGGAGGCUCUUCGGAUUCCUUAGGACACACAUCCCCAAUGGACAUGUUCCUUAGCGCAAUGCAUGGAGCCUCUUCAUUACCUAUCUCAUCAAGAUCAACUUGCUCUACUUGAGAGCCAUUAGUUUCAUCAAACACAACGUCACAUGAGACUUCAACUAGUCCAGUGGACUUGUUAAAGACCCUAUAUGCCCUUGUGUUUGAGUCAUAACCAAGUAAAAAGCCUUCUACAGUUUUAGGAGCAAAUUUAGAUUUUCUACCUCUUUUAACAAGAAUAAAGCAUUUGCUACCAAAAACUCUAAAGAAUGAAAUGUUGGGCUUUUUACCGGUUAGGAGUUCAUAGGAUGUCUUCUUGAGGAUUCGGUGAAGAUAUAACCGGUUGAUGGCGUAGCAGGCAGUGUUGACCGCUUCGGCCCAAAACCGGUCCGGUGUCUUGUACUCAUCAAGCAUGGUUCUUGCCAUGUCCAAUAGAGUUCGAUUCUUCCUCUCCACUACACCAUUUUGUUGAGGGGUGUAGGGAGAAGAGAACUCAUGCUUGAUGCCCUCCUCCUCAAGGAAGCCUUCGAUUUGAGAGUUCUUGAACUCCGUCCCGUUGUCGCUUCUUAUUUUCUUGAUCCUUAAGCCGAACUCAUUUUGAGCCCGUCUCAAGAAUCCCUUUAAGGUCUCUUGGGUUUGAGAUUUUUCCUGUAAAAAGAAUACCCAAGUGAAGCGAGAAUAAUCAUCCACUAUUACAAGACAAUACUUACUCCCACCGAUGCUUAUGUAAGCAAUCGGGCCGAAUAGAUCCAUGUGGAGUAGCUCAAGCGGCAUGUCGGUCGUCAUGAUGUUCUUGUGUGGAUGAUGGACUCCAACUUGCUUCCCCGCCUGGCAUGCGCUACAAAUCCUGUCUUUCUCAAAAUGAACAUUUGUUAAUCCUAAAAUGUGCUCUCCCUUUAGAAGCUUAUGAAGAUUCUUCAUCCCAACAUGGGCUAGUCGGCGGUGCCAGAGCCAACCCAUGUUAGUCUUAGCAAUUAAGCAUGUGUCGAGUUCAGCUCUAUCAAAAUCUACUAAGUAUAGCUGACCCUCUAACACACCCUUAAAUGCUAUUGAAUCAUCACUUCUUCUAAAGACAGUGACACCUACAUCAGUAAAAAGACAGUUGUAGCCCAUUUGACAUAAUUGAGAAACAGAAAGCAAGUUGUAAUCUAAAGAAUCAACAAGAAAAACAUUGGAAAUAGAAUGGUCAGGAGAUAUAGCAAUUUUACCAAGUCCUUUGACCAAACCUUGAUUUCCAUCCCCGAAUGUGAUAGCUCGUUGGGGAUCCUGGUUUUUCUCAUAUGAGGAGAACAUUCUUUUCUCCCCAGUCAUAUGGUUUGUGCACCCGCUGUCGAGUAUCCAACUUGAGCCCCCGGAUGCAUAAACCUACAAAACAAAUUUAGUUCUUGACUUUAGGUACCCAAACUGUUUUGGGUCCUUUGGCAUUAGAAACAAGAACUUUGGGUACCCAAACACAAGUCUUGGAACCCUUGUGUUUGCCCCCAACAAACUUGGCAACGAUCUUGCCGGAUUUGUUAGUAAGCACAUAAGAAGCAUCAAAAGUUUUAAAAGAAAUGGCAUGAUCAUUUGAUGCAUUAGGAAUUUUCUUUCUAGGCAACUUGGCAUGGGUUGGUUGCCUAGAACUAGAUGUCUCACCCUUAUACAUAAAAGCAUGAUUUGGGCCAGAGUGAGACUUCCUAGAAUGAAUUCUCUUAAUUUUGCUCUCGGGAUAACCGGCAGGGUAUAAAAUGUAACCCUCGUUAUCCUGAGGCAUGGGAGCCUUGCCCUUAACAAAAUUAGACAAUCUUUUGGGAGGGGCACUAAUUUUGACAUUGUCUCCCCUUUGGAAGCCAAUGCCAUCCUUGAUGCCCGGGCGUCUCCCAUUAUAGAGCAUGCUACGAGCAAAUUUAAAUUUCUCAUUUUCUAAGUUGUGCUCGGUAAUUUUAGCAUCUAGUUUUGCUAUAUGAUCAUUUUGUUGUUUAAUUAAAGCCAUAUGAUCAUGAAUAGCAUUAACAUCAAUAUCUCUACAUCUAUCACAGAUAGACACAUGCUCAAUAGUAGAUGUAGACGGUUUGCAAGAAUCAAGUUCAACAAUCUUAGCAUGAAGAAUAUCAUUUUUAUCUCUAAGAUUGGAAAUUGUAACUUUGCAAACAUCAUAAUCUUUAGCCUUAGCAAUUAAAUUUUCAUUCUCUAAUCUAAGGCUAGCAAGAGAUACAUUCAAUUCAUCAAUCUUAGCAAGCAAAUCAACAUUAUCAUCUCUAAGAUUGGGAAUUGAAACAUUACAAACAUGUGAAUCAACCUUAGCAUUUAAACUAGCAUUUUCAUUUCUAAGGUUGUCAAUAGUCUCACGACAAGUGCUUAGCUCACUAGACAAUUUUUCACAUUUUUCAACUUGAAGAGCGUAAGCAUUUUUAACCUUAACAUGUUUCUUGUUUUCCUUAAUAAGGAGGUCCUCUUGGGAAUCCAAAAGGUCAUCCUUUUCAUGAAUAGCACUAACCAAUUCAUUCAAUUUUUCCUUUUGAGCUAUGUUAAGGUUGGCAAAAAGGGAACGCAAAUUAUCUUCCUCAUCACUAGCAUUGUCAUCACUAGAGGAUUCAUAUUUAGUGGAGGAUUUAGAUUUAACCUUCUUUUUGCCGUCCUUUGCCAUGAGGCACUUGUGGCCGACGUUGGGGAAGAGGAGUCCCUUGGUGACGGCGAUGUUGGCGGCGUUCUCGUCGUCGGAGGAGUCGCUUGAGCUCUCGUCGGAGUCCCACUCGCGACAAACAUGGGCAUCGCCGCCCUUCUUCUUGUAAUACCUCUUCUUCUCCUUUCUUCUCCCCUUCUUGUCGUCACCUCGGUCACUGUCACUAGAUAUAGGACAUUUAGCAAUAAAAUGACCGGGCUUACCACACUUGUAGCAAACCUUCUUGGAGCGGGACUUGUAAUCCUUCCCCCUCCUUUGCUUGAGGAUUUGGCGGAAGCUCUUGAUGACGAGCGCCAUUUCCUCAUUGUCGAGCUUGGAGGCGUCUAUGGGUUGUCGACUUGAUGUAGACUCCUCCUUCUUCUCCUCCGUUGCCUUGAAUGCAACGGGUUGAGCUUCGGAUGUGGUGGCAUCAUCAAGCUCGUUGAUCUUCCUCGAGCCUUCGAUCAUGCACUCAAAACUUACAAAAUUCCCGAUAACUUCCUCGGGGGUCAUUUUAGUAUAUCUAGGAUUACCACGAAUUAAUUGAACUUGAGUAGGGUUAAGGAAAAUAAGUGAUCUUAGAAUAACCUUAACCACCUCGUGGUCAUCCCACUUUACACUCCCGAGGUUGCGCGCUUGGUUCACCAAGGUCUUGAGCCGAUUGUACAUGUGUUGUGGCUCCUCCCCUUUGCGAAGCCGGAACCGACCGAGCUCCCCCUCGAUCGUUUCCCGCUUGGUGAUCUUGGUGAGCUCAUCACCUUCAUGUGCGGUCUUGAGUAAAUCCCAAAUCUCCUUUGCAUUCUUUAACCCUUGAACUUUGUUAUACUCUUCUCUACUCAAAGAGGCUAGGAGUAUUGUUGUUGCUUGAGAGUUGAAGUGCUCGAUUUGGGCCACCUCAUCCUCAUCAUAGUUCUCAUCCCCUACGGAUGGUACCUGCGCACCAAACUCAACAACAUCCCAUAUGCUUUUGUGGAGCGAGGUUAGAUGAAAUCGCAUUAAAUCGCUCCACCUAGCGUAAUCUUCACCAUCAAAAGUUGGUGGUUUGCCUAAUGGGACGGAAAGUAAAGGUGUAUGUUUGGAAAUGCAAGGAUAGCGUAGGGGGAUCUUACUAUACUUCUUGCGCUCUUGGCGCUUAGAAGUGACGGAGGGCGCAUCGGAGUCGGAGGUCGAUGUUGAUGAAGUGUCGGUCUCGUAGUAGACCACCUUCCUCAUCCUCUUGUGCUUGUCGCCUUUCCGAUGCGGCUUGUGGGAAGAAGACUUUUCCUUCUUCUCUUUGUGGUGAGAAGAGGAAGACUUUUUCUCCUUCCGUUUGGAGGAGUCCUUCUUCUUCUCCUUCCUCUUGGUGCGGGACUCUUCCGAUGAAGUGCUCCCGUGGCUUGUAGUGGGCUUUUCGCCGGUCUCCAUCUCCUUCUUGGCGUGAUCUCCCGACAUCACUUCGAGCGGUUAGGCUCUAAUGAAGCACCGGGCUCCGAUACCAAUUGAAAGUCGCCUAGAGGGGGGGUGAAUAGGGCGAAACUGAAAUUUACAAAUAUAAACACAACUACAAGCCGGGGUUAGCGUUAGAAAUAAAGAAACGAGUCCGCGAGAGAGGGCGUAAAACAAAUCGCAAGCAAAUGAAGAGUGAGACACGUGGAUUUGUUUUACCGAGGUUCGGUUCUCGCAAACCUACUCCCCGUUGAGGAGGCCACAAAGGCCGGGUCUCUUUCAACCCUUCCCUCUCUCAAACGGUCUCUCGGACCGAGUGAGCUUUCUCUUCUUAAUCACUUGGAACACAAAGUUCCUACAAGGAUCACCACAAGAUUGGUGUCUCUUGCCUCAAUUACAAGUGAGUUUGAUCGCAAUGAAGGAGUCAAGAAAGCACGAUUAAAAAGCCAAGCGACAAGAGCGACAAAUAACACACGGAUCACUUUCUCUCUCAAGUCACUAAUCACUAAUGAUCUCUUUUCUCAAUUGUGAAACUUGGAGAGAUGGAGGCUUUGAAUGUGUCUUGGAAUAGAUUGCUAGCUCUUGUAUUGAAUGUUGAAGGUUGGAAUGCUUGGGUGAAGUGAAUGGAGGUGGUUGGGGUUGUAUUUAUAGCCACCAACCACUUCCUAGCCGUUGGGCCAUUCUGCUGAGCGCGGACGGUCCGCCCUCCUGGUGCGGACGGUCCGCCCCUGUAGAUCAACGGCUGAAAAUGCAACGGUCAGCAGUAACGGCUAUAUCAACGGCUAUAUUGCAUUUAAUGCGUCGUCAGAUGUCAGACAGAGCCAGUCGCGGACGGUCCGGUCGUGCACCCCGGACGGUCCGCGAGGCCCCCUAUAAUUCAUUUCUCCGAACCCGUCACCUUCGGGUUUUUCGGUUUCUUACCGACCGGACGGUCCGCGCCUGAGGCCGGACGGUCCGCGCGAGGGCUCGGACGGUCUUCGCUUUUCCUCCGGACAGUCUGUAGUGUAAACUUGUGUUUUUGCAUUGGUUCUGUCCGAGGGUCAUUCUUCUGUCACGGACGGUCCGCCGCAGGGGCCCGGACGGUCCGCGCUUGGCCUGUUUUUCCAAAAAGCUUCUCCUGUCCGGAAUAAUCUACGGUAUUCCGGACAGUCGAAUUAGUAUAGUUGUGGAUGAACCUUUGGCACCUGUAGAACGUAUAAUCUAGAGCAAACUAGUUAGUUCAUCAAUUUGUGUUGGGCAAUUCAACCACCAAAAUAAUUUAGGAACUAGGUGUAAGCCUAAUUCCCUUUCAACCAUCAUCGCCCCCACGUCAUCCACCACGAUAAAUACACGACAGCUAGGCAAUCCCGGGUCCACAAGUACGCAUGGCCUCACUCUUAGUAAAACAUUGGUUUUACUCUUUCCUUAUGGCUCCUUCCCGGGGAAGCCAUCGCUAGCUGAUCCCUACUCCGGCCUAUAAAAAGGAGAUCUCGACCUCCGAGAAAGUGAGGGGAAAACAAGGACAGGUCGAAUAGAGAGCUCUUGGAGACAAUGUGACGGCUUUAGACAGAGACGAACCCACAAGGACGAAUGAGCGGAGGAGCACUGACGAGGACCAGGAGGUCGAAGCCCCGCCAAGCCAAGACUUAGCUAGGACUCCACCUUGCAACUUCUAAGCUCCGCUUCCACCACAAUAAGAUAUCUGGGAGCCUCUCCUCCCUCUCUCGACUGCUUGUAACCCCUACUACAAGUUUAAUCAUCAAUGGUGCCGGUAGCGCAAGCCAUCGAUGACUGGAAGUAGGGACAUUCUGUCCGAACCAGUAUAAAUCUUGCGCCCUCCACACACACCCUCCGGAGCCCGAAACCAUUGAUCUAAGCUCCGGAGCAUGGUACGAAAUACCGACAGUUGACGUGCCAGGUAGCGGACUUGUGCAUUCCGCGAUGAGAUCAUCCGAGCUCCGGAUGGCUACCAACGACAGUACCGCAAUCUAGACUCCCGGGACAACCAUUCGCUUUGGGGGUCUGGAUUUCAUCGUCAACAAAGGAGAGAUGACGAGGGCCUCGCAAGCCCCGUCUCCCUUGGCAAACGACUUGCCCAAUGCAGCCAUAAGUCUCGGCGACCUCCGAUUGGACCCACCUCAGGUGUACCAUGGGUCGCAGGGCUCGCCACCAGUCGAUUGUACCGAGGUAGUGGGAGUAUUGGACCGUGUAUGGGACUCAUUCAUGAAUAUCCUCUUGUAAGGGUCGAAAGACGGACUCACGUCCAUGCCUAUCUAGGCAAGUUGCGACCCUAGUCAGGAAUGCUUUGCAGCAAAUACCACGGGAGAUCACUUCCCCGUGUGGGGAGCCUAGGCGAGAACUCGCCCAUCAUCAUGGAGUGCACCGUGGUGUUUGCCCUGCCUUAGCUCAACCCUCCUCCCCAGGAGGUGUCGUUGGGCCCGAGCCUCUCACGGAGCGAGCAGCACCCUGCGGCGAAAAGACAAGGAAGCUUACGAGGGGACGGGGCGAACACGCUAAGCAGUGGGGCGACAACACGCCAUGACGACAAAAGCCCGCCGUUGCCUGGUUUAUGGCAAGGGCGCAACGUCGUGUUUUCCCUGGACAAGCCAUAACAUCGUUGCUGUUGCGACGCUUCUGGACAAGCUCCCUAAGGCGAAAACACCAAGUGAAUGGAAGACCCACCAAUAGAUCGAAGACCUCCUCGGCCUUGCUGUGUAGCAAUAAGCCGAAAGUUCCAUGUCUCGAUGUUGCGAGCCGGAGACCAACCCGUACGCCGCGUUGAAAGGGAAAUUGGGUUAACCGUUUCCCACAAAUAAUUUCGGUGGUUGAAUGCCCAACACAAAUAAAUGGACUAACUAGUUUGCUCUAGAAUACAUGUUCUACAGGUGCACAAAGGUUCAACACAAACCAAUAAAUGUUCAAGUUAGGGAUCCAAUUCAAAGGAGCAAAAGAAGCCAAGUGUGUUGUGGCCUGGCGCACCGGACUGUCCGGUGUGCCACCGGACAGUGUCCGGUGCACCAGGACCGUACUGAGUCCAACCAGCCACUCUCGGGUUUCCACAGGCGCACUCCGCUAUAAUUCACCGGACUGUCUGGUGUACCACCGGACUGUCCGGUGCACCAGCGGAGCAACGACUAACUCGCGCAACGGUCGAUUGUAAAGGAGCUGACAGAUGAACAGUGCGCGCAGAGUCAGAGCUGUAGAGUCAGAGGUGCAUCGGACAGUGAAUAGGACCUGUCCGGUGUGGCACCAGACUAUCCGGUGCCACAAGAAGACAACGGCGCCAACAGUCGACUGCUCUCGAACCCUAACGGUUGGGUGACGUGGCGGCGCACUGGACAGUGAACAGGACCUGUCUGGUGGCGCACCGGACUGUCCGGUGCCACAAGAAGACAACGGCGCCAACAUUCGACUGCUCCUAAACCCUAACGGUUGGGUGACAUGGCGGCGCACCGAACAGUGAACAGGACCUGUCCGGUGCCGCACCAGACUGUCCGGUGCGCCCAUCGCUAGCAGACUUCCCCAACAACUACUUGGUGGUUGAGGGCUAUAAAUAUCCCCCAACCACCACAACUCCAAGCAUCCAAGUUUUAUAAAGAUUUCAUUCAAUACAAGAGCUAGUGCAUUCACUACUAGACACAAAUCAAAAGAUCAAAGCCUCUCCAAGUCCCAAAUUCAUUCCAAGCACCUAGUGACUUGAGAGAGUGUGUGUUCGUGUUCAUUUGCGCUCUUGUUGCUUGGAUCGCUUUAUUCCUUCCUCAUUCUUGUUCCAAAGUGACUUGUAAUCAAAGCAAGAGACACCUAAGUGUGUGGUGGUCCUUGCGGGGUCUAAGUGACCUGUUUGAUUAAGGAGAAAGCUCACUCGGUCUAAGUGACCGUUUGAGAGAGGGAAAGGGUUGAAAGAGACCCGGUCUUUGUGACCACCUCAAUGGGGACUAGGUUCUUUAGAACCAAACCUCGGAAAAAUAAAUCACCGUGUUCAUUCGCUUGUUUUCCAUUUGAUUUGUUCCCCCCUCUCUUCCGGACUUUAUUUAAGUUCUAACGUUAACCUUGGCUUGUAGUGUGUAUUUAAAGUUGUAAAUUUCAGAUUACGCCUAUUCACCCCCCUCUAGGCGACUUUCACGCGUCUACGUCGAUGACAAAUGGUGCCACAUCAUGGCAACCUCUGGAGCUCGAAGGAAGCGUGGCACAAGUCCCACCUCGUUGGCCCCAAAAGCUAGGUCGAUGUGCCUGGCCAUGGGACUGGGGAGGAGGGACGUGAAAGGUCGGGGUGACUCCUGAAAGGGAAAUAGUGUUAACCGUUUCCCACAAUUAAUUUUGGUGGUUGAAUGCCCAACACAAAUAAAUGGACUAACUAGUUUGCUCUAGAAUUGUCGGCGUUUCGACCCCGGGGGGGUCCCUGGACCGACGAGUAAAUUGUCGCUGCGUGUCCCAGCCCAGAUGGGUUGGCGCGAGAUGGAACACAAAGAGGGGAAAACCGCGGCUUCGUGCUGUCCUGCGCCAGAGUGGAUGCGCUUGCAGUAGGGGGUUACAAGCGUUCACGAGGGAGAGAGAGAGUCCCGCGCGACCACCCUCUCGUACGAGGGCCCUGGACCUUCCUUUUAUAGAUGCAAGGAGAGGGUCCAGGUGUACAAUGGGGGUGUAGCAAUAUGCUAACAUGUCUGGCAGAGAGGAGCCAGAACCCUAUGUACAUGCCAACGUGGCUGUCGGAGAGGUGCUAGAGCCCUGUGCAUGCGAUGUCGUGGCCGUCGGAGGAGCGCUUGAGCCCUGUAGAAGCACAGCUAUCGGGGCUGUCGGGACCUUGCUGACGUCUCCUUGCUUCCGUAAGGGGCUGAGAGCUGCCGUCGUCAUGGGCGGACGUGGGGUGCCAUCAUUACUUGUUCACCGGGGCGAGCCAGAUGGGACGCCGGUCUUGUUCCCCAUAGCCUGAGCUAGCUAGGGGUAGAGUAAUGAUGAUCCCCCCUGUGGCGUGGUCGGUCCAAGCCCAAGGUCGGGCGAGGCGGAAACUCCUCCGAGGCUGAGGUCGAGGCCGAGCCCUGGGGUCGGCGAGGCAGAGUCCAUCUUCUGAGGCCGAGGCAGAGGCCGAGCCCUGGGGUCGGGCGAGGCGGAGACUUCUCCCGAGGCCGAGGCCCAAGGUUGGGCGAGGCGGAGCUUCCUGUGGCGCCUGGGCUGGACUUGACUGUUGUCAGCCUCACCCUGGUGGGUGGCACAGCAGUCAAAGCAGGGCAGUCGGCGUUGUUUUCCUGUCCGGUCAAUCAGUGGAGGGGCAAAGUGACUGCGGUCACUUCGGCCCUGUCGACUGAGGAACGCGCGUCACGAUAAGGUGUCAGGCGAUCCUUGUAUUGAAUGCUUCUUUGAUACGGUCGGUUGGCGAGGCGAUCUGGCCAAGGUUGCUUCACUGUGAAGCCUGCCCGAGCUGGGCCUCGGGCGAGUCAAGGGUGUGCCUAUUGCUUGAGGAGGCCCUCGGGCGAGGCGUGAAUCCGCCUGGGUCUACUGUUCCUGCCCGAGGCUGGGCUCGAGUGAGGCGAGAUCGCGUCCCUUGAGUGGACGGAGCCUCGACCUGAAUUGCGCCCAUCAGGCUCUACAGCUUGUGCUGAUGGUGAUUACCAGCCGAGUUUAAGAGUAUUGGGGGUACCCCUAAUUAUGGUCCCCGACAGUAGCCCCCGGGCCUCAAAGGGAGUGUUGGUACUCGCUUGGAGGCUUUGUCGCACUUUUUUGCAAGGGGACCGACCUUUCUCGGUUACAUUUUGUUCCGGUGGGUGCGCGCGAGCGCACCCGCCGGGUGUAGCCCCCGAGGCCUCAGAGGAGUGGUUUGACUCCUCUGAGGUCUUAAUGCCUUUUCGUGAUGCCUCGGUCGGUCUGGUUGUUCCCUCAUGCGAUCUGAUCGUAGCCCGGGUGCAUGGUCAGGUUCCAAGUUCUCGGGCUGGUUUGUUGACGCUGUCAGCGGUUUGGCCGGAGCCGGGUUUGCGAGAGCAGCCCCUGAGCCUCUGCACAGAGCGAGAGGAUGAUCAAGGACUGACUCGGCUUUUAUCAUACGCCCCUUCGUCGCCUUUCCGCAAGGAGGAGGGGUGGAAGUGCCAUGUUGCCCUCGGAGGGCACCGAACAUGGUGUUUCCAGUGAGUUACUAACAGGUGAUCCGAGUGGAUGCCCAUGCCCCGUUCGAUAAGGGUCGGCUAGUGGCCCAGAGGCGCGCUCCAAAAGUACCUGCAGGUGAUUUGCCGGACCCGGUCCCGUUUGAUAGGGUCCGAGGGCUCGAUGCCUCCCUCUGAUGGGAUUCCAUUACAGAAUCGCUCCCGCUGGUCUCGGAAAUGUCCUAGGGUACCUCGGGAGCGUAGCCCGAGCCUCGGCCAUGUAUCGGAUGUACCCAGAGUCAUCCCUCGCUCUGCACGUUCUGGGGCGGCUGUCGAACCCUUUGGGGGGCCAGCCUUCGAACCCCUAAUCAGUAGUGGGUGCGGAGCCCGAGUGCUCUGAGGCGGCUAUCGAACCCUUCCGAGGGGCCAGCCUUCGAACCUCUGAUCAGUAAUGAGCCUAAAGCCCGAGUGCUCUGGGCGGCUGUCGAACCCUUCCGAGGGGCCAGCCUUCGAACCCCUGAUCAGUAGGAGGGCUCGGGGCCCGCUUCCUUCGCGGAGAAGGAUCCCUUUCGAAAUAUCCCCUUUCCGGUCCCUAUAGCAAGAGAGAGAAAGGGGAAGAGGAAAAGGAUACGAAAUUAAACGAUGUGGCGCACCUUUUUUGAUGCGGUCAUCAUGGCGGAGGUGAAACGUCGCCCGCUUCGCCUGCCAAAGGUGUCGCCUGCCCUGCCGCGAAGUUAAUGCGACGGGACGAGUGGUUCGCGGGGCAGCCGUUGUGCGUGCACGAGUCGUUCGAGGAACGGGCGUUUCGCCUUCGAGUUUGAAUUUCGCGGCGGGUUCGGGCGAAGUGUUGAACGGGUCUUGUCCGGGCCUUUAUAUACCCAGAAGAGGGACCGAUGGUGGUUCUUUACUCUGCUGCUCGCCUCCUGCUUUGGUUUCCGCGACCCAAGGGAAUAGCCAGAGAAAGAAAACCAUGCACCUUGUCCGCUCUGCCGUCGCCCCCUUCGUUUGGUGAUGGCCGACCGGGUAACCGUUGUUCCACCGUGCGACCCGUGGCCUUUCUCCACCGUCAUGGUGGACGAUCUGGAGGCCCUUGUCGCCGAUGGUUUGCUCUGUCCCCUCUCCGGUGACCCGCAGCCGGAGUGGAUGGUCCCUCCGAGCGGGGUCGGCCUGACCCCGCCACCGGGGUACGUGCUGAGUUUCGUCUCCUUCCAUGAGCGGAGGUUCGGAGUGCCAGCAAGCCGUUUCAUGCGGGCGCUCCUGCAUUACUACGGGGUGGAGCUGCACAAUCUCAACCCCAACUCCAUUGCGCAAGCGGCCAUCUUCGCGGCGGUUUGCGAGGGUUUUUUGGGGAUUGACCCCCACUGGGAUCUGUGGACCCAUCUCUUCACCGCGAAGCCUUUUGCCUUGACGACGGGGGAAAAAGAAGGUAUGCAUGGCGGUGCGGGCCGGUGGCUGCAUCCUCCAGUUGAUGCAGGCGCGCGCGCAACAGUACAUUCCCGCCAUCCUUGUGUCUUCGAACUAGGGGUGGCAGCGCCGGUGGUUUUACCUCCGGAAUGACGACGGGAGGCUCCCGUCGUUUUAUCAACGAGUGGUGACUGCCGCCGGCAGCAACUGGCGCUAUGGGGCCGCGCGCGAGAAACAGGAGAAAAUCUAGCCCCUUCUGGAGGCCUUGCAGGAGCUACGAGAUGGGGGCUUACCGUCGCGGGGGUGGUUGUCGUCAUCCAUCGCCGGAGGGUGCUUCCCUUGGCAGAGCGGCAGUUGCCGCUUUCGGAGAUGACGCCGGGGGUCGACUUGGAGGGUUCGCAGGUGUCCUCGGUCCCCCUCUCCACCGAUGACCUCCGCAGGCGGGUAGCGGGCACGGUAGGGAGGCUGGACGUCGGCGCCCUUACCCAGCCCUUGAUGCGUCCCGAGCGUGGGUGCGUGUCCCUGGUGAGUGUUCGCUCCUUCUCCUUUCUUGUGUCAGGUUUCCCUUGAUUCUCACGGUCGGGAUUUCCGUUCGUUUCCAGGAGUUGGGGUGUUACAAGCCUUCCCUGCCACCGGUCCCGAAGGACACGGUGGACCGAGCCGCGCGGAGGGUCACCGUGGAGAAGAAGAAGGAGAAGAAGGACGCGAAAAAGGCUCGGGCUCGCGAGCGGAUGCGGGGUCGGGACGCCUUGGAGAGCCGCCGUCGGAGGCAGGAGAGGGACGGGCUCCCGAGGGAGCCGUCGCCGGAGAUGCCUAACGACGACGAUGACGACGAUGAUGACGAGGACGACGACAUGGCGGCCCGCCUUGGCCUCAGCCCGGAUCUGAGGCUAGGUCAGGGGUCAUCGAGCCACCCCCGAGCGGGCUGGUGCCAUCGGUAUCUAAGGCUGGGACAUCGGGGUCCCGGUCCGAAGAGCAGGGGCAGGCUGAGGGGGUACUUGACCCCUUGGCCGAGGUAGUUGAGGUGACCCUGGGGGGUCAGGCCGACCCGCCUGUCCCCCAAGAGCAACUGCUCGUGUCGGUCGUAAAGGAGGUUGAUCCUCAGGCCGUCGUGACGUCGCAUGGGCAGGCCGUCCCUUCAGCGCCCCGGGCGCCUGAAGUGGGAACGGCGCUGAAGCUGGCAGCGGGGCGAACCUCGGCGGCGCCUGCGGGGACCGAGGCCCGAGGGGCCUCCCCGCAGGCACGAUUGGCCUUGGUCUGGAGCGGGUAAGUAUCCGAGGAUACCUAUGUCCUGGCUCUUUCUUCGUGUGUCCUGAUCCUGCUUUACUUUUUCCUCCCAGCAAACGGAGGCACGGUCCGGCCGAUCUAGCUCCCAGGAAGGCCCUUAAGACAGUGUCGGCUUCUGCAGCCAGUGUCGCACCGCGCCACGCCGGUUGGCUGGCCUCCGCACAAGAUGCCCCCAAGCGGGGGGGCCCAGGCGGCGCGAGUUGCCAUGGGGCGAGCUCCCCAGGCUGACCCCUCCGUCGAGGCGGUCGUCGUGUCGGGGGAGACUGCUGGCGCGGCUGCGGCCUUGAGCCCACCUGACGUACUGCCGGCGCCGGCACCAGCUUCUGUCGAGGCUGUUGUCGUUCUGCCUGUGGAGCCACCCGUCACUGCUGAUGCUGAGAUGGCUAAGGUGCCGCUGCUCGAGGUCGGUGAUUGGAAGCCCGCCUCCUUAGCCGAGGGGUACCCGAUGCGUCGACUGCAGGGGGUCUUGAUGCCUUCGAGGAGGGGGCACAGAACCGCGACUCAUCUUGGGGAGCGACGACCUCAUCCCCGCGCGGCGCGAUCCCAAUGAGCGGCGUGGACAGGCGCUCCGGUUCUGGACCCGUGGCGCCUCGAAACCCCUCUUCGUCCUUGACGAUGAGCGGGAGAAGCAGUCUCGGGAUGAGCUCCGUGAGUACGCCAAGGCAGCGAUGGGGUCGCUUCGGUCGACCAUGGAGAUCCUUUCCAGGGACGUUCUCAGGAUCUUCCAGGUAAGGAUUUCAGGCAUACCUUUCGCGUGACCAGGGCAUUCUUUGUGACGCCCUGCUUCCCUUCCUCAGGAUCUAACGGAUCUGAGUGUCGCCAAGUCAUCAUUCAUCCGCCGCGAGACCGAUGUCUAGGGUUUGCUGCGGUUCCUGAGGGCCGCGCUUACCGAGGCUACCGAACGCCUCACCCAACGGAGCGCCGAGGCGGUGGACCUUCGGUUGCUCUGUGAUGAGCUAGGGGUGGAGGCGGCGACGGCACGCGCAGAGGCGCAGCAGCGGCAGCUGGAGCUUGGCCAGGUCAUCGGCGAGCGGGACCAAUCUCGGAACUAGGCUGACGAGGCUGAAAGCUAGGCUGAGGCCCUUGGGGGCCAGCUAGCCGAGGUGUCUGCUCGGGCCGGAGCCCUUGUGGAGGACCUGGCUGUGGCCGUCGGGUCUGCCCAGUCUGCCCAAGCCGCAGUUUCGGAGCAGCGUGCCCGGGCUGAAGGUAUGUUUUGGCCGCUUUGUGACUUCGAUUCAGCUUCAUUCUUCAACUCGUGUCUGAAGAAUUCUGUUUGGCCGUUUGCAGAGUUCGAGUCAACCUUCAACGAGACCGUCAAGGCACUUGCCCAGGCAGCUGAGCAGAAGGAGGCCGACCGCGUGGCCAUGUAUGAAGCUAUCUCGACCUUUUGCCCGGUCUCUGGUCUUGACGACGUCCCCUCGGGAAGCUCCCCCCAGAGUCGCCUGUAGGCCUUGGGCGGCCAUGUGCGCAACAGACUCUGCGAGGCGCUGCAUCACGGCGUUAGGCGGGCCUUCGCCAUGCUCGCUUCCCACUACAACGUGGACCUGGAGCGGGUCAGCGAGGGGUACUGUCUACCCGACGAAGAUGAAGCUACCUUAGCCGAGGUUCAGAGGCUCGACGCGGCCGUUGCGGGCCCAAGUGCGGUGCUGGCGUCCUCCUUCGAGGUGGAGAUCCUUCCGCAUGCGUCGUCGUCCAGGGCCGGGGCGGACCUCGCCGAGGGUGGAGACGACGCUGAGGGUGGAGACGAAGUCGAGGGUGUCGCUCCUCCCCCGGGCGAUGCCUGAUUCUGCCGGAGCAGUUUGUUUGGAGCAUGUAUGUGUCUUUUGCGGCCGCUGAGGCCUGAACACUUUGCCGUCGUGCUAUAAAGCUGCGUUUCUCUUCCUCUUGUUUCGAGUAUCCGGACUUGUUCGUCAGUAGCAUAAUCGCUUAUCCGAGUAAGAGUUGUUUUUCGCGGAAGGUGACGAGUGAGGUAUCCGUAUCCCGGAGGCGUAGGAGUCCCUCGGCUCGGUCGGCCUUGCUGCUUACAUGCGCUCUUAUUCGUUUUGCGGGGUUCUGUUACCGAUAUAGUCGGGAAACACGAAAGUCGUUUUGGUAGAAAAACUUUUCCGAGGAAAAUUUUUGACGCAGAGGGGGUUCCCCCCUUCGAGCCCCCGAGGGAGGGUCGGGCUUUGCCGAGGCAAGGCUGACCCUUCCUUGACGGUUAGACUUUAUUUGUGUAUGUAAAGAGAACGAGGUAUAUGAACAACUUGAAAACAUCUUAAGGGUAAAAGCGACGUAGCUGUCAGAUGUUCCAAGCGUUGCUGUAGACCUCGCCUUGACUGUUGGCCAGCUUGUAUGUUCCGGGCUUCAAAAUCUUGGCGAUGAUGAACGACCCUUCCCAGGGAGGAGUGAGCUUGUGGCGCCCUCGGGCGUCUUGUCAUAGCCGAAGUACCAAGUCCCCCACCUGGAGGUCUCGGGACCAAACCCCUCGGGCGUGGUAGCGUCGCAGAGACCGCUGAUACCGUGCCGAGUGUAGUAAGGCCAUGUCUCGAGCCUCUUCCAGCUGGUCCAGUGAGUCUUCUCGGCUGGUCUGGUUGCUUCUGUCGUCGUACGCCUUCGUCCUCGGGGAACCGUAUUCUAAGUCUGUGGGCAAGAUAGCCUCGGCCCCAUAGACUAGAAAGAACGGUGAGAAGCCCGUGGCUCGGCUUGGCGUCGUCCUCAGACUCCAGACCACCGAGGGUAGUUCCUUCAUCCAUCGCUUGCCGAACUUGUUGAGGUUGUUGUAGAUCCUCGGCUUUAGUCCUUGCAGGAGCAUACCGUUGGCACGCUCUACCUGCUCAUUCGUCAUGGGGUGAGUUACGGCGGCCCAGUCCACACGGAUGUGGUGGUCCUCGCAGAAGUCCAGGAACUUCCUGCCAGUGAACUGGGUGCCGUUGUCGGUGAUGAUGGAGUUCGGGACCCCAAAGCGAUGGAUGAUGUUGGUGAAGAACGCCAUCGCCUGCUCGGACCAGAUGUUGUUUAGGGGUUGGACCUCGAUCCACUUGGAGAAUUUGUCGAUAGCGACCAGCAGGUGCGUGAAGCCCCCCGGGUGCCUUCUGCAAGGGACCGAUGAGGUCCAGACCCCACACAGCAAACGACCAGUUGAUGGGUAUUGUUUGCAGGGCCUGAGCGGGCAGGUGUGUCUGCCUUGCGUAGAAUUGACACCCUUGGCAGGUGAGUACAAUCCUAGUGGCGUCAGUCACCGCGGUUGGCCAGUAGAAACCUUGUCGGAAGUAGGGAUGGCAGCGGGUCGGGUAAAGUGCGGGUAAGCCAUUUACCCGCCCGCUAACAUAUCCGCGCCUCUAGUGCUUAUCCGUGCCCGCGAGAGCUUGCGGGUAAAAUUUUCGACCCGUGCCCGUACCCGCAGGAUAUCCGCGGAUAUCGGGCAACCCGUUAUCCGCCAGAAAAUACCAUAGAGUAUGGGGUCAUGUUUAUUUUACCAAGAACACAAUAACUUGACAGACAUAAUAACGAUAAGGAACAUAGUUCAAACUUAAAAGUCCACAAACAUGAUCGAUCAUCCACAAACAUAAGUUUCAAAGUCUUAAGAUAAUUAAUUAUUACAACACAAUGUUUUAGGAUAAAAUGAACACAUGGACGAUAUUUUGAUGGGCUAAUAAAUUAAGCGGGUAACGGGUAAUACCCGCAGGCGAAAUUUUAUAUCCGUUAAUUACCCGCGGGUGAGAAGUGUUGCCCGUAUCCUUACCCGUGGGCGAGAUUUCUUACCCGUAUCCAUGGCCAUCGGAUACGAAACCCGCGGAUAUCCGUGUCCGCGGGCAGAAUUGCCAUCCCUAGUCGGAAGGCGUUUCCAAUGAGGGCUCGAGGUGCUGCGUGGUGACCGUAAGCCCUCGAGUGUAUUUCUUGCAAUAGCUCCUGACCUUCGGGGAUGGAUAUGCAUCGUUGGAGGAUGCCUAAGGGGCUGCGAUGGUAGAGCUCCUUCUCGUCCCCCAGUAAGACGAACGACUUGGCGCGCCGCGCCAGUCGCCGAGCUUCGGCUCUGUCGAGGGGUAGCUCUCCUCGAUGGAGAUAUUGCAGGUACGGGGUCUGCCAGUUUCGAUUAGGCGUGACCCCAUUCCGCUCUUCCUCGACGCGCAGUGCCUCACCCUCGGCGGCCGAGGGUGCCUCGGGCUGGGCCGAGGCCUCCUUAGGCUCGGGCGCGUCGUCGGUCUUGACGAAGGGUUGAUGUAGGUCUCGGGAGAAGACGUCCGGGGGAACCGUUGUCUGCCCUGAGGCUAUUUUAGCCAGCUCAUCCGCAGUCUCGUUGUACCGUUGAGCGACGUGGUUGAGCUCUAGCCCGUAGAACUUGUCUUCCAGGCGCCGAACCUCGUCGCAGUAGGCCUCCAUCUUUGGGUCGCGGUAGUGGGAGUUCUUCAUGACUUGGUCGAUGACAAGCUGCGAGUCGCCACGAGCAUCGAGGCGCCGAACCCCUAGCUCGAUGGCGAUGCGCAACCCGUUAACCAGAGCCUCGUACUCGACCACAUUGUUUGACACCGGGAAAUGGAGGCGUAGCACGUAGCGGAGGUGCUUUCCGAGGGGUGAGAUGAAGAGCAGGCCCGCACCUGCUCCUGUUUUCAUCAGCGGCCCAUCGAAAAACAUGGUCCAGAGUUCUGACUGGAUCGGAGCUGUCGGAAGCUGGGUGUCGACCCAUUCAGCCACAAAGUCCGCCAAGACUUGGGACUUGAUGGCCUUCCGAGGAGCGAACGAGAUUGUCUCGCCCAUGAUCUCCACUUCCCACUUUGCAAUCCUACCCGAGGCCUCUCGGCACUGGAUGAUCUCCCCCAGGGGGAAGGACGACACCACAGUCACCAGAUGAGACUCGAAGUAGUGUCGCAACUUUCGCCGCGUCAGGAUUACCACGUACAGUAGCUUCUGAAUUUGCGGGUAGCGGAUUUUGGUCUCAGAUAGUACUUCACUAAUGAAGUAAACCGGCCUCUGGACGAGCAGUGCAUGCCCUUCUUCUCGUCUCUCGACUACGAUCGCGGCGCUGACCACCUGAGUGGUUGCGGCUACGUAGAUCAAGAGGGCUUCUCCUGCAGCGGGGGGCACCAAGAUGGGCGCGCUUGUAAGGAGCGCCUUUAAGUUCCCGAGGGCUUCCUCGGCCUCGGGGGUCCAAGUGAAGCGCUCGGUCUUCCUUAAGAGGCGGUACAGGGGUAGGCCUCUUUCGCCGAGGCGUGAGAUGAAGCGGCUCAGAGCCGCAAGGCAUCCCAUGACCCUCUGUACUCCUUUCAAGUCUUCGAUAGGCCCCAUGUUGGUGACGACCGCGAUUUUCUCCGGGUUGGCCUCGAUGCCCCGCUCGGAGAUGAUGAACCCCAGGAGCAUGCCUCGGGUGACUCCGAAGACACACUUCUCAGGAUUAAGUUUUAUGCCUUUCGCUCUCAGACACUUGAAUGUCGUUUCAAGGUCGGUGAGGAGGUCGGAGGCUUUCCUCGUCUUGACUACGAUGUCAUCGACGUAAGCCUCGACCGUUCGACCGAUGUGCUCUUCGAACACGUGGUUCAUGCACCUUUGGUAUGUCGCGCCUGCAUUCCUCAAACCAAAUGGCAUAGUAAUAUAGCAGUACAUGCCAAAGGGUGUGAUGAAAGAGGUCGCGAGCUGGUUGGACUCUUUCAUCCUGAUUUGGUGAUACCCUGAGUAGGCAUCGAGGAAUGACACGGUUUCGCACCCGGCAGUGGAAUCCACGAUUUGAUCGAUGCGAGGCAGAGGGUAGGGAACCUUUAGACAUGCUUUGUUUAGACCAGUGUAGUCUACACACAUCCUCCAUUUCCCACCUUUCUUUUUCACAAGCACAGGGUUGGCUAACCAUUCGGGAUGAAAUACCUCUUUGAUGAACCCUGCGGCCAUCAGCUUGUGGAUCUCCUCGCCUAUGGCUCUGCGCUUUUCUUCGUCGAAUCGGCGCAGAGGCUGCUUCACGGGUCGGGCUCCAGCUCAAAUAUCCAGCGAGUGCUCGGCGACAUCCCUCGGUAUGCCAGGCAUGUCCGAGGGACUCCACGCUAAAACCUCGGUGUUCGCGCAGAGAAAGUUGACGAGCACUGCUUCCUAUUUGGGGUCGAGCUCGGAGCCGAUCCGGACUUGCUUGGAGGCGUCAUUGCUGGGGUUGAGAGGGACGGACUUAACCGCCUCUACUGGUUCGAAGUUGUCGGCGUGGCGCUUCGCAUCUAGCACCUCCUUGGAGAGGCACCCUAGGUCGGCGAUGAGGGCCUCGGAUUCGGCAAGGGACUCAGCAUACUCCACGCACUCCAUGUCGCAUUCGUACGCGUGUCGGUACGUGGAUCCGACGAUGAUGACCCCGUUGGGGCCCGACAUCUUGAGCUUGAGAACGGCCAUGAACUUGGCGUAGCACGGUCUCCCCAGCACGGCGUGGUAGGUUCCUCGGAACCCGACCACCUCGAACGUGAGGGUUUCCUUUCAGAAGUUGGAGGGAGUCCCGAAGCAGACGGCCAUAUUGAGUUGUCCAAGGGGCCGGACGCGCUUCCCGGGGAUGAUCCCGUGAAAGAGCGCCGCACCGGCCCGGAUCGUGGACAGAUCGAUCUGCAAGAGCCUGAGGGUCUCGACGUAGAUGAUGUUGAGGCUGCUGCCUCCGUCCAUGAGGACCUUAGUGAGCCUAACGUUGCCGAUGACGGGGUCGACAACAAGCGGGUACUUUCCUGGGCUCGGCACGCGGUCGGGGUGGUCGCCUUGGUCGAAGGUGAUGGGCUUGUCGGACCAGUCUAGGUAGACUGGCGCCGCCACCUUCACCGAGCAGACCUCCCGGCGCUCCUGCUUGCGGUGCCGAGCCGAGGCCUUCGCCACUUGCCCACCAUAAAUCAUGAAACAGUCGUGGACCUCGGGGAACUCCUCUACCUUGUUGCCCUCCUUCUUGUCGUUGUCGUGGCCUCUGCCACCUUCUGCCGGGGGCCUGACCUUGUGGAAGUAGCGCCGAAGCAUGACGCAUUCCUCAAGGGUGUGCUUGACGGGACCCUAAUGAUAGGGGCAUGACUCCUUGAGCAUCUUGUCGAACAGGUUGGCCCCUCCGGGAGGCUUCCGAGGGUUCCUGUGCUCGGUGGCGGCGACAAGAUCUGCGUCAGCGGCGUCGCGUUUCGCUUGCGACUUCUUCUUGGCCUUCUUCUUCAUGCCGCGCUGGGCGGACGCCUCAGGGGUGUCUUCCUGCUGGCGUCCCUGAGGCUGCUUGUCCUUUCGGAAGAUGGCCUCGACCGCCUCCUCAUCAGAGGCGAACUUGGUGGCGAUGUCCAUCAACUCGCUCGCCCUGGUGGGAGUCUUGCGACCCAGCUUGCUCACCAGGUCACGGCAAGUGGUGCCGGCGAGGAACACGCCGAUGACAUCUGAGUCGGUGAUGUUGGGCAGCUCGGUGUGCUGCUUCGAAAAUCGCCGGAUGUAGUCCCGCAGGGAUUCUCCUGGCUGCUGGCGGCAGCUUCGGAGAUCCUAGGAGUUCCCAGGGCACACGUAUGUGCCCUGGAAGUUUCCAACGAAGGCUUUGACCAGGUCGUCCCAGCUGGAGAUCUGCGCAGGAGGCAGAUGCUCCAACCAGGCCCGGGCGACGUCGGAGAGGAACAGGGGGAGGUUACGGAUCAUGAGGUUGUCAUCGUCCGUUCCACCCAGCUGGCAGGCCAGCUGGUAGUCCGCAAGCCACAGUUCCGGCCUUGUUUCCCUCGAGUACUUGGUGAUGGUAGUCGGGGCUCGGAACCGGGUCGGGAACGGCGCCCGUCGUAUGGCCCGGCUAAAGGCUUGCAGACCAGGCAGUUCAGGCGAGGGGCUCCGAUCCUCCCCGCUGUCGUAGCAUCCCCCACGCCUGGGGUGGUAGCCUCGGCGCACCUUCUCGUCGAGGUAGGCUCGACGGUCGCGGCAGUGGUGCUCGUUGUCGAGGCGACCCAGGGCUGCAGGCGUCGCGUCCCGCGUGCGCCCGGGGUGGACCGAGGCUUCCCGCAUGAAUCGGGAAGUCGCGGCGCGAUGCUCCGGGGGGCCUUGCCUUUGGGAGGCAGAGCUCUCGGCCCGUUGGACCGCGGCAUCCUCCAGGAGAUUCUUGAGUUCUCCCUGGAUACGCCGCCCCUCGGUGGUGGAUGGCUCCGGCAUCGCUCGGAGUAGUAUUGCCGGUGCAUCCAGGUUCUGGCCGACCCCACUGGAAACUGGGGGCAGCCUUGCCCUGGCAUCGUCAGCGAUGCGGUGCUGGACGUCCUGGGCCAGAUGACGCGCUUCUCCGGCUAGUGCUCGGCCUGCCCACUCCUGCCCGAUGUUCUGCCGGAGCUGCACAAGUUGUCCUGCUUCCUCGUCGAGCUUGGCCUGCAUCUCGCGAAUUUGCUCGAGCUGUGUGUCCUGAACCCCCACAGGGACUGGGACCACAGCUAGCUCCCAUAGGAUGUCAAUGCGAGGCGCAGGCCUAGGGGGAUCAUCAUCCUCUGGCAUACCAAGGUGGUUGCCUUCGUCGUGACCUCCCAGAUCGACGUGGAAACAUUCGCGACUUGGGCCACAACCUUCGUCGUCAAGGUUGUGGCCAUCAUCGGAGCAAUCGGAGAGGCAGUAGUCACAUGCGAUCAUGAAGUCUCGCAUGGCGCUAGGAUUACCGAGCCUGGAGAAAUCCCAACCAGAGUCGGGCUCGUCGUCUUCCUCGAAGCCCGGAGGCCCGUAGGUCGAGACGGCCGUCAGUCGGUCCCAGGUUGACCCCCAUAUGGUACCCCGGAAGGUUAGGAUAUGCCUAUAUGAAAGCGUCCACCGAAUCGGGGUUGCUUGGCGGAUCGAAGCUGAAUCUAAAAGGCACAAGGUGGAAAACGGACGGUACCUCCUGAUCGACGGACGGUGACGAAGUCAUAUAAGGGACGGACUGCACUGUUAUCUCAGGUACGAGGCUAACGGCCGGCAAGUCCUUCGCGAGCGUGCUGGCGUCAUCCGUCCGCUUAGGGUUAGCGUGAUGCGGGGAAACGGCGCCCGUCUUUGUCUCAGACGCGAGGUCAACGACCGUUGUGUCCCCCGCUGGGGCGCCGACGUCGUUGACUCGCUCAACAGCCGACGAGGUGCCGCCUUCUGCUUGGCCAUGGUUUCCCCGCCUCCUCCUCCUACGGCGAGGGAGGCGACGAGACAAACCCGGAUGUUGCUCUUCCGCCAUGGAGGGAAGAUGUCGCCGAGUCCGCCGCUGCCGGGCGGGCUGACGGCCGUCGUUGUCGUUGUCGCGCGGCGGAGGAAGGAGUACCAUGUCGUAGCUGCCGUCGAGGGACAUGAACUCGAGACUCCCGAAAUGGAGCAGUGUCCCGGGUUGAAGAGGUUGUUGGAGACUACCAAUCCGGAACUUGACGGGCAGUUGUUCGUCAACACGCAGCAGGCCCCUACCUGGCGCGCCAACUGUCGGCGUUUCGACCCCGAGAGGUCCCUGGACCGACGAGUAAAUUGUCGCUGUGUGCCCCAGCCCAGAUGGGUUGGCGCGAGACGGAACAUAGAGAGGGGAAAAACACGGCUUCGUGUUGUCCUGCGCCAGAGUGGAUGCGCUUGCAGUAGGGGGUUACAAGCGUUCGCGAGAGAGAGAGAGAGAGUCCCGCGCGACCACCCUCUCGUACGAGGGCCCUGGACCUUCCUUUUAUAGAUGUAAGGAGAGGGUCCAGGUGUACAAUGGGGGGUGUAGCAAUAUGCUAACGUGUCCGGCAGAGAGGAGCCAGAGCCCUAUGUACAUGCCAACGUGGCUGUCGGAGAGGUGCUAUAGCCCUGUGCAUGUGAUGUCGUGGCCGUCGGAGGAGCGCUUGAGCCCUGUAGAAGCACAGCUGUCGGGGCUGUCGGGACCUUGCUGACGUCUCCUUGCUUCCGUAAGGGGCUGAGAGCCGCCGUUGUCAUGGGCGGACGUGGGGUGCCAUCAUUACUUGUUCACCGGGGCGAGCCAGAUGGGACGCCGGUCUUGUUCCUCGUAGCCUGAGCUAGCCAGGGGUAGGGUAAUGAUGAUCCCCCCUGUGGCAUGGUUGGUCCGAGCCCAAGGUUGGGCGAGGCGGAAACUCCUCCGAGGCCGAGGUCGAGGCUGAGCCUUAGGGUCGGGCGAGGCGGAGUCCAUCUUCUGAGGCCGAGGCGGAGGCCGAGCCCUAGGGUCGGGCGAGGCGGAGACUUCUCCCGAGGACGAGGCCCAUGGUCGGGCGAGGCGGAGCUUCCUAUGGCGCCUGGGGCUGGACUUGACUGCUGUCAGCCUCACCCUGGCGGGUGGCACAACAGUCGGAGCAGGGCAGGCGGCGUUGUUUUCCUGUCCGGUCAGUCAAUGGAGGGGCGAAGUGACUGCGCUCACUUUGGCCCUGUCGACUGAGGAACGCGCGUCAGGAUAAGGUGUCAGGCGAUCCUUGUAUUGAAUGCUUAUGUGAUAUGGUCGGUUGGCGAGGCGAUCUGGCCAAGGUUGCUUCACUGCGAAGCCUGCCCGAGCUGGGCCUCGGGCGAGUCGAGGGUGUGCCUGUUGCUUGAGGAGGCCCUCAGGCGAGGCGUGAAUCCUCCUGGGUCUACUGUUCCUGCCCGAGGCUGGGCUCGAGUGAGGCGAGAUCGUGUCCCUUGAGUGGACGGAGCCUCGACCUGAAUUGCGCCCAUCAGGCUCUGCAGCUUGUGCUGAUGGUGAUUACCAGCCGAGUUUAAGAGUAUUGGGGGUACCCCUAAUUAUGGUCCUCGACAAGAAUACAUGUUGUACAGGUGCACAAAGGUUCAACAUAAAUCAAUAAAUGUUCAAGUUAGGGAUCCAAUUCAAAGGAGUAAAAGAAAUCAAGUGUGCUGUGGCCUAGCGCACCGGAUAGUGUCCGGUGCACCAGGACCGUACUGAGUCCAACCAGCCACUCUCAGGUUUUUCGCAUGCGCACUCCGCUAUAAUUCACCGGACUGUCCGGUGUGCCAGCGGAGCAACGACUAACUCGCGCAACGGUCGACUGCAAAAGGGGCUGAUAGAGGAACAGUACGCGCAGAGUUAGAGCCGUAGAGUCAGAGGCGCACCGGACAGUGAAUAGGACCUGUCCAGUGGGGCACUGGACUGUCCGGUGCCACAAGAGGACAAGGCCUCCAACGGUCGACCGGGCUCCAGAACCUAACGGUUGGAUGACGUGGCGGCGCACCGAACAGUGAACAGGACCUAUUCGGUGGCGCAUCGGACUGUCCGGUGCGCCCAUCACCAGUAGCCUUCCCCAAUGGCUUCUUGGUGGUUGAGGGCUAUAAAUACCCCCAACCACCACAACUCCAAGCAUCCAAGUCUUCUAAAGUUUUCAUUCAAUACAAGAGCUAGUGCAUUCACUCCUAGACACAAAUCAAAAGAUCAAAGCCUCUCCAAGUCUCAAAUUCAUUCCAACCACCUAGUGACUUGAGAGAGUGUGUGUUCAUGUUCAUUUGCGCUCUUGUUGCUUGGAUCGCUUUCUUCCUUCCUCAUUCUUGUUCCCAAGUGACUUGUAAUCAAAGCAAGAGACACCUAAGUGUGUGGUGGUCCUUGCGGGGUCUAAGUGACUCGUGUGAUUAAGGAGAAAGCUCACUCGGUCUAAGUAACCUUUUGAGAGAGGGAAAGGGUUGAAAGAGACCUGGUCUUUGUGACCACCUCAACGGGGAGUAGGUUCUUUAGAACCGAACCUCGGUAAAACAAAUCAUCGUGUUCAUUCGCUUGAUUUCUAUUUGAUUUGUUUUCCCUCUCUCUCUUGGACUUGAUUUAAGUUCUAAUGCUAACCCCGGCUUGUAGUGUGUAUUUAAAGUUGUAAAUUUUAGAUUAUGCCUAUUCACCCCUCUCUAGGCGACUUUCAAUUGGUAUCGGAGCCCGAUGCUUCAUUAGAGUCUAACAACUCGAAGUGAUGUCAAGAGAUCACACCAAAAGGGAGAUCGUGACCGGAGACAAGCCCGCAAGCUCGGGGAGAACCCUUUCAAGGGAGUCCGACCACAAGCAUAAGGAGGAAUCCUCUUCCUCCAACAAGACACAUCGGAAGGGUGACAAGAAGAAGAAGAUGAAGAAGGUGGUCUACUACGAGACUGACUCUUCGUCACCCUCCAUGUCAUCAAGCUCCAACUCGUCCGUCGCUUCUAAGCGCUAUGAGGUAUAGUAAGAUGCCCUUACGCUAUCCUCGUAUUUCUAAAUGCGCUCCAUUACUUUCCAUUCCCUUAGGCAAACCACCAUAUUUUGAUGGUGAUGAUUAUUGUAUGUGGAGUGAUAAAAUGAGGCAUCACCUAACCUCACUCCACGAAAGCAUAUGGGAUAUUGUUGAGUUUGGAGUGCAGGUACCACAGGUGGGGACAAAGACUAUGACUCGGACGAGGUCACCCAAAUUAGGCACUUUAACUCCCGAGUCACGUCUAUACUCUUCGCCUCCUUGUGUCGAGCGGAGUAUAACAAGGUGCAAGGGUUAAAGAGCGCCAAAGAAAUUUGGGACGUGCUCAAGACCGCACACGAAGGGGACGAGGUGACCAAGAUCACCAAGCGGGAGACGAUCGAGGGGAGCUCGGUCGGUUCAUCCUCAACAAAGGAGAAGAGCCUCAAGCCAUGUACAACCGGCUCAAGACAAUGGUCAACCAAGUGUGCAACCUCGGGAGAACCAAAUGGGAUGACCAUGAAAUGGUCAAGGUUAUUCUAAGAUCCCUUGUUUUUUGUGACAGAACCUCCCAAGUCAUUAGGCCCACCUACAGUUGUCCUUGUCCAACGGACCUCAGAUAACCCUGCAGGUGCCCCUAAUCACUUGACAAGUUCGGUAUCUGUAUUCUUUACCUUUCCCAAGAGCAUUUCACCCGUCACACAGACAUUACAACACAUCGGAGGUACGAGAAUGUGGAAGCAGUUACAAUAACUUACUUUAUUUUAAAGUAAGAAAGAGUAGUAUUAUUACAGACCAGAGUGAAUAUAGGAGUGCAGGAGUAAUAUUAUUACAUAACUUGGGAGGCAAAAACCCCUCCCGAUAAACAGUAAAAAGUUUUUCUUAAAGGAGGACACUUCCUCCCGAGGCUUCAGUCUUGAUUUUCUUCUUUGGGCACCACCUUGGAACAAAAGCAACAAAAAUUUGCUGCUUCCUCACCUAAAACAACAUGGGACAAAGCCCUAAGUACGAAGUGUACUUUCGCAAGUCUUACCCGUCAAAAUAAAAGACUCUCAAGGAUAUGCUGGCCUUUGGGAAUCAAGGUAUGACUUAUCAAUAAUCAAAGACUCUGUUUGCAUAAAUGCUUACUAAUAGUGGAUCCUUAAAAGUCCAGUUUUAUUAGCAAGUUAAGUCAUUACCUGAGUUCUAGAGUUCUUUAUACCCUAGUUCAAGCACUUGACCUAUACUAGCCAAUUUCUUUUCAACCCUUCUUAUUCACUGGAAUGCUACGUGUAGGGCAGUGACCAAGUCUUCAUGUCCGAGAAGUAACGGCGAUCUGAAUCGAUUAAUACUCAGCUGAGGAUCUCCAAUCACACGACAUAUGUAGCACUUAACCCUUGCAUAUGUCAACUCGCCACCGGGGUUCUUAAGACCAGAUCAGGUUCACGCCAACCGAGAGCACAAAUACACCAUCGUCCAGCCUCUUUCCACGGAGGGUACACGCUACUCUUGCCAUCUCUCCACUCCCAUUGCGUGUUAUCUUAUUCUGGUAUUAGUCUGCCCGAGGCAAAGCUUACCCAUGAUGAGGCAUGUGACCAGUUAGAAGGUCCUCGAUCAUCAAGCCUACAUCGAGAAGGUCCUUAAUCGACUCAGACGGAGACACUACACCGAGACUCUCUUCUCGUGCAAGUCACCCGCCCGGUCUCAGCUUUAUCAUUUCAAACCCAAAGUUUGGUACCUGACAGAGGUACAUCUUUUCCGAUGUUGAACCCAUCAUGGCCAUGAUGGAUCCACCAUCAAGUUUUAUUUUUGAAAACAUCCCACCCACUUUGAAGCAUCAUCUUUUGUUAAAACAAAACAUUUUUGUUUUUCUAGAGUAAGGCUAAGCAUAAGAAAAACCUUUUUGUAAAACAGGGGAUUAAGGAGAAGUAAUCAAAUCCAAGGAAGGAAAUGCAGCAACUGGUUUAGAACACAACUCUUAUCACCUAAUGCAUCAAGUAAGUGAGAAAGAUUUCAAAAUAGCAAGGAGGUGGCAAAUGCACUAGGGCUUGCCUUGUGUGAUAGGUGAGUCAGGCUCUGCUCCACAGAUAUCAAAGUAAAAGCAGUUUCCUGCCUGAGGUUCUUCAGGUGGGGGUGGUGUAGUCCUCGCUUCUUCAACUUCUAUCUCUUCUUCGUUUUCUAUAUAUAGCCAUAUAUAAUCAUGAAUGCUCAUGUAAUGCUCAUGAAAGUGCAAAGAUAACAAAAGUAUAUUAUCUUAAGUCUUGAAUAUAAUUUUCCUUCAUGGAUCUCCAAGAAACUAGGGUUUUUAGAGUCUAUAGUGAAGUUCAUAGGGCACGUGACUAGGAUUUUGGGUUCUAGGUACCAAACAUGGUCCAAAUCAAACCAAAUUUUACCCAAGGCUUCUAAAUAAUAUUUAAAGCUUAUCUAAAAAGUUUGGUGAAUUUUGGGAUUAUUAAUUACUCUCUAAAACUCCAGAAGUAUGGGUUUUGGCUAUAUUAAAUACUCUAUAAUUUCCUAUUUGGACUAAAAACAUGAAACUAUUUUUAUUAAAUACUAUGAAAAAUUAGGAACUUAGCAAAAUUGGUCUUGCAUUUUUAGCAUUUUUCUAGAAAUUCUCUAAGUCUAGUAGAAAAAGAAAAAGAGAAAGUAUGAAUAGUAACGGGCUCAAUCUAAGCCCGAGCCGGCCCAAGACAGGCGAAAUGCGCCCGCGCGCGCCCGCGAUGUCUAUUUUGCACAGGGGUCUCUGGUCAUUUGAAAUACCAGUAAAGAAUCCUCUCUACAGUUUCUCUGUCUCACUGACAUCUGCGCAAAGCCCCUCCCCUUUCUGUUUCUUUACAACCCGAGAUCCUCGACCGUGGGCGGCGGAGCAGCGACUCCGGCGAGCCCAUACCGGCCGGAAAAUGCACCGGCUAGACUUCUCCUUUGUUUGUCACUUAAUUCAACCCUCCCCAACACUAAUCCCUCACCUAAUUUUAUUGAUCCGGACCGGAGCACGCCUGCUCACGACGACGGCGGAAACCAAGGAUAAUCCAAGGUGUUCUAGGCAAUUUAAGGCGGUCUAGUUCAAUCGAAUGGGUCGGUGAUAUUCAGGGGACAUUAAGAAAGCUAGAACACCAAUUAAGAAAGCUUGAACUGACCUACAGAAGGGUGGCCACGGCGAGGUGUUCACGCGGCGGUAUUUUGGCUGAUUUGGGGGAAAUCUGAAAUUGGCGAGCUCUGGUGAGCAAUUGGAGGCACGGCUUGGUGGCUUGGGUGCUUGACUAACUUAAGGACCCAAAGGCACGCUCAAUUUAUAGGCUCUGGGGUGGUGGCGCAUGAAUUUGGAAUGGCACGGUGGCGGCCGGAGAAGGAGAGUUGCACUGGUGCGAGCGAUUAGUGGCUUUCACCGUGGCGGACUCACCGGCGAUCACCGGACAUGCAUGACGUGACUCACUGCAACGUGGUUAAAGUGCCGAGUCACGUGGCACAAGACCGCGAGGUGUCUAAUUCCGGCGAGGGUUGAUUCAAAGCGAUCGGGGCAGAGCGGACACGGCGACUAGACGGAACAGUGUCUUAAGCUCAUCCGUGGUGGAGAUCUUUUCACCGCGAGACGUUAUCCGGGCAUCGGUGAGCACAAAUCACUUUGCCGGCGUAAAUCCAGGCACAGGGAUCGCCGGCGGCAAGGUGCACUGCACCUGCGAUUUCGUUCAGUCUACUGUACCAUUGGAAUCUCUGUUUGAAGCGCUUGACAGAGCAUGUUUGGGGGCAAUUUGCUCCAUAUUUUAUGUGGUGACCCAACCAUCACCCUGUAUCAAAGUUGAAGCUUAAUUAACCAGCUUUAAUUUUGUUACAUUGUGCACCCACAAAAAGUCAUAGGAUCUUACUCAAAAUCGAGCCCUAAGCUCAGCCAAUCUCACUGUCACUGAAAGUUCAGACUUAAGGUAACCUGACAGCCCGACUUUGGAUCAAAUUUUCUCAAACUUUUUCAUGCACCAAGGCUUAAUCCCUAUAGCAAAGUUGUUCUCCUAUAGUAAUUCUACAACUUUACUAUAUUGACUUUGAGAAAAAAACUUCAAGAAUCCUGAGAUGCAGGACUCCAAAGUUAGCCUUGUUCAACUGUUUUCAGACUUAACCAUGGGAACACUAGGGUGACCUUUUUGCAAAUAAGCCCAAAACUCAUGGUUUCUUUUGCAAAUCUUCAAACAUGUGAACUAUAUGACUAAAGAUACCCUAACUCCAUGGUUUUUGCACUUAGGUCCAAAGUGUGCACAUUUUUAUAGAUAACCCCCUAGAGUUUCAGUCCAGGGUUUUCCAGGGGUCUAUUUAGGGUUUCUGGCAUCACUAGGGUUUGGAUGCCACUUAAGUCCAUCCAUGGUGACAUUUUAUGAUCAUUACUAAUAGGUUUGAAGUUUUCUUUUAUUUAGACCUUGUUUACUCUUUUAAGCCUAGUUUAGGGUUAAGUUCUGUACCCUAUGGUUUCACACAUGACAUGUCCCAUCAAUACAACUUUGUUUGAAAUUUUUGCCUAGUGAAUGCACUCUAGGUGUGACAAACACAUGAUAUGCCAAUGCUUAUGAUGUUAUGCUCAAGUUUUAGUGAUAGUAACACCAGGGGUGUUACAUUUUUCGCAAUCCUACUCAAGUGCAAUUAAUUCGUGGGGAUCCUAGAUACAAAUUAAUGUCUCCCGAGGAAGUGAUAGGGAAGUUUGUGAGCUUUGAGAUAAUGAUCAAAGACUCCAAACACAUUGUCAACUUGAAGCAAGGCGCCACCUCCACACCCGAGGUGCAACUCGUCGCAUUUAAAGCGACGGAAGAGAAGAAAGAGGAGUCUACAUUAAGUAGGCUUCCCAUCGACGCCUCCAAGCUUGACAACGAGGAAAUGACGCUCAUCAUCAAGAGCUUCUGCCAAAUCCUCAAGCAUAGGAGGGGUAAGGACUACAAACCCCGCUCCAAAAGGGUGUGCUACAAAUGUGGUAAGCCCGGUCAUUUCAUUGCUAAAUGUCCAAUGUCUAGUGAAAGUGACAGGGACGACGACAAGAAGGGGAAGAAGAAGAAGAAGAGGUACUACAAGAAGAAGGGCGGUGAUGCCCACGUGUAUCAGGAAUGGGACUCCGAUGAGAGCUCCACCGACUCCUCCUCCGACGAGGACGCCGCCAACAUCGUUGUCAACAAGGGCCUCCUCUUCCCCAACGUCGGCCACAAAUGUUUUGUGGCCAAGGACGGCAAGAAAAAUAAGGUACAAUCUAGAGCCACCCCAAAUAUACAACAUCUAGUGAUGAGGGUAGCUCUAGUGAAGACGAAGAUGAUUUACUUACUUUUUUUGCCAACCUUAGCAUGGAACAAAAAGAAAAAUUAAAUGAAUUAAUAGAAGCCAUUCAUGAGAAGGAUGAACUCUUGGAUAGCCAAGAGGACUUCCUUAUUAAAGAAAACAAGAAACAUGUUAAAUUGAAAAAUCCUUAUGCUCAGGAAGUAGAAAAAUGUGAAAACUUAACUAAGAAGCUUAGGAUUUGUCAUGAUUCUAUUUCUAUCCUUAGGAAUGAAAAUGCUAGCUUAAUUUCUAAGGUUAAAGAUUUAAAUGUUUGCAAUGAUUCUAUUUCCAAUCUUAGAAACGAGAAUGCCAUUUUAAACGCUAAGAUUGAUGAAUUGAAUGUUUGCAAUAAUACAAUUUCUAGUCUUAGAAUUGAGAAUGAUAAUUUAAAUGCUAAGAUUGAGAAAUUGAGUGUUUGCAAACCAUCUACAUCUACUGUUUGUACUAGAUGUAGAGAUGUUAAUGUAGAAGCUAUUGAUGAUCAUCUUGCUAUGAUUAAACAACAAAAUGAUCACAUAGCUAAAUUAAGUGUUAAAAUUAAUGAGCGUGAACUUGAAAAUGAAAAGUUUAAAUUUGCUAGAAGCAUGCUCUAUAAUGGGAGACGCUCUGGCAUUAAGGAUGACAUUGGUUUCCAAUAGGGAAGCAAUGUCAAUCUAAAUGCCCCUAAAAGAUUGUCUAAUUUUGUUAAGGGCAAAGCUCCCAUGGUUCAGGAUAAUGAGGGUUACAUUUUAUAUCCUACUAAUUAUCCUAAGCACAAAAUUAGGAGAAUUCAUGCUAGAAAACCUCACAGUGUUUCUCAUCAUGCAUUUAUGUAUAAAAAUGAGGCUUCUAGCUCUAGGCAAUCAACUCAUGUUAAAUUGCCUAAAAAGAAAACUCCUGCUGCAUCAAAUGAACAUAACAUUUCAUUUAAAACUUUUGAUGCUUCAUAUGUGCUUACUAACAAAUCAGGCAAAGUAGUUGCCAAAUAUGUUGGGGCAAACAUAAGAGCUCCAAAACUUGUGUUUGGGUACCCAAGGUGCUUGUUUCUAACGUCAAAGGACCCAAGACUGUUUGGGUACCUAAGAACAAGGCCUAAAAUUGUUUUGUAGGUUUAUGCAUCCGGUGGUUCAAGUUGGAUAAUCGAUAGCGGGUACACAAACCAUAUGACAGGGGAGAAGAGAAUGUUCUCCUCCUACGAGAAAAACGAAGAUCCCCAACGAGCUAUCACAUUCGGGGAUGAAAAUCAAGGUUUGGUCAAAGGACUUGGUAAAAUUGCUAUAUCACCUGAUCACUCUAUUUCCAAUGUUUUUCUUAUAGAUUCUUUAGAUUACAACUUGCUUUAUGUUUCUCAAUUAUGUAAAAUGGGCUACAACUGUCUUUUUACUGAUAUAGGUGUCACUGUCUUUAGAAGAAGUGAUGAUUCAAUAACAUUUAAGGGAGUGUUAGAGGGUCAGCUAUAUUUAGUUGAUUUUAAUGAGAACACAGCUAAACUCAAACUUAUUUAAUUGCUAAGACUAAUAUGGGUUGGCUUUGGCAUCGCCGACUAGCCCAUGUUGGGAUGAAGAAUCUUCACAAGCUUCUAAAGGGAGAACAUAUUUUGGGACUAACAAAUGUUCAUUUUGAGAAAGACAGGGUUUGUAGCGCAUUUCAAGCAAGAAAGCAAGUUGGUGAUCACCAUCCCCACAAGAACAUCAUGACAACCGACAGGCCGCUCGAGCUACUCCACAUGGAUUUAUUCGACCCGAUAGCCUACAUAAGCAUCGACGGGAGUAAGUACUGUCUAGUUAUUGUGGAUGACUAUUCUCGCUUCACUUGGGUAUUCUUUUUGUAGGAAAAAUCACAAACCCAGGAGACCCUAAAGGGAUACUUAAGACGAGCUCAAAACGAGUUCGGAUUAAGGAUCAAAAAGAUAAGAAGCGAUAAUGGAACAGAGUUCAAGAAUUCACAAAUUGAAGGCUUUCUUGAGGAUAAGGGCAUCAAGCAUGAGUUCUCUUCUCCCUACACACCUCAACAAAAUGGUGUAGUGGAGAGGAAGAAUAGAACUCUACUGGACAUGGCAAGAACCAUGCUUGAAGAGUACAGACACCGGACCGGUUUUGGGCUGAGGCGAUUAACAUCGCCUGCUACUCCAUCAACCGGCUAUACCUUCACUGAAUCCUCAAGAAGGCAUCAUACGAACUCCUCACCGGUAAAAAGUCCAAUGUUUCAUAUUUUAGAGUCUUUGGUAGCAAAUGUUUAUUCUUAUUAAAAGAGGAAGAAAAUCUAAAUUUGCUCCUAAGGCUGUAGAAGGUUUUUUACUUCGUUAUGACUCAAACACAAGGGCAUAUAGAGUCUUCAACAAAUCCAAUGGAUCAGUUGAGGUUUCUUGUAACAUUGUGUUUGAUGAGACUAAUGGCUCCCAAGUGGAGCAAGUUGAUCUUGAUGAGCUAGAUGAUAAAGAGGCUUUGUGUGUCGCGCUAAGGAACAUGUCCAUUGGGGAUGUGUGUCCUAAGGAAACCAAAGAGCCCACACAAGCAUAAGAACAACCGUCAUCUUCCAUGCAAGCAUCUCUACCAACUCAAGAUGAGGAACAGGCUCAAGAUGAUGAAGAUCAGGAGGAUGAGCCACCUCAAGAGGAGGACAAUGAUCAAGGGGGAGAUGAAGUUAAUGAAGACAAGGAAGAUGAUCAAGAGAUACAGGGUCAAAGACUGCCACACCCAAGAAUCCACCAAGCAAUACAACGAGAUCACCCCGCCAACUCCAUCCUUGGUGAUAUCCAUAAGGGGGUAACCACUAGAUCUCGAGUUGCUCAUUUCUGUGAACAUUACUCUUUUGUAUCCUCUAUUGAGCCAUACAGGGUGGAGGGUGCACUAAGAGAUCCGGACUGGGUGCUGGCAAUGCAAGAGGAGCUCAACAACUUCAUGAGGAAUGAGGUAUGUCAUUUAGUUCCACGUCCUAAUCAAAAUGUUGUAGGUACCAAAUGGGUAUUCCGCAACAACCAAGAUGAGCAUGGUGUGGUAACAAGGAACAAAGCCCGACUUGUGGCCAAGGGUUAUUCACAAGUCGAAGGUUUCGAUUUUGAUGAAACUUAUGCACCCGUAGCUAGGCUUGAGUCAAUUUGUAUAUUACUUGCAUAUGCUACUUACCAUGGCUUUAGGUUUUAUCAAAUGGACGUGAAAAUUGCCUUCCUCAAUGGACCAAUCAAGGAAGAGGUCUAUGUUGAGCAACCUCCCGGCUUUGAAGAUAGUGAGUAUCCUAACUAUGUUUAUAAACUCUCAAAGGCGCUUUAUGGGCUCAAGCAAGCCCCAAGAUCAUGGUAUGAAUGCCUGCGAGAUUUUCUUAUCACUAAUGGCUUCAAAGUCGGUAAAGCUGAUCCUACUCUCUUUACUAAAACUGUUGCAAAAGAUUUGUUCGUAUGCCAAAUUUAUGUUGAUGAUAUUAUAUUUGGGUCUACUAACAAAUCAACUUGUGAAGAGUUUAGUAGGAUCAUGAUACAGAAAUUCGAGAUGUCGAUGAUGGGGGAGUUGAAGUAUUUCCUAGGAUUUCAGAUCAAGCAACUCCAAGAUGGCACCUUCAUCAGUCAAACAAAGUACAUUCAAGACAUACUUAAGAAGUUUGGGAUGAAGGAUGGCAAACCCAUCAAGACACCCAUGGGAACCAAUGGGCAUCUCGACCUCGAUAGGGUAGGUAAAUCCGUAGAUCAAAAGGUAUACCGGUCGAUGAUAGGAUCUUUACUCUACUUAUGUGCAUCUCGACCGGAUAUUAUGCUUUUCGUAUGCAUGUGUGCAAGAUUCCAGGCCGGUCCUAAGGAAGUUCACCUUAGGGCCGUGAAGAGAAUCAUGAGAUACUUAGUUUACACUCCUAAGUUUGGGCUUUGGUUCCCCAAGGGAUCCACUUUUGAUUUAAUAGGAUAUUCCGAUGACGAUUGGACAGGGUGUAAAAUUGAUAGGAAGAGCACAUCAGGGACUUGUCAGUUUCUGGGAAGAUUCCUGGUGUCAUGGGCUUCGAAGAAACAAAACUCUGUAACUCUUUCUACCGCCGAAGCCGAAUACAUUAUCGCAGGCCAUUGUUGUGCGCAAUUAUUUUGGAUGAGGCAAACCCUCAGGGACUAUGGCUACAAAUUGAACAAAGUCUCUCUCUUAUGUGACAAUGAGAGUGCUAUCCGCAUGGCGGAUAAUCCCGUUGAACACAGCCGCACUAAGCACAUAUACAUUCGGUAUCACUUUUUGAGAGAUCACCAACAAAGGGGGGAUAUCGAAAUAGCUUAUGUAAACACCAAGAAUCAAGUAGCUGAUAUUUUUACCAAGCCACUAGAUGAGAAAAUCUUUAGCAAACUUAGGAAUGAGUUAAAUAUACUUGAUUCUCGGAACUUUGAUUGAAACAGUGUACACAUAGCUUAUUAAUAUACCUUUGAUCAUAUCUCUUUCAUUUGGUACAUAUACAUAUUUCUUAUGUACCAAGGCUAUGACUAAUGUGUUUUCAAGUAUAUUUCCAUACUAAGUCGUAAAUUGAAAGGGAAAUGGAGUAUGUGACGAAGACAAGGCUUCUGUGGGGGAUGGAUAUCCCCCGGGUCCACUAAAGAAGUAAAAGACCUCACGAAAGGCCCAAGGGCCCAAUAAAUCGUAAGGCCAUUCCUUCAUGGGCCUGAGGAGAAACAACCAACAAAGCAGAGAAGACGUAAGACCGGAUUGAUGCAAACCCGGACGGCCCACAACGUCGAGCGAGUAAAUCGCAACAGAGACCCGACUUUCCCGCGCUAAAGCCCCCAUGCAACAGAGCCAUGCGAGGAUAAGUCGGCAAGGGUUACGUAGGGAUAAAUUCAAGAGGUUCACUACCUUUUAGCUACUUGUUGUUAUCAUAUCCACGUGUACUGCCCCACGGUCGAGUAUAUAAGGCCUAGGGGGCACCCCUUCAGAUCGAUCGACCCUAUUUUUACUUAGCCACCCUCAUUAACUCUCUGUGCCUUCAAUCCAGAGAGCCCUCUUGUAACCACACUCGUAUACUCACCAGGACGUAGGGUGUUACGCAUCUCUAAGCGGCCCGAACCUGCAAAUCUUGUCCACUGUCCCUCGUGCGAUCGGCACGAACCAUUUUGCUACAGUCGUUGACACCGUCCUACUCCUAAAAACACCUUGAGGGGCAACCCCGGGUGUGCGGUCGGACCCAAAACACCGACAGCUGGCGCGCCAGGUAGGGGGUGUGUCGACGAUCCAAGCUAGCUCAAUGGCCGUCACCUUCCACAGCAAGAUCACCGUGCGUCCCGGAUCUGUAUUCUGCUUCGGGACAAUCUCAUCUGUAGCGGAUGAAGAGGGAAUUCUACACCGCAUCGCAGAUCCGCCGGAAAAGAAGUCCCCUCCAACGAACUCCGAAAAUGCUGGAAAGACACAACCUCCGGCUCUUCGGAAAAAGAUUGUCUCCGAAAAGGCUGGAGCUGGAAGCUCGCUGACCCGGGAGACUCCGCUGUCUACUUCCCCGACGAAAGAAUGGACACGGAUCGCGAGGAAGAAGGAGACCAGGGAAAGGCAAGUCGUUCUUUCCGUUCCUCCGGCCUCAAAGGAGAACGGAAAGAAAGUCGCCACGACAGCAGCACCAUUCUACCCCGACGUCCUCUUCAUCGGGAGAGUGGAGUCGCCCGCCGUCUCUGACGACGAACCGACCGCGCCUGGAGAAGAACCACCUCAACGAGAAUCCCGCCGACGGAGGAACCAACACAGGAACGUUCGACGACAUCACGCGGCCGGAGAAUGGGAUCCGGAGCAGCCUGUCUCGCGAGACGAGGUCUCGGAGAUAGGAGAAACUCCGGAAGAACGCGUCUUCAGGGAACGAAGAAACUCCCGACGACGUGAUCGCCGACGGACUCAGGAGCAAGCCGAGCAAGAUGCAAGGCAACGCCGGGAGAAUCCGCUCUUCGGGCGCAACCUGAACCCCGACUUCGCCCGAGCUAUGAACACGCCAAGCGAAGUCGGAGGUGUACUAGCUCGGAUAGCUGACGGACUUCCUCGGACUCCCGACGCCGAGGGAUACCGACGCCUGUUCACUCAGGCGGCCAACCAUCUUCUACCGCUCGCUCACCCGCCGAACGAUCUACAACACGCCAUCAACAGUCGCCGAGACGCGCGAAGCUCUAUCAAUGCUUCGCGCGAACGGCGACAUGAAAACGAAAUUCACCGUCGGGAGGAGUAUGACCGAGAUCAUGGCUUCCCGACUCAAAGCCAGGCCACCGGGACUGAGUCGGCAACAGCUUCAACUGGCGGUACCACCCGGGGACGGUCGAGGAACCACAACCACCACUCCCCUCCCCGGGACAGACGUCGUCCCCGACGACAGGAGGACACGUGCGGAGUAUCCGCUCUUACUCCGCGCCUUAGGGCCAUCCAGUGGCCUCCCAACUUCAAGGUAUCCAAUGUCGACAAAUAUGAACCUAAGCAGGAUCCAGGGGGUUGGCUAGCCGUCUACACCACCGCUGCUCGGGCUGCCGGGGCAUCUGAGGACGUCAUGACCGCGUAUCUGCCCAUCGUCCUUGGGCCAGAUGCGCUACAGUGGCUACGACAUCUACCCCGACACUGCAUCGACGACUGGGGAGACUUCAGUCGACGUUUCACCGCCAACUUCCAGUCCCUCUCCGACAAGCCAGCGCAACCAUGGGACCUUAAAUCCAUCAAGCGCCGGGGGGAUGAGACUCUCCGGUCAUACCUCAAAAGGUUCCAGACCAUGAGAAACCGCAUCCCCGAGGUCACGGAGGCGGCCGUGAUCGAGGACUUCUACAGGGGAUCCAAUGACUCGGCUUUCGUCCGAGCCAUACUACAAAAGGCGCCGACUACCUCCGAGGAGCUGUUCCGGGAAGCCGACCUCUACAUCACCGCCGACGAGCGGGCCCAGGAUCUCAUCGGAGGAGCAAAGCCUGCACCGGCAGCGCCACGACGUGACGCGAACCAACCACCCGACAAACACUGGGAGAAGAGGCCUCGUGAAGAAGUACACGCCGCCGGACCACCCGCCUCUCGCGCCCGAGGAGGACCUCGUGGAGGCGAGAGCACGCUGGACGACAUCCUCGACGCCCAGUGCCCGUACCACAAGGACAUGCGCCACACUCUUCGUAACUGCCGGGACUUCAAGCACUCCGUCGGGCACGGCCGACCCUUCCAACCUCUACCGCCUCCUCCGCCGAGGGGAGGACCAGAUGAACCACGACAGCCCCAUCAGCAGGAGGAGGGGGGAGGAGGAGCUUUCCCACGCGUUGACAGGGAGGUCAACGUCAUCUUCGGCGGACAUGGGUCGCAGGAGAACAAAAGACAACAAAAGCUCAACGACCGCCAGAUAUUGGUGGCGACCACCGGUCCUCCCGCCCCAUACCGGUGGUCGGAGCACCCAAUCACUUUCACUCGGGAGGAUCAAUGGCUCAACUUCGACCAUCCAGGCAAAUACCCGCUCCUCGUCGAUCCGGUGAUCCGAGAAAGCCGGGUAAAGAAGGUGCUAGUGGACGGGGGGAGCAGCAUCAACGUCACCUUCCCCCGGACACUCCAGGGCUUGGGAGUUCACCUCAAAGAGCUCCACGAGUCGGACACUCCUUUCUUCGGCAUCGUGCCGACGGAAGGGGAAUACCCGCUGGGCCACAUCUACAUGCCGGUCACCUUCGGAACUCCGGAGAACUACAGAACCGAGUUCCUGAGGUUCGAGGUGGCGAACUUCGACUGCGGGUACAACGCCAUCAUCGGGAGGCCGGGACUGGCCAAAUUCAUGGCCAUUCCGCACUAUACGUACAUGACACUGAAGAUGCCAGGACCGCAAGGAAUCAUAACUGUGCGCGCCGACUUCCAAGGCGCCGCAGAAUGUUUCCGAGUGGCCAUCCAAGCAGCCCUCACCACCAAGCCGUCAGCGGUUCCUUCUACACUGGCGAACUCUAAGCCUGAGGAGGACCUCGCCGUACCGACAAAUGAAGCUCAGGCCGCGACCUCUAUGCGGCCGACUGAAGAAACCAAGCGAAUCAACCUGGGGUUCACUGAUGAGCGCAAGACAGCCAUCAUCAGCUCUAGUUUGAACAACAAAUAGGAAAGCGCGCUCGUCCAGUUCCUGCAAGAUAACCGAGACGUAUUCGCAUGGCAACCUGCGGAUAUGCCGGGAGUCCCAAGAGAACUGGUCGAGCACAAAUUGAAGGUCUAUCCCCAGGCGAGGCCGAUCCGGCAAAAGCUACGUCGUUUCACGCCCGACAAGAGAGAGGCCAUUCGUGCCGAGUUAGCUCGCUUGGUCGCGGCUGGAUUUAUUAGAGAAGUAUUACACCCCGAGUGGUUAGCCAACACUGUUCUUGUACUCAAAAAGAAUAAAGUGGAUUGGCGCAUGUACGUCGACUAUACUGAUCUCAACAAACACUGUCCGAAGGAUCCCUUCGGGCUCCCGAGGAUAGAUCAGGUGGUGGAUUCCACCGCUGGGUGUUCUGUGCUGUCUUUCUUAGAUUGCUAUUCCGGGUAUCAUCAGAUUAGUUUGGCAAAAGAAGAUGAGGAAAAAACGGCGUUCAUCACUCCGUUUGGUGCUUUCUGUUAUACCUCCAUGCCGUUCGGCCUCAAAAACGCUGGAGCGACUUAUCAGAGAGCCAUUCAAACAUGCUUAGCCGAUCACUGGGGCAAGCGUGUGGAGGCUUACGUAGAUGAUGUGGUGAUCAAAACAGAGAAUUCAGAAAACUUCAUUGAGGACUUACAGCUGGUUUUCAACAGCCUGAGAAGAUAUAGAUGGAAGCUCAAUCCUGAAAAAUGUGUUUUCGGGGUACCAGCAGGAAAGUUGCUCGGGUUUAUCGUCAGCCACCGGGGAAUUGAGGCUAAUCCAGAUAAGAUUGAAGCUAUCAUGAAGAUGGAAGCUCCUCGGUCACAAAAGAAGGUUCAGCGACUCACUGGAUGUAUGGCAGCUCUGAGUAGAUUUAUAUCCAGGCUAGGAGAAAAAGGUUUGCCAUUUUACAAGCUACUCAAGAAGGUGGAUAAGUUUCAAUGGACUUCAGAAGCACAAGAAGCUCUAGACGCACUGAAGAAAUUCUUGACAACACCACCAGUACUGAAACCACCCCGGCGAGCUACGCCGACUCAACCGGCUGAAGAUUUGUUGCUAUAUGUCUCUUGCACGACUCACGUGGUAAGCACCGUGUUGGUAGUCGAGCGAGUAGAAGAAGGGCAUGCCUAUCCAGUACAACAUCCUGUUUACUUCAUCAGUGAAGUUCUAGGCCCCUCGAAGAAAAAGUAUCCUCAGGUUCAGAAGCUAUUAUAUGCAGUACUUCUAACUGCCCGCAAGCUGUGUCACUACUUUGAUGACCACAAAGUCAUAGUAGUCACUGGUUUUCCAAUAGGGGACAUUCUUCACAACAAGGAAGCCAUUGACCGAAUAGCCAAGUGGGCUUGCGAGUUGGGAUCCCACGAUAUCGAGUUCCGACCUCACACUGCCAUCAAAACUCAAGCACUGGUUGAUUUCGUAUCAGAGUGGACAGAACAGCAAGUACCAGACAAUCCAGAAACGGCAGAAGUAUGGCGAAUGUAUUUUGAUGGCUCGCUGAAGCUGCAGGGAGCAGGAGCAGGGAUUCUCUUCACUGCACCUGGAGGCGAACACCUCAAGUACGCUCUCCAAUUGCUAUUCCCGGCCUCUAACAAUGCAGCCGAGUAUGAAGCUUUGAUACAUGGAUUAAACAUCGCCAUGUCACUGGGCGUCAAGAGAUUGAUGGUAUACGGAGAUUCUCUGGUAGUCAUCAGCCAGAUAAACAAGGAAUGAGAUUGUUCAAGUGAUUCAAUGGGAAAAUAUUGUGCUGCCGUCCGAAAGCUAGAAGAUAAAUUCGAGGGUCUAGAAUUUCGUCAUAUAGAAAGAGAUCGGAACACGGCGGCCGAUGUACUGUCCAAGCUCGGAUCCGGUCGAACUCAGGUCCCACCUGGAGUCUUCGUGCAAGAAAUUCUGCAGCCGAGUAUCUCAAUGGAUCAAACAGAAGAGUGCAACAUCAUAAAUCAACUCGAGUCAGAUUCUGACGACUGGAGAAGACCGAUUAUUAAGUAUAUAAAGAAUGAAGAAGAACCAGACGACAAGAACUCGGCAGAGCGCAUUGCCAGGCAGUCGGCUCACUAUACACUCAUUGGGGAGGAACUGUACAGAAGGGGCGCGUCAGGCAUCCUCAUGAAGUGCGUUCUCCCGUCCACCGGGAAACAACUUCUGGAGGAAGUCCAUGCAGGGCAAUGUGGGAUACAUGCAGCAUCCAGAACACUAGUCGGGAAGGUUUUCAGGUCAGGAUUCUAUUGGCCGACGGCGAAGAACGAUGCGGCCGAAUUAGUUCAGAGAUGCGAAGCUUGCCAAUACUUGUCAAAGCAACAGCACAUGCCAGCACAGCAGCUACAGACCAUACCAGUAACCUGGCCUUUCGCAUGCUGGGGACUGGAUAUGAUUGGACCUUUCAAGAAAGCUCAAGGGGGAUAUACCCAUGUAUUGGUGGCGAUUGACAAAUUCACUAAAUGGAUAGAGUUCAAGCCCAUUGCUUCUUUAACUUCUGCUAAAGCCGUGGAAUUCAUACAAGGCAUAAUAUUCAGAUUCGGGAUACCAAACAGUAUCAUCACUGACUUGGGAUCCAACUUCACCAGUUCAGAAUUCUUUGACUUCUGCGAGCAAAAGAGCAUUCAGAUCAAGUACGCAUCUGUAGCACAUCCAAGAGCCAACGGGCAGGUUGAGCGAGCCAACGGAAUGAUAUUGGAGGCACUCAGGAAAAGGGUCUUCGAUAAGAAUGAAAAAUUCGCAGGAAAGUGGAUAAGGGAAUUGCCUUAUGUUGUUUGGAGCCUGAGAACCCAACCUAGCCGAGCCCUGCAUGGAAACACUCCUUUCUUCAUGGUCUAUGGAUCGGAGGCAGUGCUACCUGCUGAUCUCAAGUUUGGGGCGCCAAGAUUGAUCUUCGAAAGCAUAGCAGAAGCCGAGGCCACCAGGCUGGAGGAUGUUGAUGUACUUGAGGAAGAACGACUGAAUGCAGUAAUCCAAUCAGCACGGUACCAGCAGACUCUAAGGCGCUAUCACGACAAGGCUGUGCGGCAACGGUUCUUUUCGAUAGGAGACCUCGUCCUCCGCCGAAUUCUAACGGGAGAGGGACGGCACAAGUUAUCACCCUUAUGGGAAGGGCCUUUCAUAGUAGCAGAAGUCACUCGGCCCGGAUCGUAUCGCCUCACCCAGAUGGAUGGCACAGAAGUUGGGAACUCCUGGAACAUAGAGCACCUCAGAAAGUUUUACCCCUAGCUGUACUUAAAAACAGCUGGGGCGACCAUGUAUUCUGUAAAAUGGAAAUACGUCAUCAAUAAAGAGAGAUUUCAAAGAUACUCGGCUCGUUUAUGAUUGACUUGCAUUCUUACUUAACCCAGGGUGACCACUAUGCCCUACAAACGGAGCAAUCGACUUAAGUCGGCAACGACUUAAGGCGGUGCAACAUGCUCACGCUUACCUAACUCGGGGUGACCACUAUGCCCUACAAACGGAGCAAUCGACUUAAGUCGGCAACGACUUAAGGCAGUGUAACAUGCUCACGCUUACUUAACUCGGGGUGACCACUAUGCCCUACAAACGGAGCAAUCGACUUAAGUCGGCAACGACUUAAGGCGGUGCAACAUGCUCACGCUUACUUAACUCGGGGUGACCACUAUGCCCUACAAACGGAGCAAUCGACUUAAGUCGGCAACGACUUAAGGCGGUGCAACAUGCUCACGCUUACUUAACUCGGGGUGACCACUAUGCCCUACAAACGGAGCAAUCGACUUAAGUCGGCAACGACUUAAGGCGGUGCAACAUGCUCACGUUUACUUAACCCAGGGUGACCACUAUGCCCUACUAACGGAGUUAUCAGCUAAAGUCAGCGAUGGCUUAAGCCGGUGCAGCAUACUCGCGCUUAUGCAAUUCAGGGGAUGACUUCCACAUCCCGCAAACAAACUUCAUAAUCAUCAUGCAGCGUUACCACAAACUUGUGAACUAAUAAAUUCUGAUACAAUAAGAGAGUAAUCAUGUCAUUCGAAUGAUAAGCUGAUAUCCUCUAACGAAUACUUGAUCAUGCUAACCGCGCGCUCAUAGCACGCAAAAUGUUUCUCUAUUUCCCAAUGUCUUUCUCAGGAACGACCGACGAAGAAGGGCGAUUCGAGGAAUCGGGGGCAGCAUGCACAUCGGCCUUUAUGUCUUCAGGAACAACCACGCCGGGUCUCCUCAUCAAGAUUCGUCCCGCCCGAAUAGCCUUGUCCAUGGCUUUAUCGCGCUGGGCUUUGAGAGUAGCAGCAGUUUCUUCGGCAACUUUAACAGCCUGCUGAGCAGCUUCUAACUCCUGAGCAAUGGAUUUCUUAGAAGCUCGGAGUCCCUUGAUGGUGGCAUCCUUUGCCGAUAUCAAUUGCUUAAGGCGGGUCACUUCGUCAGCAGACUCUUGCAGACUACAACGCUGAUUGUCCAGUUCCUCCAUUGUAAAGCGGUGACUCCUCUCCAAAAUGGUCAGUGAGUUGCUAGAAUCACGAUACAAUCUGUCCAGAUUGUCACGAGAAGCAGCAAGGAUACGUUUUUCUUCCUACAAACAAAAAUAAACUCCUUCAGAAUCCAAGCAAGUAAUAAGAGCAUAGCAAGGCGAGGCACGGUUUUGUAAGUUACCUUUUCAGAGUCAAGCCGAGCAUGAAGAGAAGAACUCAGAGCGUUGGCGUCAUCCAAAGUGGCGGACACCUGAUUUAGUUCAGUCUGGCUCUGAGAAUACUUCGCCUCGAAGUCAGCGCACCGUUGAGCCAUUUCAGGUUGAUCUCGGGAAUGUUUUUCCUCAAGAACUGCAAUCUGCCGAGUCAUUCCUAUCAAGAGAUAAUCAAACGAAAUGAGGUCAGAAGGUAAAACAAUACACGAACAAAGGCAAAGAAGAAGAAGAAAAAGGGCACUAACCAGCAUUAGUUGCCUCCAACUCGGAUACACGACGAUGAAGCGACACUGGAUUCCAAUGCUCAAGAGAUGAAGCGACUUCUGGGAUGAAAGCACCCUGCGAUCUCAGCUGGCUGGCCAUCCCAUCCACCAAAGCCUGAUAAGAAGAACAGAUGAACAUAAUGACAAAAGUUCGUGCAACGUAAAGAUCAAGCUAAAGUACAGCACAAUACUUGGAGGUUGGAAAAGAACGAAGGGAUCCCCAAAUCAGGAGAAAUCAGCUGAUAACCAGGUGCCAGACCACCACCCGAAGCAACUUGUAACAGACCAGUAGGAAUGAGCUCAGUGCCUUCAACAGAGCCAAACGCCAGACCAGCGGGGACGCUGCCCUCUAAAGCGACCCCCUGAUCCAGAUUUUGGGCCACCACCAUGCCGCCAGAGUGUGGAGGUGAACCCGCGUGAACGUCCAUGGAAGUGCAGGAAGGAGACCUUGCUCGGGCACCCUCGGGGGCUGGGUCACAGUUGGCACUGCCCACUUGAGCCGGAUCAUCCCCGGCAACACCCUCGGGGGCUGGGCAGUAGCUUAUACUCUUCAACCGAGCUAAGUCUUCCCCGACGACACCCUCGGGGGCUGGGCAUGUGUCGGCACUAUUCUUGGGGUCCAAGCUCUCUGCAGUAACCACCUCUAAGGUUGACGGGCCUUCAGCUACUUCCAUGGGACCAGAACAAUCCAAGUCGACAUCCCGACCCUCGAGACCGUGCUCUAAGGUCGACGAGGCACGAGAUGACCUCAACCCAGCAUCAGGCACGGCAGCACAAGUCUCUGUUGCAUCAUCAUCCACAGGCUCUGACAACAAGUCCUCUGGGACCAUAUCCUCUAGAGUUUGAUCAAAGUUGGCCAGGGACAGUUCUUGCAGACCAAUAAGGGCAGACAAUGCAGGAGAAGGAACUCCACUACUUCCACCGCUGGCGAUGAACUGCCGACUGUUUUUCCGAGUUAAUGGAGCUUCAUUUUCUUCCUCCUCAUCUUCCACAGUAACAACGCAAACAGCACCCCCAUCGGGGUCAGCAGCAGAUGGAGCACACCCAUUGGGUUCAACAGCAGUUUGGGCACACCCAUUGGGGUCAGUGUCAGUAAGGCCAGUUGCAGGCACUUCUUCAGCAGCAGGAGCUAAGGUACCGGUGUCCUCAUCAAAGCUGGAUACUCGCCGGAGGCGUCUUCUCUUCUUCUUUUGCUCAUCAGCAGAAGGCUCGGGCUGACUGGUUCGGCUAGGGCGCCUCGGGCGAGUACUGACAGGUUUCGGGACAUCCAAAGUUGUAUCAACCUCUGGAAGGGGCACCACUGCCAACGUACCAUCAGGAGCAGCAUCGGAUGAAUCCUCAGCUAACAGAUCAAGCAUGUCAUUUAUGUCGGCAUCACUAGGGUUCAGAGGCACUUCAAAAUAAACUUGUCGUUCAUCAUCAGGAAUCUCCCCGAGCGAAGCAACCAAAGUACUGACUUCUUCAGCAGAGGGUCGCACUCUAAGGCCCAAAUUGCUAUCAGUCACAGGCGGAUUUGACACAAAAAGGGUGGAAGCUUUGGGAGGAGGUAGGUUCCAGGCCGAGUAUGCCACUGGAGCACCAAUAUUUGAAACUUUACCCCUGAGGAUCAUUUCAAGUCGGCUUACCAAGUCUACAGAAGGAAUUCUCCUAUUGGUAACCCGAGUUGAGUCGGCCAGCCCUCGAUACAGAUAUGCCGGAUAGGCCCUAUCUUUCAGUGGCUGAAUGUUCUUAAAAACAAAGUCAGUGACCACCGCUUCAGCAGUUAGACCUCUCUCUUUCAGCAGUCCAACUUCAGCCAGCAACACACCUGCCUCAGCCACUUCCUGAUCCGUGGAAGACUCAGUCCAACUCGGAGUGCGAACGUCUGGCUGUCUUCCCGACCGGGAAGGGAGAGAAUUUCCAUAAUUAUCAACUAUAAACCACUCUAGACGCCACCCCUUAAUACUAUCCUUGAGGGGAAUCUCAAGAUACUCAGUUUUCCGCCCACGACGCAUCUCCAAACUGGCACCUCCGACCAACUGAUGUUGCCCCCCGGCCAUCCCAGGGCGACAAUGAUACAGAUACUUCCAUAAACCGAAAUGCGGCAGCACGCCGAGAAAGGCUUCGCAUAGGUGAACGAAAAUGGAGAUUUGCAGAAUGGAAUUAGGGUUCAAAUGGGUCAAGUUGAUGUGAUAAAAAUCAAGGAGGCCGCGGAAAAAAGGAGAGAUGGGAAGGCCGAGGCCGCGGAGAAGAAAAGGAGCGUAAACUACAGACUCGUGGGUAUCCUCUGUUGGGACAGUAGUCCCGUGGCAAAUCCGCCAAGAACAGAGUUCCCGCGGAGGAAGAACCCCGACGGAAACGAGGCGGAGAAGCUCAGCUUCGGAAAUAACGGACAUAUGGUUACCUGCGAAGGGUAACUGACUGUUGGGGUCGAUUGCAGGGAUCACCGCAGCAGACGAGUUCGCAGUUUUCCUCUUGGGCGCCAUCUUGCUUUUCACCGGCGAACAGAGUAGGAGGCGAGUGGUAGAGAAGAUUCAGAUGUGGGAAUGCAAGAACUAGGGCACGGAAAGCAAAGGCGGCUAAAAGCGUAACUCUUAUGGGAUAUUCUUGAGCCAGAUACCGCUUCAAAAAGUGCCCAGUCAUCACCCGGCGGUUAUUUCCGAAACUCCAGCAUGCCACGUGGACAUCUGGCAGUUAUUUCCGAAAAAGCCGACGUGCCACUUCAUCACUCGGUUAUUAUCCUCAAAAUAACUCGUGCGGCCGGCUAUUACUCGGCGUUGCCUCUAACACGCCGACCUCGUGUUCAAUCGCUCGGCAUUACUUCUAAAAUGCCGACGUCGACCUUCAAUCAUUCGGCGUUGCCUCUAAAGCGCUAACCUCAUAUUCAAUCGCUCGACAUUACUUCUAAAAUGCCGACGCCGACCUUCAAUCACUCGGCGUUGCCUCUAACACGCCGACCUCGUGUUCAAUCGCUCGGCAUUACUUCUAAAAUGCCGACGUCGACCUUCAAUCAUUCGGCGUUGCCUCUAAAACGCUAACCUCAUAUUCAAUCGCUCGGCAUUACUUCUAAAAUGCCGACGCCGACCUUCAAUCACUCGGCGUUGCCUCUAACACGCCGACCUCGUGUUCAAUCGCUCGACAUUACUUCUAAAAUGCCGACGUCGACCUUCAAUCAUUCGGCGUUGCCUCUAAAACGCUAACCUCAUAUUCAAUCGCUCGGCAUUACUUCUAAAAUGCCGACGUCGACCUUCAAUCAUUCGGCGUUGCCUCUAAAACGCUAACCUCAUAUUCAAUCGCUCGGCAUUACUUCUAAAAUGCCGACGCCGACCUUCAAUCACUCGGCGCUCGGCAUUACUUCUAAAAUGCCGACGUCGACCUUCAAUCAUUCGGCGUUGCCUCUAAAACGCUAACCUCAUAUUCAAUCGCUCGGCAUUACUUCUAAAAUGCCGACGCCGACCUUCAAUCACUCGGCGUUGCCUCUAAAACGCUGAACUCGUAUUCAAUCGCUCGGCAUUACUUCUAAAAUGCCGACGCCGACCUUCAAUCACUCGGCGUUGCCUCUAAAACGCCGAUCGCGUGUUCAAUCGCUCGGCGUUACUUCUAAAAUACCGAUGUCGACCUUCACUUACUCGGCGUUGCCUCUAAAACGCUGAUCUCGUGUUCGAUUGCUCGGUGUUACUUCUAAAAUGCUGAUGUCGACCUUCAAUCGCUCGGCGUUGCUUCUAAAACGCCGAUACCGACUACAAUAUUACUCGGCAGCUACUUCUGGAAGCGUCAGCGUGAUGCACAAGUUAUUCAUCUACUGUAUCAAAAGAAUCAGUUCAACAAUCAGGGAAAGCGAGUCAUCGAGAAGGGGCCAACGUCGGUUUUUCAUUAAGGGGAAGAUAAUAAGCUUACAAACCAACUCUUUGCGAGUUGGUGCUUCCCUACUACUACUUUACAUUACUACUACUACUAAACUACACUAUACUACUCUACAUUACUACUACAUUAUUCUAACUACACUAUACUAAUAUCUAAAGACCAGUGGCGUUUAGCCACUGGCCUUGCUGCUGCUGCCCUUGCCGCCGCCGCCCCUGGUGCUGCCCUUGCUGCUGCCGCCUCUGGUGCUGCCCGUGCUGCUGCCGCCUCUGGUGCUGGCCGUGCUGCUGCCGCUUCUGGUGCUGCCCUUGCCGCCGCUGCCCCCGCCGCCGUUGCUGCCGUCACCGUCGCCGUCGCCACCAUCGUCGUCGUCGCUGUUGUCGUCGUCGCCGUUGUCGUCGUCGUCAUCUUCGUCCUCGCCGCCGUCCGAGUCCUCCUCGUCCGAGGAGAACUCAGACUCAUCCGAGCCCUCGAGCCCGGAGCGCUCGACGGCCCGGAUGUACGUCCAGACCUCCGCGGCAAUCCCCUGGGAGUCGUCUGAAUCAUCAGACGACGCCGGGGGAGAGACGGGAGCCGGAGAUCCCUCGGACUCGGAGGAGAACUCCUCCUCCGAGUAUUCCGAGUCGCCGAAAUCCUCCGACGGAGGAGUCGGCUCACGCUUGCGUUUGUUACCCUUGCCCAUGGCGGAAGCAGACAGAAGGGAGGAGAAGGAUGCAGUAAAGAACAGUGAAGAAAUGUGAAAAAACCAGAGGAGCAAGGGCGUUAUUUAUAGAAGGGGAAAGCAACCGCUCACUUCCAACCGCGGUCACUGAACAGUCGCAAAGCAUUCAAUAAGCACUCCCACCCAUCUGAAGACACGUCAGACGGCUGACGCCGUUUCAUGCAACACUACACCCAUUGGGACUCCAGUCAACAGCGCAAAGGAUAUGAUUACACUAGCCGUCCCAUCACAUUACUACUCAGAAGCAGCCGGCUAAAACACUCAGCGUACCAAGCCGUCCCUUGCCCACACCCAUUGGGGGGGGGACGCCCAGAAAUUAUCAGUAUAUUUUUCAAAACGGUCACAUCCGUGCAGGGCACACAGUAAAUACCUCAAGACAAAAAUGAGAUAUCAGUAAGGAUCAAAGGAAAGCCAAAUAUAGCCAGCAAAGUACAAGAUGUGGCCGACAGAAGCGACGUGAGGACUAGACAGAGAACGUCCAUCAAACGUCCAAUCAAGUCGCAGAAGCAAAUAAAUUGCAUUACCUAGCAAGAUAUGGAUGGAUUGCAAACUCGGCUGCUAAAGACAAAAUAUAUGCUGACCUCUGCAGCAAAAUAUUGAUGACAUAAUGCUGACCUCCAAAGCAUAAUGCAAAUAGCUUCAUGCCAAUUUUUACAAGCAAAAGGAAGACCUUCGAAUGGAUUAUCCUUAAAAAAUCCAUUUGAAGGUCGGGGGCUACACCCAUUGGGUGCACCUCCGGUGCACCCCAUGGAUUAUCAUUCCAAACCGAGAUAGUGCCGACUUCUAAGGCGUGGGACAAGAUUAAAAAGACCAAUCUUCAACCGAGACGCAGGAGCGCAAAUGGAGAUAAUUUCUGGUGAAGACCUUCGAGUAGAUUAUCUUCUAAAAAUCUACUCAAAGGUCGGGGGCUACACCCAUUGGGUGAUGAAGUUCAGAAUCCUACAAAUCAAAAUGCCGACCUCUAAGGCACAAGCACAAAACUAAACUUCGGUCGAACGAGUGAUCGGAGCAAAAGAGGACAGCAGGAAGUCAUUUUUUGGACCUUGGAUCUUUGGGUUGAUUACCUCUAAAAUCAACCCAAAGAUCGGGGGCUUGUGGGGGAUGGAUAUCCCCUGGGUCCACUAAAGAAGUAAAAGACCUCACGAAAGGCCCAAGGGCCCAAUAAAUCGUAAGGUCAUUCCUUCGUGGGCCUGAGGAGAAACAACCAACAAAGCAGAGAAGACGUAAGACCGGAUUGAUGCAAACCCGGACGGCCCACAACGUCGAGCGAGUAAAUCGCAACAGAGACCCGACUUUCCCGCGCUAAAGCCCCCAUGCAACAGAGCCAUGCGAGGAUAAGUCGGCAAGGGUUACGUAGGGAUAAAUUCAAGAGGUUCACUACCUUUUAGCUACUUGUUGUUAUCAUAUCCACGUGUACUGCCCCAUGGUCGAGUAUAUAAGGCCUAGGGGGCACCCCUUCAGAUCGAUCGACCCUAUUUUUACUUAGCCACCCUCAUUAACUCUCUGUGCCUUCAAUCCAGAGAGCCCUCUUGUAACCACACUCGUAUACUCACCAGGACGUAGGGUGUUACGCAUCUCUAAGCGGCCCGAACCUGCAAAUCUUGUCCACUGUCCCUCGUGCGAUCGGCACGAACCAUUUUGCUACAGUCGUUGACACCGUCCUACUCCUAAAAACACCUUGAGGGGCAACCCCGGGUGUGCGGUCGGACCCAAAACACCGACAGCUUCCACUCCACUCUAACGGUAUCAUUUAUCCUUCGUUGCUACUUCGCUCACUCCAAAUUGGUAUAAUCUUUCACUCUUAUUUACUUGUACCUAUGGGAGAGAAAAUAUAAGGGCUCUCAACGUCUCCGUUUUUUGCGAUUAAUGCCAAAGGGGAGAAAGUAUUAAGCCCAAAGCAAAAGGACCGCACCACCAAUUUCAAAAUUUUCAAAAUAAAGCUUUAAUUGAUAUUUUUCAUUGGUAUCUAAGAGGAGAAAUUCAUUCCGGGGGAGUUUUAUUUAGUCAAAGGAAAAGAAUUUGAUACAGGGGGAGAAAUUUCAAAUCAUGAAAAUGCUUCUUGCAAUCUUAUUCAUAUACCUUUGACUAUUUGCAAAAGACUUUGAAAAGAUUUUCCAAAAAAUUGCAAAAACAAAACAAGUGAUGUAAAUGUGGUCCAAACUAUUAAAGGAAAGAAAAGCAAUCCAUAUCUAGUGAGAUAAUCAAUUAGUUUAAUUCCAAGUAACCUAUGCACUUACCUUAUGCAAACUAGUUCAUUUCUGCACUUUAUAUAUUUGCUUUGGUUUGUGUUGGCAUCAAUCACCAAAAAGGGGGAGAUUGAAAGAGAAAUAGGGUUAACUGUUUCCCACAAUUAAUUUUGGUGGUUGAAUGUCCAACACAAAUAAAUGGACUAACUAGUUUGCUCUAGAAUACAUGUUCUACAGGUGCACAAAGGUUCAACACAAACCAAUAAAUGUUCAAGUUAGGGAUCCAAUUCAAAGGAGCAAAAGAAACCAAGUGUGUUGUGGCCUGGCGCACCGGACUGUCCGGUGUGCCACCGGACAGUGUCCGGUGCACUAGGACCGUACUGAGUCCAACCAACCACUCUCGGGUUUUUCGCAGGCGCACUCCGCUAUAAUUCACCGGAAUAUCCGUUGUGCCACUGGAGUAAUGGCUAACUCGCGUAACGGUCGACUGCAAAAGGGGCUGACAGAGGAACAGUGCGCGCAGAGUCAGAGCCGCAGAGUCAGAGGUGCACCGGACAGUGAACAUGACUUGUCCGGUGCCGCAAGAGGACAAGACCUCCAACGGUUGACCAGGCUCCAGACCCUAACGUUUUGGUGACGUGGCGGCGCACCAGAGUGUCUGGUGCGUCCAUCGCCAGCAGCCGUCCCCAACGGCUUCUUGGUGGUUGAGGGCAAUAAAUACCCCCAACCACCACAACCCCAAGCAUCCAAGUCUUUUGAAGUUUUCAUUCAAUACAAGAGCUAGUGCAUUCAGUCAUAGACACAAAUCAAAAGAUCAAAGCCUCUCUAAGUCUCAAAUUCAUUCCAACCACCUAGUGACUUGAGAGAGUGUGUGUUCGUGUUCAUUUGCGCUCUUGUUGCUUGGAUCGCUUUCUUCCUUCCUCAUUCUUGUUCCCAAGUGACUUGUAAUCAAAGCAAGAGACACCUAAGUAUGUGGUGGUCCUUGCAGGGUCUAAGUGACCCGUGUGAUUAAGGAGAAAGCUCACUCGGUCUAAGUGACCGUUUGAGAGAGGGAAAGGGUUGAAAGAGACCCAGUCUUUGUGACCACCUUAAUGGGGAGUAGGUUUUUUAGAACCGAACCUCGGUAAAACAAAUCACCGUGUUCAUUCGCUUGAUUUCCAUUUGAUUUGUUUUCCCUCUCUCUCUCGGACUUGAUUUAAGUUCUAACGUUAACCCCGACUUGUAGUGUGUAUUUAAAGUUGUAAAUUUCAGAUUACGCCUAUUCACCCCCCUCUAGGCAACUUUCAACUCCAGUCGGUACAAACAAUGCCAUAGAGGCUGUUUGGACCCCGAUGGGAGCUAGAGCCUAAGCCCACCACCGCAGGGGCCUUGGGUAUUAAGCCAUCGUAUCCUUCAAGCACCAGUGCCGCAAGGUACAGGGCACCCAUCAAUAUCGUGAAAUAUUCGAGAGAAUCGAACCCCAGUCUAUGGCUGGGGAUUAUCGGCUGGCAUGCCAUGCAAGAGGAACGAAUCAUGAUGACUUCAUAAUCCGCAAUCUCCCCCUGUACCUAGCAGACUCAGCGUGGGCAUGGUUGGAAAACUUGAGGCCCGGCUGCAUUCAAAACUAGACCGACAUCGAAGAGAUUUUUAUGGGGAACUUUCAAGCACAUACGUUCGCCCCUGCAAGGAAAACGACGCGCGAAGGAGGGGAAGGAGGAGAAGGUCUUGGUGGCUACGACUUUGACAUGGAUGGCACGCUCGUGGUGGCAGAGCAUGGCGAGUGGGCGUUGGUUGCCGAGUUCGGUUGAGCUCCUAAGCCGGAUGGAUGACGCGAACGAUGCAAAGCGGUUUUAAAGACACACAGAAGGCUUCAACAUGGGGGAGGAGUGGAGGACGCACUAAAGUGCUGCAUUAAAGGAGUAGAUAUAUGACACGAUGUGAAACAUAGGAAGUUAUUUAUUAUAUUUACUUUAUCUUAAAAUAAUUAUCGUUCUUAAUUUUUAAAGAGUCAAUUAUUCUAAUUUGAGCCAAAUAUAUAAAAACUAGUACAAUGACUAUGCAUUACGACGACACACAAUCAUAUUUCAUACCCAUCAAAAACAAAUGUAAUAUCAAAUAUUAAAUAGAGAAGAACAAAUAUCACACUUUGUCUUAGCCAAAAGAUAGAGAGAUACGAGUCCGAAAAUAGUCCAACCCCUUUUUUAUAGCUAGCUUGGUGGUUUGUCCUCUUUCAGCUAGCGAUGUGGUACUAUGUGUAAGUGUUAUGUUACGCGUGGCUUUCUAUUAUGUUGGACGGUUUACUACCGUGUUGUUCUUGGAUGGUUUCCCACGACCCAUGUGGGUAAUAGUACACUAAUAGAGGCUUAGUUGUUUUCAUGUCCUAUGUGGGAGAGAGGAGAAUAGACUUAUGUGCUUAUAACGACCGUGAGAAACUAUCUUCAACAAAUUAUUCAUACUCAUAUUUUUAUUCAAACUAUACUUUAAAAACAUCGGUGUAAAAUGGUGUUUUUAGUGACCAUAUGAGUAAUGUACAAUAGUUUGAAUAUGUGUAUGAUUAUGCUUAAAAAUGUUUUAUUGUAUCGUAUAGAUAUUAAUUGUUAUAACAUAUAAUUAGAUAAAUCUUUAAAUCUUUUUAUAAUAUAUUUAAAGAUAUAUAUUAUUGGCAUUAUUAAAAUAUUAAAAUCUGAAAAAAAAAGUUUAACCGUAGCGAGACGCACAUGCACCCAAGACAAGCACCGAAGAUGGCUUGACGCCCGAAUCCAGACCCUCGUCUGUUAUGGCGGCGGCGGAGGCGGCGCCACCGCCGAUACUCGAGCUGGACCCGUCGCACGAUCGAGCCGUCAGCGUUGUCGAGGACAUCGUGCGUCUAGAGCGGAGGAUCUUUCCGAAGCACGAAUCGCUGGCGCGGUCACUGCACGACGAGCUAAAGCGGCGGAACUCCGGGCUGAUCUACAAGACGUCCAGCGCCGACGGGGGGGAGGUCAUCGGGUAUGCCAUGUACACCUGCAACACAUCCCUCUGCGCCACCAUCACCAAGCUCGCCGGUGAGACACACGUCGCGAUCCCCCUCUCUCCCUGGGUCAUGUUAAGGUUAUGCGGCGGAAUGACCGGAUCCGUGCCCCCGAAACUGCAAACUUUUGGUUUCAGUGAAGGAGAACUGGAGGCGGCAGGGCCACGGCGAGGCGCUGCUGUCGGGCGCAGUGGAGCGGUGCCGGCGGCGGAAGGUCCAGCGGCUCUCCCUCCACGUCGACCCCACGAGGACGGCCGCCGUGGCGCUGUACUGCAAGGCCGGGUUCCAGGUCGACACCACCGUCGAGGGCUACUACGCGCCUCACAGGGACGCCUACCGGAUGUUCUUGGAUCUGUAGAACCGUCGAGGACGAGAAAACCAGCCCAUGUGUUCAGGGUAGCUGGCCGUUCUGCAGCUGCUGCCGGCUUGUAGCUGGUCUGGUCUGGUGAUACAAUACCUCGUGAGUGAGGAUACAGCCAACAACCGAGCAGGGUGGAUGAUUCGAAGCUGUAAGAACGAUCUGCUAGAAAGAUUUCGUACGACCAAAGUAAUUUCCCGCUGGAUUCUGAAAAUAGUGUUGCCGUAUUAUAUGAGCAUAAGGUUUCAGUAACUGCAACUGUAGUUAGGAUAUCGCUUUGGCUGUAUGAUAGUAAUUCAGUUCAUAGAUGCUGCCACAUCAGUUCCUCCAUUGUCAAGGUAACUCGGCAAGAAUUUGGUGGACAAUUUUGACCUUAUGGUAACUAAGAGAUGUUUACUAAUAGUAGCUGGCUAACGCCACUGACACACAUAGAAAAUCGAAAGCCCAAUCUGAUUCAGCAUCGAUUCAAGUGCCCCUUAGGCAAUGUUGAUUCACAGUAGGAGGGAGCAAACCAAUUCCGCUAGUGUGCCUGGCCCAUCGGAAGACCGAUGCGCUGGAGUCUUGGAGAACACCCAGCGGGCAGUGCCUGUGCAAGGCCGCCGGCGGCGACGACGACGACGACCCGUUAGCUCACAGGAAGAUUGCUCGGGACGGACGGGAGAGAGGCUUUGCGUCAAGGAAGAAGUCGUUGGUGGUACUCAUUACCUAGUGGCCAUGUUCAAACUCUUAUCCGCCUCUUUUUUUUUUGAAAGGGCUCUUAUCCACCUCAUUUUGAUAGAUAGGGCUCUUUUACAGGGUAGAAUAGAAUAAGGGCUAAUUUGGUGAUUAGGGAUCCCUAGGGGAUCCAUGGAGGGGGAAUCCUCUCACAAUUCAAUUUUGAAUAGCAAGAGGAUAUUUUCCCUUCGGGAUCCCCGGUCAUCAAAUCAGGCCUAAGGGAGUGGAUUAUCCAUGGGUGAAUCUUCAGCUCAAUUCACCUAGGUAGCGUUUGGUUCGCAAAAUGUAACAUAAAUGGUAAUAAUAACGAUUCACAUUUGAAUACCGGCGGUAACUAAUUUAAAUAAGGCGGUAUCUAUUUGUAGUGUUAUAUCGAUUACGGUUAAAAUUAAACAAACAUAAUUUAACGUUAUCGGUUACUCAUUCCGUUACCAAUAUGUGAACCAAACGGCACCCUAGAUCUAGUAGAUAACACAAAGUUCGUGAAAAAACACGUCGGCAGUGGUUACAAUACUCUCGAGUCCUGACUCCCCGUGUGAGCAAAUAUUUCAUUUCUAACAUGGGACUCGUUAUUGAGAACAACACAUCGACUUCCAUACCGAAUCAUCUCUACAACACACUUAGGUCAUGUUUGGAAUUGUAGUAUUUUUGCAGUUUUGAAACAAUACUAUAAUAUUUGAUGAUACUAUAGUAUUGGAGCUCAAAAGGUGUUUGAUUUGUAUAGUCAAAACUCGGUUUUAAAAACCAUAGUUUAUCCAAAACUGUGGUAUUUUUGGAGUUUUCGAAACUCCACUCAGUACCUUAAUUUUCUUCUCUUCUCUUUAUAUAUACUUUGUUUUUUCCAAUAGAACCAAACAGAUCUCGGUUUUGAGCAAUACUGCAGUUUUAUUGUGGUAAAACAAUACUGUAGUAUUUAUGUCAUGUACAAUUGUAAACUAUGGUAUCUCAAAACUACAGUAUUUUAAAACAGCAUUUCUAAACAGGCCCUUACACAUUUAAGACUUAUUUGGAUACUAUACUCCCGUAUUCAUCUUAAUAUAUGUGUAUUAAGGUGGGUUAAAGCAACUCCAAGAGUUCCCCUUUAUUGCUCCUAAAACUUUAUUUAGAAAGAAAAAUGUAAAAAUAUGGAUUCCAACAACUUCCCUAAUUCUUGCGAAAAAUAGAGGUACCAAAAAAACUCCAUCCCCCUCCCGCAUAUUUUUGCGUCUCCCAUCCUCCCCAUACGUCAGUGAAAAGCGUCCAUGAAAAGCGCGAUUCACCCUACCCCGCAUGCAAGUCCAUCAGCAAGGGCAAGCUCAAGCGUGGACAUUGAGGAUUCAUCGGUCGUUGUUGGAGCACUCGAGUGUGUGUGAGGCUUUUGAGGACUACGAGUCUACGACGUUGUGCACCUCGCCAGUCGUCACAGACGUCACGUUGGGACGCAGAGCGUCUGGAGUCAAACGAGAAGGAGAAAGAAAGAGAUCAGCAACUAAUGGACAUGACAGUGAUUGAAUGGAUGAUAUCCGUAGAUGAGAUUGAUGACAGGUAGAGUUCACAUGUGUUGAUGUGGCUAGUUUAAAAAGUAUUGGGGAAUGUACUGUUGGAGAUCUGUUGUGGGGCAACAUGAUUUUGGGAAAAUAAAAUUUUAGCAGAAUCCCAAUAAAUUAUUUUGGGAAAAGAUUUUUUUGAACACUCUUGGAGUUGUUCUUAGAGCUGUAAAUUAGGUUAAGUUACACCCCUCAAUCUAGCUCAAUACACAUGCACUGAGGUCAAUGCGAGGGUAUCCAAACAAACAAGGUCUUAGUUGAUUUCGCUAUGAUAUAUGAACAGGGGUUUUUAAAUCCUACGUCCUAUCUUGUUGUAAUACGAGUCCACUUUUACAUCUACCCACUCUAAUAUGCACGAAUUAGUCAUAUGUUAUAAUGGAGCAUCCCAAGGCCUGUCUGGCAUUUGGAGCGGAGGCCGCGCGGGGAUGAGGCCGCCGGUCGUGAGUUGUUGCCCGGUCGCGGGCGAUGCCGACCGAUUUCUGCCUUGGCCGCCGUGGCUGCGUUCGUCGUGUUGCUUCGGAUCGGCGAGCACAGGUACGGCCACAUAUGGGUGUGCAACAGCCAUCACACAUGUUUUUUUUUCUUUCAAUCUGACCAUCCUCUGCUUUCUUUCUUUCGUUGUGGAGGAUGACCAAUGAAGCCGGUUGACGACUUCUUCUGUCAAUCUUGAUGGCCAUCGCUUCUCAGUUCUCUUGCGAGUUGCGAUCAGCCACCCAUACUUCUCUUUGCAGAGCGCUGGUCAUGGCUGGACGUGCUUCCGUCGCCGGCGAAGCCGGUCUUUGCAGAGCGCGUGACCAUGGUUGAACUCAGCUGACUAAACGCAGGGAAUACAAAAAAAAAAACACAGUCAUUCCGUUGCCGGGACUCGAACCCGGGUCUUUCGGGUGAGAGCCGAAUAUCCUGACCAGCUAGACUACAACGGAUUGUAUUAGAACUCAUUAAUUUUUAUUUUAAGAUUGUAUCCAAGUUGUCUAUUCGUGGAAUCGUGUGAUGGUGUAAGUAUGCCUAAGGGAGGGUAAGAUGGACUUACUUGAGUGACCAGCUGCUAUAUUUUUUUUAUCGAAUAUGCAAGUUAUUAAUAAGAGAAAAGAGCUGAGGCUCAAAAACAUACAAGAGAAAGACGUACUCACGCAGAAACAAAAAACUUGUAGUGAUAGUUUUCUUCCGUUAGGUUAAUCAUUAUCCAAUGUGCAUGCAUGGAUAAGAUUGGAGAGGGUGAGAUACAAUAUCUAAACAGAUUGAUGAUAUGGACAGCUAGCGUGGAUAACGAGACAAGUACGAGUAUGUCCAUACCCUCAGUGGCAGAUAGUCCAAAAUUUAUCAAGACUCCAUCUCAUCUGAAACGACUCGGGCAGUUUGCCUAUCGGAUCCUUGUUUAUUUAUCUUAAAUUGCUUAGAUGCUUAAGGCCAUGUUCGGUUGUCCAGAAUUCUAUCUAGAAAUAGUUUCAUUUGAUCAAAGCUUAUGUAAAUUAUACAAACAAUCCGGCUACGACUCGUUUCAGGUCAUCGUUCCGAGUAAACCGAACAGUCCCUUAGGCCUUGUUCGUUUGUGUUAGAUUUCACUCGGAAUCGUUCCAAUUAAUCAAAGUUUAUAUAAAUUAGAGAAAUAAUCCGAUUAGGAAUCAUUCCGACCCAUCAAUCCGGCACAAACGAACAAGGCCUUAUGUGUUAAUAAUCCAGUUCUAAUUUUGACUCGCACAAUUUCUCCGGCAAGAGUUAAGUAGUUCAGCUUGCUGGACAUUUUUGGAGAAUUCUGAUACUUUUAUACCUUAUUACUAGUAGAUCCAGACUUAUUAAGUAUAGAGUACUAGGCUGGAUUUAUUAAUUAAACUAGCUACCAAUUACCAUCCUAACAUUGCAGCAGAAACCUUCCAAUGCCCCCCAGAACUUUGCGUUGCUUCGCUAAUGGAAACAUGAGAAAGACACAAACGGCCCUGCCUCCAUUUGGGGCAAGCACAGUCCCCUAUUAACUGAGCCAAGUCAGAUAUGUACAGAGUGGCUGCAUAUGAUUAAGGAUGCAUGCAGGCACUAAACAAGUUUCUAAAGCACCACCGGAAGGCUUGCGGUUCCAAAUCAGUUCAGGCACUUCCAAAAGCUUGAGCAAAGCAUGAAAAUGGAGGACAUGGGGGCAUAAGAUUAACUGGAGCUGGGCACUGGCUGAAGGUCGUCAGGAAGGUCGCGUCGGAAGUCAUUUGAUGUGGGAAUCAUACACACUGAAGAUGACGUCUGGGACAAUCAGAGGCAGCUUGCUUAUGUACAUGAACAGCCGUCUGAGGUUCUCGCUCGACACCGUCUCCAUGUCAACCACAUCUUGGUCCUCAACAUAGAUCCACAGGUCACCAGGACAGGUCUUCUUCAGGUUGUCACGGCAGAAUGGGCAGGACUGCGAUCUUGAACUCCUGUAGGAAAACCAAUGUUAUCGUCAAAGUAUGGUAUCUGGAACAUAGACAGCAUUCAAUCUUAAUGCUGAUAUAAUACAAUGAACCCUGAAACAAGACAUUCAGAAAUUCAGUCGAAGUUAAGCUGAAUGAAAAGGUUACACUGGCAAAAAGAACACAGACAAACCACAAAUAUUAUUGGAACACCUAGUACACAAGAUCAAUAAAUCGCAGACACCCACCAUCAGGGCUUGCUAACAUACAAAGCUACUAUUAAUUAUGAUCGGCAGGGCCACAAGUUUAAUGAGCUAAAUUGUUAGCUGCAGUGAACAAAGGAGUAAUGUGCCUUCAUAGCCUAGAACCAAUUGGCCGUAAACAUAGUGCACGGUCUAUACAAGAAGAUGGAUGAUUAUGUGCGUGGAUUGGACAAAAAUGAAAAAUCAAUACUUGACUCGGCACACCAGUCAGAUUCCUCUUUGCACUGAAGGAAUGGCAGAACAUAGUUCAAAAAAUCCAGGUGGUGAAUCGCCACAUUUACCCUACUUACUGUAGUUGGCAAAAUCAGAUGAAUAUCACAAUGCCACUUUCCAACGACCACUUCAUUUUCAGAAUGAUACAGACAGUGGGAAAGCAUGUAAAUGAAUACAGAUCUGCUUCACAGAGCACUAUUUUUUUUAAAGAACCGGCAUGAGAUCUGCCUGUUGUAUUAAGGGGGUGUUUGGUUUCUAGGGACUAAUUUUUAGUCCCUCCAUUUAUCCCAUUUUAGUACCUAAAUUUCCAAAUAGAGAAACUAAAACUCUAUUUUAGUUUCCAUAUUUAGCAAUUUAUGAACUAAAAUGGAAUAAAAUGGGGAGACUAAAAAAUAGUUCCCUAGAAACCAAACAUCCUCUAAAGAGAGGAAAGACCCCAAGGGUCAAAGUACAAUGUACACAUGAAAACAACAACACAACCGCACGGCAAAAAAAACAAUGUACACCUGAAAACAGCAACACAACCGCCCACGGCAAUCAAUGAGAACAAUGUUUCACAGAGCACUAUGUCCUGUUGAUCUAAUAUCACUUCAUUUUCAAAAUGACAGACAAUGGGAAAGCAUGUAAAUGAAUACAGAUCUGUUGCACAGAGCACUAUAUUCAAUAUUCUGUUGAGCUAGUAUCACUUCAUUUUCAGAACGAUACGUUUCACAGAGCACUAUGUUCUGUUGAGCUACUGGCCAUUCAUACCAAAAGGAUUCCUUAGAAGAAGUUAACCCUGUGUGUGGAGGGGUUCCACUUCCAUUGUGUUUAUACAAGCAUAUAAGUUGCUGGAAAGAACAAGGAAGAUGAGUUUAAGCUUAUCUAUAGACACUGUUCACAGCAGCUCAUGUUUAGCAGGAUAUAUACCUUGCUAUGAUACAGAUAUGUGGAGGAAUGAUAUAGAUGAGUCAUCUAGCUAAAAAGCUUGUUAAUCGAUAAUGAUAACAUAAGUCUACGCAAGAAGUUUGCACUUGCACAGCAGUAAAUGAAGGGUGAUUGAGAUUUGAGAAUGUAACACUCAAUGCAGUCCCAGAAAACACAUGGGCAGAAACUGAAUCAUGCACAUACCAGUCCUGGUAACAUCUGAUACACAUAGCAUGGGUGCAGUUGGGCAACACAACUUUGCUGUUCAUCUCCAUGCAAAUCCCACACUCCUCUUCCCUCUCAACAUCAAUAUCAGAUAAGGUGUCCCGUCCAUCCUCAUCUUUCUUUCUGUACUUCUCCAUGCAUAUGGCCUUCUGCUUCUUGUCCUCGACAUCAGUGAUCCCCCUUUGCAGUUGCAGCAAAGAAGGAAAUAUCACAGCUGCUCAUGCCAAAUAUAUAGUAAUUCUGAUCAGCAGUGCAGCACCAAAAAAAACAUAGUUAGGCAAAGAUGUAAUAACAUCAUGCCCUCCUACCAUAGAAUUCUUUGAUGCUGGCUUUCCUCUCAUGAGUCGACAUGGUUGUUGUGCCAUCCACAUAAACCUGAACAAUGACUCAGUGAGCUACAGAUUCAGCAGGGCACAUCCACAAUGUGAGCACGGCACAACCAAACGCGCAACAGACCUUGUAUAUGAGGAUUCUCAGCAGACCAAGAGCCCCUGCGAGGCUGCAGUCCGUCCACUGCACCAGGAAGAGGAAUAUAUGAGCUGCGGGACUGUACGACAGCCGCAUCUGCAGGCACGCACCAUCAUAGUCCCGGGGAAACUCGGAGGCCCUGCUCAUCCAAAUAAACAACUAGCAUCACUUGGCAGAUCACAUGCUGAUGAAGCAACCCUCACCUAAAGACCACACUAGUGGACUCAUCUCGUACCCUUUUCUUCUUAAGCAGAAAAUUAUAUAUAAUUUAGAACGCUAAAACACAUGGGAAUCAGGGUUUGUUUAAACAUCCUAAACACAUGGGAUUCCCACAUGAUCUACUGCCGCUUCGCCACUCGUGCGUGAACGGAUAGGGCAACCACCACAACGGAUCCCGAUGGAGGGGGGCGAACCGGCGUUCGGUCGGUCAAUCUAUCACCCUCCCUGGCCGCCGCAUUGCGCAACCCCGGCAGCAGGCCGAGGAGUCGGCGACGGCGCGACGCAGCCCCGCCGAAACCCCCAAGCACCCGCUCGAUCACGGAGGCAGACGGAGAAACGAGAAGGACAUGGGCCCGUGCUAGUGAACUGGAGCAGAAUCGACAGGGGAUGUGAGGCGGCGCUGGAAUCAGGAAGGGGAGAGAGGAGGGAAGCGGGCGAGAGCUGGGCUUACAGGGUGUUGGCGUGCUGGAUGUCAGCUUCGAGCACCUUGAUGGAGUCCCUGUACGCCUUCCGCAUCCUCCUCCACCGCUGCCCUUCUCAUCCAAGUGCCGCGCGCUAACGGCGACCCCCUCCCUCCUCGCCGCGACGAAGUGAUCUCCCGAACCUGGCCGACCGCCGAGCGCCGGAGCCGGGGGCUUGCGAUUGCGAUGGGAAGGAAGGUGAAGAAAGGGGUCUGGCCUCUGGGUCUCGGGCACCGCGCGGUAGGGGCGGGGGCGGGGUGGGGUGGGUGGCGUGGGGGCAGCGGCGGUGGGCUUUGAGGGGAGGCCGGGAGGAGACGAUGAGGGCGCGGGGCAGGGCCGGGCGUGAGUGGGCGCGGGCGUGCCGGGCGCGCAGGCAGACAGGGGUGAGCACAGCGCGCCGCGUGUGCCCGCGGCGAGCGUGGCCGCGUUCGGGAUGCGUGAGAAUCCCGUGGGUCUGGGCACCUGUCCCCGCCCCUGGCCGUCUGCCGGCCCAGCUCUCGUUUUACCGGUGUCCUGCCGUGGUAAAAGUAUUCUUUUUUUUCCGUGGAAAGCAGCCGUGCAACGGACACGGACGUCGGAAGUCACCAAAAGCGGCAAGGCUGUCCCCAACAACCGUUCUGAAAUAACUAGACACAUAGAAUAUUUUAAUUUUAGAAUAAUUUUUAGCUACAAAUUUAAAAUCUGAAUAAUUUAUAAGCUGUGCAAGUCGCCGAUGCUUACUAACAGUAGAUAGCUUAAUAACAGUUGGAUACAUAUAUAAAAAUUAUUUAUAUGCAAUAAUCCCAUAAACAUGAUGCAUUGCAUUUUAUUUAAUGCUAAUUCAUACCUUGCAUUUAAAAAAGUGUUGCCAAAGAUCUAUGUGAACUAAAGUUAGGAACAUGUUUCAGCCUUUCAGGCAUAUCAUGUCAUGUCUAUGAUAGAAUUUAUCAUUCUACCCGUGUACAUUUAACAUGAUGGAAAGCAUUGUAUUAUAAUAAAAAGACACAUAAGUUCUUUAUAAAGGAAGUUUUAAAAGCUACUCCCUCCGUUCGUUUUUAUAUGUUGUUUAAAUUAAGGAAACAUAGAUUUAACAAUAUUACCUUAUAUCUUCUCUGUUUGACCAUGAAAGUGUCUAACAGUAAACAAAGCAAUGUGCCGAAAGUGGAGAGGUAAAUAUGAAAAACCACCGAAAGUUUGUAAAAGGACGUCAUUUAAAAAAGCACUUUUAAGGGAUGUUUGGUUUGAGCGAUUAAAGAUUAGUUCCUCCAUUUUAGUCUCAUUUAGUCUCUAAAUUGCUAAACGGUGGGACUAAAAUAGGGACUAAAUUGUUUUAGUCUCUAGUCCCUCAAGGGGUGACUAAAAGGGACUGAAUCAUAUAAAUUCCACUUUUUACCCCUCCUUUAUUUCAGUUGCACUAAGAGUGGAAGAAUACUUAGCGGUAUUUUAGUCAUCUUAUGAUCCAUUUAAUACAUUUUGAAUAUUUUUAGUCCCUAUAACUAAAUAGGAUAGGGACUAAACUUUAGUCUCUUAACUAAAUUUUAGUCCCUAGACUAAAGGACCAAACGGGGCCUUACUUUGUGACGUGGCGUCAUAUAAAAACGAACAAAGAGAGUACUAACUAUGCAUAUUUCCUAGUUUUCAUGAGCCUUGCACAUGUUUAUGGCGUGUUUGUUAUGGCUCUAGAGCAAAACUCCAAGAAGGAGUUGGCCAGGACAUGUCAAACACCCUAACUCUAGAGUUGUAAACUCUAUGGAGUUUUUGGAGCUGCAGUACAUUUUUUUGGAGUACCUCUUUUGCUGCUCGGAAAACUCUAAAAAAGCAAACUAGUCAUGGAGUUUAGAGUUAUUUACCCGCCACUGGUUAUGAGAAACAAUCUAAACUCUGGGACAGAUCCGCUCCACCCAGAGUUUUAGAGUAGAGCUGCUCUGAGGUGUAGCAGAGCCAUGCCAAACACGCCCUUAGUCUCUAGCAUUGCUCUAAUCUUCAUUGUGCCUUGACCUCUAUUUUUUAAUCCUAUAAUGUAAGUGGGGGAGUGUAAAAAAUUAGUGAAGAUGGAAGUUGUCAAUUCAAUCAAUAGCAGAAUAAUAUUGUUAUGUUAUGUGCAACCACUUUUUGGAGGUAAUUCCAAUGGUGAUGUCUCUGCAUAAUCUUUCUAAGUGGGACUUUCAUCUACAUGUUAAGAAAUAGAUACAAUAAUAACUAUUAAAUAGAAUAAAUUUAGAAAGACUUAUUAGUAUUUUCUUUACCUAAAUAAUAGGGUAGUGAUCAUAUUUGGACAUAAGUGUUGUACCUUUUGUAAUAAUUGAAAGGGAAAUGUGCCCUUGGGCCAUUUCUAAGUAUUUUGGUGAUUUAGUGCCCAACACAGGUGCCUAAUUGUAAAAUGGUGGACAAAGUACAAAUCAAGGAUAAAGGUAUGUUUCUCAGACUUAGUACAUUGUAUUAUGGACUAAUGUAUUGUGUCUAAGUGCUGGAAACAGAAAAAAUCGAGUUGGAGAAGAGAUGACUCGAGCAGCCAAAGUCUGCCCAGUCUGGGUGCACCGGACUGUCCGGUGGUGCACCGGACAGUGUCCGGUGCGCCAGGCUGGCUUGCGCAAAGUGGCUGCUCUCGGGACUUCGACGGCGGUGUACGUCUAAAAUUCACCGGACUGUCCGGUGUGCACCGGACUGUCCGGUGGGCCGCUCACAGGCGAACUCGUCGCUCUCGGGAAACCAUCAACGGUGUACGGCUAAAAUUCACCGGACUGUCCGGUGUGCACCGGACUCUCCGGUGAGCCAACGGUCGGCCGGGCCAACGGUCGGCCGCGCAAUCUGCGCGGGACACGUGGCCGAGCCAACGGCUAGAAGGGGGCACCGGACAUGUCCGGUGCGCCAACGGUUCCCAGGCUACCAAUGGUCGACUGCGAUGUUUAUGGAAAGAAAUCGGGCACCGGACAUGUCCGGUGUGCACCGGACUGUCCGGUGCGCCAGUCGACAGAAGGCAAGAUCAGCCUUCCAAGAUUGCUCUCAACGGCUCCUAGCUGCCUUAGGGCUAUAAAAGGGACCUCUAGGCGCAUGGAGGAACACACCAAGCAUCUCCUAAGCAUUCCUAAGCACCAAGACAUCGACUCCGCGCCCUUGAUUCUUUGCGAUAGCAAUUAGAGCUCUAGUUGAGUGGUGAACUCAUUAAGUUGUGUUGUGAGCUCUCGUUGCGACUUGUGUGCGUGGUGUUGCUGUGAUUUCUUGUCUUGAGUGCGUUGCUAAUUGAGAGCACCUAGAGGGGGGGGUGAAUAGGUGAUCCUGUAAAAACUUAAACUUAAGCCACAAAAACUUGUUAAGGGUUAGUACAAGUAUGGCCAAGUGGCUAGAGAGAACUCAAAACACGAUAACCACAAGAAAGCAAUCACAGAGUUGACACGGUGGUUAUCCCGUGGUUCGGCCAAGUACAAAACUUGCCUACUCCACGUUGUGGCGUCCCAACGGACGAGAGUUGCACUCAACUCCUCUCAAGUGAUCCAAUGAUCAACUUGAAUACCACGGUGUUUUUCUUUCCUUUGAUCUUUUCCCGUUUGCGAGGAAUCUCCACAACUUGGAGUCUCUCGCCCUUACAAUUGAGUUCACAAAGAAAUACGGAGUAAGGUGGGAAUGAGCAACGCACACAAGACUCGAAAAUCAGAGCAACACCACGCACACAAGUCGCAACAAGAGCUCGCAACACAACACAAAGAGUUCACAACUCCACAAGAGCUCUAUAUGCUAUCACAAUGAAACGAAUGCGUGAGAUUGAUGUCUUGGUGCUUAGAAGAGUUGUAGGAAUGCUUGGUGUACUCCUCCAUGCGCCUAGGGGUCCCUUUUAUAGCCCCAAGGCAGCUAGGAGCCGUUGGGAACAAAUCUGGAAGGCCAUCUUUGCCUUCUGUCUCGUGGCGCACCGGACAGUCCGGUGCACACCGGACACUGUCCGGUGCCCGAUUUGUUUCCUUAAACAGCGCAUCCGACCGUUGCUGUCAGAGUCAGAUCUGCGCACCGUUGGCGCACCGGACAUGUCCGGUGCACACCGGACAGUCCGGUGUAUCUUUCCGACCGUUGGCUCGGCCACGUGUCGCGCGCCGAUCGCGCGGCCGACCGUUGGCCCGGCCGACCGUUGGCUCACCGGACAGUCCGGUGCACACCGGACAGUCCGGUGAAUUUUAGCCGAAGUCGCCGGAGAAAAACCCGAGAGUGGCCUCUUCGGCCGAGGCAGCCUGUCCGGUGCACCACCGGACACUGUCCGGUGCACCACCGGACAGUCCGGUGCCCCAGACCGAAACAGCCCCUUGGCUGUACACAGCCAAGUCUCUCUUCUCUUCUUCUUUCUGUUUCUAACACUUAGACAAAUAUAUUAGUACACAAACCAAUGUACUAAGACUUAGAAACAUACCUUUGUUGAAGAUUUGCACUUUGUUCAUCCAUGGGCGUUGAUUCACAUUUAAACACUUGUGUUGACACUCAAUCACCAAAAUACUUAGAAAUGGCCCAAGGGCACAUUUCCCUUUCAAUCUCCCCCUUUUUGGUGAUUUAUGCCAACACAACAUAAAGCAACUAGAACAAGUGCAAAAUCACUUCAAAUAAAAACUAACUUUGAGUUUUAUUCAAUUUUGGCAUAUAUGGAUCAUCCUUUGCCACCACUUGGUUUGUUUUUGCAAAUCAAACUCAAAUCUCUAUCUCUAAGUCAAACACACAUGUUGAAGCAUAAAGAGAGUCAUUCCAAAAGAGAUUGAUCAAAGAUUUCAAAAACUCCCCCUAUUUCCCAUAAUCAAUACUUCUCCCCACAAGAAGCCAAUUUUUGACAAGAGAGACAAUAAAAGAGUUUAACAAUACAAAAACUCUAUUCUAUUAUUUUCAAAAUCUCUCAAGUGGUAGCUGAUCCAUUUAUCACUUUGGCCUUUAUUUUCUCCCCCUUUGGCAUCAAGCACCAAAACGGGAUCAAUCUUGGCCUUUUAACCCCAUUGCCUCACCAAAGUCUUCAAUUAAGAGCAAAUGGCAAUAAGAUUUCAUGAGAUGAACUUGGAAUUAGUUACCCUCUCAUCGGAGUGCAGUGGAAGUCUUUCAUGGUCCAAGUCCACCUUUUCCCUUUCAAUCCUCCUUCGAGACUAAAUCAUCAAACUCAAGCACAUGGUUAGUCUCAAAAGGGUCAAGUUGUAACACAUCUCCCCCUAAACAUGUGCAUCACUUUGCAACGGACUUGUGAGGUCCAGGGAGUGUUUGUACAACUUGAGCACCACAAUAAGCAACAAAAUGCAAAAAGGAACAUGAUCAAAAGCAUAACUACAUGUAUGCUAUAAUUCAAUCCAGGUUCCGCGAAUGUAAGACAUUUAGCUCACUACGCAACCUGCAAAAGGUCUUCUCAUCUAGAGGCUUAGUGAAGAUAUCGGCUAGCUGGUUCUCGGUGCUAACAUGAAACACUUCGAUAUCUCCCUUUUGCUGGUGGUCUCUCAAAAAGUGAUGUCGGAUGUCUAUGUGCUUUGUGCGGCUGUGCUCAACAGGAUUCUCCGCCAUGCGGAUAGCACUCUCAUUGUCACAUAGGAGUGGGACUUUGCUCAGAUUGUAGCCAAAGUCCCGGAGGGUUUGCCUCAUCCAAAGUAGUUGCGCGCAACACUGACCUGCGGCAACGUACUCGGCCUCAGCGGUGGAUAGGGCAACGGAUGUUUGUUUCUUAGAGUUCCAUGACACCAGGGACCUUCCUAAGAAUUGGCACGUCCCCGAUGUACUCUUCCUAUCGACCUUACAUCCAGCAUAGUCGGAGUCUGAGUAUCCAACUAAGUCAAAGGUAGACCCCUUUGGAUACCAGAGCCCGAAGCAAGGCGUAGCAACCAAAUAUCUAAGAAUUCGCUUCACCGCCACUAAGUGACACUCCUUAGGAUCGGAUUGAAAUCUAGCACACAUGCAUACACUAAGCAUAAUGUCCGGUCUACUAGCACAUAAAUAAAGCAAAGAACCUAUCAUUGACCGGUAUGCUUUUUGAUCAACGGACUUACCUCCUUUGUUGAGGUCGGUGUGUCCGUCGGUUCCCAUCGGCGUCUUUGCGGGCUUGGCGUCCUUCAUCCCAAACCGCUUUAGCAGAUCUUGCGUGUACUUCGUUUGAGAGAUGAAGGUGCCGUCCUUGAGUUGCUUCACUUGGAACCCAAGGAAGUAGUUCAACUCGCCCAUCAUUGACAUCUCGAAUUUCUGCGUCAUCACCCUGCUAAACUCUUCACAAGACUUUUGGUUAGUAGAACCAAAUAUUAUGUCAUCGACAUAAAUUUGGCACACAAACAAAUCACCAUCGCAUGUCUUUGUAAAAAGAGUUGGAUCGGCUUUCCCAACCUUGAAAGCAUUAGCAAUUAAAAAGUCUCUAAGGCAUUCAUACCAUGCUCUUGGGGCUUGCUUAAGUCCAUAGAGCGCCUUAGAGAGCUUACACACAUGGUCGGGAUACCGUUCGUCCUCGAAGCCAGGGGGUUGCUCCACGUACACCUCUUCCUUGAUUGGCCCGUUGAGGAAAGCGCUCUUCACAUCCAUUUGGUACAACCUGAAAGAAUGGUGAGCGGCAUAUGCUAGCAAGAUUCGAAUUGACUCUAGCCUAGCCACAGGAGCAAAGGUCUCCUCGAAAUCCAAACCUGCGACUUGGGCAUAACCUUUUGCCACAAGUCGAGCCUUGUUCCUCGUCACCACCCCGUGCUCGUCCUGUUUGUUGCGGAACACCCACUUGGUUCCCACAACAUUUUGCUUCGGACGAGGCACCAGUGUCCAAACUUCAUUGCGCUUGAAGUUGUUUAACUCCUCUUGCAUGGCCAACACCCAGUCCGGAUCUAGCAAGGCCUCUUCUACCCUGAAAGGCUCAAUAGAAGAGACAAAGGAGUAAUGCUCACAAAAAUUAACUAAUCGAGAUCGAGUAGUUACUCCCUUGCUAAUGUCACCCAGAAUUUGGUCGACGGGAUGAUCCCUUUGAAUCAUCGCUCGAACUUGGGUUGGAGGUGCCGGUUGCACUUCUUCCUCCAUCACAUGAUUAUCUUGUGCUCCCCCUUGAUCGAGCGCCUCCACUUGAGGUACCUGUUCGUCAUCUUCGGUUGGGGGAUGCACCAUAGUUGAGGAAGAAGGUUGAUCUCGUUCAUCUUGUUCCUGUGGCCGUACUUCUCCAAUCGCCAUGGUCCGUAUAGCGGCCGUCGGAACAUCUUCUUCAUCUACAUCAUCACAAUCAACAACUUGCUCUCUUGGAGAGCCAUUAGUCUCAUCAAAUACAACGUCGCUAGAGACUUCAACCAAACCCGAUGAUUUGUUGAAGACUCUAUACGCCUUUGUAUUUGAGUCAUAACCUAAUAAAAACCCUUCUACAGCUUUGGGAGCAAACUUAGAAUUUCUACCCUUCUUCACUAGAAUGUAGCAUUUACUCCCAAAUACACGAAAGUACGAUACAUUGGGUUUGUUACCGGUUAGUAGCUCAUACGACGUCUUCUUGAGGAGGCGAUGAAGGUAGACCCUGUUGAUGGCGUGGCAAGCAGUGUUAACGGCUUCCGUCCAGAAGCACUCGGGGGUCUUGAACUCUCCUAGCAUCGUCCUCGCCAUGUCGAUGAGCGUCCUGUUCUUCCUCUCUACCACACCAUUUUGCUGUGGUGUGUAGGGAGCGGAGAACUCGUGCUUGAUCCCUUCCUCUUCAAGGAACUCCUCCACUUGAAGGUUCUUGAACUCGGACCCGUUGUCGCUUCUUAUCUUUUUCACUUUGAGCUCAAACUCAUUUUGAGCUCUCCUGAGGAAGCGUUUGAGAGUCCCUUGGGUUUCGGAUUUUUCCUGCAAAAAGAACACCCAAGUGAAGCGGGAAAAGUCAUCAACAAUAACCAAACCAUACUUACUUCCUCCUAUGCUCAGAUAGGCGACAGGUCCGAAGAGGUCCAUAUGCAGCAGCUCCAGGGGUCUUGAAGUGGUCAUCACGUUCUUGCUGUGAUGUGCUCCUCCCACUUGUUUACCUGCUUGACAAGCUGCACAAGGUCUAUCUUUUUCGAAAUGCACAUUAGUCAACCCUAUCACGUGUUCUCCCUUUAGAAGCUUGUGAAGGUUCUUCAUCCCCACAUGUGCUAAGCGGCGAUGCCACAGCCAGCCCAUGCUAGUCUUAGCUAUUAAGCAUGCAUCUAGACCGGCCUCUUCUUUUGCAAAAUCAACUAAAUAAAGUUUGCCGUCUAAUUCACCCUUAAAAGCUAGUGAACCAUCACUUCUUCUAAAGACAGACACAUCUACAUUUGUAAAUAGACAGUUAUACCCCAUAUGACAUAAUUGACUAACAGAUAGCAAAUUAUAUCCAAGACUCUCUACUAAAAAUACAUUAGAUAUGGAGUGCUCAUUAGAAAUUGCAAUUUUACCUAAACCUUUUACCUUGCCUUGAUUCCCAUCACCGAAUACAAUUGAAUCUUGGGAAUCUUUAUUCUUGACGUAGGAGGUGAACAUCUUCUUCUCCCUCGUCAUAUGGUUUGUGCAUCCGCUGUCGAUAAUCCAGCUUGAACCCCCGGAUGCAUAAACCUGCAAGGCAAAUUUAGGCUUGGGACUUAGGUACCCAACUCUUGUUGGGUCCUACAAGGUUAGUCACAAUUUCCUUAGGGACCCAAAUGCAAGUUUUAUCACCUUUGCAUUUUGCCCCUAACUUCCUAGCAAUUACUUUUCUAUCCUUUCUACAGAUUGCAAAUGAAGCAUUCAAAGCACAAUAAAUUGUAGAAGGUUCAUUUGCUAUUUUCCUAGGAGCAUGAAUAACAUUCCUUCUAGGCACAUGAUGAAUAGCAUUUCUUUUAGGAACAACAUUUCUCCUAGUAACAUUUCUAUCAUACACAUAAGAGGAACUAGGAGCAAACAUGGCAUGAGAAUCAUAAACAUAUGAAUCAAAAGCAUCAUAACUUCUAUUUCUAGUUUGUCGUUUAUCAUGAUACAAAAAGGCAUGGUUCCUUUUAGCACUAGUAGCCAUAGGGGCCUUCCCUUUCUCCUUGGCGGGAAUGGGAGCCUUAUGGCUUGUUAAGUUCUUGGCUUCCCUCUUGAAGCCAAGUCCAUCCUUAAUUGAGGGGUGUCUACCAACCGUGUAGGCAUCCCUAGCAAAUUUUAGUUUUUCAAAAUCACUUUUGCUAGUCUUAAGUUGAGCAUUAAGACUAGCCACUUCAUCACUCAAUUUUGAAAUGGAAACUAAGUGUUCACUACAGGCAUUAAUAUCAACAUCCUUACACCUAGUGCAAAUUUCAACAUGUUCAACACAAGAGUUGGAUUUAUUUGAUUUAUUUGCUUCUACUAGUUUAGCAUUUAAAUCAUCGUUUAUGCUCUUUAAGUUAGAAAUAGAAUCAUGGCAUGUUGACACUUCACAAGCAAGCAUUUCAUUCCUCUUAAUUUCUAAUGCAAGAGAUUUUUGAGCCUCUACAAACUUAUCAUGUUCUUCAUACAACAAAUCCUCUUGCUUUUCUAAAAGUAUAUUCUUUUCAUUCAAGGCAUCAAUUAAUUCAUUAAUUUUGUCUAUCUUAGAUCUAUCUAAGCCCUUGAACAAACAUGAAUAAUCUACUUCAUCCUCAUCACUAGAUUCGUCCUCACUUGAAGAAGCAUAGGUAGAGUUGCGAGUACAUACCUUCUUCUCCCUUGCCAUAAGGCAUGUGUGACGCUCGUUGGGGAAGAGGGUUGAUUUGUUGAAGGCGGUGGCGGCGAGUCCUUCAUUGUCGGAGUCGGACGAGGAGCAAUCCGAGUCCCACUCCUUGCCUAGAUGCGCCUCGCCUUUUGCCUUCUUAUAAUGCUUCUUCUUUUCCCUCUUGUUUCCCUUUUCCUGGUCACUUUCAUUAUCAGGACAGUUAGCAAUAAAAUGACCAAGCUUACCGCAUUUGAAGCAUGAUCGCUUCCCCUUGGUCUUAGUCUUGCUCGGCUGUCCAUUGCGACCCUUUAGCACCGUCUUGAAGCGCUUAAUGAUGAGAGCCAUUUCUUCAUCAUUAAGCCCGGCCGCCUCAAUUUGCGCCACCUUGCUUGGUAGUGCCUCCUUGCUCCUUGAUGCCUUGAGAGCAAUGGGUUGAGGCUCGUGGAUUGGACCGUUCAACGCGUCAUCGACGUACCUUGCCUCCUUGAUCAUCAUCCGCCCGCUUACAAAUUUUCCAAGAAUUUCUUCGGGCGACAUUUUGGUGUACCUGGGAUUCUCACGAAUAUUAUUCACCAAAUGAGGAUCAAGAACAGUAAAGGACCUUAGCAUUAGGCGGACGACGUCGUGGUCCGUCCAUCGCGUGCUUCCAUAGCUCCUUAUCUUGUUGACAAGGGUCUUGAGCCGGUUGUAUGUUUGAGUUGGCUCCUCGCCCCUUAUCAUCGCGAACCGUCCAAGCUCGCCCUCCACCAACUCCAUUUUGGUGAGCAAGGUAGCGUCAUUUCCCUCAUGAGAGAUCUUGAGGGUAUCCCAGAUUUGCUUGGCGUUAUCCAAGCCACUCACUUUAUUAUAUUCAUCCCUGCACAAUGAGGCUAGAAGAACAGUAGUAGCUUGUGCAUUCUUAUGGAUUUGCUCAUUAAUGAAUAUAGGACUAUCCGAACUAUUAAAGUGCAUUCCACUAUCUACAAUCUCCCAUAUGCUAGGAUGGAGAGAGAAUAGGUGACUACGCAUUUUGUGGCUCCAAAAUCCGUAGUCCUCCCCAUCAAAGUGUGGGGGCUUGCCGAGUGGAAUAGAAAGCAAAUGUGAAUUUGAACUUUGCGGAAUACGAGAGUAGUCAAAAGAAAAGUUAGAAUUAACCGGUUUCCUUUGUUUGUCGUGGUCGUCGUCCUUUUGGGAAGAAGAGGACUCAUCGCUGUCGUAGUAGACGAUCUCCUUGAUGCGUCUUGUCUUCUUCUUCUUCCCAUCUCUUCGCUUGUGGCCCGAGCCCGAGUCAUUGGACUUGUCAUCCCUUGGCUCGUUGACGAAGGACUCCUUCUCCUUGUCGUUGAUCACAAUUCCCUUCCCCUUAGGAUCCAUCUCUUCGGGCGGUUAGUCCCUUUCUUGAAGAGAACGCCUCUGAUACCAAUUGAGAGCACCUAGAGGGGGGGUGAAUAGGUGAUCCUGUAAAAACUUAAACUUAAGCCACAAAAACUUGUUAAGGGUUAGUACAAGUAUGGCCAAGUGGCUAGAGAGAACUCAAAACACGAUAACCACAAGAAAGCAAUCACAGAGUUGACACGGUGGUUAUCCCGUGGUUCGGCCAAGUACAAAACUUGCCUACUCCACGUUGUGGCGUCCCAACGGACGAGAGUUGCACUCAACUCCUCUCAAGUGAUCCAAUGAUCAACUUGAAUACCACGGUGUUUUUCUUUCCUUUGAUCUUUUCCCGUUUGCGAGGAAUCUCCACAACUUGGAGUCUCUCGCCCUUACAAUUGAGUUCACAAAGAAAUACGGAGUAAGGUGGGAAUGAGCAACGCACACAAGACUCGAAAAUCAGAGCAACACCACGCACACAAGUCGCAACAAGAGCUCGCAACACAACACAAAGAGUUCACAACUCCACAAGAGCUCUAUAUGCUAUCACAAUGAAACGAAUGCGUGAGAUUGAUGUCUUGGUGCUUAGAAGAGUUGUAGGAAUGCUUGGUGUACUCCUCCAUGCGCCUAGGGGUCCCUUUUAUAGCCCCAAGGCAGCUAGGAGCCGUUGGGAACAAAUCUGGAAGGCCAUCUUUGCCUUCUGUCUCGUGGCGCACCGGACAGUCCGGUGCACACCGGACACUGUCCGGUGCCCGAUUUGUUUCCUUAAACAGCGCAUCCGACCGUUGCUGUCAGAGUCAGAUCUGCGCACCGUUGGCGCACCGGACAUGUCCGGUGCACACCGGACAGUCCGGUGUAUCUUUCCGACCGUUGGCUCGGCCACGUGUCGCGCGCCGAUCGCGCGGCCGACCGUUGGCCCGGCCGACCGUUGGCUCACCGGACAGUCCGGUGCACACCGGACAGUCCGGUGAAUUUUAGCCGAAGUCGCCGGAGAAAAACCCGAGAGUGGCCUCUUCGGCCGAGGCAGCCUGUCCGGUGCACCACCGGACACUGUCCGGUGCACCACCGGACAGUCCGGUGCCCCAGACCGAAACAGCCCCUUGGCUGUACACAGCCAAGUCUCUCUUCUCUUCUUCUUUCUGUUUCUAACACUUAGACAAAUAUAUUAGUACACAAACCAAUGUACUAAGACUUAGAAACAUACCUUUGUUGAAGAUUUGCACUUUGUUCAUCCAUGGGCGUUGAUUCACAUUUAAACACUUGUGUUGACACUCAAUCACCAAAAUACUUAGAAAUGGCCCAAGGGCACAUUUCCCUUUCACUAAUCCCUCCCUUGCUCUGUGCUUCUUUGUGAAUUUCAAGUGUAAGGGCGAGAGGCUCCAAGUUGUGGAGAUUCCUCGCAAACGGGAUUGAGUAAAGCAAAGCAAAACACCGUGGUAUUCAAGUGGGUCUUUGGACCGCUUGAGAGGGGUUGAUUGCAACCCUCGUCCGUUGGGACGCCACAACGUGGAGUAGGCAAGCGUUGGUCUUGGCCGAACCACGGGAUAACCACUGUGCCAUCUCUGUGAUUGUUUUCUUGUGGUUAUUGUGUUUUGUUGAGAUUCCUCUCCAGCCACUUGGCAUUUACUGUGCUAACGCUUAACCAAGUUUUUGUGGCUUAAGUUUUCAAGAUUUACAGGAUCACCUAUUCACCCCCCCUCUAGGUGCUCUCAAUUGGUAUUAGAGCCGUUCUCUUCACAAAGGGACUAACCGCCCGAGGAGAUGGAUCCUAAGGGGAAGGGUAUCGUGAUCAAUGAUAAAGAGAAGGAAUCUUUCGUCAACGAGCCAAAGGAUGACAAGCCUACCGACUCGGGCUCGGGUCAUAGACGAAAAGAUGGGAAGAAGAAGAAGACAAGGCGCAUUAAGGAGAUCGUCUACUACGACGACAGUGAUGAGUCCACUUCUUCCCACAAGGACAACGACGACAACGACUACGACAAACGAAAGACGGUUAACUCGAACUUUUCUUUCGAUUAUUCGCGUAUUCCUCAAAGUGCAAAUGCUCAUUUAUUAUCUAUUCCACUUGGUAAACCUCCUCAUUUUGAUGGAGAGGACUACGGAUUUUGGAGUCACAAAAUGCGUAGUCACUUGUUCUCUCUCCAUCCUAGUAUAUGGGAGAUUGUAGAGAGUGGAAUGCACUUUGAUAGUUUGGAUAGUCCCAUGUUCAUUAAUGACCAAAUUCAUAAGAAUGCACAAGCUACUACUGUUCUUCUAGCUUCAUUGUGCAGGGAUGAAUACCACAAAGUGAGCGGCUUGGAUAACGCCAAGCAGAUCUGGGACACCCUCAAGAUUUCACAUGAGGGGAACGACGUCACCUUGCUCACCAAGAUGGAGUUGGUGGAGGGCGAGCUUGGACGAUUCGCGAUGAUAAGGGGCGAGGAGCCGACACAAACAUACAACCGGCUCAAGACCCUUAUCAACAAAAUAAGGAGCUACGAAAGCACGCGAUGGACGGACCACGACGUCGUCCGAUUGAUGCUAAGGUCCUUUACCGUUCUUGAUCCUCAUUUGGUGAAUAACAUUCGUGAGAAUCCCAGGUACACCAAAAUGUCGCCCGAAGAAGUCCUUGGAAAAUUCGUAAGCGGGCGAAUGAUGAUCAAGGAAGCGAGGUACGUGGACGACGCUCUAAACGGUCCAAUCAAUGAGCCUCAACCCGUUGCUCUCAAGGCAACAAGGAGCAAGGAGGCGUUACCCAGCAAGGUAGCACAAAUUGAGGCCGCCGGACUUAAUGAUGAAGAGAUGGCUCUCAUCAUCAAGAGAUUCAAGACGACGCUUAAGGGUCGCAAGGGACAGCCAAACAAGACCAAAGCCAAGGGGAAGUGCUCAUGCUUCAAAUGCGGUAAGCUUGGUCAUUUUAUUGCUAACUGUCCCGACAAUGAUAGUGAUCAGGAUCAAGGGAACAAGAGGGAGAAUAAGAAAAACUAUAAAAAAGGCAAAGGGCGAGGCUCAUCUUGGCAAGGAGUGGGAUUCGGAUUGCUCCUCGUCUGACUCUGACAAUGAAGGACUCGCCGCCACCGCCUUCAACAAAUCAUCCCUCUUCCCCAACGAACAUCACACAUGCCUUAUGGCAAGGGAGAAGAAGGUAUGUACUCAAGACUCUACUUAUGCUUCUUCAAGUGAGGAGGAAUCUAGUGAUGAGGAUGAAAUAGAUUAUUCAUGUCUAUUUAAGGGCCUAGAUAGAACCAAGGUAGAUAAAAUUAAUGAAUUAAUUGAUGCCUUGAAUGAUAAGAAUAGGCUUCUAGAAAAACAAGAAGAUUUAUUGUAUGAAGAACAUGACAAAUUUAUAGAAGCACAAAAAUCUCAUGCUUUAGAAGUCAAAAGAAAUGAAAUGCUUUCAUGUGAAUUAUCUUCGUGCCAUGAGACAAUUUCUAGCUUAAGGAACAUUAAUGAUGAUUUGAAUGCUAAGUUGAAAAUAGUUAGUAAAUCAACAACUUGUGUAGAAAAUGUUGUUAUCUGCAAUAGAUGUAAAGAUUUUGAUAUUGAUGCUUGUAGUGAACACAUAGCUUCUAUUGCAAAGUUAAACGAUGAAUUGGCUAUUCUCAAUGCCCAACUUAAGACUAGCAAAAGUGAUUUCGAUAAACUAAAAUUUGCAAGGGAUGCCUACACGAUUGGUAGACACCCCUCCAUUAAGGAUGGACUUGGCUUCAAGAGGGAAGCCAAGGACUUAACAAGCCAUAAGGCUCCCAUCUCCACCAAGGAGAAAGGGAAGGCCCCUAUGACAAGUAGCACUAAAAAGAACCAUGCUUUUAUGUACAACAAUAGAAGACAGUCUCAUAGGAGUUGCAAUGCUUUUGAUUCACAUGACUCGUAUGCUAUGUUUGCUCCUAGUUCUUCCUAUAUGCAUGGUAGAGAUAUGCCUAGGAAAAAUGUUCAUCAUGUGCCUAGGAAGAAUAUUGUUCAUGUUCCUAGAAGAGUUAUGAAUGGUCCCUCUACAAUUUAUCAUGCAUUAAAUGCUUCCUUUGCUAUUUGUAGAAAGGAUAGGAAGAUAGUUGCUAGGAAAUUAGGGGCAAAAUGCAAGGGUGAUAAAACUUGCAUUUGGGUCCCUAAGGAAAUUGUGACUAACCUUGUAGGACCCAACAAGAGUUGGGUACCUAAGACCCAAGCCUAAAUUUGCCUUGCAGGUUUAUGCAUCCGGGGGCUCAAGCUGGAUUAUCGACAGCGGAUGCACAAACCACAUGACGGGGGAGAAGAAGAUGUUCACCUCCUACGUCAAGAAUAAGGAUUCCCAAGAUUCAAUCAUAUUCGGUGAUGGGAACCAAGGCAAGGUGAAAGGUUUAGGCAAGAUUGCAAUAUCAAAUGAGCAUUCUAUCUCUAAUGUGUUUUUAGUGGAGAGUCUUGGAUAUAAUUUACUAUCAGUUAGUCAAUUAUGUAAUAUGGGAUAUAACUGUUUAUUUACAAAUAUAGAUGUGUCUGUCUUUAGAAGAUGUGAUGGUUCACUAGCUUUUAAGGGUGUACUAGACGGCAAACUUUACUUAGUUGAUUUUGCAAAAGAAGAGGCCGGUCUAGAUGCAUGCUUAAUGGCUAAGACUUGCAUGGGCUGGUUGUGGCAUCGCCGCUUAGCACAUGUGGGGAUGAAGAACCUCCACAAGCUUCUAAAGGGAGAACAGGUGAUAGGUCUAACCAAUGUUCAUUUCGAAAAAGAUAGACCUUGUGCAGCUUGUCAAGCAGGUAAACAAGUGGGAGGAGCACAUCACAGCAAGAAUGUGAUGACCACGUCAAGACCUCUGGAGCUGCUACAUAUGGACCUCUUCGGACCCGUCGCCUAUCUGAGCAUAGGAGGAAGUAAGUAUGGUCUAGUUAUUGUUGAUGACUUUUCCCGCUUCACUUGGGUGUUCUUUUUGCAGGAUAAGUCUGAAACCCAAGGGACCCUCAAGCGCUUCCUAAGGAGAGCUCAAAAUGAGUUUGAGCUCAAGGUGAAGAAGAUAAGGAGCGACAACGGGUCCGAAUUCAAGAAUCUUCAAGUGGAGGAGUUCCUUGAGGAGGAGGGGAUCAAGCACGAGUUCUCCGCUCCCUACACACCUCAUCAAAAUGGUGUGGUAGAGAGGAAGAACAUGACGCUUAUAGAUAUGGCGAGGACUAUGCUUGGAGAGUUCAAGACCCUUGAGUGCUUUUGGUCGGAAGCCGUGAACACGGCUUGCCACGCCAUCAAUAGGGUCUACCUUCACCGCCUCCUCAAGAAGACUUCAUAUGAGCUGCUAACUGGUAACAAACCCAAUGUAUCGUACUUUCGUGUAUUUGGGAGUAAAUGCUACAUUCUAGUGAAGAAGGGUAGGAAUUCCAAAUUUGCUCCCAAAGCCGUAGAAGGGUUUUAUUAGGUUAUGAUUCAAAUACAAAGGCGUAUAGGGUCUUCAACAAAUCAUCGGGUUUGGUUGAAGUCUCUAGCGACGUUGUAUUUGAUGAGACUAAUGGCUCUCCAAGAGAGCAAGUUGUUGAUCUUGAUGAUGUAGAUGAAGAAGACGUUCCAACGGCCGUGAUACGCACCAUGGCGAUUGGAGAUGUACGGCCUCAGGAACAUUUGGAGCAAGAUCAACCGUCUUCCUCAACUAUGGUGCAUCCCCCAACCCAAGAUGACGAACAGGUACCUCAAGUGGAGGCGCAUGAUCAAGGGGGAGCACAGGAUGUUCAAAUUGAAGAGGAAGAUGCACCUCAGGCACCUCCAACCCAAGUUCGAGCGACGAUUCAAAGGAAUCAUCUCGUCGACCAGAUAUUGGGUGAUAUUAGUAAGGGAGUAACUACUCGUUCAAGAUUAGUUAAUUUUUGUGAGCAUUACUCUUUUGUCUCUUCUAUUGAGCCUUUCAGGGUAGAAGAGGCCUUGCUAGAUCCGGACUGGGUGUUGGCCAUGCAGGAGGAACUCAACAAUUUCAAGCGCAAUGAAGUUUGGACACUGGUGCCUCGCCCCAAGCAAAAUGUUGUGGGAACCAAGUGGGUGUUCCGCAACAAACAGGACGAGCACGGGGUGGUGACAAAGAACAAGGCUCGGCUUGUGGCAAAAGGUUACGCCCAAGUCGCAGGUUUGGACUUUGAGAAGACUUUUGCUCCUGUGGCUAGGCUAGAAUCAAUUCGUAUCUUGCUAGCAUAUGCCGCUCACCAUUCUUUCAGGUUGUACCAAAUGGAUGUGAAGAGCGCUUUCCUCAACGGGCCGAUCAAGGAGGAGGUGUACGUAGAGCAACCCCCUGGCUUCGAGGAUGAACGGUACCCCGACCACGUGUGUAAGCUCUCUAAGGCGCUCUAUGGACUUAAGCAAGCCCCAAGAGCAUGGUAUGAAUGCCUUAGAGACUUUUUAAUUGCUAAUGCUUUCAAGGUUGGGAAAGCCGAUCCAACUCUUUUUACUAAGACUUGUGAUGGUGAUCUUUUUGUGUGCCAAAUUUAUGUCGAUGACAUAAUAUUUGGUUCUACUAAUCAAAAGUCGUGUGAAGAGUUUAGUAGGGUGAUGACGCAGAAAUUCGAGAUGUCGAUGAUGGGCGAGUUGAACUACUUCCUUGGGUUCCAAGUGAAGCAACUCAAGGACGGCACCUUUAUCUCCCAAACGAAGUACACGCAAGAUUUGCUAAAGAGGUUUGGGAUGAAAGACGCCAAGCCCGCAAAGACGCCGAUGGGAACCGACGGACACACCGACCUCAACAAAGGUGGUAAGUCCGUUGAUCAAAAAGCAUACCGGUCCAUGAUAGGUUCAUUGCUUUAUUUAUGUGCUAGUAGACCAGAUAUUAUGCUCAGCGUAUGCAUGUGUGCUAGAUUUCAAUCCGAUUCUAAGGAGUGUCACUUAGUGGCUGUGAAGCGAAUUCUUAGAUAUUUAGUCGCUACGCCUUGCUUCGAGAUCUGGUAUCCAAAGGGGUCUAACUUUGACUUGAUUGGAUAUUCAGAAUCCGACUAUGCUGGAUGUAAGGUCGAUAGGAAGAGUACAUCGGGGACGUGCCAAUUCUUAGGAAGGUCCCUGGUGUCGUGGAACUCUAAGAAACAAACUUCCGUUGCCCUAUCCACCGCUGAGGCCGAGUACGUUGCCGCAGGACAGUGUUGUGCGCAACUACUUUGGAUGAGGCAAACCCUCCGGGACUUUGGCUACAAUCUGAGCAAAGUCCCACUCCUAUGUGACAAUGAGAGUGCUAUCCGAAUAGCGGAAAAUUCUGUUGAGCACAGCCGCACAAAGCACAUUGACAUCCGGCAUCACUUUUUGAGAGACCACCAGCAAAAGGGAGAUAUCGAAGUGUUUCAUGUUAGCACCGAGAACCAGCUAGCCGAUAUCUUUACCAAACCUCUAGAUGAGAAGACCUUUUGCAGGCUGCGUAGUGAGCUCAAUAUCUUAGAUUCGCGGAACUUGGAUUGAAUUGUAGCAUACAUGUGUUUAUGCCUUUGAUCAUGUUCCUUAUGCAUUUUGUUGUUUACUAUGGUGCUCAAGUUGUACAAACACUUCCCGGACCUCACAAGUCCUUGUGCAAGUGAUGCACAUAUUUAGGGGGAGUUGUGUUAUAACUUGACCCUUUGAGACUAACCAUAUGCUUGAGUUUGUUUGUUUUAGUCUCAAAGGAGGUUUGAAAGGGAAAAGGUGGACUUGGACCAUGAAAGACUUCCACUGCACUCCGAUAAGAGGGUAACUUAUUCCAAGUUCAUCUCAUGUACUCUUAUUGCCUUUGCGUUCUUAUUUAAAGAUUUUGGUGAGGCAAUGGGGUUUAAGGGCCAAGAUUGAUCCCGUUUUGGUUCUUGAUGCCAAAGGGGGAGAAAAUAAAGGCCAAAGCAAUAGAUGGAUCAGCUACCACUUGAGAAAUUUUGAAAAUAGUAGAAUAGAGCUUUUGGUUUGUCAAAACUAUUUAUUGUCUCUCUUGUCAAAAGAUGGCUUCUUGUGGGGAGAAGUGUUGAUUAUAAAAAAAGGGGGGGAGUUUUUUUAAAUCUUGAAUCAAUUUCUCUUGGAAUGGCUCUCUUUAUGUCUUAACAUGUGUGUUUGACUUAGAGAUAGAAAUUUGAGUUUGAUUUGCAAAAACAAACCAAGUGGUGGCAAAGAGUGAUCCAUAUAUGUCAAAUUUGAAUCAAAAUAAUUUGAGUUCUUAUUUGAAGUGAUUUUGUACCUGUUCUACUUGCUUUAUGUUGUGUUGGCAUAAAUCACCAAAAAGGGGGAGAUUGAAAGGGAAAUGUGCCCUUGGGCCAUUUCUAAGUAUUUUGGUGAUUUAGUGCCCAACACAGGUGCCUAAUUGUAAAAUGGUGGACAAAGUACAAAUCAAGGAUAAAGGUAUGUUUCUCAGACUUAGUACAUUGUUUUAUUGACUAAUGUAUUGUGUCUAAGUGCUGGAAACAGAAAAAAUCGAGUUGGAGAAGAGAUGGCCCGAGCAGCCAAAGUCUGCCCAGUCUGGGUGCACCGGACUGUCCGGUGGUGCACCGGACUGUCCGGUGGUGCACCGGACAGUGUCCGGUGCGCCAGGCUGGCUUGCGCAAGGUGGCUGCUCUCGGGACUUUGACGGCGGUGUACGGCUAAAAUUCACCGGACUGUCCGGUGGGCCGCUCACAGGCGAACUCGUCGCUCUCGGGAAACCAUCAACGGCGUACGGCUAAAAUUCACCGGACUGUCUGGUGUGCACCGGACUGUCCGGUGAGCCAACGGUCGGCCGCGCAAUCUGCGCAGGACACGUGGCCGAGCCAACGGCUAGAAGGGGGCACCGGACUGUCCGGUGUGCACCGGACAUGUCCGGUGCGCCAACGGCUCCCAGGCUGCCAACGGUCGACUGCGAUGUUUAUGGAAAGAAAUCGGGCACCGGACAUGUCCGGUGUGCACCGGACUGUCCGGUGCGCCAGUCGACAGAAGGCAAGAUCAGCCUUCCAAGAUUGCUCUCAACGGCUCCUAGCUGCCUUGGGGCUAUAAAAGGGACCUCUAGGCGCAUGGAGGAACACACCAAGCAUCUCCUAAGCAUUCCUAAGCACCAAGACAUCGACUCCGCGCCCUUGAUUCUUUGCGAUAGCAAUUAGAGCUCUAGUUGAGUGAUGAACUCAUUAAGUUGUGUUGUGAGCUCUCGUUGCGACUUGUGUGCGUGGUGUUGCUGUGAUUUCUUGUCUUGAGUGCGUUGCUAAUCCCUACCUUGCUCUGUGCUUCUUUGUGAAUUUCAAGUGUAAGGGCGAGAGGCUCCAAGUUGUGGAGAUUCCUCGCAAACGGGAUUGAGUAAAGCAAAGCAAAACACCGUGGUAUUCAAGUGGGUCUUUGGACCGCUUGAGAGGGGUUGAUUGCAACCCUCGUCCGUUGGGACGCCACAACGUGGAGUAGGCAAGCGUUGGUCUUGGCCGAACCACGGGAUAACCACCGUGCCAUCUCUGUGAUUGUUUUCUUGUGGUUAUUGUGUUUUGUUGAGAUUCCUCUCCAGCCACUUGGCAUUUACUGUGCUAACGCUUAACCAAGUUUUUGUGGCUUAAGUUUUCAAGAUUUAUAGGAUCACCUAUUCACCCCCCUCUAGGUGCUCUCAAUAAUAUACUUUUAGUAAAAGUACUUGUUGGUCAUAUAUUAAAGUUCCUUAAUAGAACCAAAAUAGGACAACACGGUUAAAGUAAAAGGAUUCUUUCUCUAGGAGGACAAAUCUAGGUUGAAGGUUGAAAGUAAAUGCAAGGGAUUCGAAGCAGUCAAAUUCAAUUCAUGUUCAUCCUACUUUUUUAUUAAUUAAACGAUGUUACAAGACUACCUUCAGAAUGUUCAAAGACAAUAAAGACACACCUAAAUUUUAUAGCUUUGGACGUGCAGCGAUCCAUUAUGAAAAUGUAUAUCUCAUCUCAGGAAGAAUCUGGCUCUAUGCAUAGGCACAGUAAUUCUAUUUAUAGGGGGCAUGAUACACAUCUUCAUAUAAAAUUAUAAUUACAAUCUCGAAUCCUAUACUUGUGAACUACACGGUUCAUCAAAGGUAUUGCUAUCUUUUCUUCUUGGAGACGUGCUAAAUAUGUCGCUUGAUUCCUUCUUUGUUUUCUUGCCAUCCGCUUCACGUGUCACAAGGUGCUUCGGCUAAACACCAACGCCUAAGCUAGUAGUUUGAGGACUAGAAUCAUUCUAGGUCGGUAGAGGCUACUGUGAUGAAGAUCACUUUGUUACUCCUGAAACAAACCACAAAGCAAUGAGAUUAAUUAGUUUGAGUACCUUCGGCAAAGGUAUACCUCCAACAGUACUACAUAUUCGUAUUGGUGCUUUGUCUAUAUCUGAGUGAAAUUUUCAUUUUAUUGUUAAAAUGUAAACACAAUAAUAAUUUUUAAACAGAAUAGGUGUAAAGAGAUUUUCCAAAAUUUUGUUUUGCUAAAUACUACUCCGUCCCAAAUUAGUAUUCGAUUUAGCUCUUUGUUUUUAUGUCUAUAUUCAAAUGAAUGAUAAUAAAUCUAGGCACAUAUGCAAAACAUAUACAACAAUUUGAAUCCAUAAAUGGCUAAAACGAAUUUUAAAUUGGAAAAGGGGAAGUAAUAGGUAGUGAUCAUAUUUAAACAUGAUUGUUCUGCCUUUUGUAAUAGUAUACUACUAUCAGUAAAAGUACUACGUACUUGUAUUGAUGUUUUGGGUUGUUUGGUUUGCAGCCUCACCUUACAUUUUGUCACGUCUAAGGUUACACAUGUUUAACAGAGCUAGACAUGUGUUUGGUUUGCAGCCACAGUUCUGACAAGAUUUUUCUGCAAAUACGUAGGUCUCACGUUAAUAAUUUGUAAAAGUGUGACAAAAUUUAUUUUAGUCAUGUUAAGAUGUAAUGUAGAAUUUAGGCGGCUAACCUUAGUCAACUCAAGGUUGCCGGUGAGCCUCCCUCCAUACGACGCGAGGAGCCCUAGUCCAGCGGCGACGAACCUCGAUUGCCUCGAUUCAGCGUCGGUAAAUUUUAACCCGGCACCGGUGAGCCUCGACUGGGCACCGACAAGUCUCGAUGCGACGCCAACUCGACUGUCCAGUGUCCACGGAGGUGCACGAUCGAGGACCUUGCUUACGUAGGAGAGUUGAUUUGGCUCGCCUAUGCUGACAAAGAUUUUCUUGCCCGGGCGGGUAAGCUUGCCUAACAACUGGGUGAGGCGAGCGAGAGAGACUACCAAACAGCUUGUCUCGCCCAGCUAGGUGAUGCAAGCGGCUGGCAAGGGAUUUAAGCACAUCCGUAGUUACCUUCAUACUUGAGUGGAAGAUCUUGUGUUCUUAGUAGAGCUGUUGUUAGGAGGUACGAAUAAUUUUUUUAUAUCUAUAGAUCUGACCAAAUCUUAUUACAUAGCACCACCAAAUCUAUUAUAUAAGCUAAUAUUAAGCGUACUUUGAGCAUUGUGUUAUCCAGGUAUACAUAUAUAUAUAUAUAUAUAUAAAAACUCCGCGAACAAUUUAUUUAAACUCAAACGAAUUGCACCGUACAGGGAUAGAAAAUGGCACACGUAGGCGACCCAUCGCCUGUGGCCAUCCAGUUGCUUUCAGCUCUCCCUGUCCACAUGGUGCACCAACUUUCUAGCCUUAGAUUCAACUGACCAACCUCUUUUGUGUUAUCGUGUGUGUGACUCCUCCGUCACAAAACUCUGAAACGAAAGGACUCCGUGGGUUUAACAUAGGAUGCGUCUAGCAAUUUGGCUCCUGGUGGGCCCAAAACGGACAAAAUUGGCCUGGAUGGAUUCGUAAGGACCGUAGUGGGUCCUUCCAGUAGUUUCUCAACUAAUUAUAAGGCAUGAUUGAUACAUGUGGAUAAAGUUUUCUCUGAUGAUUGCAGCGGGACAUUACCCCCGGUUUUUUAGACGUGUACAGUCAAUUACCAUGAAACGACUUCAUUCUGGUUUAAAUAUGACAGGUAAAAGUAAAACAUCAUAAAAGUUCCGUGUGCGAGUGAAAGAGGGUAGACGAGACAAGCAGACAAGCGUUGGAUAUUUCUAGACCGGUCAGCUGUGGCUCUGCUUUGAAAAACAGCCUUGCCUUAUCCUGUAAGGCAUGUGGUCCCCCGGUUUUCAAAAAAAAAUGUUUUCUCUCUCUCUCGGAUCUGAUCUUAGGGGGAUCUAGUAUUUGUUUAGUUCAGUGAGCUUCAGCUCUUAGGCCGAAUCUAGGAAGAGUUUUGCUAAAUAGUACUUCUUCCGUUUUUUUACUUAACGUUUUUUAUUCAAAAAUAAACUAUUCGACGUCAAAUAUUUAAAAAUAAAGUAGUAGUAUUUCAAAAGAACCGAUUUUUUCGCAUGUUUGAGUAGAUUCGCUGGGGAAUUUGGUGUUGCCUGAAGCCCACUAGACGAGUGGCCCAUUGAUCCUGAGGACAUGGUGGCCGCCUUUGUGGUCCAGUAGGUAGGUUGAGAACUGUGUUUAGAAUAAGAGGACCACGGCACAACUUCUUAUUCUGUUUCAGUACCAAUGAUAGGAGGAAAUAAAGCAACAACUCACGUUCUACUUAGUUUUGUUCAGAAAUCAUAUCAUCUCUGUCCUUUGCCACAGCUGUCUGUCCUGGAGGAUUGGACCAGCCCCUGUGCGUGCUCGUCGCCGUCGUCGAUGGAUAGGCACCGUCCGUGCCGGGCGCUUGAUAGAGCUGUUGGCUGUUGCCGCUGGUCAAUAGUUCACUGCCAUGUUAGUUUACGAAUGUCUGUUGGGAUAAUCCACCUUCAUCGAUGAGUAGUACAGCAAUGUUUAGUCGUUGGUGUGACGCCGAUCUAAACCGCCGACCGUCAGUUGUAGCAAUACUUACACAACAGCGCAGUUGCCCACAACUGGAUAGCUUGCAUAGAAUGUUUAAAUAUAACUUAAUUAGAUAAAACGAAAUCCGUUGUAGUCUAGCUGGUCAGGAUAUUUGGCUCUCACCCGAAAGACCCGGGUUCGAGUCCCGGCAACGGAAUAAUUUUUUUGCCUGGUUGCAGGCCUACGUUUUGCAUUUCCUGUGUUUCGCCAGAGCUCGGUGGCCUCGUGCGGCAUCUGCGUCUGUGGCACGUCACGGCCGACGGCCUCCCGCGCGGCCUUAUGCGAAAUUAAACAGGACUUCUUAUUGAAGGAUGUUGAAUUCUUCAUUAUUUUCGAUAGAGAUUACAGAGACAACGAAAACAUAAUUUUGACACUAUCUAAAUAUACAACAGAUCUCUUUUAAAAGAGUUGGUAUGGCAAACUACAAUUCUAUAAACACACCAUUAUGUACUAGUAAAAAGUAGAGAUGACAAUGGGUACUACCUCAUACCCAAACCCACGAUACAAAAAUAACCCCAUCGGAUCACCCAUAUAAACUGACGGGUAUGGAUUUACCCCCAUACCAUACCCAUGUGGGUAUGGGUCACCCAUCGGGUCACGCGUACCCACAAAAAGUAAACAUCUAUCAAAAUAUUAUAUUAUACAGAUAUCAAGUAUAUCCAUCUAAAUACCAUUACAAAAUUUAUAGCAUCAUUUAACCAUCCAUUCAACACACCAAAGAUAAUUGGAUAAAGUAGUAACACUAGGAUAGUACUACAUAGCACAUUACAUGUUCCAUUACAUGGUCAUUAAAUUAUCGUUAAGCCUUCUAUGACAUUAUGACCUAGAAGUUUGUUAAAUAAAAGAUUGAUGACUAAAGUCCAAUUUCAUGCUUGGGCAAAGUUUAUAUUGGGUAUUUUAUACCCAUGGGUUAACGGGUAUGAGUGAAGGCAGAACAUUCUAAUACCUGUUUACCCUUUGGGUGAAGAUUUUUGCCUAAUAAUAGAUACACGGGUAGAAUAUUUAGCCCACAUACAUACCCUAAUGGAGUAAAUACCUAUCGGGUAUCGGGUCGCGGGUACCCAUUGCCAUCUCUAAUAAAAAGUCAUCUCUUCACGAAGGAUUGUUGUUAGAACCAAAAGAUGUAACAUGGUAUAGAAAUAUACCAUGUGUUUGGUUGCCGUAGAAGUCGAGUCAGUCCGGCAUGAGACUAGCUAGUAUUGUUAGAAUUAGGGUGAGUCAUGUAAGCAGUUUUGUUUGAUUGUUUGUACAUGUUUGUGCAGACUAGACACCGACUUUGUUUGGUUGUUUGCACUGAGACGUAGGUGCAUAAAUAAAUCUCUAAUAUUAUAUAGUAUGACUGGCCUAGUUUUAUUCACGAAAGUCUUAGGGACACAAAUAUAAAAUUAAUUAGGUGAUUAAAUAUUUUUAAUUAAAAGAUAUAAUAAAAAAACAAUCCAGAAUGUAUUCUUGUUUUAUGUGCCGCACGCAGCGGCCGACUGCAUCUAGCCUGGGCGCGCGCUUACGUGAAACGUGGGCGUAUGGCAUGGACCUGGCCGGAAGCCAAUAUUUGCAUCUGAGCAGCCUGCGUCUGUAAAGAAGAGUAAACAACACUUUACGGACCCACGAAUGCAACUGCAUGCGAGCAGCAGUCAAUCAAACACAUAGACAGUGGGUGCUCUUCAAUAUUUUGACUUUGACUAUACCUGAUAUUGCAUUCCGGCGUUCUCAAGGUAUAUUAGUAUCUGCAUGCUCCUACUACAAUGCAUCGGACAACAGUAAAGUUAAUAGUAAGAUAUAUCAAAUCUUAUACUAAUCUCGGUGUGAAGAUUUGUAAAUCUCUGUCAAUGAUAGUAAACGGUUACCUAGAUGCAGACAGGCCCGGCCCUGAGGGUAGGCAGGGUAUGCCGCCGCUCAGGGCCCCCAAAAGUUAGUAGGGCCCCCAGUCCUACCUAAAUAGAUAUAUACUCUUAUAUAUAUGUAUGGUAUAUAUUUAUUCUAUUCCCAAAAUCUCUAGCCGCUGCUCGCUGGUAACCAUUGUUAAAGAUAUUGCAAAUGAUUUUGGUGUAAAUACAUCAUUUCCAAUAAAGCGUAAAACGGUGAGAAAGAAACAAUUUGAUGAAAGUAGGUGCCACGAAGAAAUUCUAGAAAAUGAGAGAGCUUUUCAAGUCAACUAUUUUUUGGUAUUAGUUGACAUGACGAGCACUUCUUUGAGGACCAGAUUUGAAGAACUCUCCAUGUUUAGGUAUAUUUGGGUUUUUAUUGAGCUCAAGCACACUAAGCUCACUAAAUGAUAGAGAACUUGAAGAGUUUUGCACUAAAUUUGCAAACACUUUCUCUCAUGAUGGUUCAUGUGAUGUUGAGUUAAAUAAUUUGAUUUCUAAAUUGAAUAUUCUAAAGUUUACUUUGCCUAACGACACAUUAUCUGCUGUGGAGAUUUUUGAGCAUAUCAGAGUUGUGGAUUGUUAUCCUAAUGCCUCUAUUGCUUAUAGAAUAUUAUUUACUGUGUUUGUUACUAUUGCAUCUGCUGAAAGAAGCUUCUCAAAAUUGAAGUUACCGAAUAAUUAUUUAAGAUCAGCAAUGAGUCAAGAAAGGUUGAAUAGUUUGACGCCUUUAUGAUCGAGAAGAAGCUAUUGAAUGAUAUCGAUAUCAAUAGUAUAAUCGAUGAUUUUGUAUCAAAAAAUGUUAGAAGAAAUUUUAUAAGAUGAGAAGUGUCAAGUAAAUUUUUAUUAUUUCAGCCAAUGUUAUUUUAUAAACAAUAAUGUGUAAUAUUCUAUAUUACAGUAACUUAUAUACAGUUUCUUUACUGAUAUGUAUUUAGUAGAUGUAUAGAUGAUAUAUACAUAUAUCUAAUUAUAUGGGGCCUCUAUAUAAUUUUUUGCUUAGGGCCCCCGAAAUGUUAGGACCGGCCCUGGAUGCAGAUUAGACAAAUUGUUUAGAUGAUAUUAGAUCUACAUGAGGUUUUGCUAUUUUUCUAGGGAAUAAUCUUGUUUUCUAGGAUGCAAGGAAACAUGCAACGUAAUGGAAAAAAAGUGAAUACUACCGUCGAGAUGACGUGGAUACAAACCUUACUGUUUAAACCACAAUUUUCAAGUCCUUUUUUAUGAAGGUAUGGGUUGGCAAGACAGGUGCAAAGCACCUAGUAUUUAAUCCAGUUUUUUUCAUGCCAGAACAAAACACAUUAAAGUUGAUUACCCUUUUGUUAGAGAACGAGUGGUUAGAAAAAUAAUUGAUGUCGAUUUUGUGUAUAUAGAAGAUCAAAUCGUUGAUAAGUUCAUAAAAGCUCUCACUAUAAGAAAGUUAGAAAAUUUGAAGUACAAUCUUAAUCUAGGGGGGGGGGGGGGGGAAUGCGAUCGAGGGGAUAUAUGCCGUGUUUGGAUCGGCUUUUGGUGGACUUCUGGCCGCCAGAAGCUGGAAGCCCAUCCAAACAGCUAGCUUCGUGACCAGAUUCUUUCCACCACGCGGCGGCUCGCAGCAGCUUCACCACAGCGGCCAAGAAUCGGCCAGGCGGCCAGCAGCCCACGUCCAUGAGAAGUUAGACGACUUCUCACCUUAAGCCGACACGGAAGCAAACUAUUUAGGGAUGAAACCAAAUUAGUUGUAAUGAACAUCACAUGUGUUAUUUGUGGAGCAAACUAACCAUCAGUUUCUUCCUACAGCCAGCUUAUCAAACAUCUAGAUCCUUGUUUUUGCAGGUAAAUACUAUCUUGUAGCCUUGUUCAUGAUGUACACGAUCGAGGCUUUGACCAAUAUGUACAUAGUAGCCUUGUUCAUGAUGUACCCGUAUCAAACACCCAGAUUCUAACCACCAGUUUCUUUCCACAGCAGCCGAACCAAACAUCUAGAUUCUAACCACCAGCUUCUCACUACAGUCAGUUUUUCCCUACAGUCAGCUUUUUAGAAAAGCUCUUCAGAAAAAAGCCGAACCGAACAUGCCCAUAAAAUAGUAUAGCUUCGAUUUCAAUCACACGUGAUGUAAUUGAUUGUAUUCUUUAAAAGAUAAGGAAUAAAUUUGAUUUAAUUUAAAUAAAGACAGAAAGAUAUAGUAUCUAAAUUAAACCUUAGUUAUAUUUAAAUUUGUAAACUAAAGCAAUGGUGAUAGCAUCGUAGCUCCAUGACUGGUUCAGAGAUUAGGGAUAGCACUGGUGGCUCAGGAUUACCUGUAGGAUCGACAAUUUGUCACGUGUUCUGUUUCUGUUGUCUUUGUGCGUUAUUGUGGAAUUAAACACCCUCUGUUGUUUAGAGCUGACGAAUGUUGUAGCUGUGGGUUCAUGUGGUACCAGUACCUUUUUCUUUGUCUGUGAACACUGCGCAUGUUUCCUCAGGCAUGUUCACCUUUACUGAAAAAGAAUUUUUUUUUGUGGGGGGGGGGGGGGGGGGGGGUCAAUCUUUUAUGCCAGUGGCACAUUGCCUUUUCUUCUUCGUUGUGCCUUUUUUUUUUAAAAAAAUUACUGCUUCGAACACAUAAUAUGCGUCGAAGUCUCUGCGACAAUGUUGCAACAGGAACCAAACUACUUGCAAUCUUGAACCAAACAAGUGCUCUGCUAUGCUAUGCAUACCCGACAUAUUUCCUCACAAACAAGAAAAAGAAUACCGCCAAGGGAGAGAAGAAAAAAAUAACCAAGAAACGAAUAUGAUGCGCAGUAAAAAGCAACCAGAAACUGCACGAAUUCACGCAAGCAACCGGGUCAAACGCGGCCAAAACUCCCGGGGGUUCUUGUGCUUCCAACCAGAAACUGCACAGGCACAGCUCCUUCCUUCAUCACGUUUUAAGUGCUGGACGAGUACCCGACUUUCUUGUCGUCGCGGUGCGGAACAACGGUCCUGGGAGCGUCGACGUGCAUCCUCAGGGAGCUGAACUCGAGCGCGAAGAUGGGCCUGGACAACAGGACCGAGAUGCUGUGGCUUCGGGCGUCCAAGUCGGCUGCCACGCUGGACCCGGAGCUGCUGACCUCGCCGUCGGAUUUUUCCUGCUGGGGCUCUGUGGUUCUUGCACUCCAGAUCCUAGCAGGCUUCACAGGGCGCACCCUGUGGAAGGAAACAGUCAACAGUGCGUCGAAUACGGGUAGAUCGUACGCCAUCAAUGGAUAGCUCACUAGCCCAGGACGUUCACAGAGUUUUGUUUUUUGUCAUCACCUGCAUUCUACUUGACAGGAGUACUUGAGAAGAUCAGGAUGGUCCACUGUACGUCCGCUGAAAUUCGCAAAGCAAGCGAGACGUGCCUGUUUCAGAAACAAUACGUAUUUUGACGAGGACUCUUUUUUUUCCCCUUCUUCUUGCCCUUCUUUCGAUUUCUCAGUAGAAAUCUGCGCAUGGCUACGUAAAUUCUUUCUUUGAAGGAAAUCAUGGGGGAAUACGGUUUGGUUCGCCUGACCUGAAACUCGGGAGUGACAUUCUGAUUGCUGGGCCCGCCCACUGGUGGUCCUUAUGUGAUCCUGCUGUCGCCUCCAUAUGGUUAGAAAGUGAAGUAAAAGCAUUGGAUCAACAAAGCAGAGGCUCGUGUCGUGAGUAGCGCGUCUUGAGAGUGAAAAAGGAUAGAUAGCAUUAGGAAACAUGUCGUUCUGAAAGACAUACAGGAAAACCUCAUCGUAUUUGACAUCCACAUCAGUGAAGAAGUGAGGUCAAGAGUGAUUUGACAAAAUCCAAUGCGACAGAUUCAGACUACUAUAUAUAUAGUUUAUGUAUUUUGAGCCCUAGGCUUUUAAUAGUUGAGCGGAAGCCCUGACCCGAUGUUGCCAACCGGUUCAGCCGCAUCUCGUCCAAAGUGUUUAUAAAAGAAGCUCUAGAUCGCUAGCCGCUAGGGUUCAGUUACGUCGACAGUUACGCCCCCACCCCUGAGGGGCGCGCGCGACGGCGGAUCCUGGGAGCAAGCGCGCGACGGCGGAUCUGGGGGACACGCUUGCGACGACGGAUCAGGGGACACGCUCGCGACGGCGGAUCCCUGAGGCGCGCACGACAGCGAGGUGGGAGCGACUGCGGCAUCGGAUCCCGAGGGCACGCACACGACAGCGGCCCCAUGAGGUGCGCACGACGGUGAUGUGGCAGCGGUCGCGGCGGCGAAUCUCGUGGGGCUCGAGCGCGACAGCGUCUCCCUGAGGUGCAGGCGGUAGCGACCCCUUGAGGUGCGCACAACGAUGACGUGGGAGCGGUUGCGGCGGCGCGACGGUGGAUCUCAGGGGCAUGUGAGCAACAAUGACACCCCUAAGGCAUGCAUGACGACGAGGUGGGAGCGGUUGGUGCAACGGAUCUCGGGAUUCAUGCGCGCGAGGGUCGACUCCUGAGCGCAUACAACUGCGAUGCCAUCCAAGGUGGGAGCAGCGAUGGCGGAUUUCCCUAGGCGCAAGCGACGACGGCAUCCUCCCCUAGGCACGAAGUGGUGGCGCAUCCCAGAUGCAAGGCGUCGGUUCCGCAGGCCGGUGAUCAUAUUUUUAUGCUAUUUUGUAUACAUAUUUAUACCAAUGUCAAUAGAAUUUUACGACCUAUAUUUCAGUUCAUGGCUCCGCUUCCAUCUAUUAGUCUGUUUAUGAUAUUUCUAUUCAUAUUUUACGCAAACGAUUUAUUGUUUUAUGCAUUAACUCGUUCAUUAAUCUAGUGUGUAUUGGAUUCCUACCAUUUAUGCCAUAUGUAUAAGAUAUAUUUACGACCCACACAUUAACGCAAUAAAAUAGAAAUUUAGAAAGAAAAAAUAACCGCUAUAAGAAAUGAGGUCAUUUGCCACAAUUCCAUAAAUCUCGCAUAUGCUGAUCCAUUUUCUUUUCAGCUCACAUUAUUGCCAUCCUAAAUUUGAGCACAUGCAGUACAAAACCGAUUUUUUACGCAGUCCACCGUAGGACAUAAAUAACUUCACCGUGUUGUAUAACUAGUAUCAGUAUAUAUCAUAAACUGGUUAUAAUGAGCCUUAAUGCAUGGAUGUUGGAGAGAUCUUAUAUUUAUAGAGGAAAUAAAGCAUUGAAAUCAGAUUUUUUUUAUUUCCAUACGUGUUUUCGUUAUGAAAUAGAUCGAUGAUUUACACUAAAAUGUAUACCCAUUUAUACUGUUUUGGUUCACGUUUUCUGAUGAUAAGUCAUCUUACUGGGCACUAGUUCUGGUUAAAAAAAGAACAGUGCAUUUUGCAUGUUCAAAAAUGUUAUUUUGAAGAGUCCACGUUCAGUAAUAUAGCCGAAAAAAAAGUUCAGGGAAACGUAGCUCAAAAGGAUAAGGAAACAAGCACAACAUUUGAGCCUAGCAAUUACUGUAUAACCGUAUCAACGUGGUUUCGAUAGAUUAAGGGCAUGUUUGUUUCCUCGCUGGAUUGUAUAAUCCAACUUAUUUUAUAUAGAUUAUAUAAUUCAUAAUCCUAUUAGAGAUGUUUAUUUACGCAAAUUAUUAGCAGGUAAAACGCAAACAAUUAAUUUAAAAUAACCAUCUACUGAUCUGCUUAUGGAUUUAUCACAAUCUAGGUAGAGGUGGUAAUGAGCUUUAAAUUUUAUACUACAAAAUUUAAGGAUCAGAUCGGGAUCUAUUUCUAUUUAUUUUUAGACUAAAAUUAAGUAAGGGAUCAAAUAUAAUGUGGAAAAAAAAUAAUAUUUGGAUCGUGAUCUAUUACCACCUAUAAAUCUAGGUAACUAGAUUAUAUAAUCUACUUCAAUAAUCUAUGUUGUUUGUUUGCACGCUUAACUUAUUUAAGCUCGAUUAUAUAUGAUAUAGAGGGUAAACAAACAGUACCUAAAUGGAUAAGAAGACUGUUACCGGUAAAUGGCAGGCUGAUGUUGCACAGAUGCCGAGUAGACGAGCCGCCCUUGGACUCUGAAACCUCAAUCUCGCGGCCAUUCCCUUGCUCGAAGGCUGUCGACCCGAUCCCCAGCAUGUUGAGGAAGCUGUUUGGUCUAGCCAACGGUCUAUCCCCAAGCGAAGCAGCCUCGUUCUGUCUCAUCAUGUGACACAGACAGGUUACAAGUCUCACGACAGCGACAUUUUGCAGUCCUAAUCAGCUGCCACAAGCGUUCGGAAUGUAGCAAGUAGCAACGGCUUUGGUAUCUCGGUACCUUUGACGAGAAUGUGGCGACAUGGCUUGGCAGUCCUACCUCCUGCAGAGAUCGGGACGACGGCUCCAGUUCAGUUCAGGGAAAGGGAAACAGCAGGACAAGAAACGUGACACAGAGGAGUUCCGGUGGUCAAAGUAACCUUGCGGCCGUGCCGGCAGGCUUCGACGCUGUUCACCAGCACCCUGGCAGCCCACCUGAAAACAAGCUCAUACAGUAGUAGAUCAGAAGCAGCAAGAACUGAAAAAAAGCUCAGUCAAGCAAGUCACCACUAUUCAGAGUUCCAUCCAACUGCUGCAUUUCGAAGACGGAGGAAAGUAGGAAACCACGGGCGGCUGUAGGCUGUAGCUGAGCUGCGCAGGGCAGCAAGUUGGCCACGCGGAGCAAGUGCAGCGCACCCGGACACCCCUCCCCAGCCUACGAAUAAUUGAAAGAAGCAAGGCACAGUCCGUGCUGCCAAGUACAAUCAUAUGGGGGAUAAGGCGCUUGUUUAUGGCCGGCUGGCGCAAGCACGAGGGUUUUCGUUUUUUUUCUUUCCCCUUCGCAUACUGCAAGUUGCCCCUGUUCUUUUCUGUUGGGGGGUCCCUGAUCGAGGCCAAUCAGGCAGGAGAAAGCGGCGAAGAAGCCUACAAGGGAUUAAACUAGGCCACAGAAGAUGCGAAUGCAAUGCAGGCAUGAAGCGGAGCGAAGGCGAACUCACGCGCAGGAGGUCGGCGGGUUCCACACAAUGCCGGCGAUCACCACGAGCUGCAGGCGCCAAAAAAAAAGGGUGUCGGUCGGUGGGUCGGCCGGGUCGUCGAACCGAAUCUUGCAGGAACAUUAGAUAGAACCCGCAGCAGCAGCCAAUGGCGGCGGCAGGCGCGGUGCGCGCAGGCAGUAUACCUCGUCGAAUUCGCCGGCAGGGCUGUCGUGGUAGCGCGCCAGGAACAUGCCGCCGAGCGUGUAGCCGAAGGCCUCAACCAGGCGGAGGUCCCGCGGCACGAAGGCCCGCGCCGUCGACGCCUUCACCAAAUGCAGCUGGUACAAUGCGCUGCAGUGCAGCAGGAGGAGGAAGGAGAGCGCGGCGGCGAGAGACCAUCACCCAUCAUCCAUCACGCACUGGCUCGAUCGAACAGGUGGGGGGAAAGAAGAAAAGAAAAAAAAGGAAAGGAGAGCUGCGGGCCUUGCCUGCCUUUGAACACCCAUGGCGGCCCGUGCUUGUACCCCGCGCAGGCCGUCUCCUUCUCCUCGUUCUCCGCCGCCAUGGAUCCCCCUUCCUCCUCACGCUCUCGGCAGCUAGCUAGCUAGCUAGACAGACAGACAGACUCUCCGCGAACGCAAGGGAAGCGGCCCCGCCACUGGACAGGGAAGGAGAGUCAAAGGGCGGCCCUGGGUUUAUAGGCAGGCAGGAGCUGGUGGAGUGGGAGGAGGGCGAAUGGAAGGGGAGGCAGGGGGCGAUGAAUGCUGAUGCACUGACUGAUGCUGGGACGCAGGUCGCGGCUUAAACAAGUGGUUGUCGCCGCGGCUUUGCGGCUCGCGAGCUUUGGUUCGACGGAGGGGACGGGAGGCGAGAGGGGAUGGGAGCCCGGGCGGACCUUAUCCGGUGGACAGGUGGCACCAGCCUAGAGGCCACGGGUGCGGGUGACGUCAUCCGUCGAGAUCCGAGCGGGGCCCACGCUUUGCUGUCUCAUCGUCCGCGUCGGUUCCCUGCCGCUGAUCAGCUCCCGGACCCGGAGUCCGGACCCCGGACAAAGAUGUGGCGGGCUGCUUGUUUGAUUGCGGGGCCGGGGCGCCGCUGUGUUUUCCCUGCUGCUGUUUUCGGGAUCUUGGAUUAGUCAACCAAGGCCACGGCCAUGAAAGCCACAGCGGAGCGGGGGCAGCGUGCGGCAUGCGCUGUGUGCCGGUCAUGGCAACGAGACCUGAACUCCGCGGGAAUUUAUCUAUUAGGACAUGUUCCCAAUAUAAUAACGAGAUUUAGCGUUUUUAUCAGGCGUGUACAAACCAAGUCAUAAAACCAGAUACUCCCUCCUUUCUUUUUAGUUAUCGCUGGAUAGUUCCAUUUUGUACUAUCCAGCGACAACUAAAACGAAACGGAAAGAGUACAUAAUGCUUUUGCUAAAUCUAUUAGCUUCAUUACCAAACAAAAACGUGAGAAAGAGCGUCUACACAACAUCUUUGAUUAUUGAAAGGAAGGCAAGUUCCUAACCCUGUCAUACCGUAGCAAAUGGACUAAUUUGUGGGUAAAGAAGUGGUUUUACAUGAAAAAUAAUUUUAAAAGCGGUGAACAUAUCAAGGGCAUAAUUCAAAUGCUUAUCAAGCCCAAUUUUGGAUUUAAGAGGUCGACUUGUUAUAUGAGUAUGACUGUCUUUAAUAUUGUUUGCACCUAUACAUCGGAACACGAGAUCGGGUUCAAGAGCAUUUAGCUUUGAAUAUCUGGACGCUGAGGACUGAGUGGGUGAAAGUUGUCUAGAGAGGGGGUGAAUAGACGAAACUUGAAAAUUACAAACUUUGAACAUAAACUUCACCCAAGGUUAGCGUUAGAACGAGUAAUGACGAAAUUAGAGUGCAGAAGAUAGUUCUACUGCCAUGGAUUGAUCAAUCAAUUCGCAUAACUUUGGGAGUUAACUCAAAAUGAUCACAAGCAAGAGAACUCAGAGAGAUGGGAGAGGAAGAAUCAAAUCACAAUGCAAGAUUAACAUAAAGACACAGGUGAUUUGUUUCCCGAGCUUCAGUUCCGAAGAACCUACUCUCCAUUGAGGAGGCCACGUAGGUCGGGUCUUUUUCAACCUUUUUCCUCUCUCAAACGGUCACUUAGACCGGUUUAGUGCUUCUUCUUAAUCUCGAGGGUCACUUAGACCCCGCAAGGACCACCACAUAAUUAGGUGUCUCUUGAUACCUUUACAAGUCAAUGAGAAUUUAGAAGAAGAGGAAGAAAGCACGAUCAAGAAACCAAGCAACAAGAGCAACAAUAAAACACAAGGUCACACUCUUUAUAGUGUCUCUAUAAAGCGCUAAUCACUAAAGAUUACAAAUCACAAUUAUGGCACUUGGAGGAGUUUUGAGACUUUUGAGUGUGCUUGAAGUGAAGAGUUGCUCUUGCAAUGAAUGAGAGUUAUGGAAGUUUGGAUGAGUUGAAUGGAGGUGGUUGGGGUUGUAUUUAUAGCCACCAACCUUUUCCUAGUUGUUGCCCUUGUUCUGCCACGUGUGGUUGGUCCGCGCUCCUGGUUCGGACGGUUCGCCCCUGCACAUCAACGAUUGGAUUUUGCAACGGUCAGUUAUAAUGGCUAAAAUCACAUUAAAUGUCUCGUCGAAUGUCAGAUAAAGUCUGACGUGGACGACCCGGUCGUGCCUCCAAAUGGUCCGCGUGUGCGUUAUAAUUCAUUUUACCGAACCAGACACCUUCGGGUUGUUCUGUCUUUCAACGAUCGGAUGGUUCCCUCCUGAGGCCGGACAGUUUUCACAUGACUUCAGACGGUACUAUUCUUUCCUUCGGAUAGUCCGUAGUAGAAAAGUGCAUUUGGCAUAGUAUCUCUCCGAAGUCCAUCGAGGUGUCACAGACAGUCCGCCGAAAGGGCUCAGACGGUCCGAGCACAUGUGAAUUUUCUAAAAAUAGCUCAUGUCCAGAAUAAUCUAUGUAAUUCCGGACAGUCCGCUUUAGAACCUCAGACAACCCACGAAGCGCUGUUUUGAUGGUUAAUCUUUCUUGAAGUAUUUUCUGAGUUCCUGAGAUCAUAACUUGCUAAACUAGUUAGCUAAAUUGGUUGUGAUGGUCGUCAAUUACCAAAAAAUAGUGGAAAUGGUUUUUAGGCCUAUUUCCCUUUCAGUGGGCGACGUUAGAGCCGAAGGAAGGUAGCACGAUGAAGCAAGAGGCAAGUCUUGUUAGGUUGAAAUAUACGUAUAAGUUCAAAAAAUAGUUUGGGAGCCAUGCGACAAAUGGUUGAAAGCUAUCGAGGAUAAAUGCAAUGAAAUCCUUGGAUUUCAAUAAGAAAGGAGACGAUGUUUUUCCCGCUGCCCUCGGAGAAAUGAUGGUUGAACCGCGUGUUCGACACCAUCGGUUUGUUUACCUUGACUACCCGAGCUAACACUAGGUGGGGGAAAUAAAAGGAAGCAGAAAAAAUUAAGAUGAUGACCAAACAUCGCAAAAUCUUUGCUACAGAGGAAGGUGAACAUGCUAGGAAGAAAGUUAAUUUUGAAGAAAGAGCAGCAGAUGUCGAGCUGAGGCUAACUAUUAGGACUUGAGAAAUAUCGAGGGCACAUAAUGACAUUUUGCUCGACUUUUACUAAUGCUUAGAAUUUGUCAUACGAUACCUUUCUUUGAUGGCUUGUUCACAUUUUUAUAGGAAAAUUUUGAGACUAAAGAAGUUAUUGAAUUGUCUAUACUUUGAUGAAACUUCUUUGGCCAAAAUUGAAGCAAAGCCAAAGAAAAGCCUUGACUCCGACACCUGGAGCAAAAACCCUAAGGAAAGAUAGACAUAUAAAUCCUAUGAUGAAUGCCUUUCUUUACGAGGAUACACAUGAGGAGACUACUGAAGCAGAAGCUACUUCUAAGGCUUUGGGAGAUAAGACAGCCACCACAACAAUGGUGGUGGCCAAAGAAAUUGAUGUUUGCAUGGCGAUCACGCCAACAACGGAAGCUAAAGAGAUGCCCAUGGCCGCACCAUUAGUGGUACCAGAAAAGGUCGAAGCCAAGGACAACUCUCCAAAGCAAGAUAUUAUUCCCAAAAAACAAUGAGGGUGAAAAGGCUGUGGAGGCCAAAAGGGCAAAAUAAACGGAGGAAGAGAAAUUCUCCAAACACAGGACUGAAAGGGAAAUGUGCCCUUGGGCCAUUUCUAUAAGUUUUUGGUGAUUAAGUGCCCAACACACAUUAAGGGAAUGAGUAUAUGCCAAAGGGUGGACAAAGUGCAAAUCAAUACAAAGGUAUGAUUCUAUACUUAGUACAUUAGUUUUUGUGUACUAACAUAUUUGUCUAAGUGCUAGAAUCAGAGAAAAGACAAUUGGAAAAGACUUGGCUCGAGCAGCCAAGACUCUGCUCAGUCUGGGUACACCGGACUGUCUGGUAGUGCACCGGACAGUGUCCGGAGGUGCACCGGACAGUGUCCGGUGCGCCAGGCUGGCUCUGGUGAAAAGGCCGCUCUCGGGAAUUCGUCGGCGGCGUACGGCUAAAAUUCACCGGACUGUCCGGUGAGCCAACGGUCGACCGAGCCAACGGUCAGCCGCGCAAUCCGCGCGUGACGCGUGGCCGGGCCAACGGUCUGAAGGGGGCACCGGACUGUCCGGUGUGCACCGGACAGUGUCCGGUGCGCCAACGGCUCCAAAUCGCCAAUGGUCGGCUGCGCCAAAAUAGGAAAGAAAUCUGCACCAGACAGUGUCCGGUGGUGCACCGGACUGUCCGGUGCGCCAGUCGACAGAAGGCAAGAAUUGCCUUCCUAGAAUGCUCUCAACGACUCCUAGCUACCUUGGGGCUAUAAAAGGGACCCCUAGGCGCAUGGAGGAGAACACUAAGCACACUUUGAGCAUUCUUGAUCAUUCACACUUCGUUCUUGCGCACUCGUUUGACAUUCUUAGUGAUUUGAGCUAUGUUCUAGUGAGAACUUUGAGAUACUCAUUUGAACUCAAGUCUUGGCCGUGUGUGUGUGUAUUGCUGUGGACUUGUGUGUGUUGCUCAUCCCAUCCUUACUUCCGUGUUCAUUUGUGAUCAUCUUUUGUAAGGGCGAGAGACUCCAAGUUGUGGAGAUUCCUCGCAAACGGGAUAUAGUGAAAGAAAAAGAAAUACCGUGGUAUUCAAGUGGAUCUUUGGAUCACUUGAGAGGGGUUGAUUGCAACCCUCGUCCGUUGGGACGCCACAACGUGGAGUAGGCAAGUGUUGAACUUGGCCGAACCACGGGAUAAACCACUGUGCCUCUCUGUGUUGAUAUCUUUGUGGUUAUUGUGUUUUGCAAGAACUCCUUUCUAGCCACUUGGCUUUAUUGCUCUAACACUUAAUCAAGUUUGUGGCAUUAAGUUUUAAGUUUUUACAGGAUCACCUAUUCACCCCCCCUCUAGGUGCUCUCAAUUGGUAUCAGAGCCGUUCUCUUCAAGAAAGGGACUAAUCGCCCGAAGAGAUGGAUCCUAAGGGAAAGGGGAUGGUGGUCAACGACAAUGAGAAGGAGUCCAUCUUCAACGAGCCAAGGGACGGCAAAGUCAAUGACUCCGACUCAAGUCAAAAGAAGAAAGAUGGAAAGAAGAAGAGACGCAUCAGGAAGGUUGUCUACUACGACAGCGACAAAUCUUCCUCUUCUCAAAAGGACGACAAAUACGAGGAAAAGAAGAAAACAGUUAACUCUAACUUUUCCUUUGAUUAUUCUCAUAUUCCGCAUAAUUCCAAUGCUCAUUUGCUUUCUAUUCCACUUGGUAAACCUCCUCACUUUGAUGGAGAGGACUACGGAUUUUGGAGUCACAAAAUGCGUAGUCAUUUGUUCUCUCUUCAUCCAAGUAUAUGGGAGAUAGUAGAAAACGAAAUGCAAUUUGAUAGUUCAGAUAAUUCUAUGUUUAUCAAUGAACAGAUCCAUAAGAAUGCACAAGCUACUACUGUUCUUCUAGCAUCCUUGUGCAGGGAAGAAUACAAUAAGGUGAGCGGCUUAGACAAUGCCAAGCAGAUCUGGGACACCCUCAAGAUCUCACAUGAGGGGAACGACGUUACCAUGCUCACCAAGAUGGAGUUGGUGGAAGGCGAACUAGAAAGGUUCGCAAUGAUCAGGGGGGAGGAGCCAACCCAAACGUACAACAGGCUCAAGACCCUCGUCAACAAAAUAAGGAGCUAUGGAAGCACGCGAUGGACGGACCACGACGUCAUCCGACUUAUGCUAACGUCCUUCACCGUCCUUGAUCCUCAUCUUGUUAACUCUAUUCGUGAUGUUAGGACGUUUAUGCCCCCAGGCAUCUGGAUUAUCCCUAGGAUAUUCCCAUAAUGGAGGGUUACAGACUGUCAUUAUAUGAAAGUCAUUACAAAUCGGGCCCGUAACACACAUCGCCGUCGCGGGGCCUAAUACGACGGGCCGCUUCCCACAUGGACCUCCAGGCUAGGUGAGGACGUGGGAUGACGGGACUUCAUCGUGGCCCUUCGUCUUGCGAUGAGAAGGACGAAGGGUAGCCUGCGCCGGUCAUCUAGCUUCCGUAGGUGCGCAGAGUUGACGAGGGCUUCGAGCGAAGGGUAGUGUCUUUGCCUUCGCCCCAACAUUUGCCCUUCGAGGGACCAGUUCGACUAAGUCAUCUGGUGCCGAAGACGUCGCUAGAUGGUGGAGACGCUGCCCUCGCUCGAAGUGGUUCCGUGGGGGUUUUUGAUGUGACCGUUGAUGAACGUAGUACUGUUGGACUGUGGGUUUCCCGAAGCGUCGCGUACUGAGUAUAAAAAGGUGGGGCAGCGCGGGUCAGGUUCUCUUACCUUUCUAUGUGUCGCGAAACCCUAGCCUCCUUUUGAAACCGUGCACCCGCUCGCCUACCCUCCUUGCUCCUUGAGAGCACCUAGAGGGGGGGGGGUGAAUAGGUGAUCCUGUAAAAGUUCAAAACUUAAGCCACAAAAACUUGUUAAGGGUUAACACAAGUAUGACCAAGUGGCUAGAGAGAACUCAAAACAAGAUAACCACAAGAAAGCAAUCACAGAGUUGACACGGUGGUUAUCCCGUGGUUCGGCCAAGUACAAAACUUGCCUACUCCACGUUGUGGCGUCCCAACGGACGAGAGUUGCACUCAACUCCUCUCAAGUGAUCCAAUGAUCAACUUGAAUACCACGGUGUUUUUCUUUCCUUUGAUCUUUUCCCGUUUGCGAGGAAUCUCCACAACUUGGAGUCUCUCGCCCUUACAAUUGAGUUCACAAAGAAAUACGGAGUAAGGUGGGAAUGAGCAACGCACACAAGACUCGAAAAUCAGAGCAACAACACGCACACAAGUCGCAACAAGAGCUCGCAACGCAACACAAAGAGUUCACAACUCCACAAGAGCUCUAUAUGCUAUCACAAUGAAACGAAUGCGUGAGAUUGAUGUCUUGGUGCUUAGAAGAGUUGUAGGAAUGCUUGGUAUUCUCCUCCAUGCGCCAAGGGGUCCCUUUUAUAGCCCCAAGGCAGCUAGGAGCCGUUGGGAACAAAUCUGGAAGGCCAUCUUUGCCUUCUGUCUCGUGGCGCACCGGACAGUCCGGUGCACACCGGACACUGUCCGGUGCCCGAUUUGUUUCCAUAGAAAGCGAAGCCGACCGUUGCCGACCGUUGCAGAUCUGGCGCACCGGACAGUCCGGUGCACACCGGACAGUCCGGUGCUCCCUUCCGACCGUUGGCUCGGCCACGUGUCGCGCGCCGAUCGCGCGGCCGACCGUUGGCCCGGCCGACCGUUGGCUCACCGGACAGUCCGGUGCACACCGGACAGUCCGGUGAAUUUUAGCCGAAGUCGCCGGAGAAAAACCCGAGAGCGGCUGGUUUGCGCUGCGCUGAUCUGGCGCACCGGACACUGUCCGGUGCACACCGGACAGUCCGGUGCCCCAGCCCGAAGCAGCCUUUGGCUGUACACAGCCACUCUCCACUUCUUUUCUUUUCUUCUUUCUCCUGUUUCUAACACUUAGACAAGAUGUUAGUACACAAAACUAAUGUACUAAGGCUUAGAAACAUACCUUUACUUGUGAUUUACACUUUGUUCAUCCAUGAGCAUAUUUUCACAUUUAGGCCCUUGUGUUUGCACUCAAUCACCAAAAUACUUAGAAAUGGCCCAAGGGCACAUUUCCCUUUCAAUCUCCCCCUUUUUGGUGAUUUAUGCCAACACAACAUAAAGCAAGUGGAACAAGUGCAAAAUCACUUCAAAUAAAAACUCAAAUUGGUUUUGAUUCAAUUUUGGCAUAUAUGGAUCAUCCUUUGCCACCACUUGGUUUGUUUUUGCAAAUCAAACUCAAAUCUCUAUCUAUAAGUCAAACACACAUAUUGAAGCAUAAAGAGAGUCAUUUCAAAAGAAUUUGACCACGGAUUUCAAAAACUCCCCCUUUUUCCCAUAAUCAACACUUCUCCCCACAAGAAGCCAACUUUUGAAAAUAGAGACAAUAAGAGACAAUAAAAGCUUUUGACAAAACAAAAACUCUAUUCUACUAUUUUCAAAAUCUCUCAAGUGGUAGCUGAUCCAUUUAUCACUUUGGCCUUUAUUUUCUCCCCCUUUGGCAUCAAGCACCAAAACGGGAUCAAUCUUGGCCUGUUAACCCCAUUGCCUCACCAAAGUCUUCAAGUAAGAGCAAAUGGCAAUAAGAUUUCAUGAGAUGAACUUGGAAUUAGUUACCCUCUCAUCGGAGUGCAGUGGAAGUCUUUCAUGGUCCAAGUCCACCUUUUCCCUUUCAAUCCUCCUUCGAGACUAAAUUAUCAAACUCAAGCACAUGGUUAGUCUCAAAGGGUCAAGUUGUAACACAUCUCCCCCUACACAUGUGCAUCACUUUGCAACGGACUUGUGAGGUCCAGGGAGUGUUUGUACAACUUGAGCACCAUAAUAAGCAACAUAAUGCAAAAAGGAACAUGAUCAAAAGCAUAACUACAUGUAUGCUACAAUUCAAUCCAGGUUCCGCGAAUCUAAGACAUUUAGCUCACUACGCAACCUGCAAAAGGUCUUCUCAUCUAGAGGCUUAGUGAAGAUAUCGGCUAGCUGGUUCUCGGUGCUAACAUGAAACACUUCGAUAUCUCCCUUUUGCUGGUGGUCUCUCAAAAAGUGAUGCCGGAUGUCUAUGUGCUUUGUGCGGCUGUGUUCAACAGGAUUUUCCGCCAUGCGGAUAGCACUCUCAUUAUCACAUAGGAGUGGGACUUUGCUCAGAUUGUAGCCAAAGUCCCUGAGGGUUUGCCUCAUCCAAAGUAGUUGCGCGCAACACUGUCCUGCGGCAACAUACUCGGCCUCAGCGGUGGAUAGGGCAACGGAAGUUUGUUUCUUAGAGUUCCAUGACACCAGGGACCUUCCUAAGAAUUGGCACGUCCCCGAUGUACUCUUCCUAUCGACCUUACAUCCAGCAUAGUCGGAGUCUGAGUAUCCAACUAAGUCAAAGGUUCCCUUUGGAUACCAGAGCCCGAAGCAAGGCGUAGCAACCAAAUAUCUAAGAAUUCGCUUCACCGCCACUAAGUGACACUCCUUAGGAUCGGAUUGAAAUCUAGCACACAUGCAUACGCUAAGCAUAAUAUCCGGUCUACUAGCACAUAAAUAAAGCAAAGAACCUAUCAUUGACCGGUAUGCUUUUUGAUCAACGGACUUACCUCCUUUGUUGAGGUCGGUGUGUCCGUCGGUCCCCAUCGGAGUCUUUGCGGGCUUGGCGUCCUUCAUCCCAAACCGCUUUAGCAGAUCUUGCGUGUACUUCGUUUGGGAGAUGAAGGUGCCGUCCUUGAGUUGCUUCACUUGGAACCCAAGGAAGUAGUUCAACUCGCCCAUCAUCGACAUCUCGAAUUUCUGCGUCAUCACCCUGCUAAACUCUUCACAAGACUUUUGGUUAGUAGAACCAAAUAUUAUGUCAUCAACAUAAAUUUGGCACACAAACAAAUCACCAUCACAUGUCUUAGUGAAAAGAGUUGGAUCGGCCUUCCCAACCUUGAAAGCAUUAGCAAGUAAAAAGUCUCUAAGGCAUUCAUACCAUGCUCUUGGGGCUUGCUUAAGUCCAUAGAGCGCCUUAGAGAGCUUACACACAUGGUCGGGGUACCGUUCAUCCUCGAAGCCAGGGGGUUGCUCCACGUACACCUCCUCCUUGAUUGGCCCGUUGAGGAAAGCGCUCUUCACAUCCAUUUGGAACAACCUGAAAGAAUGGUGAGCGGCAUAUGCUAGCAAGAUUCGAAUUGACUCUAGCCUAGCCACAGGAGCAAAAGUCUCCUCAAAAUCCAAACCUGCGACUUGGGCAUAACCUUUUGCCACAAGUCGAGCCUUGUUUCUCGUCACCACCCCGUGCUCGUCCUGUUUGUUGCGGAACACCCACUUGGUUCCCACAACAUUUUGCUUCGGACGAGGCACCAGUGUCCAAACUUCAUUGCGCUUGAAAUUGUUUAACUCCUCUUGCAUGGCCAACACCCAGUCCGGAUCUAGCAAGGCCUCUUCUACCCUGAAAGGCUCAAUAGAAGAGACAAAGGAGUAAUGCUCACAAAAAUUAACUAAUCGAGAUCGAGUAGUUACUCCCUUGCUAAUGUCACCCAGAAUUUGGUCGACGGGAUGAUCCCUUUGAAUCAUCGCUCGAACUUGGGUUGGAGGUGCCGGUUGCACUUCUUCCUCCAUCACUUGAUUAUCUUGUGCUCCCCCUUGAUCAAGCGCCUCCACUUGAGGUACCUGUUCGUCAUCUUUGGUUGGGGGAUGCACCAUAGUUGAGGAAGAAGGUUGAUCUCGUUCAUCUUGUUCCUGUGGCCGUACUUCUCCAAUCGCCAUGGUCCGUAUAGCGGCCGUCGGAACAUCUUCUUCAUCUACAUCAUCACAAUCAACAACUUGCUCUCUUGGAGAGCCAUUAGUCUCAUCAAAUACAACGUCGCUAGAGACUUCAACCAAACCCGAUGAUUUGUUGAAGACUCUAUACGCCUUUGUAUUUGAGUCAUAACCUAACAAAAACCCUUCUACAGCUUUGGGAGCAAACUUAGAAUUUCUACCUUUCUUCACUAGAAUGUAGCACUUGCUCCCAAAUACACGAAAGUAAGAUACAUUGGGUUUGUUACCGGUUAGAAGCUCAUACGACGUCUUCUUGAGGAGGCGAUGAAGGUAGACCCUGUUGAUGGCAUGGCAAGCAGUGUUCACGGCUUCCGUCCAAAAGCACUCGGGGGUCUUGAAUUCUCCUAGCAUCGUCCUCGCCAUGUCAAUGAGCGUCCUGUUCUUCCUCUCUACCACACCAUUUUGCUGUGGUGUGUAGGGAGCGGAGAACUCGUGCUUGAUCCCUUCUUCUUCAAGGAACUCCUCCACUUGAAGGUUCUUGAAUUCGGACCCGUUGUCGCUCCUUAUCUUCUUCACUUUGAGCUCAAACUCAUUUUGAGCCCUCCUGAGGAAGCGCUUGAGGGUCCCUUGGGUUUCAGACUUAUCCUGCAAAAAGAACACCCAAGUGAAGCGGGAAAAGUCAUCAACAAUAACUAGACCAUACUUACUUCCCCCUAUGCUUAGAUAGGCGACGGGUCCGAAGAGGUCCAUAUGCAGCAGCUCCAGGGGUCUUGAAGUGGUCAUCACAUUCUUGCUGUGAUGCGCUCCUCCCACCUGUUUCCCUGCUUGACAAGCUGCACAAGGUCUAUCUUUUUCGAAUUGAACAUUGGUUAGACCUAUCACGUGUUCUCCCUUUAGAAGCUUGUGAAGGUUCUUCAUCCCCACAUGUGCUAAGCGGCGAUGCCACAGCCAGCCCAUGCAAGUCUUAGCCAUUAAGCAUGCAUCUAGACCGGCCUCUUCUUUUGCAAAAUCAACUAAAUAAAGUUUGCCGUCUAAUACACCCUUAAAAGCUAGUGAACCAUCACUUCUUCUAAAGACAGACACAUCUAUAUUUGUAAACAGACAGUUAUAUCCCAUAUUGCACAAUUGACUAACAGAUAGUAAAUUAUAUCCUAGUGACUCUACUAAAAACACAUUAGAGAUAGAGUGCUCAUUAGAAAUUGCAAUUUUACCUAACCCUUUUACCUUGCCUUGAUUCCCAUCACCGAAUAUGAUUGAAUCUUGGGAAUCCUUAUUCUUGACGUAGGAGGUGAACAUCUUCUUCUCCCCCGUCAUAUGGUUUGUGCAUCCGCUAUCAAUAAUCCAGCUUGAACCCCCGGAUGCAUAAACCUGCAAGGCAAAUUUAGGCUUGGGUCUUAGGUACCCAACUCAUGUUGGGUCCUACAAGGUUAGUGCAAAUAUCCUUAGGGACCCAAAUGCAAGUUUUGUCUCCCUUGCAUUUUGCCCCUAACUUCCUAGCAACAAUUUUCUUAUCCUUUCUACAAAUAGCAAAGGAAGCAUUUAAAGCAUAAUAAAUUGUGGAAGGUUCAUUCACUACUUUCCUAGGAGCAUGAAUAGCAUUCUUUCUAGACACAUGAUGAAUAGUAUUUCUCUUAGGAACAACAUUUCUCCUAGUAACAUUUCUAUCAUACACAUAAGAGGAACUAGGAGCAAACAUGGCAUGAGAGUCAAAAUCAUCAAAAGCAUUAUAACUCCUAUAAGCAUUUCUAGUUUGUCUCCUAUCAUAAUACAUAAAAGCAUGGUUCUUUUGCACAUUACUAGCCAUAGGGGCCUUCCCUUUCUCCUUGGCGGGAAUGGGAGCCUUAUGGCUUGUUAAGUCCUUAGCUUCUCUCUUGAAGCCAAGUCCAUCCUUAAUUGAGGGGUGUCUACCAAUUGUAUAGGCAUCCCUUGCAAAUUUUAGCUUAUCGAAAUCAUUCUUGCUAGUCUUAAGUUGAGCAUUAAGACUAGCCAGUUCAUCAUUAAGCUUGGAAAUUGAAACUAGGUGUUCACUACAAGCAUUAAUGUCAAAAUCUUUACACCUAGUACAAAUUUCAACAUGUUCUACACAAGAAUUGGAUUUAUUUGCUACUUCUAAUUUAGCAUUUAAAUCAUUGUUGACACCUUUCAAAGUAGAAAUGGUUUCAUGACAAGUAGAUAGUUCAAAAGAAAGCAUUUCAUUUCUUUUAACUUCUAAAGUAUAGGAUUUUUGUGCCUCAACAAAUUUAUCAUGCUCUUCAUACAACAAAUCCUCUUGCUUUUCUAAAAGUAUAUUCUUUUCAUUCAAGGCAUCAAUUAAUUCAUUAAUUUUGUCUAUCUUAGAUCUAUCUAAGCCCUUGAACAAACAUGAAUAAUCUACUUCAUCCUCAUCACUAGAUUCGUCCUCACUUGAAGAAGCAUAGGUAGAGUUGCGAGUACAUACCUUCUUCUCCCUUGCCAUAAGGCAUGUGUGACGCUCGUUGGGGAAGAGGGUUGAUUUGUUGAAGGCGGUGGCGGCGAGUCCUUCAUUGUCGGAGUCGGAUGAGGAGCAAUCCGAGUCCCACUCCUUGCCUAGAUGCGCCUCACCCUUUGCCUUCUUAUAAUGCUUCUUCUUUUCCCUCUUGUUUCCCUUUUCCUGGUCACUUUCAUUAUCAGGACAGUUAGCAAUAAAAUGACCAAGCUUACCGCAUUUGAAGCAUGAUCGCUUCCCCUUGGUCUUAGUCUUGCUCGGCUGUCCAUUGCGACCCUUUAGCACCGUCUUGAAGCGCUUAAUGAUGAGAGCCAUUUCUUCAUCAUUAAGCCCGGCCGCCUCAAUUUGCGCCACCUUGCUUGGUAGUGCCUCCUUGCUCCUCGAUGCCUUGAGAGCAAUGGGUUGAGGCUCGUGGAUUGGACCGUUCAACGCGUCAUCGACGUACCUUGCCUCCUUGAUCAUCAUCCGCCCGCUCACGAAUUUUCCAAGUACUUCUUCGGGCGUCAUCAUCGUGUACCUGGGGUUCUCACGAAUAUUGUUCACGAGAUGAGGAUCAAGAACGGUAAAUGACCUGAGCAUUAGGCGGACGACGUCGUGAUCCGUCCAACGCGUGCUUCCGCAGCUCCUUAUCUUGUUGAUAAGGGUCUUGAGCCGGUUGUAAGUUUGAGUUGGCUCUUCUCCCCUUAUCAUGGCGAAUCGUCCAAGCUCGCCCUCCACCAACUCCAUCUUGGUGAGCAUGGUGAUGUCGUUCCCCUCGUGAGAGAUCUUGAGGGUGUCCCAUAUCUGCUUGGCAUUGUCCAAGCCGCUCACCUUAUUGUACUCUUCCCUGCACAAAGAUGCUAAGAGAACAGUAGUAGCUUGUGCAUUUUUAUGAAUUUGUUCAUUGAUAAACAUAGGGCUAUCCGAGCUAUCAAAUUUCAUUCCAUUCUCUACAAUCUCCCAUAUGCUUGGAUGGAGAGAGAAUAAAUGACUACGCAUUUUGUGACUCCAAAAUCCGUAGUCCUCCCCAUCAAAAUGUGGAGGUUUACCAAGAGGAAUGGAAAGCAAAUGCGAAUUCGAACUAUGUGGAAUACGAGAAUAAUCAAAUGAAAAGUUCGAAUUAACCGGUUUCCUUUGUUUGUCGUGGUCGUCGUUCUUUUGAGAAGAAGAGGACUCAUCGCUGUCGUAGUAGACGAUCUCCUUGAUGCGUCUUGUCUUCUUCUUCUUCCCAUCUCUUCGCUUGUGGCCCGAGCCCGAGUCAUUGGACUUGUCAUCCCUUGGCUCGUUGACGAAGGACUCCUUCUCCUUGUCGUUGAUCACAAUUCCCUUCCCCUUAGGAUCCAUCUCUUCGGGCGGUUAGUCCCUUUCUUGAAGAGAACGGCUCCGAUACCAAUUGAGAGCACCUAGAGGGGGGGGGGUGAAUAGGUGAUCCUGUAAAAGUUCAAAACUUAAGCCACAAAAACUUGUUAAGGGUUAACACAAGUAUGACCAAGUGGCUAGAGAGAACUCAAAACAAGAUAACCACAAGAAAGCAAUCACAGAGUUGACACGGUGGUUAUCCCGUGGUUCGGCCAAGUACAAAACUUGCCUACUCCACGUUGUGGCGUCCCAACGGACGAGAGUUGCACUCAACUCCUCUCAAGUGAUCCAAUGAUCAACUUGAAUACCACGGUGUUUUUCUUUCCUUUGAUCUUUUCCCGUUUGCGAGGAAUCUCCACAACUUGGAGUCUCUCGCCCUUACAAUUGAGUUCACAAAGAAAUACGGAGUAAGGUGGGAAUGAGCAACGCACACAAGACUCGAAAAUCAGAGCAACAACACGCACACAAGUCGCAACAAGAGCUCGCAACGCAACACAAAGAGUUCACAACUCCACAAGAGCUCUAUAUGCUAUCACAAUGAAACGAAUGCGUGAGAUUGAUGUCUUGGUGCUUAGAAGAGUUGUAGGAAUGCUUGGUAUUCUCCUCCAUGCGCCAAGGGGUCCCUUUUAUAGCCCCAAGGCAGCUAGGAGCCGUUGGGAACAAAUCUGGAAGGCCAUCUUUGCCUUCUGUCUCGUGGCGCACCGGACAGUCCGGUGCACACCGGACACUGUCCGGUGCCCGAUUUGUUUCCAUAGAAAGCGAAGCCGACCGUUACCGACCGUUGCAGAUCUGGCGCACCGGACAGUCCGGUGCACACCGGACAGUCCGGUGCUCCCUUCCGACCGUUGGCUCGGCCACGUGUCGCGCGCCGAUCGCGCGGCCGACCGUUGGCCCGGCCGACCGUUGGCUCACCGGACAGUCCGGUGCACACCGGACAGUCCGGUGAAUUUUAGCCGAAGUCGCCGGAGAAAAACCCGAGAGCGGCUGGUUUGCGGUGCGCUGAUCUGGCGCACCGGACACUGUCCGGUGCACACCGGACAGUCCGGUGCCCCAGCCCGAAGCAGCCUUUGGCUGUACACAGCCACUCUCCACUUCUUUUCUUUUCUUCUUUCUCCUGUUUCUAACACUUAGACAAGAUGUUAGUACACAAAACUAAUGUACUAAGGCUUAGAAACAUACCUUUACUUGUGAUUUACACUUUGUUCAUCCAUGAGCAUAUUUUCACAUUUAGGCCCUUGUGUUUGCACUCAAUCACCAAAAUACUUAGAAAUGGCCCAAGGGCACAUUUCCCUUUCACUCCUGCUCGUCGGAGAUCUGGCCCGCGUCAAGCAAACCGCGCGCCGCCGCCGAUGGUACGUAGCCAUGUCGUCUUCUUCCUCGUCUGCUGCGAACACGCCGUCGGCCGAUUCAUCUUCCGAGGAAACCUUGAUCAAUGUGGCAGCGACGGAGCUACAACCGGGCGAUACGCUGGAGUUUGGCGUUUCGAGGAUUUCCUCGGUUCGCGUGCAGGAUAUGUAGUAGCUGGGUUAUUUUGGCAGCAGAGUUGGGCAUGUCCCGGGGGCAGAGGAGGUGAAAGGGAAAUGUGCCAUUGGGCCAUUUCUAAGUAUUUUGGUGAUUGAGUGCCAACGCAAGUGCUUUUGUGUUGAUCUAUGCAAUGUGGUGAACAAAGUACAAAUCAAGUAUAAAGGUAUGUUUCUCAGACUUAGUACAUUGUUUUAGUGACUAAUGUAUUGUGUCUAAGUGCUGGAAACAGGAGAAAUCGAAUUGGAGAAGAGAUGGCCUUGUUCAGCCAAAGCCAGCUCUGUCUGGGUGCACCGGACUGUCCGGUGGUGCACCGGACAGUGUCCGAUGUGCCAGGCUGGCUCAGGCGAACUUGCCGCUCUCGGGAAUAAGUUAACGGUGUACGACUAUAAUUCACCGGACUGUCCGGUGAGCCAACGGUUGGCCGGUCCAACGGUCGGCCGCGCGAUCUGCGCGGGACACGUGGCCGAGCCAACGGCUAGAAGGAGGCACCGGACUGUCCGGUGUGCACCGGACAGUGUCCGGUGCGCCAACGGCUCUCUAACCCCAACGGUCGGCUUCGCCAAAUAAGGAAGGAUAUCCGCACCGGACAGUGUCCGGUGGUACACCGGACUGUCCGGUGCGCCAGGCGACAGAAGGCAAGAUCAGCCUUCCUGGAAUGUUCUCAACGGCUCCUAGCUACCUUGGGGCUAUAAAAGGGACCCCUAGGCGCAUGGAGGAGUACCACAAGCAUACUCAAAGCAUUCCUAAGCACCAAGACUUCGAUUCCACGCAUUUGUUUCUUCGUGAUAGCAUCUAGAGCUCUUGUUGAGUUGUGAACUCGUCGGUGUUACACCAUAAUAGCCAUCAAUUAAAAAUAAUGAAUUUAGUUAUUAUUAAUUAGGGUAAUAAUUUUUUUAAGUGUUUAAUUGUUUAUUUGCAUUUUUAUCAUUUUCAUUGCAUGUGCUUGAUUGCUUAUUGGAAUGUUUAUUAUCAACUCUUUUUAAAGAAAAUCCUAGCAAAUAAUAUAAUAAUUAUUAGUCUAAAAACAAGUAUUUUAUUUAUAAAUAAUUUUGGUGAAUUUCUCGGAAUUUUCGAGCUCUUUAAAAAUACAUUUCACAAUAAAAAAAAAACAAAUCCUACACUAAACCGGCCCACUAGGGGCCCAUUACCCCAAACCCUAUCCUCUAACGCGCGCGCGCCAGCAGAAGCCGCCGCCGCCAGCCUCUACUACUCCCUCUCCUAUCUCUCUUCUCUCUCUCCUCCACGUUCUCUCUGCACGCCGCCGCUCCCUGCCACGCUGCAGCACUCGCCCGGCCCUGCACCGGCGCCCUGCGCAAGCCGCGCCGAGCGCGCAGCCGCCUAGGCCGACCGGCCAACCCGCGCGCUGCCCUGGUGCGCGACGCCUGCGCUCCCUGCGCGCGCCUACGCCGCACGCCCAGCAGCGACGCCCGAGCAGACCCGAAGCCGCCGCGCCCGAAGCCGAAUCGCCCGAGCCCCACGCACCGCGACGCCCGACCGACCCUGCGCGAACCCCAACGGUCCCUCUGCACCGCGACCUCGCUGCCUAGAAGUCGAGCAGCCGCGCAGUCCGCGCCCCAUUGAAGUCAUAGCUGCCGUUACUGCCGUUUCUUCUUUCUGUGCCUCAUUCCUUCCUCCAUUAGUGGUGUUUACAACUCCUGUUCGUGUCGUGCAGAAACGGUUCAUCUUGUGGCCAUCACGGAGCUUUAAACAAGAUUUAAACUCUCUUUUCCGUCAGCCUAUAAAGCUAGAGACGUCCUGCUUCCUUCUUCCCCAAUAGCUCGGCUCUGCACUUCGUCUCGCUCAAUCGUCCUUAGGCUAUAGCCACUGCACCUUGUUAUCGUCGGAGCUUCACCCGCUCGGACACGCCGUCGUUUGCUGUCUACGCUCGUCGGAGUUCACCGGAGUCGCAGUUCGUCGCAGGAGCCACGCACUCGCCGUCCGUAGUCGAGCCCCGCACUCCGUCCGGCCGAAACCCGUCGAUCCGUGAAGCGUCCCGAUCCUUUGGGACUCAAAUGUGAAAGAAUUACUAGUCCCAGGAGGCUAGUAAACACAUUCCUUACUUCAAAUAGUACAGAGUUUAGAUAAAGUUAUUACAAUACCGGGGUACAAGCUCGAGAGAGCCAAAUAGAGAAGCGCAGUAGGAAAAUACACUAGCCCAAGCCACAGGCAGAACUGGGUGUAGACACAGCCCUCCUAAUCAAGCAUAGCAGAAAAGAAGUCCUCGGCUGCUGAAAAACAUAAAUAAAUCUGGGUGAAUACACUAGGUAUUCCGCAAGCCCACCCCGCUCCCGUAGAGAGAAAGUGACCUAUGAUGUACAUGCUCAAUUUGGUGGAGUUGUAGUCACUCAUCAUUUUCUUAGAGAGAGGCAGUUGCUUGAAGGUUUUCCCAUGGUAUUACCAGUAACCAAAAACUCAACCACCACGGAGCUUCCCGCUCCCGUGGCUUUAUUUUCUUUUUCAAAACCCAUUUAAACACACCUUUUCCUUGUUAAGAAAUUUAGAGAAAAAGCUCUAAUUGCCAUACCAUACCAGACUCAUCCAUACCAGUGGAUACGGACUAUUCGAAUAGGUUUCAACUCUGCGCAGAGGUGUACACUUUACCCACUAGUCCGGUUUCUGCGAUCUCACCGUCGCGAGACCCCAAUGCCGGAUCUCUUUCCUUACUCGUGCAUCCUAACCUUAACGGUUAUCCCGAAGGAGUCAGGCCACCACCAUGCCCAAACCGGACAAAACUUUCCCCCUCCUUAUCCUCCCGGUGCUCCCCAGCCUACUUAACCCUGAGGUUGGACCGCACGAGUUCGGAUUGAGUGACUGCCCACACAGUCUCGAGUGGUUGUACGUCAAAGGAGUACAGGCAGUGAAAAUGACAAACCGGUCCUUAUAUGAGGGGACAAUCCUUCUGCUCACGCCUAAACCAGCUGAGCCAACACCUUAGGCCCUCCCCUAAACCAGGGAGUCCCUGAUCAUCCCACUCCCAGGGUGAUGAGGGUGAGUACCCUUCAUCGCAAAACUUUUCAAGAAGAGACUUUAUUAGGGGAAAACACAUUGCCAUUCUUUCCAAACCACAUUACGUAUCCAGAAAGUAUAUAUUAAUGCGGGCCAUCUCUCACUCCCAAUGCAAUAUUCCCCCGUGAUUCCCGGCCUAGGCAGUGGUAGAGAGAAUAGGUAAUUUAUGCAUCAAGGGAAGGGUGGACUUGCCUUCGUCGAAGCUUUCCUGGCACAGAAGACCUACUUCCGGAAGUUCGGGCUCUGGUCCCUCUUCCGGGGCUACGGGAUCCGGAUUUGCGGUUCCCUCUUCUUCUAGGAAACAUACAGUAAAACAAUACAUCAACAGUAGUUUAACAAUCAUAGUGUGCCAUUUUCUAACAACAUUAUUUUAUGUGUCCUUGGAAAUCCUUUUUGAUAAUAUUUUGUGCAUAAAAUAUUGAGAAAACUAUUUAAAUGGGAAAAAGGGGUGGAAAAGAAAAAGAGAAGGGAAUUCCUCUUAUCUGGGCUGGGGGCAUGAAUUUUGGCCCAUCCCGGGCGCGAGCGCGCGCUGAGGCGCUUUUGGCCCAGCGGCGGCCCACGAGGGGGGGGGGGGAGAGAACGGCGCGGCCGUGGGGGGGGGGGGUGACGGCGUCGCAUAGGGCCCACUUGCCAGCGAGAGGGGGGGGGGAGAAGGGACGGCGUUACGGUUGACGGGGGGGGGGGGGGGGGGGGGUGAACCGGCCGUCCGCGGGGAGGACUCGGCCGCCGGUGGCCCGGCUCUUGGGCAAUGUGCAGGUGUCUUAGCAUGGGGAGGGGAUGGCGGACCUAGAGGUGGGCUCAACUUGGUCAGAGGAGGUCGGGAGGGGGCUGUCCGCGGGGAGGUGGCGGAGCUUCGCGGCGGGGUUGCCGUCGGUGAGCUCUGGGCGAGCAAUCGGGGUGGGGGAGUGGUGUAUUGCGUUUGCGGCAAGGUGAGGAAGCUGCUAGGCCAACUUAAUCGCUCGCUGGUCCAACAGAGAGGGAGAGAGAAGAGGGGGAGGGACUCACCAGAGAGGGGGAAGACGGCGGGGCUUCAUGAAUUGGGCUCGGGCGAGGGGAGGAGGGUAGUGGUCGAGGCCGGUGCGAGGAAGAAGGAGCUCGGGGCGAGCUUUUUAUAGGCGCGCGGGGGCAAGGGGAGCGGUGAAGCUCCCUGACUCCGGCGAGCUUCCCGGUGCCGCCAUUAAUGGCGCACAGCGCCGCCGAGGGGACGCUACGGCGGGGCGGUACUGGCGAGGACGCUGGUCAAGGGGAGGAGGACGGAGCGGUGCCAAACUUUCCUGUGCGGCGAGGAGACGGCGGUGAAGAGACGGCGGUGAAGGGACGGCGGUGAAGGGAUGGCGGGGCGUCGUAUGCGGGGAGGACGACGAAGCGGCUGACCGGUGGGGCCGGUCUGCCAGUGGGAGUGAGCGCGCGAGAGAGAGCGACUGGCAGGUGGGGUCGGGGAGGCAGGCCGGGAGUGGGCCGAGAGAGGAGCGCGGGCGUGAGAGGGGGGGGGGAGAGUCGCGGGUGUUGGGCCGGGAUUCGGUCCAACAGGGCAGGGAGAGGGUUUUUCCUUUUUCUUUUUACUUUUCAAACCCCAUUUCCCUUUUUGCCUUUUCUUCUUUUGAAUAAAAUAUUUUGUGAAUAUUCUAAGUGUUUAGAAAAUAGAAUCUAAGUGAGGUGCUUUGUGAUCAAACAAAAUGUAUGCAUAUGGUGAAGGAAAAUUUAGUGGAGGACUUUAGAAUUAGAGGAUGGAGGGAGGGGUAAAAGGUGGAUUAGGGUUUCAAACCUAGAUUAGGAUUUUUGGGAUGCUACAAACCUACCCCACUUAAAGGAAUCUCGCCCUUGAGAUUCAGACGGGGCUCGAGAAAAGGUAAGGGUAUUCCUUCCUCAGAGAGUCCUCACUUUCCCAGGUGGCUUCCUCUUCUCCAUCUCUGCUCCACUGAACCUUACAGAGCUUCACUUCUGAAUUGCGGGUCCUUCUGACUGCUGAGUCGAGAAUCUUCACUGGCUUUUCCCGGUACUGGAGAUCCUUUCGAAUCUGAAUUGCUUCUGCCUCGAUACGGGUUUCUGGUACUUUUAGGCAUUUGCGGAGUUGAGACACAUGGAACACAUUGUGAAUAUCUGACAUGGAUUCUGGUAGCUCAAGACGGUAUGCCACAGGUCCUAUUCGGGAAAUGACAGGGUAAGGACCGACGAAACGGGGUGCUAGCUUUCCUUUCAUCUGGAACCUUUUGACACCGUGCAUUGGGGAAACCUUGAGAUAAACAAAAUCUCCUUCCUCAAAUCUGAGUUCCCUUCGCCUAUUGUCUGCGUAACUCUUCUGUCGACUCUGAGCUUCAAGUAACCUUCUGCGGAUCAAAGCAACUUUUUCUUCGGCUUCUUUAACAAAGUCGGGUCCUUCUAGUGUUCUUUCCCCUACAUUGGACCACAUUAGGGGAGUCUGGCAUUUUCUUCCAUACAGUGCUUCGAAUGGUGACAUUUUGAUGCUGGCCUGAUGGCUGUUGUUGUAUGAGAAUUCGGCGUACGGUAUCUAGACUCCCAAUCUCUGUCGAAGGCUAAUACGCAGGCUCUGAGUAAAUCUUCAAGGACCUUGUUGACUCUCUCUGUUUGACCAUCUGACUGGGGGUGAUAAGCAGUGCUGAAAUCUAACUUGGUGCCCAUUGCUUGCUGAAGGCCCUUCCAAAAUUUUGAAGUGAACUGCGUUCCUCUAUCUGAUACUAUCUUCGUGGAAUGCCAUGUAGCCUGACUAUCUCUUUAAGGUAUAAUCGGGCGAGGGCUGCUCCUCCAAAGGUGGUCUUUACUGGAAUGAAAUGGGCCACCUUGGUGAGACGAUCGAUUAUUACCCAUAUGGAAUCAUUUCCCCUUUGGGAUCUGGGUAGUCCGGUGACGAAAUCCAUGCCUAUUUCUUCCCACUUCCAUUCGGGUAUUGGGAGGGGUUGAAGUAGGCCUGCAGGUUUCUGAUGUUCGGCCUUUGUUCGCUGACAGGUGUCACAUCGGGCCACAUACUGUGCUAUUUCCCUCUUCAUUCCUUUCCACCAAUAUCUGGCCUUGAGGUCUAGGUACAUCUUGGUGGUUCCUGGGUGGAUAGAGUAAGCUGAGUUGUGGGCUUCAUCGAGCAGGGUUUCUCGUGCUUCUCCCACUGGCACGCACAGGCGGUCCUUGAACCAGAGGGUUCCUUGCUCAUCUGUCCUGAGGUCUGCUAGUUGCUCCUUUCGUGCUCUUUCCAUAAGCUUGGUUGUUUCUGCGUCCAGGCGUUGGGCCUUGCGUAUGAGAUCGUCUAGAUUUGGCUUGACUUCCAGGCCACCGUUGUCUCCCAGACAUGCAUUUAGCUGAGCUGAUUCUUUCUUCCAAUCUUCCAGAAAGUUUGCUCCCUUAACCCCGAAGGGUUUUCUGCUGAGGGCGUCUGCUACCACGUUGGCCUUUCCGGGGUGGUAGUGGAUUUCAAGGUCAUAAUCUUUGAUCAAUUCGAGCCACCUUCUUUGACGGAGGUUGAGGUCCGGUUGCGUGAAGAUGUACUUUAGACUCUUGUGAUCAGUGAAGAUGUGGCAUUUGUUUCCAAUCAGAUAAUGCCUCCAAAUUUUUAGGGCGUGCACUAUGGCUGCCAAUUCCAGAUCGUGGGUAGGAUAGUUCUGCUCGUGCGGCUUGAGCAAUCGGGAUGCAUAAGCAAUGACUCUCUCAUUUUGCAUUAAGACACACCCUAAGCCUUGCUUGGAAGCAUCACAAAAGACGACGAAAUCCUGGUGUAUGUCUGGUAGGGUCAGGACUGGUGCAGUUGUAAGUUUCUCCUUGAUGAUUUGGAAGCUUCCUUCACAUUUGGGAGUCCAUACAAACUUAUUGUCCUUUUUGAGAAGUUCCGUCAUGGGCUUUGCUAUGCUGGAGAAUCCCUUGAUAAAGCGGCGAUAAUACCCUGCCAUUCCCAGAAAGCUUCGGACUUCACUGACGUUGGAUGGUUGCUUCCAAUUUGAAACAGCUUCUACCUUAGAUGGGUCCACUUCUAUCCCUUCAGCAGUCAAGAUAUGCCCUAGGAAGGCUAUCUUCUCUAACCAGAACUCACACUUGCUGAGCUUAGCAUAAAGUUGAUGUGCCCUGAGUCUUCCGAGGACGGUUCGAAGGUGCUGCUCAUGGUCCUUGCGACUCUUGGAAUAGAUGAGGAUGUCGUCGAUAAAAACCACGACAAACUUAUCCAAUUCUUCCAUAAAUACCUUAUUCAUGAGGUUCAUGAAAAAGGCGGGUGCGUUUGUUAGUCCAAAUGGCAUCACUGUGAAUUCAUAUUGCCCGUAUCUGGUGACGAAUGCAGUUUUCUGAAUGUCUGCUUCCUUAAUCCUGAGUUGGUGAUACCCUGACCUGAGAUCUAUCUUGGAGAAGUACUUGGCUCCUUGCAGUUGGUCGAAUAGGUCAUCGAUCCGGGGAAGAGGGUACUUAUUCUUGAUUGUAACUUCGUUCAAGGAUCGAUAAUCAAUACACAUCCUCAUGCUCCCAUCCUUUUUGGUAACGAAAAGAACGGGUGCUCCCCAGGGAGACGAACUGGGACGGAUGUACCCUUUUUGUUGUAGUUCCGAAAUCUGAAGUUUCAAUUCUGCCAACUCAGUGGGGGCCAUGCGGUAUGGUCUCUUUGCGAUGGGUGCGGUGCCGGGAAUGAGAUCUAUAUAGAACUCUACUUCUCUUUCUGGUGGCAUCCCGGGCAACUCUUCUGGAAAUACAUCUUCAAAUUCCUUGAUUACAGACAUGCUUUCUACUGCCAGAUUAAAUAUCAUUGGGUCAUUUGCGGGCGGUUGGGCUUGACAGGAAACUGCCUUUCCUUGGUGAUCUAUGAGAAGAACAGUCUUGCUUGCGCAGCUGAUAACACCUUUGUGCUUAGCUAGCCAAUCCAUUCCUAGGAUUACAUCAAUUCCUUGGGAUGGCAAGAUGGUUAAGUCUGCCAGGAACACUACCCCACUUAAAAGAAUUCUGACCUGGGAACACCUGAGUUUGCACAGGAGGUCUGAUCCCGGGGUUCGGGUGACCAAGGGGAUAGAUAGAGGUGUAGAUGGUAUGCCAUGCUUUUCCACAAACUUAGCGGCUAUAAAUGAAUGGGAUGCUCUCGAAUCAAAAAGCACAGAAGCGGGAGUAAAUUCAACUAGGAACUCACCGAGCACUACUCCCGGGGCUUGCUGGGCUUCCUGGGCGUCGACGUGGUUGACCCGGGCCCUGCCCUGGUACUUAGCCCUGCUCUGCUGGCUGCUGGAAGGAAACGCCUUGGGGGUAGGUGCUGAUGGAAUCUUGGGGCCAUUCACCGAGUUGGAGUAGGUUGGUCCUGGUGCCUUCAACUGGGGGCAGUUGUUCUUGAAGUGGCUGGGGUCCCCACAGUGCCAACAGGCGUUUGCUGGCGGCUGGUUGCUUGCAACGGAGGGUGCCUGAUGGGAGCUCUGACUCUGCUGACUAUAGCGCGAUGGAGAGGGUCCAGAUUGCUUGUUGAAGCUUGGACCCCUGGGUGGAAGCCCAAAGGGUCGAGCUCUCUGGUGACGCUCUUGCUGUUGAGCCCGGAGAACUUGGAAUUUCCUCUUGAGGUGCCCCUUCUCUUCCUCUUUUGCCCUUUCCACCUGGAUAGCCUUGUUGGAGAGGUGAGAGAAGCUGUGGAAGUCUUGGCUGGCGAGGAUGGUCUUAAGCUCGGGUCUUAACCCUCUCAGAAAACGAGCCAUCUUUCUGGCCUCGGUGCUGACAUCCUCGGGCGCGUAGCGGGCCAACUCUGUGAACUUGUGCACAUAUUCACUGACUGUUCUUCCGCCUUGGGUUAGCUCCCGGAACUCAUCCUCCUUAAGUUGAACUAUCCCCUGGGGUACGUGGUGCUCACGGAAGGCUGCUUCAAAUUCUGCCCAUGUGGCGUCUCUGAUGGCUUCACUGAAAGUGUCCCACCAUGCUAAAGCCAUUCCUGAAAGCUGAUGAGCUGCCAGCUGAAUACGCUGAUUCUCAGGACAAGCGAUGGCUUCCAGCUUCCUCUUGAUUGUGCGAAGCCAGUCAUCUGCAUCGAGGGGAUUGCUGGACCCCGCGAACGUGCGCGGCUUCAGUCUCAGGAAUUCUCCCAUCCUGUCCUGGGGCCUUCCACCGCCUGGGCGCUGGUUCUCCAGACUUCGAGUGAGGACUUCAAUGAGUCUGGUUUGAUUGGCCAGAACUUGGGCUAGAUCUAGUGGUAGUUCUGGAGGUGCGGGGAGGUGGGUCUCACUCCCUUCUCCGCCAGCCUCUCCUUCAGCUCCUAGAGGAAGUCUUGCUCCAAUCCCGGAGGCGGUAGGCGUGGUUCUAUCCGAAGCCAUCUGCCAUGGGAAGAGAGUCGCUAUUAUGCACAUGCCAUUUUUUUAACUAGUUAUUUUAUUCAUUACAUCAAGCCAUUACAUUACAUAGCACACCACUACCACAAGCUUAUUACACACGAGUGCUACCUAGGGUACCCCCGAACUCUUUCUCUAAAGUAUCCCCGAACUCCUUGAGAAGGUCAUCAAGGCUGGCCAGGGACAUGUCCUCGGGGUCGGACUGGUUCCUGGGAGGGUUCUCUUCCUACUGCUCAGUCUGACAUCCUUGGCUUUUGGUCUUCUUGCGAAUUUUCCUUGCGGGGGCGAGCUUCUUCAGUUUGUCGUAGUCCAUUUUGAGGGUGCGGUAAGCUUCACGGGUGUUGGUCUCUUCGCCUUCAGCUAACGAGAGGCUCUCUUGGAGGGACGCUUUUUCUUCUGAAAGUUCCCUGACUUUCUGCUCCAGGCUUUCCACCCGGGAGGUUAGGGAAGUGCAGUGGAGGGCGAGGUCAUCAUAUUGGUUAUCAAGGGUAUGAAGGUAUCCAGCCAUGUAGACAAUGGUGGGAUCAUUCUCAAUAGGAUCUCCUCCUGAUAGGGCCUGAAGUCUUUUCCUCCAGGUGGGGGUAUUCUUGUUGCUGGGUGGAAAGUAGCGAAGGGGGGUUUCAAUGAUUACUUUGUUGUAGUUCUGACAUAGCUGUCAGAGGGCUUUUCGGGUUUGGCAAGCAUCUAGGAAAUGGGCUCCGGUAAAAGUGACUUGGAAGGAACGUUGGUUGGGAUAGCUUUGGCUUUCCCCCAGGUAGACUGCCAUAGAGCAUCUUAUCAUUCCGCCCUCUAAAUGUUCCGUCCAGACGUAUUCCGGCUUCUUGCGGAUUCCCAUGCGGAGCGCACAACUUCGUAAGAGGCGUGGGAACCCUUCCACUUCUGAGCAGUAGGAUGACUUAAUGGCCAGAGAGUCUUCCAUCUGGAAUAGGAAAAGAAGGGUCUUGUUAAAACCGGGGAAGGGAAGAGAAAACUUUUCUUGAGGUAAGAGGUAUUUUCUUUUUAAGGUAGGUUCUAGGGUCAGGGCUGCGACCUACGGCCAGUCCUAUGGGCUCUGAUACCACCUGAAGCGUCCCGAUCCUUUGGGACUCAAAUGUGAAAGAAUUACUAGUCCCAGGAGGCUAGUAAACACAUUCCUUACUUCAAAUAGUACAGAGUUUAGAUAAAGUUAUUACAAUACCGGGGUACAAGCUCGAGAGAGCCAAAUAGAGAAGCGCAGUAGGAAAAUACACUAGCCCAAGCCACAGGCAGAACUGGGUGCAGACACAGCCCUCCUAAUCAAGCAUAGCAGAAAAGAAGUCCUCGGCUGCUGAAAAACAUAAAUAAAUAUGGGUGAAUACACUAGGUAUUCCGCAAGCCCACCCCCCUCCCGUAGAGAGAAAGUGACCUAUGAUGUACAUGCUCAAUUUGGUGGAGUUGUAGUCACUCAUCAUUUUCUUAGAGAGAGGCAGUUGCUUGAAGGUUUUCCCAUGGUAUUACCAGUAACCAAAAACUCAACCACCACGGAGCUUCCCGCUCCUGUGGCUUUAAUUUCUUUUUCAAAACCCAUUUAAACACACCUUUUCCUUGUUAAGAAAUUUAGAGAAAAAGCUCUAAUUGCCAUACCAUACCAGACUCAUCCAUACCAGUGGAUACGGACUAUUCGAAUAGGUUUCAACUCUGCGCAGAGGUGUACACUUUACCCACUAGUCCGGUUUCUGCGAUCUCACCGUCGCGAGACCCGAAUGCCGGAUCUCUUUCCUUACUCGUGCAUCCUAACCUUAACGGUUAUCCGGAAGGAGUCAGGCCACCACCAUGCCCAAACCGGACAAAACUUUCCCCCUCCUUAUCCUCCCGGUGCUCCCCAGCCUACUUAACCCUGGGGUUGGACCGCACGAGUUCGGAUUGAGUGACUGCCCACACAGUCUCGAGUGGUUGUACGUCAAAGGAGUACAGGCAGUGAAAAUGACAAACCGGUCCUUAUAUGAGGGGACAAUCCUUCUGCUCACGCCUAAACCAGCUGAGCCAACACCUUAGGCCCUCCCCUAAACCAGGGAGUCCCUGAUCAUCCCACUCCCAGGGUGAUGAGGGUGAGUACCCUUCAUCGCAAAACUUUUCAAGAAGAGACUUUAUUAGGGGAAAACACAUUGCCAUUCUUUCCAAACCACAUUACGUAUCCAGAAAGUAUAUAUUAAUGCGGGCCAUCUCUCACUCCCAAUGCAAUAUUCCCCCGUGAUUCCCGGCCUAGGCAGUGGUAGAGAGAAUAGGUAAUUUAUGCAUCAAGGGAAGGGUGGACUUGCCUUCGUCGAAGCUUUCCUGGCACAGAAGACCUACUUCCGGAAGUUCGGGCUCUGGUCCCUCUUCCGGGGCUACGGGAUCCGGAUUUGCGGUUCCCUCUUCUUCUAGGAAACAUACAGUAAAACAAUACAUCAACAGUAGUUUAACAAUCAUAGUGUGCCAUUUUCUAACAACAUUAUUUUAUGUGUCCUUGGAAAUCCUUUUUGAUAAUAUUUUGUGCAUAAAAUAUUGAGAAAACUAUUUAAAUGGGAAAAAGGGGUGGAAAAGAAAAAGAGAAGGGAAUUCCUCUUAUCUGGGCUGGGGGCAUGAAUUUUGGCCCAUCCCGGGCGCGAGCGCGCGCUGAGGCGCUUUUGGCCCAGCGGCGGCCCACGAGGGGGGGAGAGAACGGCGCGGCCGUGGGGGGGGGGGUGACGGCGUCGCAUAGGGCCCACUUGCCAGCGAGAGGGGGGGGGGGGAGAAGGGACGGCGUUACGGUUGACGGGGGGGGGGGGGGGGGGUGAACCGGCCGUCCGCGGGGAGGACUCGGCCGCCGGUGGGCUCGGUGGCGGUUCGCCGCCGGUGGCCCGGCUCUUGGGCAAUGUGCAGGUGUCUUAGCAUGGGGAGGGGAUGGCGGACCUAGAGGUGGGCUGAAUUUGGUCAGAGGAGGUCGGGAGGGGGCUGUCCGCGGGGAGGUGGCGGAGCUUCGCGGCGGGGUUGCCGUCGGUGAGCUCUGGGCGAGCAAUCGGGGUGGGGGAGUGGUGUAUUGCGUUUGCGACAAGGUGAGGAAGCUGCUAGGCCAACUUAAUCGCUCGCUGGUCCAACAGAGAGGGAGAGAGAAGAGGGGGAGGGACUCACCGGAGAGGGGGAAGACGGUGGGGCUUCGCGAAUUGGGCUCGGGCGAGGGGAGGAGGGUAGUGGUCGAGGCCGGUGCGAGGAAGAAGGAGCUCGGGGCGAGCUUUUUAUAGGCGCGCGGGGGCAAGGGGAGCGGUGGAGCUCCCUGACUCCGGCGAGCUUCCCGGUGCCGCCAUUAAUGGCGCACAGCGCCGCCGAGGGGACGCUACGGCGGGGCGGUACUGGCGAGGACGCUGGUCAAGGGGAGGAGGACGGAGCGGUGCCAAACUUUCCUGUGCGGCGAGGAGACGACAGUGAAGAGACGGCGGGGAAGGGACGGUGGUGAAGGGAUAGCGGGGCGUCGUAUGCGGGGAGGACGACGAAGCGGCUGACCGGUGGGGCCGGUCUGCCAGUGGGAGUGAGCGCGCGAGAGAGAGCGACUGGCAGGUGGGGUCGGCUUGUCAGCGAGAGAGAGAGGGAGUGCGGAGCGGGCUGGCGCGCGCGCGGAGGCAGGCCGGGAGUGGGCCGAGAGAGGAGCGCGGGCGUGAGAGGGGGGGAGAGUCGCGGGUGUUGGGCCGGGAUUCGGUCCAACAGGGCAGGGAGAGGGUUUUUCCUUUUUCUUUUUACUUUUCAAACCCCAUUUCCCUUUUUGCCUUUUCUUCUUUUGAAUAAAAUAUUUUGUGAAUAUUCUAAGUGUUUAGAAAAUAGAAUCUAAGUGAGGUGCUUUGUGAUCAAACAAAAUGUAUGCAUAUGGUGAAGGAAAAUUUAGUGGAGGACUUUAGAAUUAGAGGAUGGAGGGAGGGGUAAAAGGUGGAUUAGGGUUUCAAACCUAGAUUAGGAUUUUUGGGAUGCUACAAUCCGUCCCCGUCACACGCACGAACCCGAGGUUGUUGGCGACCCAAAUUUAUUUUAUGUAUUUUAUAAAGUGCUUUUGAUUCGAUUCAUGUGUUGUAUAGUUUGUUUGUUGUAUGAACACAUGUGAGUCGCGACAUUAUGUAUGGGUGUAUGAGCGUUAUGGAAUUGUUUGGUAGUUUCAAGCGAUUAUUCGUACACCUUGUUAUUUCAUGUUAAUCGAUGCGCUGAAUUUUGGUUUAGAGAAAUAUGACGUAGAUUUAAUAGUCACACGUCGGUGAUAAAAAUACUAGAUAAGAAUUUAUAGUUAAAAUUGGUCGCGAUAAAUUUUUGAAACUAAUUGGAGAAUUAUAGGUGCAUUUUUGAUGGAUUAGAAAAAUGGUAUAGAACUCAUGUCAUAUGAAUAAAAUAGGAUUGUUAGAUGAUUUAUCCGAUUAUUUAAUUAAUAUCUUCUUUUGGAAAGAAAAGAGAAAAUAUCGUUGGUAGAUGGCAAAAUAGGGUUUUGCUAGUCAAAUAAACAUGUUCACAGAUUUAGAACUUAAAAUUGUUAGAGUACUAGUUUAUGUCAAAUAACCCGCUUGUGUUAGAAAAUGUUCAAUUAGUAGUUUAUGUAGAUUUUAGAAUAUUAAUAUUAUUAGAUUCAUUUUUGGUCAUACUAACUAAUUUGUGUUAAAAGUAAUAAUAGGUAUUAAUUUAUUUAUUAGUAUUAAAAGAUAAUAAGUAUUAUUUAAUUUCAUUAAUGGUGUUAAAGUAGAUUAAUAUUAGUUAAAAUUAUAUUUAUUGCACCCACUCCUAAAUUCACCAUUAGGAUUCGCAUUAAUAGUUAUAAUUAAAUUAAUAAGUAUUUACGCGAUUAGUACGUAAUUAAAAUGUGAUUAGUGCGACGUGUUAAUGUGCAUGUAAUGGUGUAUGAUUAUGUAAUGGUGCAUGUUUACUUAUGGGUGUAUACUUUAUUUUUGUAUGUGCGAUGUGCGACUAUAAUAGAAGCGGACUGUGUGGUAGAGAAUCCGAACUCGUUCGGGGACGACCCGCAAGACGUUGUUGAGCAAGGCAAGUGGAUUCUCCCUCUGCAUACUCUUUUUGUACCCAGUCAUUGCAUUUAAUAAUGUUUACUUUUGAUAUACUGCAUAAUUUGAUGGGUUUCACCUAAUUAAGGAUUUCCUAGAUUUACUACAUGUAUUCCUUGUUUAACCUGGGGAAAUAAUUAAGCCGUGCAAGAAUUUGUGCUACCGCUCAACUUAAUGAUUUCUUAAUGUCACUCAUUAAUUGGUUUUAAUGUUCCAAGGAUUUAGUUGGCAAUUAUGGCAUUAACCCGAUGGUUAAGAUAACAUUAUUACAAAUUUAAUUGGAACAUGGAGUGACCACCCAGGAUAACAGUGCAACCACGAGUGCUAUCAUGGCUCUGGCUUUGGUAAUUAGCUCUAUAUGCUUAGUGCCUAGCAACCUUACCUGAAAGAUGGGCAAGAGGGGGAGCGGUAGGUGCUGGCAGCCCACGUUAACAUGGGGUCGUAUUCUUGGCUAAGGUACUUCACCCAGGGGGCCACCACCAUCGUCUUAGAAACCUUAGCGGGUUGCUUCGUAUUAAGUGUAUUUUGUGAAAACCUCAUGAUGGAUCCCUAGUGAGAGCACCUAGAGGGGGGGGGGUGAAUAGGUGAUCCUGUAAAAACUUAAACUUAUAGCCACAAAACUUGAUUAGGCGUUAGCGCAGUUUAUGCCAAGUGGCUAGAGAGGAGUCAAAACACAAUAACCACAAGAAUCCAAUCACAGAGAUGACACAGUGGUUAUCCCGUGGUUCGGCCAAGUACAAAACUUGCCUACUCCACGUUGUGGCGUCCCAACGGACGAGAGUUGCACUCAACUCCUCUCAAGUGAUCCAAUGAUCAACUUGAAUACCACGGUGUUCUUGCUUUUCUUUUCUCAAUCCCGUUUGCGAGGAAUCUCCACAACUUGGAGCCUCUCGCCCUUACAAAAGAUGUUCACAGAGAAUCACAGAGCAAGGGAGGGAUUAGCAACUCACACACGACACAAAGAUCACAGCGAAUACGCACACACAAGACCCAGACUUGAGCUCAAAAGACUAGCACACUAGAACGGAGCUCAAAUCACUAGAAUGUCGAACAAGUGCGCGAGAUUGAUGUGUGAGUGAUCAAGAGUGCUCAAGGAAUGCUUGUUUUGUUCCUCCAUGCGCCAAGGGGUCCCUUUUAUAGCCCCAAGGCAGCUAGGAGCCGUUGGGAACAAAUCUGGAAGGCCAUCUUUGCCUUCUGUCUCGUGGGGCACCGGACAGUCCGGUGCACACCGGACACUGUCCGGUGCCCGAUUUGUUUCCACAAAAAGCUCAUCCGACCGUUGCUUUCUGAUGCAGAUCUGCGCACAGUUGGCGCACCGGACAUGUCCGGUGCACACCGGACAGUCCGGUGUAUCUUCUCGACCGUUGGCUCGGCCACGUGUCGCGCGCCGAUCGCGCGGCCGACCGUUGGCCCGGCCGACCGUUGGCUCACCGGACAGUCCGGUGCACACCGGACAGUCCGGUGAAUUUUAGCCGAAGUCGCCGGAGAGAAACCCGAGAGCGGCUGGUUUGCUCCGCGCUGGUCUGGCGCACCGGACACUGUCCGGUGCACACCGGACAGUCCGGUGCCCCAGCCCGCUGUACACAGCCACUCUCCACUUCUUUUCUUCUUCUUCCUGUUUCUAACACUUAGACAAGAAUAUUAGUACACAAAACCAAUGUACUAAGGCUUAGAAACAUACCUUUGUUGAAGAUUUGCACUUUGUUCAUCCAUGGGCAUUGAUUUACAUUUAAGCACUUGUGUUGGCACUUAAUCACCAAAAUACUUAGAAAUGGCCCAAAGGCACAUUUCCCUUUCAAUCUCCCCCUUUUUGGUGAUUUAUGCCAACACCACAUAAAGCAACUAGAACAAGUGCAAAAUUACUUCAAAUAAAAACUCAAAUUGGUUUUGAUUCAAUUUUGGCAUAUAUGGAUCAUCCUUUGCCACCACUUGGUUUGUUUUUGCAAAUCAAACUCAAAUCUCUAUUUCUAUGUCAACCACACAUGUUGAGGCAUAAAGAGAGUCAUUCCAAACGAGAUUGAUCAAAGAUUUCAAAAACUCCCCCUAAAUCCCAUAAUCAAUACUUCUCCCCACAAGAAACCAACUUUUGACAAUAGAGACAAUAAGAGACAAAAGCUUUUGACAAAACAAAAACUCUAUUCUACUAUUCUACUAUUUUCAAAAUUUUCAAAAUCUCUCAAGUGGUAGCUGAUCCAUUUUAUCACUUUGGCCUUUAUUUUCUCCCCCUUUGGCAUCAAGCACCAAAACGGGAUCAAUCUUGGCUCUAUAACCCCAUUGCCUCACCAAAAUCUUCAAUUAAGAGCAAAUGGCAAUAAGAGUUCAUGAGAUGGACUUGGAAUAAGUUACCCUCUCAUCGGAGUGCAGUGGAAGUCUUUCAUGGUCCAAGUCCACCUUUUCCCUUUCAAGCCUCCUUUGAGACUAAAUCAUCAAACUCAAACACAUGGUUAGUCUCAAAGGGUCAAGUUGUAACACAUCUCCCCCUUAACAUGUGCAUCACUUUGCAACAGACUUGUGAGGUCCAGGGAGUGUUUGUACAACUUGAGCACCACAAUAAGCAACAAAAUGCAAAAAGGAACAUGAUCAAAAGCAUAAAUACAUGUAUGCUACAAUUCAAUCCAGGUUCCGCGAAUCUAAGAUAUUUAGCUCACUACGCAACCUGCAAAAGGUCUUCUCAUCUAGAGGUUUAGUGAAGAUAUCGGCUAGCUGGUUCUCGGUGCUGACAUGAAACACUUCGAUAUCUCCCUUUUGCUGGUGGUCUCUCAAAAAGUGAUGCCGGAUGUCUAUGUGCUUUGUGCGGCUGUGCUCGACAGGAUUUUCCGCCAUGCGGAUAGCACUCUCAUUAUCACAUAGGAGUGGGACUUUGCUCAGAUUGUAGCCAAAGUCCCGGAGGGUUUGCCUCAUCCAAAGUAGUUGCGCGCAACACUGUCCUGCGGCAACAUACUCGGCCUCAGCGGUGGAUAGGGCAACGGAAGUUUGUUUCUUAGAAUUCCAUGACACCAGGGACCUUCCUAAGAACUGGCACGUCCCCGAUGUACUCUUCCUAUCGACCUUACAUCCAGCAUAGUCGGAGUCUGAGUAUCCAACUAAGUCAAAGGUAGACCCCUUUGGAUACCAGAGCCCGAAGCAAGGCGUAGCAACCAAAUAUCUAAGAAUUCGCUUCACCGCCACUAAGUGACACUCCUUAGGAUCGGAUUGAAAUCUAGCACACAUGCAUACGCUAAGCAUAAUAUCCGGUCUACUAGCACAUAAAUAAAGCAAAGAACCUAUCAUGGACCGGUAUGCUUUUUGAUCAACGGACUUACCUCCUUUGUUGAGGUCAGUGUGUCCGUCGGUUCCCAUCGGAGUCUUUGCAGGCUUGGCGUCCUUCAUCCCAAACCGCUUCAGCAGAUCUUGCGUGUACUUUGUUUGAGAGAUGAAGGUGCCGUCCUUGAGUUGCUUUACUUGGAACCCAAGGAAGUAGUUCAACUCGCCCAUCAUCGACAUCUCGAAUUUCUGCGUCAUCACCCUGCUAAACUCUUCACAAGACUUUUGGUUAGUAGAACCAAAUAUUAUGUCAUCGACAUAAAUUUGGCACACGAACAAAUCACCAUCACAUGUCUUAGUGAAAAGAGUUGGAUCGGCUUUCCCAACCUUGAAAGCAUUAGCAAUUAAGAAAUCUCUAAGGCAUUCAUACCAUGCUCUUGGGGCUUGCUUAAGUCCAUAGAGCGCCUUAGAGAGCUUACACACGUGGUCGGGGUACCGUUCAUCCUCGAAGCCAGGGGGUUGCUCCACAUACACCUCCUCCUUGAUUGGCCCGUUGAGGAAAGCGCUCUUCACAUCCAUUUGGUACAACCUGAAAGAAUGGUGAGCGGCAUAUGCUAGCAAGAUUCGAAUUGACUCUAGCCUAGCCACAGGAGCAAAAGUCUCCUCAAAAUCCAAACCUGCUACUUGGGCAUAACCUUUUGCCACAAGUCGAGCCUUGUUUCUCGUCACCACCCCGUGCUCGUCCUGUUUGUUGCGGAACACCCACUUGGUUCCCACAACAUUUUGCUUCGGACGAGGCACCAGCGUCCAAACUUCAUUUCUCUUGAAGUUGUUGAGCUCCUCCUGCAUGGCCAACACCCAGUCCGGAUCUAGCAAGGCCUCCUCUACCCUGAAAGGCUCAAUAGAAGAGACAAAAGAGUAAUGCUCACAAAAAUUAACUAAUCGAGAACGAGUAGUUACUCCCUUGCUGAUGUCACCCAGAAUUUGGUCGACGGGAUGAUCCCUUUGAAUCAUUGCUCGAACUUGGGUUGGAGGUGCCGGUUGCGCUUCUUCCUCCAUCACUUGAUCACCUUGUGCUCCCCCUUGAUCAAUCGCCUCCACUUGAGGUACCUGUACGACACCUUCGGUUGGGGAAUGCACCAUAGUUGAGGAAGAAGGUUGAUCUCGUUCAUCUUGUUCCUGUGGCCGCACUUCUCCAAUCGCCAUGGUUCGUAUAGCGGCCGUCGGAACAUCUUCUUCAUCUACAUCAUCACAAUCAACAACUUGCUCUCUUGGAGAGCCAUUAGUCUCAUCAAAUACAAUGUCGCUAGAGACUUCAACCAAACCUGAUGAUUUGUUGAAGACUCUAUACGCCUUUGUAUUUGAGUCAUAACCUAAUAAAAACCCUUCUACAGCUUUGGGAGCAAACUUAGAAUUUCUACCCUUCUUCACUAGAAUGUAGCAUUUACUCCCAAAUACACGAAAGUAUGAUACAUUGGGUUUGUUACCGGUUAGUAGCUCAUACGACGUCUUCUUGAGGAGACGAUGAAGGUAGACCCUGUUGAUGGCGUGGCAAGCAGUGUUAACGGCUUCCGUCCAAAAGCACUCGGGGGUCUUGUACUCUCCUAGCAUCGUCCUUGCCAUGUCGAUGAGCGUCCUGUUCUUUCUCUCUACCACACCAUUUUGCUGUGGUGUGUAGGGAGCGGAGAACUCGUGCUUGAUCCCUUCUUCUUCAAGGAACUCCUCCACUUGAAGGUUCUUGAACUCGGACCCGUUGUCGCUCCUUAUCUUUUUCACUUUGAGCUCAAACUCAUUUUGAGCCCUCCUGAGGAAGCGCUUGAGGGUCCCUUGGGUUUCAGACUUAUCCUGCAAAAAGAACACCCAAGUGAAGCGGGAAAAGUCAUCAACAAUAACUAAACCAUACUUACUUCCUCCUAUGCUCAGAUAGGCGACGGGUCCAAAAAGGUCCAUAUGCAGCAUCUCCAAGGGUCUUGAUGUCGUCAUCACAUUUUUGGUGUGAUGAGAGCCUCCCACCUGUUUCCCUGCUUGACAAGCUGCACAAGGUCUAUCUUUUUCGAAUUGAACAUUAGUUAGACCUAUCACGUGUUCUCCCUUUAGAAUCUUGUGAAGGUUCUUCAUCCCCACAUGUGCUAAGCGGCGAUGCCACAGCUAGCCCAUGCUAGUCUUAGCUAUUAAGCAUGCAUCUAGACCGGCCUCUUCUUUUGCAAAAUCAACUAAAUAAAGUUUGCCAUCUAAUACACCCUUAAAAGCUAGUGAACCAUCACUUCUUCUAAAGACAGACACAUCUACAUUUGUAAAUAGACAGUUAUACCCCAUGUUGCAUAAUUGACUAACAGAUAGCAGAUUAUAACCAAGAGACUCUACUAAAAACACAUUAGAUAUAGAGUGCUCAUUAGAAAUUGCAAUUUUACCUAGCCCUUUUACCUUGCCUUGAUUCCCAUCACCGAAUAUAAUUGAAUCUUGGGAAUCCUUAUUCUUGACGUAGGAGGUGAACAUCUUCUUCUCCCCCGUCAUAUGGUUUAUGCAUCCGCUGUCUAUAAUCCAGCUUGAACCCCCGGAUGCAUAAACCUGCAAGGCAAAUUUAGGCUUGGGACUUAGGUACCCAACUCAUGUUGGGUCCUACAAGGUUAGUGCAAAUAUCCUUAGGGACCCAAAUGCAAGUUUUGUCUCCCUUGCAUUUUGCCCCUAUCUUCCUAGCAACAAUUUUCUUAUCCUUUCUAUAAAUAGCAAAGGAAGCAUUUAAAGCACAAUAAAUUGUAGAAGAUUCAUUUACUACUUUCCUAGGAGCAUUAUGAGCAUCAUUUCUCCUAGGCAUUUGAUGAACAACAUUUCUUCUAAGCACAUUUCUACCAGGCAUAACAUGAGAACUAGAAGCAGUCAUAGCAUAAGAGUCAUACGCAUGUGAACCAAAAACAUCAUGACCUUUAAAAGCAUUUCUAGAAUAUCUCCUAUCAUGAUAUAAAAAGGCAUGGUUCUUUUUAGUAGCCAUAGGAGCCUUCCCUUUCUCCUUAGUGGGAAUGGGAGUCUUAUGGCUUGUUAAGUUCUUGACUUCCCUCUUGAAGCCAAGUCCAUCCUUAAUUGAGGGGUGUCUACCAAUAGUGUAGGCAUCCCUUGCAAAUUUUAGUUUAUCAAAUUCACUUUUGCUAGUCUUAAGUUGGGCAUUAAGACUAGCCACUUCAUUAUUUAACUUUGCAAUAGAAGCUAUGUGUUCACUACAAGCAUCAAUAUCAAAGUCUUUACAUCUAUUGCAAAUAACAACAGUUUCACCACAAGAGUUGGAUUUAUUUGCUUCUACUAGUUUAGCAUUUAAAUCAUCAUUUAUGCUCUUUAAGUUAGAAAUAGAAUCAUGGCAUGAUGACACUUCACAAGCAAGCAUUUCAUUCCUCUUAAUUUCUAAUGCAAGGGAUUUUUGAGCCUCUACAAACUUAUCAUGUUCUUCAUACAACAAAUCCUCUUGCUUUUCUAAAAGUAUAUUCUUUUCAUUCAAGGCAUCAAUUAAUUCAUUAAUUUUGUCUAUCUUAGAUCUAUCUAAGCCCUUGAAUAAACAUGAAUAAUCUACUUCAUCCUCACUAGAUUCAUCAUCACUAGAAGAAUCAUAAGUAUUAGCAUUACGAGUGAUUACCUUCUUUUCCCUUGCCAUGAGGCAAGUGUGAUGUUCGUUGGGAAAGAGGGAUGACUUGUUGAAGGCGGUGGCGGCGAGUCCUUCGUUGUCGGAGUCGGACGAGGAGCAAUCCGAAUCCCACUCUUUUCCAAUAUGAGCCUCGCCCUUUGCCUUCUUGUAAUUCUUCUUCUUUUCCCAUUUUCCACUCUUCUUUUCCUGGUCACUAUCAUUAUCGGGACAAUUAGCGAUAAAGUGACCAAUCUUACCACACUUGAAGCAUGAGCGCUUCCCCUUCGUCUUGGUCUUGUUGGGAUGCUCCUUGCGACCCCUUAACGCCGUCUUGAAGCGCUUAAUGAUGAGAGCCAUUUCUUCAUCAUUAAGCCCGGCCGCCUCAAUUUGCGCCACCUUGCUUGGUAGUGCCUCCUUGCUUCUCGAUGCCUUGAGAGCAAUGGGUUGAGGCUCGUGGAUUGGACCGUUCAACGCGUCAUCGACGUACCUUGCCUCCUUGAUCAUCAUUCGCCCGCUCACGAAUUUUCCAAGUACUUCCUCGGGCGUCAUCAUCGUGUACCUGGGAUUCUCACGAAUAUUGUUCACGAGAUGAGGAUCAAGAACGGUAAAGGACCUGAGUAGUAGGCGGACGACGUCGUGGUCCGUCCAACGCGUGCUUCCGUAGCUCCUUAUUUUGUUGAUAAGGGUCUUGAGCCGGUUGUAAGUUUGAGUUGGCUCCUCUCCCCUUAUCAUGGCGAAUCGUCCAAGCUCGCCCUCCACCAACUCCAUCUUGGUGAGCAUGGUGAUGUCGUUCCCCUCGUGAGAGAUCUUGAGGGUGUCCCAUAUCUGCUUGGCAUUGUCCAAGCCGCUCACCUUAUUGUACUCUUCCCUGCACAAAGAUGCUAAGAGAACAGUAGUAGCUUGUGCAUUUCUAUGAAUUUGUUCAUUUAUAAGCAUAGGACUAUCCGAGCUAUCAAAUUUCAUUCCAUUCUCCACAAUCUCCCAUAUGCUUGGAUGGAGAGAGAAUAAGUGACUACGCAUUUUGUGACUCCAAAAUCCGUAGUCCUCCCCAUCAAAGUGUGGGGGUUUGCCAAGAGGAAUGGAAAGCAAAUGCGAAUUCGAACUAUGUUGAAUACGAGAAUAAUCAAAUGAAAAGUUCGAAUUGACCGUCUUUUUGUAGUCGUUGUCACCAUCCUUUUGGGAAGAAGUAGAUUCAUCACUAUCGUCGUAGUAGAUGAUCUCCUUGAUGCGCCUUGUCUUCUUCUUCUUCCCAUCUUUGCGCCUGUGGCCCGAGCCCGAGUCGUUGAACUUGUCAUCCCUUGGCUCGUUGACGAAGGACUCCUUCUCCUUGUCGUUGAUCACAAUUCCCUUCCCCUUAGGAUCCAUCUCUUCAGGCGGUUAGUCCCUUUCUUGAAGAGAACGGCUCUGAUACCAAUUGAGAGCACCUAGAGGGGGGGGGGUGAAUAGGUGAUCCUGUAAAAACUUAAACUUAUAGCCACAAAACUUGAUUAGGCGUUAGCGCAGUUUAUGCCAAGUGGCUAGAGAGGAGUCAAAACACAAUAACCACAAGAAUCCAAUCACAGAGAUGACACAGUGGUUAUCCCGUGGUUCGGCCAAGUACAAAACUUGCCUACUCCACGUUGUGGCGUCCCAACGGACGAGAGUUGCACUCAACUCCUCUCAAGUGAUCCAAUGAUCAACUUGAAUACCACGAUGUUCUUGCUUUUUCUUUUCUCAAUCCCGUUUGCGAGGAAUCUCCACAACUUGGAGCCUCUCGCCCUUACAAAAGAUGUUCACAGAGAAUCACAGAGCAAGGGAGGGAUUAGCAACUCACACACGACACAAAGAUCACAGCGAAUACGCACACACAAGACCCAGACUUGAGCUCAAAAGACUAGCACACUAGAACGGAGCUCAAAUCACUAGAAUGUCGAACAAGUGCGCGAGAUUGAUGUGUGAGUGAUCAAGAGUGCUCAAGGAAUGCUUGUUUUGUUCCUCCAUGCGCCAAGGGGUCCCUUUUAUAGCCCCAAGGCAGCUAGGAGCCGUUGGGAACAAAUCUGGAAGGCCAUCUUUGCCUUCUGUCUCGUGGGGCACCGGACAGUCCGGUGCACACCGGACACUGUCCGGUGCCCGAUUUGUUUCCACAAAAAGCUCAUCCGACCGUUGCUUUCUGAUGCAGAUCUGCGCACAGUUGGCGCACCGGACAUGUCCGGUGCACACCGGACAGUCCGGUGUAUCUUCUCGACCGUUGGCUCGGCCACGUGUCGCGCGCCGAUCGCGCGGCCGACCGUUGGCCCGGCCGACCGUUGGCUCACCGGACAGUCCGGUGCACACCGGACAGUCCGGUGAAUUUUAGCCGAAGUCGCCGGAGAGAAACCCGAGAGCGGCUGGUUUGCUCCGCGCUGGUCUGGCGCACCGGACACUGUCCGGUGCACACCGGACAGUCCGGUGCCCCAGCCCGCUGUACACAGCCACUCUCCACUUCUUUUCUUCUUCUUCCUGUUUCUAACACUUAGACAAGAAUAUUAGUACACAAAACCAAUGUACUAAGGCUUAGAAACAUACCUUUGUUGAAGAUUUGCACUUUGUUCAUCCAUGGGCAUUGAUUUACAUUUAAGCACUUGUGUUGGCACUUAAUCACCAAAAUACUUAGAAAUGGCCCAAAGGCACAUUUCCCUUUCACCUAGCCAUUCACCUCGGCAGUGUCUAAGGGUCCGAUCAACCCGGGCUAGAUGGGAUACAUGGCUUAUGGGUAAAGUUGUACCACCUCUGCAGAGUGUAAAACUGAUAUAUCAGCCGUGCUCCCGGUUAUGAGCGACCUGGACUCCUCACAUGAUAAUUGAACUUGAAGAUGGAAUUAAUUUGAGAUCCGAUGAUCUGCCAAUAAUUUGCUUAAGUGGUUUCACUUAAGUGUUUUUGUUAUAUUCAUAUUCCUUUGUUUAAUUUGGAUAUUUGGGAUUCACUCUUAUUAGUAAGACAGGUGUUGAUAAUAAAAUGUUGACCAACUAAAAUGCUUACUGCUCAACCUUAGCCUCCCCUUGUUAUACCUGCAUUAAUUUUUCCCCCACUUGCUGAGCCCCGACCAUAAGUGAGCUCACCCUUGCUAAUAUUUUGAUCAGAGGGUGAUGCUGGAGACUUUGAUGGAGAAUUUGUCGACGAGGAAUUCUAAGUCUAACGAUGCGCCGGUCAACUUCCUGUGGAAGAUUGCCCAGUUGUUUAUUCCCGCUUAACUUUGAUGUGAUACUUGUUUAAGACGCAAUGUUUCAGAUGAUGUAAUAAAGUUUUAUACUCUCUUUACGCCUUUAUUGCAUUGUCUUUUGAUAUAUUACACUUGUGACGUCAACAUAUGUGUGGAAAUGGAUCCUGGCACACAUAUGGUAUGCACUUGGUUCUACCCCCUGGAACCGGGUGUGACAGAAGUGGUAUCAAAGCUAUGCUGACCCUAGGUCGUUAGAUUAGUUAGAAAUGGAAAGCCUAGUUGUUCAAUAUUUGCUAAUUUCAUUCCUAUAAAUUCCUUUAUCAGUCUUACCUCUUUGAAAUUCAACUAAGUUGACUCUUCUCUUGUAGAUGGUUCGCACUCUCCAAACCACCCGCGUCAACACCAGCUACGCCCCUCAGCCCCGGCAGAUCCCGGUCUACCCAGUGGUAGUCGAGGAUGCUCCAGCGAAUCUCCCUCCCGUCCGAGUGGAGAACGUGAUCAACCUGGAGGACAGCUCGGAGGAGCAGCUGCCGACCCCCACCCCGUUGGCCGAGUCCCUGGCCUUCGCAGUAGGGUCAUCGACGUCAGCAUCGUCGGCACCAGCCUUCCAAGCACCUGCACCUGGAGGCGACGACCCCGACGACUCCGGAGACGGCGAUGACGAGGGUGACGACGACGACAACGACGAUGGAGAGGAUGAGCACGUCCACGAGGAAGCUGACUACGCCCAGCAGGACCACUUCAUGGGGAUUGGUCCAGUUGUCGAACAUUACACAUCAAUGUUCGAAACAGGGCACUUCCCCAGCCUGCUGCAGGAGGUGCUGCACGAGCUAGGAGCCUACGUCCGCCCCCUGUACGAGACGAGGCGGGUGAGCGAGCCUCCCCGGGCUUGCUAUUACAUCACCCGCAUCCAUGUCAGGGUAAUGGAUGCAGGUGACAGGGGAUUCAGGACUCUGUUUGCUCACGAGUCCCUGAUACCGCUGUCCACCUACGCUGCCUCUGUCAGCGACGCUGCCCGUCGGACCCUGUGGUCGCUUAGCCACACCUACCGGCAGCAGCUGCAGAACACAAGGUUCAGGCAUCUUCCUCAGUGCCUGCGUGGAGAGAACCAGACCAACAUUGUCCCAGGUGAGCCUGGUGAGGACCGCCUCAACACCCUAGCUGGUGUAGUGGCCGGUCUCAACACCGACCUGGACAGUGCCACUCUGGACCUCUACAGUGUGCACUUGGAGCUGGAGAAUGCCCACGCCAGGAUUGCAGCCCUGGAAGCCCAACUGCAGGGACUGAAUCCGCCAGAAGCUCAGGUUCCCGCCGUGGCGUUGUCUCCUCCCCGCAAGAGGCUGCGCUAUGGAGAGCCCGGAUCCGUCACUAGGCUGCUUUAGGAGUGUUGAUCAUGAUGUAAUAAGUUACGCUUCGCGUUAGACGAUGAAACUAUCUUUAAAUUUUUAUAUUAAUAAAUAUCAACCAUGUGAUGGUGAUUGGUUGAAAUGCUUGAUUUGAAUCUUUGUUUGAGUGCUAUGGUCUUAUGGAAUGAUGGCCAUAAGAACAUAUAAAAUUUGUAAAACUUAAGCUAUUUUCCCUCUAGAAUCUUUUCUACUCCUCACUUUUCUAAGGACUUCACUUCCUAACAAAACAGAUGGUGAACCAACGUCAAGGACCUAACAACCGGAACCAGCGUGGACAACAAGCACCACCACCACCGCCACCACCAAAUCCCAAUAUGGAGUAGUUCAUCGCCGCCCAAAUGCAGAUUCUGCAAGGACUUACUGCUGUGGUUCAGCAAUUACAACAGAACCAACAGAAUCAGCAACCCCAGCAGCAGCAGUAUGCACCCCCGGCCAGAGAUAAAUACCGGGAUUUCAUGAGUCAUCACCCGCCGACAUUUUCUCAUGCGGUUGAUCCUCUUGAUGCCGAUGACUGGCUCAAAGUCAUUGGGAAGAAGCUGGACAUCACUCAGUGCAACGACCGAGAGAAGGUCUUGUACGCCUCGGGAAGACUCGAGGGAGCUGCGUCCGAUUGGUGGGAUGCCUUCACAGCGGCACAUCCCAACGCUGAUACCAUAACCUGGCAGGAGUUUCAGGAGAACUUCCGCGCUCACCACAUCCCCUCUGGAAUCAUGAAGCUGAAGAAGAAGGAGUUCCUUUCCCUUACUCAAGGGAAUAUGUCUGUCAGUGAGUAUCGUGAUCGCUUCACUCAACUUUCAUGUUAUGCCCCUGAGGAAGUGGACACUGAUGAGAAGCGCCAAGAGCGUUUCCUAGAAGGAUUGAUUGGACCUCUGAACUAUCAACUUCAGAGUCACACUUUUCCCAACUUCCAGACACUGCUGAACAAGGCAAUUGGCCUUGAAAGCAAAAGGAAGGAGCUAUCUGACCAUAAGAGAAAAUUCCAAGGUCAGUCCAGCAGGAACACCCGGCCAAACAAUCCUCAAGGUUCGCAGUUCCGCUCUGGAAAUCAGGGUGGAAAUAAUUAUCAAGUGCAACGCUCUGGACAGCAAGGCCAGAGAAAUAAUCAGAACCAGAAUCAACAAAGGAGCAACCCCCAGACCAAUCAGAGGUCUAGUGGAAAUUCACAGAACCGUCAAGGUGGCACCAACAACACGCAGGCCAGGAACAACGCACCUGUCCAACCCAACGGCUGUUUCAAGUGCGGUGAACUAGGCCACUAUGCCAACAAUUGCCCAAGGCGCAACCAGCAGACACCUCAAAAAGGCAAUACUCAGAGGAAUGACCAGAGCACCCCCGCUCGUGGAUCUGCUCAGAACAAGACUCCGCAGAACCAGAGCCGAGGAAGGGUCAAUCACGUCACUGCGGAAUCAGUGCCUGAGGAUGCCGACAUAGUGUAUGGUAUGUUCCUUGUUAACUCCAUACCUGCAUCAGUUUUAUUUGACUCUGGAGCAUCGCAUUCAUUUAUAACUGAGUCAUUCGUGGAAAAACAUAACAUACCUAAGUACCCAUUGAAGAGGAUAUUACACAUUAGUUCACCGGGAGGUGACAUGAAGGCCACACACUCAUGCCCUCACGUUAAUAUCUAGAUUCAAGGAAUAGAUUUUACAGUCGACCCAGUGGUCCUAGGAUCCAACGGUAUUGAUGUGAUUCUUGGAUACAACUGGUUGAGAAGUUGUGAUGGAGUGAUACAGUGUGCCAAUGGAACAAUUAUGUUGACAAGUCCUCGAGGUGAAAGAAUCCAAGUCAACAUAGACAAGUCAACAGAUGAAAAAGGGAAGACAAUGAUCAAUCACUUGGAAGAAAAGCCCUUGGAAAAUAUCAAAGUAGUGUGCGAAUACCCAGACGUAUUUCCGGAAGAAUUACCAGGUAUGCCACCUGACCGUGAUAUAGAGUUUUCUAUUGAAUUAGUACCCGGAACCGCACCUAUCUCGAAAAGACCUUAUAGAAUGGAUGUCAAAGAUUUAGUAGAACUGAAGAAACAAAUAGAAGAAUUACUAGAAAAAGGUUUUAUUCGCCCAAGUUCAUCCCCUUGGGGAGCCCCAGUGCUAUUUGUGAACAAGAAGGAUGGUUCGAGGAGAAUGUGUGUGGAUUAUAGAAGUUUGAAUGAAGUAACCAUCAAGAAUAAAUACCCACUACCUCGGAUUGAAGAUUUAUUCGAUCAAAUGAAGGGAGCUAAAAUAUUCUCGAAGAUAGAUCUGAGAUCGGGAUAUCAUCAGUUAAAGAUUCGAGCAGAAGAUGUACCGAAGACAGCCUUCACGACGAGAUAUGGAUUAUAUGAGUUUUUGGUCAUGUCGUUUGGACCGACUAAUGCACCAGCAUACUUUAUGAACUUGAUGAAUAAAGUAUUCAUGGAAUAUCUGGAUCAGUUUGUGGUCGUAUUCAUUGACGACAUACUGAUAUAUUCUCCGAAUGAAGAAACACACGAAGAUCAUCUAAGGCUAGUCCUACGAAAGCUUCGUGACAACCAACUGUACGCAAAAUUCUUGAAGUGUGAUUUUUGGCUUAAGGAAGUUGCUUUCUUAGGGCAUAUUGUUACCGAUGGUGGAAUUAAAGUGGACCCAGGAAAGAUAAGUGAGAUACUAAAUUGGAAGCAACCCACAGAUGCGUCCAAGAUCAAAAGUUUUCUUGGAUUAGCAGGAUACUAUAGAAUAUUUAUUGAAGGUUUUUCCAAGUUAGUGAAGCCUCUUACCUCUCUACUGGAGAAAGGCAAAGAGUUCAAAUGGGAUGAAGCUUGUCAGAAUUGUUUUGAGGAACUCAAGAAGAGGUUAACCACUGCACCAAUACUGGUAAUGCCAGACAUCCACAAGGGAUUUGAUGUGUAUUGCGAUGCAUCACACCUUGGACUUGGAUGUGUGCUAAUGCAAGAAGGAAAGGUGAUUGCUUAUGCUUCAAGACAGUUGAGGAAACAUGAGAAGAAUUAUCCUACACAUGAUUUGGAACUAGCGGCCGUAGUGCAUGCUUUGAAGAUUUGGAGGCACUAUAUGAUUGGAAACAAGUGCAAAAUCUUCAUGGAUCACAAAAGCCUGAAAUAUAUAUUCACUCAGAAGGAACUCAACCUCAGACAGAGAAGAUGGCUUGAGUUGAUUAAAGAUUAUGAUUUGGAAAUACAAUAUCACCCCGGAAAAGCAAAUGUAGUAGCUGAUGCUUUGAGCCGUAAGGGUCAAGUGAACAACAUCACUACUCGUUUGAUGUCACAAGAAUUGUGCUGGGAAAUGGAACGACUCAACCUUGGAUUUCUCAAUAAUGUAGAAGCAACGGUGAUGGAAGUCGAAUCUACUUUGGAAGAAGAGAUUCGUAAUGGACAAGAGUCCGAUGAGAAGAUUAAGGAAAUUAAAACUUUUAUUAGUUUGGGUAAAGCCCCAGAUUUCACGGAAGAUGAACAAGGCACAGUAUGGUUUAAAAAGAGAAUCUGUGUACCCGAAAUGGAACACCUGCGCCAACUUAUUUUGAGAGAAGCUCAUGAUUCAGCUUACUCUAUUCACCCUGGAAGCACAAAGAUGUACCAGGAUCUUAAGGAAAAGUAUUGGUGGUACGGUUUGAAAAGAGAUGUUGCUACUCAUGUUGCAUUAUGUGACGUGUGUCAGCGAGUUAAAGCCGAACACCAAAGACCAGCAGGAUUGCUACAACCUCUCAAGGUACCUGAAUGGAAAUGGGAAGAAAUCAGUAUGGAUUUCAUAGUUGGGCUACCCCGUACUCGAGAUGGCUAUGAUUCAAUAUGGGUCAUAGUAGACAGGUUAACUAAAGUAGCACACUUUAUACCUGUGAAGACAACCUACUCAGGAGCCCAGUUAGCAGAGUUGUACAUGUCGAGGAUUGUUUGUCUGCAUGGAGUACCCAAGAAGAUCGUAUCAGAUCGAGGAACCCAGUUUACCUCGCGCUUUUGGAAAAGACUACAUGAGUCCAUGGAUACCAAGCUAAACUUUAGUUCAGCUUAUCAUCCACAAACGGAUGGGCAAACAUAAAGAACAAACCAAGUGUUGGAAGAUAUGCUAAGAGCUUGCGCUCUAACGCAUGGUAGAAGCUGGGAUAAAAGUUUGCCUUAUGCAGAAUUUUCGUAUAACAACAGUUAUCAAGCAAGUCUCAAAAUGGCACCAUUUGAAGCACUCUAUGGACGAAAGUGUAGAACACCGCUUUAUUGGAAUCAAACUGGAGAAAGUCAAGUAUUUGGUCCAGAGAUUCUCCAAGAGGCGGAAAAGCAAGUGCAGAUUAUCAGAGAAAAUUUGAAGACAGCACAGUCAAGACAGAAGAGCUAUGCUGAUAAUAGUAGAAGAGAAUUGAUGUUUGAAGUAGGAGACUUUGUCUACCUUAAAGUUUCACCGAUGAGAGGAAUGAAAAGGUUUAAGGUUAAAGGAAAAUUAUCACCUCGCUAUAUUGGCCCAUUCAAGAUUUUGGAAAGAAAAGGCGAAGUAGCCUACCAGUUAGAGCUACCUGAUAGAUUAUCAGAUGUGCAUGACGUAUUUCACGUAUCACAACUCAAGAAGUGCUUAAGAGUACCAGAAGAACAGUUACCCAUGGAAGAACUGAAUGUUAAUGAAGAUUUGACUUAUUCGGAGUACCCAAUCAGAAUUCUGGAAACAUCUCGCAGAAUUACACGGAGUAAAGUCAUUAACAUGUGCAAAGUUCAGUGGAGUCAUCAUUCGGAAGAUGAAGCCACUUGGGAAAGAGAAGAUGAACUCAGAGCAGAAUUCCCUCAGCUAUUCUCGAAAGUUUCUUAAUCUCGAGGACGAGAUUCUUUUUAAGAGGGGUAGGUUUGUAACACCAUAAUAGCCAUCAAUUAAAAAUAAUGAAUUUAGUUAUUAUUAAUUAGGGUAAUAAAUUUUUUUAAGUGUUUAAUUGUUUAUUUGCAUUUUUAUCAUUUUCAUUGCAUGUGCUUGAUUGCUUAUUGGAAUGUUUAUUAUCAACUCUUUUUAAAGAAAAUCCUAGCAAAUAAUAUAAUAAUUAUUAGUCUAAAAACAAGUAUUUUAUUUAUAAAUAAUUUUGGUGAAUUUCUCGGAAUUUUCGAGCUCUUUAAAAAUACAUUUCACAAUUAAAAAAAACAAAUCCUACACUAAACCAGCCCACUAGGGGCCCAUUACCCCAAACCCUAUCCUCUAACGCGCGCGCGCCAGCAGAAGCCGCCGCCGCCAGCCUCUACUACUCCCUCUCCUAUCUCUCUUCUCUCUCUCCUCCAUGUUCUCUCUGCACGCCGCCGCUCCCUGCCACGCUGCAGCACUCGCCCGGCCCUGCACCGGCGCCCUGCGCAAGCCGCGCCGAGCGCGCAGCCGCCCAGGCCGACCGGCCAACCCGCGCCCUGCCCUGGUGCGCGACGCCUGCGCUCCCUGCGCGCGCCUACGCCGCACGCCCAGCAGCGACGCCCGAGCAGACCCGAAGCCGCCGCGCCCGAAGCCGAAUCGCCCGAGCCCCACGCACCGCGACGCCCGACCGACCCUGCGCGAACCCCAACGGUCCCUCUGCACCGCGACCUCGCUGCCUAGAAGUCGAGCAGCCGCGCAGUCCGCGCCCCAUUGAAGUCAUAGCUGCCGUUACUGCCGUUUCUUCUUUCUGUGCCUCAUUCCUUCCUCCAUUAGUGGUGUUUACAACUCCUGUUCGUGUUGUGCAGAAACAGUUCAUCAUAUGGCCAUCACGGAGCUUUAAACAGGAUUUAAACUCUCUUUUCCGUCAGCCUAUAAAGCUAGAGACGUCCUGCUUCCUUCCUCCCCAAUAGCUCGGCUCUGCACUUCGUCUCGCUCAAUCGUCCUUAGGCUAUAGCCACUGCACCUUGUUAUCGUCGGAGCUUCACCCGCUCGGACACGCCGUCGUUUGCUGUCUACGCUCGUCGGAGUUCACCGGAGUCGCAGUUCGUCGCAGGAGCCACGCACUCGCCGUCCGUAGUCGUGCCCCGCACUCCGUCCGGCCGAAACCCGUCGAUCCGUCCCCGUCACACGCACGAACCCGAGGUUGUUGGCGACCCAAAUUUAUUUUAUGUAUUUUAUAAAGUGCUUUCGAUUCGAUUCAUGUGUUGUAUAGUUUGUUUGUUGUAUGAACACAUGUGAGUCGCGACAUUAUGUAUGGGUGUAUGAGCGUUAUGGAAUUGUUUGGUAGUUUCAAGCGAUUAUUCGUACACCUUGUUAUUUCAUGUUAAUCGAUGCGCUGAAUUUUGGUUUAGAGAAAUAUGACGUAGAUUUAAUAGUCACACGUCGGUGAUAAAAAUACUAGAUAAGAAUUUAUAGUUAAAAUUGGUCGCGAUAAAUUUUUGAAACUAAUUGGAGAAUUAUAGGUGCAUUUUUGAUGGAUUAGAAAAAUGGUAUAGAACUCAUGUCAUAUGAAUAAAAUAGGAUUGUUAGAUGAUUUAUUCGAUUAUUUAAUUAAUAUCUUCUUUUGGAAAGAAAAGAGAAAAUAUCGUUGGUAGAUGGCAAAAUAGGGUUUUGCUAGUCAAAUAAACAUGUUCACAGAUUUAGAACUUAAAAUUGUUAGAGUACUAGUUUAUGUCAAAUAACCCCGCUUGUGUUAGAAAAUGUUCAAUUAGUAGUUUAUGUAGAUUUUAGAAUAUUAAUAUUAUUAGAUUCAUUUUUGGUCAUACUAACUAAUUUGUGUUAAAAGUAAUAAUAGGUAUUAAUUUAUUUAUUAGUAUUAAAAGAUAAUAAGUAUUAUUUAAUUUCAUUGAUGGUGUUAAAGUAGAUUAAUAUUAGUUAAAAUUAUAUUUAUUACACCCACUCCUAAAUUCACCAUUAGGAUGCGCAUUAAUAGUUAUAAUUAAAUUAAUAAGUAUUUACGCGAUUAGUACGUAAUUAAAAUGUGAUUAGUGCGACGUGUUAAUGUGCAUGUAAUGGUGUAUGAUUAUGUAAUGGUGCAUGUUUACUUAUGGGUGUAUACUUUAUUUUUGUAUGUGCGAUGUGCGACUAUAAUAGAAGCGGACUGUGUGGUAGAGAAUCCGAACUCGUUCGGGGACGACCCGCAAGACGUUGUUGAGCAAGGCAAGUGGAUUCUCCCUCUGCAUACUCUUUUUGUACCCAGUCAUUGCAUUUAAUAAUGUUUACUUUUGAUAUACUGCAUAAUUUGAUGGGUUUCACCUAAUUAAGGAUUUCCUAGAUUUACUACCUGUAUUCCUUGUUUAACCUGGGGAAAUAAUUAAGCCGUGCAAGAAUUUGUGCUACCGCUCAACUUAAUGAUUUCUUAAUGUCACUCAUUAAUUGGUUUUAAUGUUCCAAGGAUUUAGUUGGCAAUUAUGGCAUUAACCCGAUGGUUAAGAUAACAUUAUUACAAAUUUAAUUGGAACAUGGAGUGACCACCCAGGAUAACAGUGCAACCACGAGUGCUAUCAUGGCUCUGGCUUUGGUAAUUAGCUCUAUAUGCUUAGUGCCUAGCAACCUUACCUGAAAGAUGGGCAAGAGGAGGAGCGGUAGGUGCUGGUAGCCCACGUUAACAUGGGGUCGUAUUCUUGGCUAAGGUACUUCACCCAGGGGGCCACCACCAUCGUCUUAGAAACCUUAGCGGGUUGCUUCGUAUUAAGUGUAUUUUGUGAAAACCUCAUAAUGGAUCCCUAGCCAUUCACCUCGGCAGUGUCUAAGGGUCCGAUCAACCCGGGCUAGAUGGGAUACAUGGCUUGUGGGUAAAGUUGUACCACCUCUGCAGAGUGUAAAACUGAUAUAUCAGCCGUGCUCCCGGUUAUGAGCGACCUGGACUCCUCACAUGAUAAUUGAACUUGAAGAUGGAAUUAAUUUGAGAUCCGAUGAUCUGCCAAUAAUUUGCUUAAGUGGUUUCACUUAAGUGUUUUUGUUAUAUUCAUAUUCCUUUGUUUAAUUUGGAUAUUUGGGAUUCACUCUUAUUAGUAAGACAGGUGUUGAUAAUAAAAUGUUGACCAACUAAAAUGCUUACGGCUCAACCUUAGCCUCCCCUUGUUAUACCUGCAUUAAUUUUUCCCCCACUUGCUGAGCCCCGACCAUAAGUGAGCUCACCCUUGCUAAUAUUUUGAUCAGAGGGUGAUGCUGGAGACUUUGAUGGAGAAUUUGUCGACGAGGAAUUCUAAGUCUAACGAUGCGCCGGUCAACUUCCUGUGGAAGAUUGCCCAGUUGUUUAUUCCCGCUUAACUUUGAUGUGAUACUUGUUUAAGACGCAAUGUUUCAGAUGAUGUAAUAAAGUUUUAUACUCUCUUUACGCCUUUAUUGCAUUGUCUUUUGAUAUAUUACACUUGUGACGUCAACAUAUGUGUGGAAAUGGAUCCUGGCACACAUAUGGUAUGCACUUGGUUCUACCCCCUGGAACCGGGUGUGACAGUCGGGUUGUGUUGCGAGCUCUUGUUGUGACUUGUGUGUGUGUUGAUAUUCUGAUUUCGUGUCUUGUGUGCGUUGCUCAUCCCUCCCUUACUCCGUGCUUCUUUGUGAACAUCUUUUGUAAGGGCGAGAGACUCCAAGUUGUGGAGAUUCCUCGCGAACGGGAUAUAGAAAAGAAAAGCAAACACCGUGGUAUUCAAGUGGGUCUUUGGACCGCUUGAGAGGGGUUGAGUGCAACCCUCGUCCGUUGGGACGCCACAACGUGGAAGUUGGCAAGUGUUGUACUUGGCCGAACCACGGGAUAAACCACUGUGUCUAUCUGUGUUGAUUCUCUUGGGGUUAUUGUGUUUAGCUAAGGCUCUUCUCUAGCCACUUGGCAAUACUUGCUAACUCUUAACCAAAUCUCUGUGGCAUUAAGUGUAAGUUUUACAGGAUCACCUAUUCACCCCCUCUCUAGGUGCUCUCAAUUGGUAUCAGAGUCGUUCUCUUCACAAAGGGACUAAUCGCCCGAAGAGAUGGAUCCUAAGGGGAAGGGAAUCAUGAUCAACAACAAGGAGAAGGAGUCCUUCGUCAACGAGCCGAAGGAUGACAAGCCUACCGACUCGGGCUCGGGCCACAGAUGCAAAGAUGGGAAGAAGAAGACGAGACACAUCAAGGAGAUCGUCUACUACGACGACAGCGAUGAGUCCACUUCUUCCCAAAAGGACAACGACGACAACGACUACGACAAACGAAAGACGGUUAACUCAAACUUUUCUUUUGAUUAUUCGCGUAUCCCACAUAGCUCAAAUGCACAUUUGCUUUCCAUCCCUCUUGGCAAACCUCCACACUUUGAUGGGGAGGACUACAGAUUUUGGAGUCACAAAAUGCGUAGUCACUUGUUCUCUCUCCAUCCAAGCAUAUGGGAGAUUGUUGAGAAUGGAAUGAAAUUUGAUAGCUCGGAUAGUCCUAUAUUUAUUAAUGAACAGAUUCAUAAAAAUGCACAAGCUACUACUGUGUUGUUAGCCUCUUUGUGCAGGGACGAGUACCAUAAGGUGAGCGGCUUGGACAAUGCCAAGCAAAUCUGGGACACCCUCAAGAUUUCUCAUGAGGGGAACGACAUCACCUUACUCACCAAGAUGGAGUUGGUGGAGGGCGAGCUUGGAAGAUUCGCGAUGAUAAGGGGCGAGGAGCCAACCCAAACAUACAACCGGCUCAAGACCCUUAUCAACAAAAUAAGGAGCUACGGAAGCACGCGAUGGACGGACCACGACGUCGUCCGCCUAAUGCUAAGGUCCUUUACUGUACUUGAUCCACAUUUGGUGAACAAUAUUCGUGAAAAUCCUAGGUACACCAAGAUGUCGCCCGAAGAAGUCCUUGGAAAGUUCGUAAGCGGGCGAAUGAUGAUCAAGGAGGCAAGGUACGUGGACGACGCGUUGAAUGGUCCAAUCCAUGAGCCUCAACCCAUUGCUCUCAAGGCAACGAGAAGCAAGGAGGCGCUACCUAGCAAGGUGGCGCAAGUUGAGGCGGCCGGGCUCAAUGAUGAAGAGAUGGCCCUCAUCAUCAAGCGCUUCAAGACGGCGCUAAAGGGUCGCAAGGGACAGCCAAGCAAGACCAAGACAAAGGGGAAGCGCUCAUGCUUCAAAUGUGGUAAGAUUGGUCAUUUUAUUGCUAACUGUCCCGAUAAUGAUAGUGAACAAGAACAAGAGGGCAAGAGGGAGAAGAAGAAGGCAUACAAGAAGGCUAAGGGCGAGGCACACCUUGGCAAGGAGUGGGACUCGGAUUGUUCGUCAUCCGACUCCGAAAAUGAAGGACUCACUGCCACCGCCUUCAACAAGUCAUCCCUCUUCCCCAACGAGCGUCACACAUGCCUCAUGGCGAAGGAGAAGAAGGUAUGUACUCGAGACAAUACUACUUAUGAUUCUUCUAGUGAUGAUGAGUCUAGUGAUGAAGAAAUAGAUUACUCUAGUUUGUUCAAGGGAUUGGAUAGAACUAAAAUAGAUAAGAUCAAUGAACUGAUUGAUGCCUUGAAUGAAAAGGAUAGACUCUUAGAGAAACAAGAAGACCUUUUAUAUGAAGAGCAUGAUAAAUUUGUUAGUGCACAAAAUUCACUUGCUCUAGAAGUUAAAAGAAAUGAAAUGCUUUCUAGUGAAUUGUCUACCUGUCAUGACUCUAUCUCUAGCUUAAAGAGAAUUAACAAUGAUUUAAAUGCUAAACUAGAAGUAGUAAAUAAAUCUAACUCUUGUGUAGAACAUGUUAUGAUUUGCACUAGGUGUAAAGAUUUUGACAUUGAUGCUUGUAGUGAACACCUAGUUUGCAUUUCUAAAUUAAAUGAUGAAGUGACUAGUCUUAAUGCCCAACUUAAGACUAGCAAGAGUGAAUUUGACAAGCUAAAAUUUGCAAGGGAUGCCUACACGAUUGGUAGACACCCCUCAAUUAAGGAUGGUCUUGGCUUCAAGAGAGAAGCCAAGAACUUAACAAGCCAUAAGGCUCCCAUCUCCACCAAGGAGAAAGGGAAGGCCCCUAUGGCUAGUAGUGUGCAAAAGAACCAUGCUUUCAUGUAUCAUGGUAGGAGACAUCCUAAGAAUGCCUUUAGAAGUUAUGACGCUUUUUGAUUUUCAUGCUAUGACUGCUUCUAGUUCCCAUGUUAUGCAUGAUAGAAAUGUUGCUAGGAGAAAUGUUGUUCAUAAUAUGCCUAGGAGAAAUGUUGUUAAUGUUCCUAGGAAAGUUAAUGAACCUUGUACAAUAUAUCAUGCUUGCAAUGCUUCAUUUGCUAUUUGUAGAAAGGAUAAGAAGGUGAUUGCUAGGAAGUUAGGGGCAAGAUGCAAGGGAGAUAAAACUUGCAUUUGGGUCCCUAAGACAAUUGUGACUAACCUUGUAGGACCCAACAAGAGUUGGGUACCUAAGACCCAAGCCUAAAUUUGCCUUGCAGGUUUAUGCAUCCGGGGGUUCAAGCUGGAUUAUCGACAGCGGAUGCACAAACCACAUGACGGGGGAAAAGAGGAUGUUCUCUUCCUACGUCAAGAACAAGGAUCCCCAAGAUUCAAUAAUAUUCGGUGAUGGGAACCAAGGCAAGGUAAAAGGGUUAGGUAAAAUUGCUAUUUCAUCUGAGCACUCUAUAUCUAAUGUGUUUUUAGUUGAGUCGCUUGGAUAUAAUUUGUUAUCUGUUAGUCAAUUAUGCAAUAUGGGAUAUAAUCAAUUAUGCAAUAUGGGAUAUAAUUGUCUAUUCACAAAUGUAGAUGUGUCUGUCUUUAGACGAAGUGAUGGUUCACUAGCUUUUAAGGGUGUAUUAGACGACAAACUUUACUUAGUUGAUUUUGCAAAAGAGGAGGCCGGUCUAGAUGCAUGCUUAAUUGCUAAGACUAGCAUGGGCUGGCUGUGGCAUCGCCGCUUAGCACAUGUGGGGAUGAAGAACCUUCACAAGCUUCUAAAAGGAGAACACGUGAUAGGUUUAACUAAUGUGCAAUUCGAAAAAGAUAGACCUUGUGCAGCUUGUCAAGCAGGCAAACAGGUGGGAAGCUCUCAUCACACCAAAAAUGUGAUGACCACAUCAAGACCCUUGGAGAUGCUUCAUAUGGACCUCUUCGGACCCGUCGCCUAUCUAAGUAUAGGAGGAAGUAAGUAUGGUCUUGUUAUAGUUGAUGAUUUUUCCCGCUUCACUUGGGUAUUCUUUUUGCAGGAUAAAUCUGAAACCCAGGGGACCCUCAAGCGCUUCCUCAGAAGAGCUCAAAAUGAGUUUGAGCUCAAGGUGAAGAAGAUAAGGAGCGACAAUGGGUCCGAAUUCAAGAACCUUCAAGUGGAGGAGUACCUUGAGGAGGAAGGGAUCAAGCACGAGUUCUCCGCUCCCUACACACCACAGCAAAAUGGUGUGGUAGAGAGGAAGAACAUGACACUUAUAGACAUGGCGAGGACGAUGCUUGGAGAGUUCAAGACACCCGAGCGUUUUUGGUCGGAAGCAGUGAACACAGCUUGCCACGCCAUCAACAGGGUCUACCUUCACCGCCUCCUCAAGAAGACUUCGUACGAGCUUCUAACCGGUAACAAACCCAAUGUAUCCUACUUUCGUGUAUUUGGGAGCAAAUGCUACAUUCUAGUGAAGAAAGGUAGAAAUUCUAAGUUUGCUCCCAAAGCUGUAGAAGGGUUUUUAUUAGGUUAUGACUCAAAUACAAAGGCGUAUAGAGUCUUCAACAAAUCAUCGGGUUUGGUUGAAGUCUCUAGCGACGUUGUAUUUGAUGAGACUAAUGGCUCUCCAAGAGAGCAAGUUGUUGAUUUUGAUGAUGUAGAUGAAGAAGAAGUUCCAACGGCCGCAAUACGCACCAUGACGACUGGAGAUGUGCGGCCACAGGAACAAGAUGAGCAAGAUCAACCUUCUUCCUCAACAAUGGUGCAUCCCCCAACUCAAGACGAUGAACAGGUUCAUCAAGAGGAGGCGUGUGAUCUAGGGGAGCACAAGAUGAUCAUGUGAUGGAGGAAGAAGCACAACCGGCACCUCCAACCCAAGUUCGAGCGACGAUUCAAAGGGAUCAUCCCGUCGACCAAAUUUUGGGUGACAUUAGCAAGGGAGUAACAACUCGGUCUCGAUUAGUUAAUUUUUGUGAGCAUUACUCCUUUGUCUCUUCUAUUGAGCCUUUCAGGGUAGAGGAGGCCUUGCUAGAUCCGGACUGGGUGUUGGCCAUGCAGGAGGAGCUCAACAACUUCAAGAGGAAUGAAGUUUGGACACUGGUGCCUCGUCCCAAGAAAAAUGUUGUGGGAACCAAGUGGGUGUUCCGCAACAAACAAGACGAGCACGGGGUGGUGACAAGGAACAAUGCACGGCUUGUGGCAAAAGGUUAUGCCCAAGUCGCAGGUUUGGACUUUGAGGAGACUUUUGCUCCUGUGGCUAGGCUAGAGUCCAUUCGUAUUUUGCUAGCAUAUGCCGCUCACCAUUCCUUCAGGUUGUUCCAAAUGGAUGUGAAGAGCGCGUUCCUCAACGGGCCAAUCAAGGAGGAGGUGUACGUGGAGCAACCCCCUGGCUUCGAGGAUGAACGGCACACCGACCACGUGUGUAAGCUCUCUAAGGCGCUCUAUGGACUUAAGCAAGCCCCAAGAGCAUGGUAUGAAUGCCUUAGAGACUUUUUGAUUGCUAAUGCUUUCAAGGUUGGGAAAGCCGAUCCAACUCUAUUUACUAAGACUUGUGAUGGUGAUCUUUUUGUGUGCCAAAUUUAUGUCGAUGACAUAAUAUUUGGUUCAACUAACCAAAAGUCUUGUGAAGAGUUUAGCAGGGUGAUGACUCAGAAAUUCGAGAUGUCGAUGAUGGGCGAGUUAAGCUACUUCCUUGGGUUCCAAGUGAAGCAACUCAAGGAUGGAACCUUCAUCUCUCAAACCAAGUACACGCAAGACUUGAUCAAGCGGUUUGGGAUGAAGGACGCCAAGCCCGCAAAGACUCCAAUGGGAACCGAUGGACACACCGACCUCAACAAAGAAGGUAAGUCCGUUGAUCAAAAAGCAUACCGGUCUAUGAUAGGAUCUUUACUUUAUCUAUGUGCUAGUAGACCGGAUAUCAUGCUUAGCGUAUGCAUGUGUGCUAGAUUUCAAUCCGAUCCUAAGGAGUGUCACUUAGUGGCUGUGAAGCGAAUUCUUAGAUAUUAGUCGCUACGCCUUGUUUCGGGAUCUGGUAUCCAAAAGGGUCUACCUUUGACUUGGUGCGUAUUGCAGCCGUUGGAACGUCUUCUUCAUCUACAUCAUCAAGAUCAACAACUUGCUCUCUUGGAGAGCCAUUAGUCUCAUCAAAUACAAUGUCGCUAGAGACUUCAACCAAACCUGAUGAUUUGUUGAAGACUCUAUAUGCCUUUGUAUUUGAGUCAUAACCUAAUAAAAACCCUUCUACAGCUUUGGGAGCAAACUUAGAAUUCCUACCUUUCUUCACUAGAAUGUAACAUUUGCUCCCAAAUACACGAAAGUAAGAUACAUUGGGUUUGUUACCGGUUAGAAGCUCAUAUGAAGUCUUCUUGAGGAGGCGAUGAAGAUAGACCCGGUUUAUGGCGUGGCAAGCCGUGCUCACGGCUUCCGUCCAAAACCGUUCGGGCGUCUUGAAUUCACCAAGCAUCGUCCUCGCCAUGUCUAGUAGUGUCCUGUUCUUCCUCUCUACCACACCAUUUUGUUGUGGUGUGUAGGGAGCGGAGAACUCGUGCUUGAUUCCUUCCUCCUCAAGAUACUCCUCCACUUGAAGAUUCUUGAACUCGGACCCAUUGUCGCUCCUUAUCUUCUUCACCUUGAGCUCAAACUCGUUUUGGGCUCUCCUUAGGAAGCGCUUGAGGGUCCCUUGGGUUUCAGAUUUAUCCUGGAAAAAGAAUACCCAAGUGAAGCGGGAAAAAUCAUCAACUAUAACAAGACCAUACUUACUUCCUCCUAUACUUAGAUAGGCGACGGGUCCGAAGAGGUCCAUAUGAAGUAACUCCAGGGGUCUUGAUGUUGUCAUCACAUUUUUGGCAUGAUGAGAGCUUCCCACCUGUUUACCUGCUUGACAAGCUGCACAAGGUCUAUCUUUUUCGAAAGUUACAUUAGUUAGACCUAUCACGUGUUCUCCCUUUAGAAGCUUGUGAAGGUUCUUCAUCCCCACAUGUGCUAAACGAUGAUGCCACAGCCAGCCCAUGCUAGUCUUAGCAAUUAAGCAUGCAUCUAGACUGGCCUCCUCUUUUGCAAAAUCGACUAAAUAAAGUUUGCCGUCUAGUACACCCUUCAAAGCUAAUGAACCAUCACUUCUUCUAAAGACAGACACAUCUACAUUUGUGAAUAAACAGUUAUAUCCCAUAUUACACAGUUGACUCACAGACAACAAGUUAUAUCCAAGCGACUCAACUAAGAACACAUUAGAAAUAGAGUGCUCGGAUGAAAUAGCAUUUUUACCUAACUCUUUCACCUUGCCUUGGUUCCCAUCACCGAAUAUGAUUGAAUCUUGGGGAUCCUUGUUCUUGACGUAGGAAGAGAACAUCCUCUUCUCCCCCGUCAUGUGGUUUGUGCAUCCGCUGUCGAUAAUCCAGCUUGAGCCCCCGGAUGCAUAAACCUGCAAGGCAAUUUAGGCUUGGGUCUUAGGUACCCAACUCUUGUUGGGUCCUACAAGGUUAGUACAAAUAGCCUUAAGGACCCAAAUGCAAGUUUUAUCUCCCUUGCAUUUUGCCCCUAAUUUUCUAGCAACCACCUUCUUAUCCUUUCUACAAAUAGCAAAGGAAGCAUUUAAAGCAUGAUAAAUUGUAGAAGGUUCAUUACUUGUUUUCCUAGGCACAUGAGUAUUUCUCCUAGGUACAUGAUGAAUGACAUUUUUCCUAGCCACACUUCUAUCAUACAUCAUAGAAGAACUUGAAGCAAACAUUGCAUUUGAAUCAUAAGCAUGUGAAACAAUAUCAUUGCAACUUCUAUCAUGAUGAACAUUCCUAGAAUAUCUCCUAUCAUGGUAUAAGAAAGCAUGGUUCUUUUGCACACUAUUUGCCAUAGGGGCCUUCCCUUUCUCCUUGAUGGAGAUGGGAGCCUUAUGACUUGUCAAGUUCUUGGCUUCCCUCUUGAAGCCAAGCCCAUCCUUAAUUGAGGGGUGUCUACCAACCGUGUAGGCAUCCCUCGCAAAUUUUAGUUUAUCAAAAUCAUUUUUGCUAGUCUUAAGUUGAGCAUUAAGACUAGCCACUUCAUCAUUUAGUUUAGAAAUGCAAACUAGGUGUUCACUACAAGCAUCAACAUUAAAAUCUUUGCACCUAUUGCAAAUCAUAACAUGUUCUUCACGAGAGUUUGUUUUACUAGCUAUUUCUAACUUAGCAUUCAAAUCAUCAUUUAUGCUCUUUAAACUAGAAAUAGAGUCAUGGCAUGUAGACAAUUCACAAGAAAGCAUCUUAUUCCUUUUAAUUUCUAAAGCAAGGGAUUUUUGUGCCUCUACAAACUUAUCAUGUUCUUCAUACAGAAGAUCCUCUUGCUUUUCUAAUAGCCUAUUUUUAUCAUUCAAGGCAUCAAUUAAUUCAUUAAUCUUAUCAACCUUAGUUCUAUCUAGGCCCUUGAAUAAACAUGAAUAGUCUAUUUCAUCAUCACUAGAUUCUUCAUCACUUGAGGAAGUGUAAGUACUAGUAUUAUGAGUGCUUACCUUCUUUUACCUUGCCAUGAGGCAGGUGUGAUGCUUGUUGGGGAAGAGGGCCGACUUGUUGAAGGCGGUGGCGGCGAGUCCUUCGUUGUCGGAGUCGGACGACAAACAAUCCGAGUCCCACUCCUUUCCAAGGUGUGCCUCGCCCUUAGCUUUCUUGUAAGCCUUCUUCUUUUCCCUCUUGUUCCCUUGUUCCUGGUCACUAUCAUUUUUGGGACAAUUAGCGAUAAAAUGACCAAUCUUACCACAUUUGAAGCAUGAGCGCUUCCCCUUUGUCUUGGUCUUGUUGGGAUGCUCCUUGCGACCCCUUAGCGCCGUCUUGAAGCGCUUGAUGAUGAGGGCCAUUUCUUCAUCAUUAAGUCUGGCCGCCUCAACCUGUGCCACCUUGCUAGGUAGCGCCUCCUUGCUCCUUGUUGCUUUGAGAGCAACGGUUUGAGGCUCGUGGAUUGGACCGUUCAACACAUCGUCAAUGUAUCUUGCCUCCUUGAUCAUCAUCCGCCCGCUUACAAACUUUCCAAGUAUCUCCUCGGGCGUCAUCUUGGUGUACCUAGGAUUCUCACGAAUAUUGUUCACAAGAUGUGGAUCAAGGAUAGUAAAAGACCUUAGCAUUAGGCGGACGACGUCGUGGUCCGUCCAUCGCGUGCUUCCAUAGCUCCUUAUUUUGUUGACGAGGGUCUUGAGCCGGUUGUAUGUUUGGGUUGGCUCCUCGCCCCUGAUCAUUGCGAAUCUCCCAAGUUUGCCUUUUAAUGACUCCAUCUUGGUGAGCAUGGUGACGUCAUUUCCCUCAUGAGAGAUCUUGAGGGUGUCCCAAAUCUUCUUGGCGUUAUCCAAGCCGCUCACCUUAUGGUAUUCAUCCCUGCACAAAGAUGCUAGAAGAACAGUAGUAGCUUGUGCAUUUUUGUGAAUUUGCUUAUUGAUAAAUGUGGGACUAUCAGUACUAUCAAAUUGCAUUCCACUCUCUACUAUCUCCCAUAUGCUUGGAUGGAGAGAGAACAAGUGACUACGCAUUUUGUGACUCCAAAAUCCGUAGUCCUCUCCAUCAAAGUGAGGAGGUUUACCAAGUGGAAUGGAGAGUAAAUGAGCAUUUGUAUUUUGCGGAAUACGAGAAUAAUCAAAAGAGAAGUUUGAAUUGACCCUUUUCUUUUUCUCGUAGUUGUCGUCUUCCUUUUGGGAAGAAGAAGACUCAUCGCUGUCGUCGUAGUAGACGAUCUCCUUGAUGCGCCUUAUUUUCUUCUUCUUCCCGUCUUUUCUUUUGUGGCUUGAGCCCGAGUCAGUAGGCUUGUCAUCUUUUGGAUCAUUGACGAAGGACUCCUUCUCCUUAUCAUUGACCACCAUACCCUUGCCCCUAGGAUCCAUCUCUUCGGGCGAUUAGUCCCUUUCUUGAAGAGAACGGCUUUGAUACCAAUUGAGAGCACCUAGAGGAGGGGUGAAUAGGUGAUCCUGUAAAACUUAAAACUUAACACCACAAACUUGAUUAAGAGUUAGAACAGUGAAAUCAAGUGAGUAGAGAGGAGAGCUCUUGUGAAGCACAAUAGACAUAAUAAGGACAAGCACAAGAGACACGAGGAAUUAUCCCGUGGUUCGGGUAAGUACAAAACUUGCCUACUCCACGUUGUGGCGUCCCAACGGACGAGAGUUGCACUCAACUCCUCUCAAGUGAUCCAAUGAUCAACUUGAAUACCACGGUGUUCUUCUUUACUUUGCUCUUUUCUCGUUUGCGAGGAAUCUCCACAACUUGGAGUCUCUCGCCCUUACAAUAAGAAUCAAUAUGAAGCACAAGAGUAAGGGAGGGAAGCAACACACUCAAAUCCACAGCAAAUAUGCGUACACAAGAUCAAGACUUGAGCUCAAAAGAGUAUCACAAGGUUCUCACUAGAACGAAGCUCAAAUCACUAAGAAUGUCGAACAAGUGCGCAAGAAUGAAGUGUGAGUGAUCAACAAUGCUCAAGUAAUGCUUGGUAUCCUCCUCCAUGCGCCUAGGGGUCCCUUUUAUAGCCCCAAGGCAGCUAGGAGCCGUUGAGAGCAUUUGAAGAAGGCAAUUCUUGCCUUCUAUCGCCUGGCGCACCGGACAGUCUGGUGCACCACCGGACACUGUCCGGUGCAGAUUUCUUUCCUUCUUUGGCGAAGCCGACUGUUGGCGCUUAGGAGCCGUUGGCGCACCGGACACUGUCCGGUGCACACCGGACAGUCCGGUGCCCCUUCUGACCGUUGGCUCUUGCCACGCAUCGCGCGCGGAUUAUGCGGCCGACCGUUGGCCCGGCCGACUGUUGGCUCACCGGAUAGUCCGGUGCACCACCGGACAGUCCAGUGAUUUAUAGCCGUACGCCGUUAAUUGCUUCCCGAGAGCAGCCAGUUGACAGUCGCCGGCCUGGCGCACCGGACACUGUCCGGUGCACCACCGGACAGUCCGGUGCACCCAAACUGAGCUGUCUUUGGCUGAACAAAGCCAUCUCUUUUCCAACUUGAUUUCUCCUGUUUCCAGCACUUAGACACAAUACAUUAGUUUCCAAAACAAUGUACUAAGUCUUAGAAACAUACCUUUUUACUUGAUUUGCACUUUAUCCAUCACUUUGCAUAGAUUAACAUGAGUCCACUUGUGUUGGCACUCAAUCACCAAAAUACUUAGAAAUGGCCCAAGGGCACAUUUCCCUUUCACUAACGCUAACCCGGCUUGUAGUUGUGCUUAAGUUGUUAAAUUUCAGAUUCACCCUAUUCACCCCCCUCUAGGCGACUUUCAAUUGGUAUCAGAGCCCGAUGCUUCAUUAGAGCCUAACCGCUCGAAGUGAUGUCGGGAGAUCACGCCAAGAAGGAGAUGGAGACCGGCGACAAGCCCGCUACAAGCCACGAGAAAGCUUCAUCGGAAGAGUCCCGCAACAAAGGGAAGGGGAAGGAGAAGAAAUCCCCUUCACACAAGUCGCGUCGGAGCGACGACAAGAAGAAGAAGAUGAGGAAGGUGGUCUACUACGAGACCGACUCCUCGUCGCCAUCCACCUCCGGCUCCGACACGCCGUCCGUAACUUCUAAGCGCCAUGAGCGCAAGAAGUAUAGUAAGAUUCCCCUACGCUACCCCCGUAUUUCAAAGCGUACUCCUUUACUCUCCGUUCCAUUAGGCAAACCACCGGUUUUUGACGGUGAAGAUUAUAAUAUGUGGAGUGACAAAAUGAGGCAUCAUCUAACCUCACUCCACACAGGCAUUUGGAAUGUUGUUGAGUUUGGUGUACAGAUACCAUCCGUAGGGGAUGAAGACUACGCCUCAGACGAAGUGGCCCAAAUCCACCACUUUAACUCCCAAGCCACCACUAUACUCCUCGCCUCUCUAAGUCGAGAGGAGUAUAAUAAGGUGCAAGGGUUAAAGAGUGCGAAGGAAAUUUGGGACGUACUCAAGACCGCGCACGAAAGAGACGAGGUGACAAAGAUCACCAAGCGGGAGACGAUCGAGGGGGAGCUCGGUCGCUUCAUGCUUCACCAAGGGGAGGAUCCGCAAGCCAUGUACAACCGCUUGAAGACCUUGGUGAACCAAGUGCGCAACCUCGGGAGCGAAAAAUGGGAUGACCAUGAGAUGGUCAAGGUUAUUCUUAGAUCCCUCAUUUUUCUUAACCCUACACAAGUUCAAUUAAUUCGAGAUGAUCCUAGAUACAAGCUAAUGUCUCCCGAGGAGGUUAUAGGAAAAUUUGUGAGCUUUGAGCUAAUGAUUAAAGGCUCAAAGAAAAUCAUCGAGCAAGGCACACCCUCCAUGCCCAAGGCACAACCCGUCGCAUUCAAGGCAACGAAGGAGAAGAAGGAAGAGUCUACAUCAAGUAGACAACCAAUCGACGCCUCUAAGCUCGACAAUGAGGAGAUGGCGCUCAUCAUCAAGAGCUUCCGCCAAAUCCUCAAGCAAAGGAGGGGGAAGGACUACAAGCCCCGCUCCAAGAAAGUGUGCUACAAAUGUGGUAAGCCCGGUCAUUUUAUAGCAAAAUGUCCACUAUCUAGUGACAGUGACAGGGGCGACGACAAGAAGGGCAAGAGAAGAGAAAAGAAGAGGUACCACAAGAAGAGGGGCGGCGAUGCCCAUGUGUGCCGCGAGUGGGACUCCGAGGAGAGCUCCUCCGACUUCUCCUCUAACGAGGACGCCGCCAACAUCGCCGUCACUAAGGGACUUCUCUUCCCCAACGUCGGCCACAAGUGCCUCAUGGCAAAGGACGGCAAAAAGAAGAAGGUUAAAUCCAAAUCCUCCACUAAAUAUGAGUCCUCUAGUGAUGAUAAUGCUAGUGAUGAGGAGGAUAAUUUGCGUACCCUUUUUGCCAACCUAAACAUGCCACAAAAAGAAAAAUUAAAUGAAUUAAUUAGUGCCAUCCAUGAAAAGGAUGAACUCUUGGACACCCAAGAGGACUUCCUAAUCAAGGAAACAAAAAGCAUGUUAAGGUUAAAAAUGCUUACGCUCUAGAAGUUGAAAAAUGUGAAAAAUUGUCUAGUGAGCUAAGCACUUGCCAUGAUACUAUUGCCAACCUUAGAAAUGAAAAUGCUAAACUUAUUGCUAAGGUUGAUUCUAAUGUUUGUAAUGUUUCAAUUCCCAAUCUUAGAGAUGAUAAUGUUGAUUUACUUGCUAAGAUUGAAGAAUUGAAUGAUUCUCUUGCUAGCCUUAGAAAUGAAAAUGAAAAAUUGACUGCUAAGGCUAAAGAUUUUGAUGAUUGCAAUGUUACUAUUUCUAACCUUAGAAGUUAAAAUGAUAUAUUACAUGCUAAGGUUGUAGAAUUAAAAUCUUGCAAACCCUCUACAUCUAUCGUUGAGCAUACUUCCAUUUGCACUAGAUGUAGAUACAUUAAUGUUGAUGCUAUCCAUGACCAUCUAGCUUUAAUUAAGAAACAAAAUGAUCACAUAGCUCAACUUAAUGCUAAAAUAAAUGAGCAUGACUUAGAAAAUGAAAAGUUUAAAUUUGCUAGAAGCAUGCUCUAUAGUGGGAGACGCCCUGGCAUCAAGGAUGGCAUUGGCUUCCAAAAGGGAGACAAUGUCAAACUUAAUGCCCUCCUAAGAAAUUAUCCAACUUUGUUAAGGGCAAGGCUCCCAUGCCUCAGGAUAACGAGGGUUACAUUUUGUACCCUGCCGGUUAUCCCGAGCAUAAAAUUAGGAGAAUUCAUUCUAGGAAGUCUCACUCUGGCCCUAAUCAUGCUUUCAUGUAUAAGGGUGAGACAUCUAGCUCUAGGCAACCAACCCGUGCUAAGUUGCCUAAGAAGAAAACUCCUACUACAUCAAAUGAUCAUAGCAUUUCAUUUAAAACUUUUGAUGCUUCUUAUGUGCUAACCAACAAAUCAGGCAAGGUAGUUGCCAAGUAUAUUGGGGGGCAAACACAAGAGCUCCAAAACUUGUGUUUGGGUACCCAAAGUUCUUGUCUCUAAUGCUAAAGGACCCAAAACUAUUUGGGUACCUAAAAUCAAGAACUAAACUUGUUUUGUAGGUUUAUGCAUCCGGGGGCUCAAGUUGGAUCAUCGAUAGCGGGUGCACAAACCACAUGACAGGGGAGAAGAAGAUGUUCUCCUCCUAUGAGAAAAAUCAAGAUCCCCAACGAGCUAUCACAUUCGGGGAUGGAAAUCAAGGUUUGGUCAAAGGUUUGGGUAAAAUUGCUAUUUCACCUGACCAUUCCAUUUCCAAUGUUUUUCUUGUAGAUUCUUUAGAUUAUAACUUGCUUUCCGUUUCCCAAUUAUGUCAAAUGGGCUACAACUGUCUAUUUACUGAUGUAGGUGUCACUGUCUUUAGAAGGAGUGAUGAUUCAAUAGCAUUUAAGGGAGUGUUAGAGGGUCAACUAUACUUGGUAGAUUUUGAUAGAGCUGAACUCGACACUUGCUUAAUUGCUAAGACUAACAUGGGUUGGCUCUGGCACCGCCGACUAGCCCAUGUUGGAAUGAAGAAUCUUCAUAAGCUUCUAAAGGGAGAGCACAUUUUAGGAUUAACAAAUGUUCAUUUUGAGAAAGACAGGAUUUGUAGCGCAUGACAAGCAGGGAAGCAAGUUGGUGUUCAUCAUCCGCAUAAGAAUAUCAUGACGACUGACAGGCCACUGGAGCUCCUACACAUGGAUCUAUUCGGCCCGAUUGCUUACAUAAGCAUCGGCGGGAGUAAGUACUGUCUAGUUAUUAUGGAUGAUUAUUCUCGCUUCACUUGGGUAUUCUUUUCGUAGGAAAAAUCUCAAACCCAAGAGACCUUAAAGGGAUUCUUGAGACGGGCUCAAAAUGAGUUCGGCUUAAGGAUCAAGAAAAUAAGAAGCGACAACGGAACAGAGUUCAAGAACUCUCAAAUUGAAGGCUUCCUUGAGGAGGAGGGCAUCAAGCAUGAGUUCUCUUCUCCCUACACCCACAACAAAAUGGUGUAGUGGAGAGGAAGAAUCGAACUCUAUUGGACAUGGCAAGGACCAUGCUUGAUGAAUACAAGACUUCAGAUCGGUUUUGGGCCGAUGCGGUUAACACCGCCUGCUACGCCAUCAACCGGUUGUAUCUACACUGAAUCCUCAAGAAGACAUCAUACGAACUCCUAACCGGUAAAAAGCCCAAUAUUUCCUAUUUUAGAGUCUUUGGUAGCAAAUGCUUUAUUCUUGUUAAAAGAGGUAGAAAAUCUAAAUUUGCUCCUAAGACAGUAGAAGGCUUUUUACUAGGAUAUGAUUCAAACACAAGGGCAUAUAGAGUCUUUAACAAGUCCUCAGGACUAGUUGAAGUUUCUUGUGACGUUGUGUUUGAUGAGACUAACGACUCUCAAGUAGAGCAAGUUGAUCUUGAUGAGAUAGGUGAUGAAGAGGCUUCGUGCAUCGCGCUAAGGAACAUGUCCAUUGGGGAUGUGUGUCCUAAGGAAUCCGAAGAGCCUCCAAAUGCACAAGAUCAACCAUCCUCCUCCACGCAAGCAUCUCCACGAACUCAAAAUAAGGAUGAGGCUCAAGAUGAUGAAGAAGAAAGUCAAGAAAAUGAGCCACCUCAAGAUGACGACAAUGAUCAAGGGGGAGAUGCAAAUGAUCAAGACAAGGAGGAUGAAGAACCAAGACCGCCACACCCAAGAGUCCACCAAGCAAUCCAACGAGAUCACCCCGUCGACACCAUCCUCGGCGAUAUUCAUAAGGGGGUAACCACUAGAUCUCGUGUUGCACAUUUUUGUGAGCAUUACUCUUUUGUUUCCUCUAUUGAGCCACACAGGGUAGAGGAAGCACUUCAAGAUUCGGAUUGGGUGGUGGCAAUGCAAGAGGAGCUCAACAACUUCACUAGGAACAAGGUAUGGCAUUUAGUUCCACGUCCUAAUCAAAAUGUUGUAGGAACCGAAUGGGUCUUCCGCAACAAGCAAGAUGAGCAUGGUGUGGUAACAAGGAACAAAGCCCGACUUGUGGCCAAGGGAUAAUCCCAAGUCGAAGGUUUGGAUUUUGGUGAAACCUAUGCACCCGUAGCUAGGCUUGAGUCAAUUUGUAUAUUAUUAGCCUAUGCUACUUACCAUGGCUUCAAGCUCUACCAAAUGGACGUGAAGAGUGCCUUCCUCAAUGGACCAAUCAAGGAAGAGGUCUAUGUUGAGCAACCUCCCGUCUUUGAAGACAGUGAGUACCCUAACUAUGUUUAUAAGCUCUCUAAGGCGCUUUAUGGGCUCAAGCAAGCCCCAAGAGCAUGGUAUGAAUGCCUAAGAGAUUUCAUUAUAGCUAAUGGCUUCAAAGUCGGAAAGGUCGAUCCUACUUUAUUUACUAAAACUCUUGACAAUGAUUUGUUUGUAUGCCAAAUUUAUGUUGAUGAUAUCAUAUUUGGGUCUACUAACGAAUCUACAUGUGAGGAAUUUAGUAGAAUCAUGACACAGAAAUUCGAGAUGUCAAUGAUGGGGGAGUUGAAGUAUUUCUUAGGAUUUCAAGUGAAGCAACUCCAAGAGGGCACCUUCAUUAGCCAAACGAAGUAUACUCAAGACAUUCUAAACAAGUUUGGGAUGAAGGAUGCCAAGCCCAUCAAGACACCCAUGGGAGCCAAUGGGCAUCUCGACCUCGACACAGAAGGUAAAUCCGUAGAUCAAAAGGUAUACUGGUCGAUGAUAGGAUCUUUACUCUAUUUAUGUGCAUCUCGAUCGGAUAUUAUGCUUUCCGUAUGCAUGUGUGCAAGAUUCCAAGCCGACCCUAAGGAAGCUCACCUUACGGCCGUAAAACGAAUCUUGAGAUAUUUGGCUUAUACUCCUAAGUUUGGGCUUUGGUACUGUCGGUGUUUUGGGUCCGACCGCACACCUGGGGUUACCCCUCAAGGUGUUUUUAGGAGUAGGACGGUGUCAACGACUGUAGCAAAAUGGUUCGUGCCGAUCGCACGAGGGACAGUGGACAAGAUUUGCAGGUUCGGGCCGCUUAGAGAUGCGUAACACCCUACGUCCUGAUGAGUAUUUGAGUGCGGUUACAAGAGGGCUCUCUGGAACUGAGGCACAGAGAGUUUACGUGAGUGGCUAAGUAAAGUAGGGUCGAUCGUUCUGAAGGGGUGCCCCCUAGGCCUUAUAUACUCGACCGUGGGGCAGUACACGUGGAUAUGAUAGCUACAAGUAGCUGAAAGAUAGUAAACCUCUUGAGUUUAUCCCUACGUAACCCUUGCCGACUUAUCCUCGAAUGGCUCUGUUGCAUGGGGGCUUCAGCGCGGGAAAGUCGGGUCUCUGUUGCGAUUUACUCGUUUGACGUUGUGGGCCGUCCGGGUUUGCUCCAAUCCAGUCUUACGUCUUCUCCGCUUCGUUGAUUGUCUUUCCCCAGGCCCACGAAAGAACGACCUUACGAUUUAUUGGGCCUUUGGGCCUUUCGUGAGGUCUUUUAUCUCUUUAGUGGACCCAGGGGAUAUCUAUCCCCCACAAGCCCCCGAUCUUUGGGUUGAUUUAGAGGUAAUCAACUCAAAGAUCCAAGGUCCGAAAAAUGACUUCCUGCUGUCUUCUCUUGCUCCGAUCACUCGUUCGACCAAAGUUUAGUUUUGUGCUUGUGCCUUAGAGGUCGGCAUUUUGAAUUGUAGGAUUCUGGACUUCAUUGGGUGCACCGGAGGUGCACCCAAUGGGUGUAGCCCCCGACCUUUGAGUAGAUUUUAGAAGAUAAUCUACUCGAAGGUCUUCCCCAAAGAUUAUCUCCAUUCGCGCUCCUGCAUCUCGGUUGAGAAUUGGUCUUUUCAAUCUUGUCCCACGCCUUAGAAGUCAGCGCUAUAUCGGUUUAGAAUGAUAAUCCAUGGGGUGCACCGGAGGUGCACCCAAUGGGUGUAGCCCCCGACCUUCAAAUGGAUUUUUUAAGGAUAAUCCAUUCGAAGGUCUUCCUUUUGCUUGUAAAAAUUGGCAUGAAGCUAAUCGCAUUAUGCUUUGGAGGUCAGCAUUAUGUCAUCAAAAUUUUGCUGCAGAGGUCAGCAUAUAUUUUGUCUUUUAGCAGCCGAGUUUGCAAUCCAUCCAUAUCUUGCUAGGUAAUGCAAUUUAUUUGCUUCUGCGACUUGAUUGAACGUUUGAUGGACGUUCUCUGUCUAGUCCUCACAUCGCUUCUGUCGGUCAUAUCUUGUACUUUGCUGGCUAUAUUUGGCUUUCCUCUGAUCCUUACUGAUGUCUCAUUUUUGUCUUGAGGUAUUUACUGCGUGCCCUGCACGGAUGUGACCGUUUUGAAAAAUAUACUGAUAAUUCCUGGGCGUCCUCCCCCAAUGGGUGUGGGCAAGGGACGGCUUGGUACGCUAAGUGUUUUAGCCGGCUGCUUCUGAGUAGUAAUGUGAUGGGACGGCUAGUGUAAUCAUAUCCUUUGCGCUGUUGACUGGAGUCCCAAUGGGUGUAGUGCUGCAUGAAACGGCGUCUGCCGUCUGACGUGUCUUCAGAUGGGUGGGAGUGCUUAUUGAAUGCUUUGCGACUGUUCAGUGACCGCGGUUGGAAGUGAGCGGUUGCCUUUCCUUUCUAUAAAUAACGCCCUUGCUCCUCUGGUUUUUUCACAUCUCUUCGCUGUUCUUUACUGCGUCCUUCUUCUCCCCUCUGUCUGCUUACACCAUGGGCAAGGGUACCAAGCGCAAGCGUGAGCCGACUCCUCCGUCGGAUGAUUUCUGUGACUCGGAAUACUCGGAGGAGGAGUUCUCCUCCGAGUCCGAGGGAUCUCCGACUCCCGUCUCUCCCCCGGCGUCGUCUGAUGAUUCAGACGACUCCCAGGGGAUUGCCGCGGAGGUCUGGACGUACAUCCGGGCCGUCGAGCGCUCCGGGCUCGAGGGCUUGGAUGAGUCUGAGUUCUCCUCGGACGAGGAGGACUCGGACGGCGGCGAGGACGAAGAUGACGACAACGACGACGGCGACGACGACGACGGUGGCGACGGCGAUGGUGACGGCAGCAACGGCGGCGGGGGCGGCGGCGGCAAGGGCAGCACCAGAGGCGGUAGCAGUACGGGCAGCACCAGAGGCGGCAGCAGCAAGGGCAGCACCAGGGGCGGCGGCGGCAAGGGCAGCAGCAGCAAGGCCAGUGGCUAAACGCCACUGGUCUUUAGAUAUUAGUAUAGCGUAGUUAGAAUAAUGUAGUAGUAAUGUAGAGUAGUAUAGUGUAGUUUAGUAGUAGUAGUAAUGUAGAGUAGAAGUAGGGAAGCACCAACUCGAGAAGAGUUGGUUUGUAAACUUAUUAACUUCCCCUUAAUGAAGAACUGUCGUUGGUCCCUUCUUGAUGACUCGCUUUCUCUGAUUGUCGAACUGAUUCUUUUGAUAUAGUAGAUGAAUAACUUGCGCAUCACAUUGACGCUUCCAGAAGUAGCUGCCGAGUAAUCUUAUAGUCUAUGUCGACGUUUUAGAAAUAAUACCGAGCGAUUGAAGGUUGACAUCAGUGUUUUAGAAGUAACACCGAGCAAUCGAACACGAGACCAGCGUUUUAGAGGCGAUGCCGAGUUAGUGAAGGUCGACAUCGGUAUUUUAGAAGCGACGCCGAGCGAUUGAACAUGCGAUCGGCGUUUUAGAGGCCAUGCCGAGUGACUGAAGGUCGGCGUCGGCAUUUUAGAAGUAAUGCCAAGCGAUAGAAUACGAGUUCAGCGUUUUGGAGGCAACGCCGAGUGAUAGAAGGUCAGCGUCGGCAUUUUAGAAGUAAUGCCGAGCGAUUGAAUACGAGGUCAGCGUUUUAGAGGCGACGCUGAGUGAUUGAAGGUUGGCGUCGGCUUUUUAGAAGUAAUGCCGAGCGAUAGAAUACGAGUUCAGCGUUUUAGAGGCAACGCCGAGUGAUAGAAGGUCAGCGCCGGCAUUUUAGAAGUAAUGCCGAGCGAUUGAAUACGAGGUCAGCGUUUUAGAGGCGACGCUGAGUGAUUGAAGGUCGGCGUCGGCAUUUUAGAAGUAAUGCCGAGCGAUAGAAUACGAGUUCAGCGUUUUAGAGGCAACGCCGAGUAAUUGAAGGUCGCCGUCGGCAUUUUAGAAGUAAUGCCGUGCGAUUGAACACGAGAUCAGCGUUUUAGAGGCAACGCCGAGUGACUGGAGGUCGCCGUCGGCAUUUUAGAAGUAAUGCCGAGCGAUUGAAUAUGAAAUCAGCGUUUUAGAGUCAACGUCGAGUGAUGAGGUGGCGCAUCGGCUUUUUGGAAAUAACUGCCGGAUGACCAUGUGGCCUGCUGGGGUUUUGGAAAUAACCGCCGGGUGAUGAUUGGACACUUUUUGAAACGGUAUCUGGCUCGAGAAUAUCCCAUGAGAACUGCGCUUUUAGCCGCCUUUGCUUUCCGUGCCCUAGUUCUUGCAUUCCCGCAUCUGAAUCUUCUCUGUCACUCGCCCCCUACUCUGUUCGCCAGUGAGAAGCAAGAUGGCGCCCAAGAGAAAAACUGCGAACUCGUCUGCUGCGGUGAUCCCCGCAAUCGACCCCAAUAGUCAGUUACCCUUCGCAGGUAACCACAUGUCUGUUAUUUCCGAAGCUGAGCUUCUCCGCUUCGUCUCCAUCGGGGUUCUUCCUCCGCGGGAACUCUGUUCUUGGCGGAUUUGCCACGGGACUACUGUCCCAACCGAAGAUACCCACGAGUCAGUAGUUUACGCUCCUUUUCUUCUCCGCGGCCUCGGCCUUCCCAUCUCUCCUUUUUUCCGUGGCCUCCUUGAUUUCUAUCAUAUCAACUUGACUCAUUUGAACCCUAAUUCCAUUCUCCAAAUUUCCAUUUUCGUUCACCUGUGCGAAGCCUACCUCGGUGUGAUGCCGCAUUUCGGUUUAUGGAAGUAUCUGUAUCAUUGUCGUCCUGGGAUGGCCGGGGGGCAACAUCAGCUGGUCGGAGGUGCCAGUUUGGAGAUGCGCCGUGGGCGGAAGACCGAGUAUCUUGAGAUUCCCCUCAAAGAUAGCAUUAAAGGGUGGCGUCUGGAGUGGUUUAUAGUUGAUAAUUAUGGAAAUUCUCUCCCCUCCCGGUCAGGAAGACAGCCAGACGUUCGCACUCCGAGUUGGACUGAGUCUCCUACAGAUCAGGAAGUGGCCGAGGCAGGUGUGUUGCUUACUGAAGUCGGAUUACUAAAAGAGAGAGGUCUGACUGCCGAAGCUGUGGUCACUGAUUUUGUUUUCAAGAACAUUCAGCCACUGAAAGACAGGGCCUAUCCGGCAUAUCUGUAUCGAGGGCUGGCCGACUCAACCCGGGUUACCAAUAGGAGAAUUCCUUCUGUUGACUUGGUAAGCCGACUUGAAAUGAUCCUUAGGGGUAAAGUUUCAAAUGUUGGUGCUCCAGUGGCAUACUCGGCUUGGAACCUACCUCCUCCCAAAGCUUUCACCCUUUUUGUGUCAAAUCCGCCUGUGACUGAUAGCAAUUUGGGCCUUAGAGUGCGACCUUCUGCUGAAGAAGUCAGUACUUUGGUUGCUUCGCUCGAGGCGAUUCCUGAUGAUGAACGACAUGUUUAUUUUGAAGUGCCUCUGAACCCUAGUGAUGCAGACAUAAAUGACAUGCUUGAUCUGUUAGCUGAGGAUUCGUCCGAUGCUGCUCCUGAUGGCACGUUGGCAGUAGUGCCCCUUCCAGAGGUUGAUACAACUUUGGAUGUCCCGAAACCUGUCAGUACUCGCCCGAGACGCCCUAGCCGAACCAGUCAGCCCGAGCCUUCUGCUGAUGAGCAAAAGAAGAAGAGAAGAUGCCUCCGGCGAGUAUCCAGUUUUGAUGAGGACGCCGGUACCUUAGCUCCUGCUGCUGAAGAAGUGCCUGCAACUGGUCUUACUGACACUGAUCCCAAUGGGUGUGCCCAAACUGUUGUUGAUCCCAAUGGGAGUGCUGCUUGCGUUGCCGCUGUGGAGGAUGAAGAGGAAGAAGAUGAAGCUCCUUUAACUCGGAAAAACAGUCGGCAGUUCGUCGCCAGCGGUGGAAGUAGUGGAGUUCCUUCUCCUGCUUUGUCUGCCCUUAUUGGUCUGCAAGAACUGUCCAUGGCCAACUUUGAUCAAACUCUAGAGGAUAUGGUUCCAGAAGAUUUGCUAUCAGAGCCUGUGGAUGUUGAUGCAACAGAGACUUGUGCCGUCGUGCCCGAUGCUGGGUUGAGGUCAUCCCGUGCCUCGUCGACCUUAGAGCAUGAUCUCGAGGGUCGGGAUGCUGAAUUGGAUUGUUCCGGUCCCAUGGAAGUAGCUGAAGGCCCGUCAACCUUAGAGGUGGUUACGGCAGAGAGCUUGGACCCCUUGAAUAGUGCUGACAUGUGCCCAGCCCCCGAGGAUGUCGCCGGGGAAGACUUAGCUCGGGUGAAGAGUACAAGCCGCUGCCCAGCCCCCGAGGGUGUUGCCGGGGAUGAUCCGGCUCAAGUGGGCAGUGCCAACUGUGACCCCGCCCCCGAGGGUGUCCGAGCAAGGUCUCCUUCCUGCACUUCCAUGGAUGUUCAUGCGGGUUCACCUCCACACUCUGGCGGUAUAGUGGUGGCCCAAACUCUGGAUCAGGGGGUCGCUUUAGAGGGCAGCAUCCCCACUGGUCUGGCGUUAGGCUCUGUUGAAUGUAUUGAGCUCGUUCCUGCUGGUCUGUUGCAAGCUGCUUCGGGUGGUGGCCUGGCACCUGAUUAUCAGCUGAUUUCUCCUGAUUUGGGGAUCCCUUCGUUCUUUUCCAACCUCCAGGUACUGUGCUGUAUUUUAGCUUGACCUUUUCGUUGCAUGAAUUUUUGUCAUUAUGUUCAUCCGCUCUUCUCAUCAGACUUUGGUGGAUGGGAUGGCCAGCCAGCUGAGAUCGCAGGGUGCUUCCAUCCCAGAAGUGGCUUCAUCUCUUGAGCGUUGGAAUCCAAUGUCGCUUCAUCGUCGUGUAUCCGAGUUGGAGGCAACUAAUGCUGGUUAGUGCUCUUCUUCUUCUUCCUUGCCUUUAUUCGUGGAUUGUUUUACCUUCUAACCUCAUUUCGUUUGAUUACCUCUUGAUAGGAAUGACUCGGCAGAUUGCAGUUCUUGAGGAAAAACAUUCCCGAGAUCAAGCUGAAAUGGCUCAACGGUGUGCUGACUUCGAGGAGAAGUAUUCUCAAAGCCAGACUGAACUGAAUCAGGUCUCCGCUGCUUUGGAUGACGCCAACGCUCUGAGUUCUUCUCUUCAUGCUCGGCUUGACUCUGAAAAGGUAACUUACAAUACCGUGCUUCGCCUUAUUACAUGCUUGGAUUCUGAAUGAGUUGAUUUUUGUUUGUAGGAAGAAAAACGUAUCCUUGCUGCUUCUCGCGACAAUCUGGACAGAUUGUAUCGAGACUCUAGCAACUCGCUAACCAUCUUGGAGAGGAGCCACCGUUUUACGAUGGAAGAACUGGACAAUCAGCGUCGUAGGCUGCAAGAAUCUGCAUACGAAGUGACCCGCCUCACGCAAUUGAUAUCAGCAAAAGAUGCCACCAUCAAGGGACUCCGAACUUCUAAGAAAUCCAUUGCUCAGGAGUUAGAAACUGCUCAGCUGGCUGCUAAAGUUGCCGAGGAAACUGCUAUUACUCUCAAAGCUCAGCGUGAUAAAGCCUUGGACAAGGCUAUUCGGGCGGGACAAAUCUUGAUGAGAAGACCCGGCGUGGUUGUCCCUGAAGACAUAAAAGCCGAUGUGAACGCUGCCCCCGAUUCUUCGAAUCGCCCUUCUUCGUCAGUCGCUCCUGAGAGAGACAUUGGAAAAUAGAGAAACGUUUCGCGUGCUAUGAGCGCGCGGUUAGCAUGAUCAAGUACUCGUUAGGGGCUAUCAGCUUAUCAUUCGAAUGAUAUGAUCACUCUCUUAUUGUAUCAGAAUUUAUUAAUUCGCAAGUUUGUGGUAACGCUGCAUGAUGAUUAUGAAGUCUGUUUUCGGGAUAUGGAAGUCAUCCCCUGAAUCGCAUAAGCGCGAGUAUAUUGCACUGGCUUAAGCCAUCGCUGACUUUUAGCCGAUAGCUCCGUUGGUAGGGCAUAGUGGUCGCCCUGGGUUAAGUAGGCGUGAGCAUGUUGCGCCGGCUUAAGUCGUUGCCGACUUAAGUCGAUUGCUCCGUUUGUGGGGCAUAGUGAUCACCCCGAAUUAAGUAAGCGUGAGCAUGUUGCACCGCCUUAAGUCGUUGCCGACUUAAGUCGAUUGCUCCGUUUGUAGGGCAUAGUGGUCACCCCGAAUUAAGUAAGCGUGAGCAUGUUGCACCGCCUUAAGUCGUCGCCGACUUAAGUCGAUUGCUCCGUUUGUAGGGCAUAGUGGUCACCCCAAAUUAAGUAAGAAUGCAAGUCAAUCGUAAACGAGCCGAGUAUCUUUGAAAUCUCUCUUUAUUGAUGACGUAUUUCCAUUUUACAGAAUACAUGGUCGCCCCAGCUGUUUUGAAAUGCAACUAGGGGUAAAACUUUCUGAGGUGCUCUAUGUUCCAGGAGUUCCCAACUUCUGUGCCAUCCAUCUGGGUGAGGCGAUACGAUCCGGGCCGAGUGACCUCUGCUACUAUGAAAGGCCCUUCCCAUAAGGGUGAUAACUUGUGCCGUCCCUCCCCCGUUAGAAUUCGGCGGAGGACGAGGUCUCCUAUCGAAAAGAAACAUUGCCGCACAGCCUUGUCGUGAUAGCGCCUUAGAGUCUGCUGGUACCGUGCUGAUUGGAUUACUGCAUUCAGUCGUUCUUCCUCAAGUACAUCAAUAUCCUCCAGCCUGGUGGCCUCGGCUUCUGCUAUGCUUUCGAAAAUCAAUCUUGGCGCCCCAAACUUGAGAUCAGCAGGUAGCACUGCCUCCGACCCAUAGACCAUGAAGAAAGGAGUGUUUCCAUGCAGGGCUUGGCUAGGUUGGGUUCUCAGGCUCCAAACAACAUAAGGCAGUUCUCUUAUCCAUUUUCCUGCGAAUUUUUCAUUCUUAUCGAAGACCCUUUUCCUGAGUGCCUCCAAUAUCAUUCCGUUGGCUCGCUCAACCUGCCCGUUGGCUCUUGGAUGUGCUACAGAUGCGUACUUGAUCUGAAUGCUCUUUUGCUCGCAGAAGUCAAAGAAUUCUGAACUGGUGAAGUUGGGUCCCAAGUCAGUGAUGAUACUGUUUGGUAUCCCGAAUCUGAAUAUUAUGCUUUGUAUGAAUUCCACGGCUUUAGCAGAGGUUAAAGAAGCAAUGGGCUGGAACUCUAUCCAUUUAGUGAAUUUGUCAAUUGCCACCAAUACAUGGGUAUAUCCUCCUUGAGCUUUCUUGAAAGGUCCAAUCAUAUCCAGUUCCCAGCAUGCGAAAGGCCAAGUUACUGGUAUGGUCUGUAGCUGCUGCGCUGGCAUGUGCUGUUGCUUUGACAGGUAUUGGCAAGCUUCGCAUCUCUGAACUAACUUGGCUGCAUCGUUCUUCGCCGUCGGCCAAUAGAAUCCUGACCUGAAAACCUUCCCGACUAGUGUUCUGGAUGCUGCAUGUACUCCACACUGCCCUGCAUGGACCUCCUCCAGAAGUUGCUUCCCGGUGGACGGGAGAACGCACUUCAUGAAGACGCCUGACGCGCCCUUCCUGUACAAUACCUCCCCAAUGAGUGUAUAGUGAGCUGAUUGUCUGGCAAUGCGCUCUGCCGAGUUCUUGUCAUCUGGUUCUUCUUCAUUCUUUAUAUACUUAAUAAUCGGCCGUCUCUAGUCAUCAGAGUCUGACUCGGGUUGAUCUAUGAUGUUGCACUCUUCUGUUUGAUCCAUUGAGAUACUCGGCUGGAGAAUUUCUUGCACGAAGACUCCGGGCGGGACCUGAGUCCGACCGGAUCCGAGCUUGGACAGUACAUCGGCCGCCGUGUUCCGAUCUCUUUCUAUAUGAUGAAACUCCAGACCCUCGAAUUUAUCUUCCAGCUUUCGGACGGCAGCGCAGUAUUUUCCCAUUGAAUCACUUGAACAAUCCCAUUCCUUGUUUAUCUGGCUGAUGACUACCAGAGAAUCUCCAUAUACCAUCAAUCUCUUGACGCCCAAUGACAUGGCGAUGUUUAAUCCGUGUAUCAAAGCUUCAUACUCGGCUGCAUUGUUAGAGGCCGGGAAUAGCAACUGGAGAGCAUACUUGAGGUGUUCGCCUCCCGGUGCAGUGAAGAGAAUCCCUGCUCCUGCUCCCUGCAGCUUCAGCGAGCCAUCAAAAUACAUUCGCCAUACUUUUGCCGUUUCUGGAUUGUCUGGUACUUGUUGUUUUGUCCAUUCUGAUACGAAAUCAACCAGUGCUUGAGUUUUGAUGGCGGUGCGAGGUCGGAACUCGAUAUCGUGGGAUCCCAGCUCGUAAGCCCACUUGGCUAUUCGGCCAAUGGCUUCCUUGUUGUGAAGAAUGUCCCCUAUCGGAAAACCAGUGACUACUAUGACUUUGUGGUCAUCAAAGUAGUGACGCAGCUUGCGGGCAGUUAGAAGUACUGCAUAUAAUAGCUUCUGAACCUGAGGAUACUUUUUCUUCGAGGGGCCUAGAACUUCACUGAUGAAGUAAACAAGAUGUUGCACUGGGUAGGCAUGCCCUUCUUCUACUCGCUCGACUACCAACGCAGUGCUUACCACGUGAGUCGUGCAAGAGACAUAUAGCAACAAAUCUUCAGCCGGUUGAGUCGGCGUAGCUCGCCGGGGUGGUUUCAGUACUGGUGGUGUUGUCAAGAAUUUCUUCAGUGCGUCUAGAGCGUCUUGUGCUUCUGAAGUCCAUUGAAACUUAUCCACCUUCUUGAGUAGCUUGUAAAAUGGCAAACCUUUUUCUCCCAGCCUGGAUAUAAAUCUGCUCAGAGCUGCCAUGCAUCCGGUGAGUCGUUGAACCUUCUUUUGUGACCGAGGAGCUUCCAUCUUCAUGAUAGCUUCAAUUUUAUCUGGAUUAGCUUCAAUUCCCCGGUGGCUGACGAUAAACUUGAGCAACUUUCCUGCUGGUACCCCGAAAACACAUUUUUCAGGAUUGAGCUUCCAUCUAUAUCUUCUCAGGCUGUUGAAAACCAGUUGUAAAUCUUCGAUGAAGUCUUCCGAAUUCUCUGUUUUGAUCACCACAUCAUCUACGUAAGCCUCCACACGCUUGCCCCAGUGAUCGGCUAAGCAUGUUUGAAUGGCUCUCUGAUAAGUCGCUCCAGCGUUUUUGAGGCCGAACGGCAUGGAGGUAUAACAGAAAGCACCAAACGGAGUGAUGAACGCCGUUUUUUCCUCGUCUUCCUUUGCCAAACUAAUCUGAUGAUACCCGGAGUAGCAAUCUAAGAAAGACAGCACAGAACACCCAGCGGUGGAAUCCACCACCUGAUCUAUCCUCGGGAGCCCGAAGGGAUCCUUCGGACAGUGUUUGUUGAGAUCAGUAUAGUCGACACACAUGCGCCAAUCCACUUUAUUCUUUUUGAGUACAAGAAUAGGGUUGGCUAACCACUCGGGGUGUAAUACCUCUCUAAUAAAUCCAGCCGCGACCAAGCGAGCUAACUCGGCACGAAUGGCCUCUCUCUUGUCGGGCGUGAAACGACGUAGCUUUUGCCGGAUCGGCCUCGCCUGGGGAUAGACCUUCAAUUUGUGCUCGGCCAGUUCUCUUGGAACUCCCGGCAUAUCCGCAGGUUGCCAUGCGAAUACGUCUCGGUUAUCUUGCAGGAACUGGACGAGCGCGCUUUCCUAUUUGUCGUUCAAGCUGGAGCUGAUGAUGGCCGUCUUGCGCUCAUCAGCGAACCCCAGGUUGAUUCGCUUGGUUUCUUCAGUCGGCCGCAUAGAGGCCACGGCCUGGGCUUCGUUCGCCGGCACUGCGAGGUUCUCCUCAGGCUUAGAGUUCGCCAGCGUAGGAGGAACCGUUGACGACUUGGUGGUGAGGGCUGCUUGGAUGGCCACUCGGAAACAUUCUGCGGCGCCUUGGAAGUCGGCGCGCACAGUUUUGAUUCCUUGCGGUCCUGACAUCUUCAGUAUCAUGUAUGUAUAGUGCGGAAUGGCCAUGAAUUUAGCCAGCCCCGGCCUCCCGAUGAUGGCGUUGUACCCGCAGUCGAAGUUCGCCACCUCGAACCUCAGGAACUCGGUUCGGUAAUUCUCCGGAGUUCCGAAGGUGACCGGCAUGUAGAUGUGGCCCAGCGGGUAUUCCCCUUCCGUCGGCACGAUGCCAAAGAAAGGAGUGUCCGACUCAUGGAGCUCUUUAAGGUGAACCCCCAAGCCUUGAAGUGUCCGGGGGAAAGUGACGUUGAUGCUGCUCCCCCCGUCCACUAGCACCUUCUUUACCUGGCUUUCUCGGAUCACCGGAUCGACGAGAAGCGGGUAUUUGCCUGGAUGGUCGAAGUUGAGCCAUUGAUCCUCCCGAGUGAAAGUGAUCGGGUGCUCCGACCACCGGUAUGGGGCGGGAGGACCGGUGGUCGCCACCAGUAUCUGGCGGUCGUUGAGCUUUUGUUGCCUUUUGUUCUCCUGCGACCCAUGUCCGCCGAAGAUGACGUUGACCUCCCUAUCAACGCGCGGGAAAGCUCCUCCUCUCCCCUCCUCCGGCUGAUGGGGCUGUCGCGGUUCAUCUGGUCCUCCCCUCGGCGGAGGAGGCGGUAGAGGUUGGAAGGGUCGGCCGUGCCCGACGGAGUGCUUGAAGUCUCGACAGUUACGAAGAGUGUGGCGCAUGUCCUUGUGGUACGGGCACUGGUGAGAGCACCUAGAGGGGGGGUGAAUAGGUGAUCCUGCGAAACUUUAAACUUAUAGCCACAAAAACUUGUUAAGGGUUAGCACAAUAAUUGCCAAGUGGCUAGAGAGGAGAUCUUGUACAAUAUGACAACCACAAAGAAUUCAACACAGAGAAGACACGGUGAUUUAUCCCGUGGUUCGGCCAAGUACAAAACUUGCCUACUCCACGUUGUGGCGUCCCAACGGACGAGGGUUGCAAUCAACCCCUCUCAAGCGGUCCAAAGACCCACUUGAAUACCACGGUGUUUUGCCUUGCUUAUCUUUAUCCCACUUGCGAGGAAUCUCCACAAAUUGGAGUCUCUCGCCCUUACACUUAAGAUUCACAAAGAAGCACGGAGUAAGAGAGGGAAGCAACACACACAAAUCCACAGCGAAAUGCGCACGCACACGACCAAGAAUCGAGCUCAAAGACUAUCUCAAAGUUCUCACAAGAACGGAGCUCGAAUCACUUAGAAUAACAAACGGAUGCGCAAGAACUGAGUGUGGAUGAUCAAGAAUGCUCAAAGGUUGCUUGGUGUCUCCCUCCAUGCGCCUAGGGGUCCCUUUUAUAGCCCCAAGGCAGCUAGGAGCCGUUGAGAACAAAUCUGGAAGGCCAUCUUUGCCUUCUGUCGUCGGGCGCACCGGACAGUCCGGUGCACACCGGACACUGUCCGGUGCCCGAUUUCCUUCCUUAAACUGCGCAGUCGACUGUUGCAUAUGCAGGAGCCGUUGGCGCACCGGACAUGUCCGGUGCACACCGGACAGUCCGGUGCCCCCUUCCGACCGUUGGCUCGGCCACGUGUCCCGCGCAGAUCGCGCGGCCGACCGUUGGCUCACCGGACAGUCCGGUGCACACCGGACAGUCCGGUGAAUUUUAGCCGUACGCCGUCAGCAAAUUCCCAAGAGCGGCCUCUUCGGCCGAGGCAGCCUGGCGCACCGGACACUGUCCGGUGCACCACCGGACAGUCCGGUGCUCCAGACCGAAGCCUCCUGACUGUACACAGCCAACUCUUUUUCUUCCUGUUUCCAAUACUUAGACAAGUAUAUUAGUACACAAAACCAAUGUACUAAGACUUAGAAACAUACCUUAGCUCUUGAUUUGUACUUUGUUCAUCCAUGGGCAAAGAUUCACAUUUAAGUACUUGUGUUGGCACUCAAUCACCAAAAUACUUAGAAAUGGCCCAAGGGCACAUUUCCCUUUCAAUCUCCCCCUUUUUGGUGAUUUAUGCCAACACAACAUAAAACAACUAGAACAAGUGCAAUAUCACUCAAAUAAAACUCAAAUUUAUUUUGAUUCAAUUUUGGCAUAUAUGGAUCAUCCUUUGCCACCACUUGGUUUGUUUUUUGCAAAUCAAACUCAAAUCUCUAUCUCUAUGUCAAACACACAUAUUGAAGCAUAAGGAGAGUCAUUCCAAAAGAGAUUGAUCAAAGAUUUCAAAAACUCCCCCUAUUUCCCAUAAUCAACACUUCUCCCCACAAGAAGCCAACUUUUGACAAGAGAGACAAUAAUAGACAAUAAAAGCGUUUGACAAAACAAAAACUCUAUUCUACUAUUUUCAAAAUUUCUCAAGUGGUAGCUGAUCCAUUUAUCGCUUUGGCCUUUAUUUUCUCCCCCUUUGGCAUCAAGCACCAAAACGGGAUCAAUCUUGGCCCUUUUAACCCCAUUGCCUCACCAAAAUCUUCAACUAAGAGCAAAUAGGCAAUAAGAGUUUAAAGAUGAACUUGGAAUAAGUUACCCUCUCAUCGGAGUGCAGUGGAAGUCUUUCAUGGUCCAAGUCCACCUUUUCCCUUUCAAUCCUCCUUCGAGACUAAAUCAUCAAACUCAAGUACAUGGUUAGUCUCAAAGGGUCAAGUUGUAACACAUCUCCCCCUAAACAUGUGCAUCACUUUGCAACGGACUUGUGAGGUCCAGGGAGUGUUUGUACAACUUGAGCACCAUAAUAAGCAACAAAAUGCAAAAGGAACAUGAUCAAAAGCAUAAAUACAUGUAUGCUACAAUUCAAUCCAGGUUCCGCGAAUCUAAGACAUUUAGCUCACUACGCAACCUGCAAAAGGUCUUCUCAUCUAGAGGCUUGGUGAAGAUAUCGGCUAGCUGGUUCUCGGUGCUAACAUGAAACACUUCGAUAUCCCCCUUUUGCUGGUGGUCUCUCAAAAAGUGAUGCCGGAUGUCUAUGUGCUUUGUGCGGCUGUGCUCAACAGGAUUCUCCGCCAUGCGGAUAGCACUCUCAUUAUCACAUAGGAGUGGGACUUUGCUCAGAUUGUAGCCAAAGUCCUGGAGGGUUUGCCUCAUCCAAAGCAGUUGCGCGCAACACUGACCUGCGGCAACGUACUCGGCCUCAGCGGUGGAUAGGGCAACAGAGGUUUGUUUCUUAGAGUUCCAUGACACCAGGGACCUUCCUAAGAAUUGGCACGUCCCCGAUGUACUCUUCCUAUCGACCUUACAUCCAGCAUAGUCGGAGUCUGAGUAUCCAACUAAGUCAAAGGUAGACCCCUUUGGAUACCAGAGCCCGAAGCAAGGCGUAGCAACCAAAUAUCUAAGAAUUCGCUUCACCGCCACUAAGUGACACUCCUUAGGAUCGGAUUGAAAUCUAGCACACAUGCAUACGCUAAGCAUAAUAUCCGGUCUACUAGCACAUAAGUAAAGCAAAGAACCUAUCAUUGACCGGUAUGCUUUUUGAUCAACGGACUUACCUCCUUUGUUGAGGUCAGUGUGUCCGUCGGUCCCCAUUGGAGUCUUUGCGGGCUUGGCGUCCUUCAUCCCAAACCGCUUUAGCAGAUCUUGCGUGUACUUUGUUUGGGAGAUGAAGGUGCCAUCCUUGAGUUGCUUCACUUGGAACCCAAGGAAGUAGUUCAACUCGCCCAUCAUCGACAUCUCGAAUUUCUGCGUCAUCACCCUGCUAAACUCUUCACAAGACUUUUGGUUAGUAGAACCAAAUAUUAUGUCAUCGACAUAAAUUUGGCACACAAACAAAUCACCAUCACAUGUCUUAGUGAACAGAGUUGGAUCGGCUUUCCCAACCUUGAAAGCAUUAGCAAGUAAAAAGUCUCUAAGGCAUUCAUACCAUGCUCUUGGGGCUUGCUUAAGUCCAUAGAGCGCCUUAGAGAGCUUACACACGUGGUCGGGGUACCGUUCAUCCUCAAAGCCAGGGGGUUGCUCUACGUACACCUCCUCCUUGAUUGGCCCGUUGAGGAAAGCGCUCUUCACAUCCAUUUGGUACAACCUGAAAGAAUGGUGAGCGGCAUAUGCUAGCAAGAUACGAAUUGAUUCUAGCCUAGCCACAGGAGCAAAAGUCUCCUCGAAAUCCAAACCUGCGACUUGGGCAUAACCUUUUGCCACAAGUCGAGCCUUGUUCCUCGUCACCACCCUGUGCUCGUCCUGUUUGUUGCGGAACACCCACUUGGUUCCCACAACAUUUUGCUUGGGACGAGGCACCAGUGUCCAAACUUCAUUGCGCUUGAAGUUGUUGAGUUCCUCCUGCAUGGCCAAUACCCAGUCCGGAUCUAGCAAGGCCUCCUCUACCCUGAAAGGCUCAAUAGAAGAGACAAAGGAGUAAUGCUCACAAAAAUUAACUAAUCGAGAUCGAGUAGUUACUCCCUUGCUAAUAUCACCCAGAAUUUGGUCGACGGGGUGAUCCCUUUGAAUCAUCGCUCGAACUUGGGUUGGAGGUGCCGGUUGCGCUUCUUCCUCCAUCACAUGAUCAUCUUGUGCUCCCCCUUGAUCACACAUCUCCUUUUGAUGAACCUGUUCAUCGUCUUGAGUUGGGGGAUGCACCGUUGUUGAGGAAGAAGGUUGAUCUCGUUCAUUUUGUUCCUGUGGCCGCACUUCUCCAAUCGCCAUGGUACGUAUAGCGGCCGUCAGAACAUCUUCUUCAUCUACAUCAUCAUAAUCAACAACUUGCUCUCUUGGAGAGCCAUUAGUCUCAUCAAAUACAACGUCGCUAGAGACUUCAACCAAACCCGAUGAUUUGUUGAAGACUCUAUACGCCUUUGUAUUUGAGUCAUAACCUAACAAAAACCCUUCUACAGCUUUGGGAGCAAACUUAGAAUUUCUACCUUUCUUCACUAGAAUGUAGCACUUGCUCCCAAAUACACGAAAGUAAGAUACAUUGGGUUUGUUACCGGUUAGUAGCUCAUACGAAGUCUUCUUGAGGAGGCGAUGAAGGUAGACCCUGUUGAUGGCGUGGCAAGCCGUGUUCACGGCUUCCGACCAGAAACACUCGAGGGUCUUGAAUUCUCCAAGCAUUGUCCUCGCCAUAUCGGUUAGCGUCCUGUUCUUCCUCUCUACCACACCAUUUUGCUGUGGUGUGUAGGGAGCGGAGAACUCGUGCUUGAUUCCUUCCUCCUCAAGGAAUUCCUCCACUUGAAGGUUCUUGAAUUCGGACCCGUUGUCGCUCCUUAUCUUCUUCACCUUGAGCUCAAACUCAUUUUGAGCUCUCCUGAGGAAGCGCUUGAGGGUCCCUUGGGUUUCAGACUUAUCCUGCAAAAAGAACACCCAAGUGAAGCGGGAAAAGUCAUCAACAAUAACUAAACCAUACUUACUCCCUCCUAUGCUCAGAUAGGCGACAGGUCCGAAGAGGUCCAUAUGCAGCAGCUCCAGGGGUCUUGAAGUGGUCAUCACAUUCUUGUCGUGAUGCGCUCCUCCCACUUGUUUACCUGCUUGACAAGCUGCACAAGGUCUAUCUUUUUCGAAUUGCACGUUAGUUAAACCUAUCACAUGUUCUCCCUUUAGAAGCUUGUGAAGGUUCUUCAUCCCCACAUGUGCUAAGCGGCGAUGCCACAGCCAGCCCAUGCUAGUCUUAGCUAUUAAGCAUGCAUCUAGACCGGCCUCUUCUUUUGCAAAAUCAACUAAAUAAAGUUUGCCGUCUAAUACACCCUUAAAAGCUAGUGAACCAUCACUUCUUCUAAAGACAGUCACAUCUACAUUUGUAAAUAGACAGUUAUAUCCCAUAUGACAUAAUUGACUAACAGAUAGCAAAUUAUAUCCAAGACUCUCUACUAAAAAUACAUUAGAGAUAGAAUGCUCAUUAGAAAUUGCAAUUUUACCUAACCCUUUUACCUUGCCUUGAUUCCCAUCACCGAAUAUAAUUGUAUCUUAGGAAUCCUUAUUCUUGACGUAGGAAGUGAACAUCUUCUUCUCCCCCGUCAUAUGGUUUGUGCAUCCGCUGUCGAUAAUCCAGCUUGAACCCCCGGAUGCAUAAACCUGCAAGGCAAAUUUAGGCUUGGGACUUAGGUACCCAACUCUUGUUGGGUCCUACAAGGUUAGUGCAAAUUUCCUUAGGGAUCCAAAUGCAAGUUUUGUCUCCCUUGCAUUUUGCCCCUAACUUCCUAGCAACUAUUUUCCUAUCCUUUCUACAAAUAGCAAAGGAAGCAUUUAGGGCAUGAUAAAUUGUAGAAGGUCCAUGAACUUCCCUAUGAGCAUUAACAACAUUUCUCCUAGGCAUAUUGUGAAUAACAUUUCUUCUACCAACCUUUCUAUCAUGCACAACAUGAGAACUAGAAGCAGUCAUAGCAUAAGAAACAUAAGCAUGUGAAUCAAAGGCAUCAUAGCUUCUAAAAGCAUUUCUAGAAUUUUUCCUAUCAUGAUACAAAAAGGCAUGGUUCUUUUUAGCACUAGUAGCCAUAGGGGCCUUCCCUUUCUCCUUAGCGGGAAUGGGAGCCUUAUGGUUUGUUAAGUUCUUGGCUUCCCUUUUGAAGUCAAGUCCAUCCUUAAUUGAGGGGUGUCUACCAAUCGUGUAGGCAUCCCUUGCAAAUUUUAGCUUAUCAAAAUCACUUUUGCUAGUCUCAAGUUGAGCCUUGAGACUAGCUACCUCUUCAUUUAAUUUAGAAAUGCAAGCUAGGUGUUCACUAUAAGCAUUAAUGUUAAUAUCUUUACACCUAGUGCACGUUACAGCAUUUUCUACACAAGAGAUAGAUUUACUAGCAAUCUCUAACUUAGCAUUCAAUUCAUCACUAAUGCUCCUUAGUUUUGAAAUUGUCUCAUGGCAAGAAGAUAAUUCACAAGAAAGCAUUUCAUUUCUUUUAACUUCUAGAGCAUGAGAUCUUUGUGCUUCUACAAAUUUAUCAUGUUCUUCAUACAAUAAAUCCUCUUGUUUCUCUAAGAGUCUAUCCUUCUCAUUCAAGGCAUCAAUUAAUUCAUUGAUUUUAUCAAUUUUAUUUCUAUCCAAUCCCUUGAACAAACUAGAAUAAUCUAUUUCAUCAUCACUAGUCUCAUCGUCACUAGAAGAAUCAUAAGUGACAUCAUUACAAGUGAUUACCUUUUUCUCUCUUGCCAUGAGGCAAGUGUGACGCUCGUUGGGGAAGAGGGAUGACUUGUUGAAUGCAGUGGCGGCGAGUCCCUCAUUGUCGGAGUCAGACGAGGAGCAGUCUGAAUCCCACUCCUUGCCAAGAUGAGCCUCACCCUUUGCCUUCUUAUAAUUCUUCUUCUUCUCCCUCUUGUUCCCUUGGUCCUGAUCACUAUCAUUGUCGGGACAGUUAGCAAUAAAAUGACCAAGCUUACCGCAUUUGAAGCACGAACGCUUUCCCUUGGCUUUGGUCUUGCUUGACUGUCCCUUGCGACCUUUAAGCGCCGUCUUGAAUCUUUUGAUGAUGAGAGCCAUCUCUUCAUCAUUCAGUCCGGCCGCCUCAAUUUGUGCCACCCUGCUAGGUAGCGCCUCCUUGCUUCUUGUUGCCUUGAGAGCAAGGGGUUGAGGCUCGUUGAUUUGUCCAUUCAAGGCGUCGUCCACGUAUCUUGCCUCCUUGAUCAUCAUCCGCCCGCUUACGAAUUUUCCGAGAACCUCCUCGGGCGUCAUCUUCGUGUACCUGGGAUUCUCACGAAUAUUGUUCACGAGAUGAGGAUCAAGAACGGUAAAUGACCUUAGCAUGAGGCGGACGACGUCGUGAUCCGUCCAUCGCGUGCUUCCGUAGCUCCUUAUUUUGUUGAUAAGGAUCUUGAGCCGGUUGUAUGUUUGCGUCGGCUCCUCGCCCCUUAUCAUCGCGAAUCGUCCGAGCUCGCCCUCCACCAACUCCAUCUUGGUGAGUAAGGUGACAUCAUUCCCCUCAUGAGAGAUCUUGAGGGUGUCCCAAAUCUGCUUGGCAUUGUCCAAGCCGCUCACCUUGUGAUACUCGUCCCUGCACAAAGAGGCUAGCAACACAGUAGUAGCUUGUGCAUUUUUAUGGAUCUGUUCAUUAAUAAAUGAAGGACUAUCCGAGCUAUCAAAUUUCAUUCCACUUUCUACAAUCUCCCAAAUGCUUGGAUGGAGAGAAAAUAGGUGUGUACGCAUUUUGUGACUCCAAAAUCCGUAGUCCUCUCCAUCAAAGUGAGGAGGCUUGCCAAGUGGAAUGGGGAGCAAAUGAGCAUUUGAGCUGUGCGGAAUGCGCGAAUAAUCAAAAGAGAAGUUUGAGUUAACCGUCUUUUGUUUGUCGUAGUCGUCAUCCUUGUGGGACGAAGUAGACUCGUCGCUGUCGUAGUAGACGAUCUCCUUGAUUCGUCUUGUCUUUUUCUUCUUCCCAUCUUUACGUCUGUGGCCCGAGCCAGAGUCGUUGGAUUUGUCAUCUUUUGGCUCGUUGACGAAGAACUCCUUUUCCUUGUCGUUGAUCACGAUUCCCUUCCCCUUAGGAUCCAUCUCUUCGGGCGGUUAGUCCCUUUCUUGAAGAGAACGGCUCUGAUACCAAUUGAGAGCACCUAGAGGGGGGGUGAAUAGGUGAUCCUGCGAAACUUUAAACUUAUAGCCACAAAAACUUGUUAAGGGUUAGCACAAUAAUUGCCAAGUGGCUAGAGAGGAGAUCUUGCACAAUAUGACAACCACAAAGAAUUCAACACAGAGAAGACACGGUGAUUUAUCCCGUGGUUCGGCCAAGUACAAAACUUGCCUACUCCACAUUGUGGCGUCCCAACGGACGAGGGUUGCAAUCAACCCCUCUCAAGCGGUCCAAAGACCCACUUGAAUACCACGGUGUUUUGCCUUGCUUAUCUUUAUCCCACUUGCGAGGAAUCUCCACAAAUUGGAGUCUCUCGCCCUUACACUUAAGAUUCACAAAGAAGCACGGAGUAAGAGAGGGAAGCAACACACACAAAUCCAUAGCGAAAUGCGCACGCACACGGCCAAGAAUCAAGCUCAAAGACUAUCUCAAAGUUCUCACAAGAACGGAGCUCGAAUCACUUAGAAUAACAAACGGAUGCGCAAGAACUGAGUGUGGAUGAUCAAGAAUGCUCAAAGGUUGCUUGGUGUCUCCCUCCAUGCGCCUAGGGGUCCCUUUUAUAGCCCCAAGGCAGCUAGGAGCCGUUGAGAACAAAUCUGGAAGGCCAUCUUUGCCUUCUGUCGUCGGGCGCACCGGACAGUCCGGUGCACACCGGACACUGUCCGGUGCCCGAUUUCCUUCCUUAAACUGCGCAGUCGACCGUUGCAUAUGCAGGAGCCGUUGGCGCACCGGACAUGUCCGGUGCACACCGGACAGUCCGGUGCCCCCUUCCGACCGUUGGCUCGGCCACGUGUCCCGCACAGAUCGCGCGGCCGACCGUUGGCCCGGCCGACCGUUGGCUCACCGGACAGUCCGGUGCACACCGGACAGUCCGGUGAAUUUUAGCCGUACGCCGUCAGCAAAUUCCCGAGAGCGGCCUCUUCGGCCGAGGCAGCCUGGCGCACCGGACACUGUCCGGUGCACCACCGGACAGUCCGGUGCUCCAGACCGAAGCCUCCUGACUGUACACAGCCAACUCUUUUUCUUCCUGUUUCCAAUACUUAGACAAGUAUAUUAGUACACAAAACCAAUGUACUAAGACUUAGAAACAUACCUUAGCUCUUGAUUUGUACUUUGUUCAUCCAUGGGCAAAGAUUCACAUUUAAGUACUUGUGUUGGCACUCAAUCACCAAAAUACUUAGAAAUGGCCCAAGGGCACAUUUCCCUUACAACUGGGCGUCGAGGAUGUCGUCCAGCGUGCGCUCGCCUCCACGAGGUCCUCCUCGGGCGCGAGAGGCGGGUGGUCCGGCGGCGUGUACUUCUUCACGAGGCCUCUUCUCCCAACGUUUGUCGGGUGGUUGGUUCGCGUCACGUCGUGGUGCUGCCGAUGCAGGCUUUGCUCCUCCAAUGAGAUCCUGGGCCCGCUCGUCGGCGGUGAUGUAGAGGUCGGCUUCCCGGAACAGCUCCUCGGAGGUAGUCGGUGCUUUUUGUAGUAUGGCUCGGACGAAAGUCGAGUCAUUGGAUCCUUUGUAGAAGUCCUCGAUCACGGCCGCCUCCGUGACCUCGGGGAUACGGUUUCUCAUGGUCUGGAACCUUUUGAGGUAUGACCGGAGAGUCUCGUCUCCCCGGCGCUUGAUGGAUUUGAGGUCCCAUGGUUGCGCUGGUUUGUCGGAGAGGGACUGGAAGUUGGCGGUGAAACAUCGACUGAAGUCUCCCCAGUCGUCGAUGCAGUGUCGGGGUAGAUGUCGUAGCCACUGCAGCGCGUCUUGCCCAAGGACAAUGGGCAGAUACGCGGUCAUGACGUCUUCAGAUGCCCCGGCAGACCGAGCAGCGGUGGUGUAGACGGCUAGCCAACCCCCUGGAUCCUGCUUAGGUUCAUAUUUGUCGACAUUGGAUACCUUGAAGUUGGGAGGCCAUUGGAUGGCCCUAAGGCGCGGAGUAAGAGCGGAUACUCCGCACGUGUCCUCCUGCCGUCGGGAACGAUGUCUGUCCCGGGGAGGGGAGUGGUGGUGGUGGUUCCUCGACCGUCCCCGGGUGGUACCGCCAGUUGAGGCUAUUGCCGACUCAGUCCUGGUGGGCUGGCUUUGAGUCGGGAAGCCGUGAUCUCGGUCAUACUCCUCCCAACGACGAAUUUCGUUUUCAUGCCGCCGUUCGCGCGAAGCAUUGAUAGAGCUUCGCGCGUCUCGACGACUGUUGAUGGUGUGUCGCAAAUCGUUCGGUGGGUGAGCGAGCGGUAGAAGAUGGUUGGCCGCCUGAGUGAACAGGCGUCGGUAUCCCUCGGCGUCGGGAGUCCGAGGAAGUCCGUCAGCUAUCCGAGCUAGAACGCCUCCGACUUCGCUCGGCGUGUUCAUAGCUCGGGCGAAGUCGGGGUUCAGGUUGCGCCCGAAGAGCGGGUUCUCCCGGCGUUGCCUCGCAUCUUGCUCGGCUUGCUCCUGAGUCCGUCGGCGAUCGCGUCGUCGGGAGUUCCUUCGUUCCCUGAAGACGCGUUCUUCCGGGGUUUCUCCUAUCUCCGAGACCUCGUCUCGCGAGACAGGCUGCUCCGGAUCCCGUUCUCCGGCCGCGUGAUGUCGUCGAACGUUCCUGCGUCGGUUCCUCCGUCGGCGGGAUUCUCGUUGAGGUGGUUCUUCUCCAGGCGCGGUCGGUUCGUCGUCAGAGACGGCGGGUGACUCCACUCUCCCGAUGAAGAGGACGUCGGGGUAGAAUGGUGCUGCUGUCGCGGCGACUUUCUUUCCGUUCUCCUUUGAGGCCGGAGGAACGGAAAGAACGACUUGCCUUUCCCUGGUCUCCUUCUUCCUCGCGAUCCGUGUCCAUUCCUUCGUCGGGGAAGUAGACAGCGGAGUCUUCCGGGUCAGCGAGCUUCCAGCUCCAGCCUUCCCGGAGAUAAUCUUUUUCCGAAGAGCUGGAGGUAGCGUCUUUCCAGCAUUUUCGGAGUUUGUUGGAAGAGACUUCUUUUCCGGCAGAUCUGCUGUCACACCCGGUUUUUAGAAGGCAAACCGAAUGCGAACCAUGUACGUGCCAGGAUCAGUUAUUCACGUACACAGCAGUUACAUAAUAUGGACAUCAUCACACAGUGCUCAAAAUAAUAUUAAAAGGGGAAAUAAUAGUCGAUUACAUCAUACGUCUGAGACGUCCAUAUAGUUCUUACAAUAAAUCAAAGUGCGGAAAAGAAACGUAGAUAACGCGGCCUUCACAGGCAGCCGACUGGGGGUUGCCGCUAACCCACACCUAGAACUCGUCGUAAUCUUGGAACUCCUGGAAGUCUCCUUCCACAGCUUCAUCUUCGCCUGAGCAGUGGUUGCAAUGCUGACAACCUGGGGGGGGGGGUUUGGUGUGUAGAGCAAGGGUGAGUACACAUCAACAUACUCAGCAAGUAUCCUGUUUGGCUGUAGUGGACUAGCUUUAUGUGGGGAUAAGUCAAGCAGUUGCUUUUAGUUGGUCAGGUUAUUACUUACUAGUAGAAAGCCAGGUUUUAACAUUAACCCAAGUUAUUAGCCCAAUGUAUCCUUUCCAAACGGAAAGAAUACCACUUACCAGCACCAUAAUCAUAACCAGAUUCAACAGUCUCAUAACCACCUGUACCACAAUAUCUCUGAUCAAGUACCACUAAUCAUUGGAGCUCCCUUGGCCGCUCAUAACCGCGAGCACGGCUGAUAUAUCAGUUUCAUAACACUCUGCAGAGGUUGUGCACUUUACCCACAAGCCGUGAUUCCCAUUCUGCCCGGAGAUCAUGACUCUCCAUUGAUCACUACCAAGGUGAUCCAGCAGGGCAUCACUACGAAGCCUUUACAAAGAUUCCCCGGGGCUGUAGCCACCCGUUAGGUUUCCUAAAUGCACCGCACUCCUCCCCAAGGGGCGAACCCAAACUUGGCAGAGCGAGCCGCAUACACCGAGCCCCAUUGACGGCACGACGGCUAAGUGAACUACACCCCGGAUCCUCUAAUUAUUCAGCUAAGGGCACCCCAUUCCACCCUCAUGGUUGCACUGUUUUCCCGGGCGGUCAUCCAUAGAACAGGUCCUUACGGAGAGGCACUCGAGAAACCGCUCGAGUCCCCUUGAAAACCACAAGUAUAAUCAUAAAGAAGAGCGGGAAAACAGCGUAUCAUAGAUAAUCACAUCAUGUUCAUUGAUUAGAGUUGAGCAAUAGCAUCAGACUAAGUAGUAAUAAUCCGACCCAAAUAGGUAAACAAGGACAUGGAUAACAAAAGCUAGUCAAUCCUUAGGUAUAAAUGUGUAAAGCGGGAGGUGAAUUAAAGAAUGAAUAGGACAUAGAUAGGUCAAAGGACACUUGCCUCCACCAAACGACUGCUGCUCAGGGGCUUCUCCUGCGAAUUCCUCGGGCUCUUCGACCGGAUCGUUCUCUAUGCGAGCGCAAACAUACAUACAUACAUCCACAUAUUUAAUACAAAAGAACAGUACACCAUACAAGAUAACAAAUAAAGCGAAUAUGCAUCAAGUAUGACAUUCGAUAACGCAUUUGUUAUGGUUAGAAAGAAACGGGAAAGGUCUCGCAGGGGGGGUUAAAUCUUAUGCACUAAUGACACAAUUGGUUUUUAACAAAAGAAUUCUGUUACAUAUACACUAAUGGAAACCUAAUCACUUUUAGUUGAUCAACAUUGCACAGGGUAAACAAUUAACUACGUGCAUCAAUAGCAUAACGGAAUUUUAAAUUAAACUUCCUAUUUUCCCAUAGCAUGAACAGUGAUUAGCCUACUUAAAAUACAGUAAUCAUGAUUACAGAAAGUAAAUAAAAUAAAAUAAAAAAAUAAAAAAAAAACAGAAGGGGGGGGGCGGUUGAACCGGCCCUAGGGCGGUUGAACCGGCCCUAGGCGGGGCGCGGGCGCGGGCGGCUGAACCGGCGGGGCAGGGGGCGGCGCAGGGGGCGGCCGAGCCGGGGGGGGGGGGCGGCCGAACCGGCGGGCAGGGAGGCGGCGCAGGGGGCGGCCGAGCCGGGGGGCGGGGCGGCCGAACCGGCGGGCAGGGAGGCGGCGCAGGGGGCGGCCGAGCCGGGGGGCGGGGCGGCCGAACCGGCGGGCAGGGAGGCGGCGCAGGGGGCGGCCGAGCCGGGGGGCGGGGCGGCCGAACCGGCGGGCAGGGAGGCGGCCGAACCGGCCAUGGGGAAAGGGGAGAGGGGAUGGGGGAGGGAGGAGAGGGGGAGGGGGAGCUCACCGGGGAGGGGCGCGACGGCGAGGGGCGGCCGAGGGCGGCGGUUGGGCAGGGGGCGGCGGCGGCUUAGGGCAGGGGUAGGGGCGGCGGCUUAGGGAGAGGGAGAGAAAAUGAGAGAAAAUGAGAGGGAGAGGGAGAGGGUUUGGGGAAAAAGGGGAGGUGGGGGGGGGCGGUUGGGCCUAUUGGGCCCAGGGGGGGGGCGCGCAGGGGCGGCUGGGCCGGCCGGGGUCGGCCCACGGCGCGGGAGAGAGAAAAAAAAGGAAGAGAGAGAGAAAAGAGAAAGAAAAGAGAAAGAAAACAUUUUCGAAAUCCGAUUCUUCUACAUGAAUGCAUUUGCACUUUCAAAGCAAUCAAAGGAAAUGCAAGGUUCGGCAUGGUGCAUCGAGCAACAUAAAGCAUUUAGGGUUUUUCUUACACGGGAAAUCCAAACCGAAUCCCGCUAGAACUUUGGAAAAGGUCAAGGUUUAGCGAGGGAAAAAGAAAAGGAAAGGUAACGCCCGAAUUUUGGCGAGUAAAGAAAAGAAAAAAAUUCAACUGCAAAAUUCGGGGCGUUACAAACCUAUCCCCCUUAAAAGAAUCUCGCCCUCGAGAUUCAGGGCUGGCUAGCAAAGAGCUCCGGGUACUUGGCCAUCAGAUCAUCUUCACGCUCCCAGGUUGCUUCUUCCUCAGAGUGGUGACUCCAUCUGACUUUGCACAUCCUGACGGUCUUCCUUCGGGUGACUCCAUCUGCAACCUCAAGGAUCUGAGCUGGCUUCUCAACGUAGGUCAAGUCCUCCUGGACUUCAAGACCUUCCACUGGCAACUGCUCUUCUGGCAUACGCAAGCACUUCUUCAACUGAGACACAUGAAAGACAUCAUGCACAGCAGACAAAUUCUCUGGCAAACUGAGCUGAUAAGCCACUUCUCCACGUCUUGCAAGAAUCUGAUACGGACCAAUGUAGCGGGGUGCUAGCUUGCCUUUCACUCCGAAUCUUCUGACUCCUCUGAUCGGUGACACCUUCAGAUAGACAAAGUCUCCGACUUCGAAACUCAGCUCUCUUCUUCUUGUGUCUGCAUAGCUUCGCUGCCUUGAUUGCGCUAUCUUCAGAUUCUCUCGGACCAUCUUGAUGUUCUCUUCGGCUUCAAGCAAAAUGUCUGGCCCAAACACUUGCUUCUCUCCAGGCUGAUCCCAUUGCAACGGAGUUCUACAACUCCUUCCAUAGAGCGCCUGAAAUGGUGACAUCUUCAAACUGGCCUGAUAACUGUUGUUAUAGGAAAACUCUGCAUAAGGCAAUCGCUUGUCCCAUCCGGACUGAUCUUGCAACGCACAGGCUCUCAACAUAUCUUCAAGAAUUUGAUUGGUUCUUUCAGUCUGACCAUCUGUCUGCGGGUGAUAAGCUGAACUGAAAUUCAGAUGCGUGCCCAAGGCUUCAUGCAACUGCUGCCAGAAAUGAGAGGUGAACUGCGUUCCUCUGUCUGACACUAUCUUCUUUGGCACACCAUGAAGACAAACGAUCCGAGACAUAUACAAUUCUGCCAAUACUGCACUGUUGUAGUUGGUCUUGACAGGUAUGAAGUGGGCUGACUUGGUCAAGCGGUCCACUACUACCCAAAUGGAAUCGUAGCCGGCUCGAGUGCGAGGCAAUCCGACUAUGAAAUCCAUGCCAAUUUCAUCCCAUUUCCACUGAGGGAUCUGCAACGGUUGCAACAAUCCAGCUGGUCUCUGGUGUUCUGCCUUAAUUCUUCGACAACUAUCGCACAUAGCCACAUGCUCUGCGAUUUCCCUUUUCAUUCCGUACCACCAGAAUUUCUUCUUCAGAUCCUGAUACAUCUUCUCACUGCCAGGGUGAAUCGAAUAGGCUGUCUCAUGAGCUUCCUUAAGAAUCAACUCCCGAAUAGACUGGACAUUGGGAACACACAAGCGGUCUUUGAACCAUAUCACGCUUUCUGCAUCUUCUCGAAAGUCUUUGCCUUUGCCAUCUAGAAUCAAUCGCCGAAUCUCACUGAUCUUCUCAUCAUUUUUCUGCGCUUCUUUGAUUUCGCGCUCCAAGGUAGGUUCCAAUUCAACUGUGACUCCUCGCGAAUUGUUCAGAAAUCCGAGACUCAACCUGUCAAACUCCUUGGCCAACUCAUAAGGCAUCGGGCGAGCAACCAUCAGAUUGACUUGACUCUUUCUGCUCAGAGCAUCUGCCACUACGUUUGCUUUGCCUGGAUGGUAAUGAAUCUCCAACUCAUAGUCUUUGAUCAAUUCUAACCAUCUUCGUUGCCUCAUGUUCAAUUCUGACUGAGUGAAUAUGUACUUCAGACUCUUGUGGUCUGUGUAAACAUCGCAUUUCUGUCCAUACAGAUAGUGCCUCCAUGUCUUCAGUGCGUGAACCACUGCUGCCAACUCUAGAUCAUGGAUUGGGUAGUUCUUCUCAUGAACCUUCAGCUGUCGGGACGAGUAAGCCACAACUCUUCCCUCUUGCAUCAACACACAUCCCAAACCUGUGUAACAAGCAUCACAAUACACCGAGAAGGGCUUGUGCACAUCAGGCAAGACUAGGACAGGCGCUGUUGUCAACUUCUCUUUCAGCGCUUCAAAGGCCUCUUGGCAUUUCUGGGUCCACUUGAACUCAACCUUGUUGCCUAGCAACGCUGUCAUUGGCUUCGCAAUCUUCGAAAACCCUUCAAUGAAUCGCCGAUAAUAUCCGGCCAUUCCAAUGAAGCUCUUGAUUCCUCUAGCAUCUGUUGGUGCUUUCCAGUUCAGAAUGUCUGCCACUUUCUUCGGAUCCACAGCCAAUCCUUCUUUGUUGAUUAUGUGACCCAAGAACAGGACUUCACUGAUCCAGAACUCACACUUGCUCAACUUUGCAUACAACUGGUGCUCUCGCAAUCUCUGCAACACCAUCCUCAAAUGAUCUGCAUGCUCUUCUUCACUUUGAGAAUAAACCAGAAUGUCAUCAAUGAAUACCACCACGAACUUAUCAAGAUAAUCCAUGAAUACACUGUUCAUCAAGUUCAUAAAGAAUGCUGGCGCAUUGGUCAAACCAAAAGACAUCACUGUGAACUCAUAUAAACCAUACUUGGUAAUGAAUGCCGUCUUCGGAAUGUCCGAAGGUCGGAUCCUGAGCUGAUGAUAACCUGACCUCAGAUCGAUCUUGGAGAACACACUGGCUCCUCUCAACUGGUCGAACAGAUCUUCUAUUCUGGGCAAGGGAUACUUGUUCUUAAUCGUGACUUCAUUCAAAGCUCGAUAAUCGAUACACAUCCUCUUAGUACCAUCUUUCUUCUCCACAAACAAGACAGGGGCGGCCCAAGGCGAGGUGCUUGGCCGGAUGUAACCUUUCUCUGACAGCUCAUCAAUUUGCUUCUUAAGUUCAUCCAACUCUGGUCCAGAUAUUCUGUAAGCUCUCUUAGAGAUGGGGGCGGUUCCAGGAAGAAGCUCUAUAGCAAAUUCAACUUUCCGCUCUGGUGGCAUACCCGGUAAAUCCUUUGGAAACACAUCUGGGAAUUCAGACACAACCUUGAUACUCUCAAUUGGGUCUGCUUCACUGCUAUCAACAGCCAUCUGAUAACAACUUCCUUUCUUUGGCUCAGGCGGGACUAACUCGGUCACCACUUCCUCUCCUAGUGGGGACACUAACUUGAUGGUCCUUUUAUCACAACUGAUAACUGCCUGAUACUUAUCUAGCCAAUUCAUCCCUAGGAUGACAUCUAUUCCCUGAGUACCCAUUACUAUAAGGUUGGCGGGAAACGCUAUCCCCCUUAUUUCCACACUUACAUUUAAACAAAUGCUAUCAGCUCGAAUUCUACCACCGGCUGAGUCAAUUUGAAUGGGGGUUAACAUGGUAGUAGUUGGAAGAUUAUGUGCUUCUACCCAUGAUGCAGUAAUGAAAGAAUGUGUUGCUCCAGUAUCAAAUAACACUUCUGCAAUAUGGGAAUCGACUGGGAACAUACCUACUGUCAUGCCGGGGGUCUCCUGAACUGCUUCAGCUUCCAAGUGAUUCAAUCUUCCAUGAUUAUAGCGCUGCUGAGAGCGAUUGCCUGCUCCAGGCUGAGGCACAUUCUGCUUUGCUGGGGCAUUGGGGCCUGACUGCUGCUGGGCUGCCUUCUUCGGACAUUGCAUCACCCAGUGGCCUUGCUCUCCACAGUGGAAACAUGCCCUGUUUCCAACUUGAGCUGGUGCUGCCUGACUGUUCUGCUGAUUUGCUGGGGCAGGAAGACGAGGUGCUUGCUGAUUCUGCUUCUGAAACUGACCUCCUGACUGAUUGCUCUGACGGUUCUGGUACUGAUGCUGAGGAUACUGCCUUUGAAACUGCUGAUACUGCUGACGCUGCUGAUGCUGCUGAGGUGGACGCUGGUUCUGCCUGAACUGCUGAGGUUGAUUGCCUGAGAAACGGGGACGGCUGCUGCUUCCAGGCUGGGGUCCACUGAUCUUGCGCUUACGAUCUUCCAUCUCCUUGCGCUUCCUUUCUGUCAUGAUUGCUCUGUCAAUCAGGUGCUGGAAUGUCGGGAAGGUGUGAUUCAUCAGCUGAUACUGCAGAGGGUCAACCAAGCCUCUCAGGAAACGGUACUGUCGCUUGGCGUCGGUAUUGACAUCUUCGGGAGCGUAGCGAGACAAUUGCAGAAACCUGUCCCGAUACUCACUGACAGACGAUGACCCUUGCUUAAGGGCCAGGAACUCCUCCUUCUUCACUGUCAUCAGACCUGCAGGAACAUGGUACUGACGAAAGCUACCCCUGAAUUCUUCCCAGGUGAUGGUGUCGGGGUUGGCAUGGGUGGCGAGGUAAGACUCCCACCAUGACUGGGCUGCUCCUCUCAACAGACGGGGACCAUACAGAACUUUCUCCCUGUCAUCGCACUGAGCGGUAUGCAACUCCCGCUCCACAGUGCGCAGCCAAUCUUCAGCAUCCAUGGGGUCAGAAGAGUGAGCGAACGUUGGUGGAUGACCUCUCAUGAAUUCAGCACGCUUAUCUCUAGGCAUCUGAGGCAUCUGAGGCUGGGGUGGUGCUUGUUGCUGCUGCUGCUGCUGCUGCUGAAUGGCGGCCAGAGUCUGACCGAUAGCUUGAACUGCCUGAGUCUGCAUCAGAAACAUCUGCUCAAUCGACAUCGGGGGCGGGGGCGGCAGGUGCUGCUGCUGGGGCACCUCAUCCUGCGGAGCGGCUCGCUCCUGCUGAGCACGCCUUCCUCCUCUACGCCUGUUCUCUGACAUCUGCAGAACGCAACCACACAUCAGAACUGAUCUGGCAAAGCUUGCAGCAUAAGAAAAGAGUAUAGAAUUCUCCAACAGCACUGAACAGAUGAGCAUCUUCACUGAUCUCCAACACAGACCACACAGCUUCUCAGAUAAAGAGGAAAGGAGAAUAAUGGGUUUCCCAACUAUAUAACUAACUUUAUUGACAUAGUAUGUAAACCAAAAUGCAGGGGAUACCCACACUCUGGUGACAAUCAUUACAAAGAUCCAAACCAAACAUAGUUCAUCAUGACAAACAUAGAUGCACAGGAUAUAGCAAACUACCCUGUCUAACUAAAACUAACUAAGAUCGAGGCUAACGCUAAGACUGAAGCUUCCAUGUAUAUAUUUCGUAUUAAUUACAAGAUCCAACUCUAACGAUCUAUGGUUCUAGGUUGAUCUUGGUCUUGCAGGCGGGAUUGCCAUAAGACUGGUGUCCACGCUGAGGUGAGCGGUACGGGUGCUGAGUCCCAACGGGAGCGGGGGAUCCACCGUCCAGAAAACGACGUUCCGCGCGCUCAGCCCGCAGCAGGGCGAUCUCAGCACGAGCCCUACUCAGCUCGUCUAAUGCAUGGUCCAGCUCCGUGUUUAGCACGGCGGCUAGGUUGACUGUGCUGCUCAACCUAGGAUUGCCCUCACCGACGGGUGAGACAAUCACGCCUCCUGUGCUGCCAGAUGAACGGCGGGGGUAAUACUUCAGGUCAAGACCGUCAGCUGCCCCACCGAAAACCGAGCAGUAGUGCGAAAGCGCACGCCGUGCAGCAUCUUGCAUGGCUGCCUCAGCUGAGUCCCGCUCAGAGAUAGAAUAGUGCUCUGAACAGGCCUCUGCACCCUGGAGACUGUCCUCCGGGCAGCGCACCAAGCAAGUCGCCUCCCAGCGGUCCGGGUAGACCCCGCGACUAUGCUGGUAGACCACACAGCGAUACUCGACGGACCAAGUAUGCCGGUCAAAUGCCCGACGUAGCAGGGUGUCGAGCGCAUCAUGGAAGUGACACCCGCGAGCAGCGUCGCGAGUGAUGGGUCGAGCAACCCAUCCUUCCGGCUCAGGAUUAGCAGAGAAGUCGGUGUCGUGGCUCAAGCUGUCGUCGCCUCCUCCGUCGUCUGGGUCUCCCCCAGCAGCUACUCCAGAAGCUGGGGCGCCCAGUGGUGGUGCAGGGGGCGGCUCCAGAGAAAGCACAGGGGAGCAGCUCCUCACAGACUCUAUCUCCUGGUGGAGCGAGAGGGAAGAGCUCCGCUGCUCCUGUCGUCGACGUUCCUGCUCCUCACGCAGGCGGUGGUGCAGUCUCUCCAAGUGGCUGGACUGUCCGGCCACGGGACGGCGAAGCGGACGCUCAGCAAGACGGGAGGGUAAGAAGGGGAUGACUGACUUUCGUGCAGUGUGUCUAAGUCGAGCCAUCUACAAAAGACAUCGCAAGCAAAAGGGUGAGAACAGAAUUAAUAUGACCAGCAAGUAAUGAAUCAUAAGUAAAUGAAGGAUUGGAAUAAAACAUGAUUUUUAGCAAGGUAUAGUAUAUAGUAGAACAUAGGUUUGGUCAGUAGGACCAACUUUUGAAGGGAUAUCAAAGUCAAGGAAGAGACAGAGGUCUAUAAUCCUUAGAACGACCAUUCUACUCUAGGUUAGCGGUCCUACAGUCAGCACGGCUUUGAUACCACUUAUGUCACACCCGGUUUUUAGAAGGCAAACCGAAUGCGAACCAUGUACGUGCCAGGAUCAGUUAUUCACGUACACAGCAGUUACAUAAUAUGGACAUCAUCACACAGUGCUCAAAAUAAUAUUAAAAGGGGAAAUAAUAGUCGAUUACAUCAUACGUCUGAGACGUCCAUAUAGUUCUUACAAUAAAUCAAAGUGCGGAAAAGAAACGUAGAUAACGCGGCCUUCACAGGCAGCCGACUGGGGGUUGCCGCUAACCCACACCUAGAACUCGUCGUAAUCUUGGAACUCCUGGAAGUCUCCUUCCACAGCUUCAUCUUCGCCUGAGCAGUGGUUGCAAUGCUGACAACCUGGGGGGGGGGUUUGGUGUGUAGAGCAAGGGUGAGUACACAUCAACAUACUCAGCAAGUAUCCUGUUUGGCUGUAGUGGACUAGCUUUAUGUGGGGAUAAGUCAAGCAGUUGCUUUUAGUUGGUCAGGUUAUUACUUACUAGUAGAAAGCCAGGUUUUAACAUUAACCCAAGUUAUUAGCCCAAUGUAUCCUUUCCAAACGGAAAGAAUACCACUUACCAGCACCAUAAUCAUAACCAGAUUCAACAGUCUCAUAACCACCUGUACCACAAUAUCUCUGAUCAAGUACCACUAAUCAUUGGAGCUCCCUUGGCCGCUCAUAACCGCGAGCACGGCUGAUAUAUCAGUUUCAUAACACUCUGCAGAGGUUGUGCACUUUACCCACAAGCCGUGAUUCCCAUUCUGCCCGGAGAUCAUGACUCUCCAUUGAUCACUACCAAGGUGAUCCAGCAGGGCAUCACUACGAAGCCUUUACAAGAUUCCCCGGGGCUGUAGCCACCCGUUAGGUUUCCUAAAUGCACCGCACUCCUCCCCAAGGGGCGAACCCAAACUUGGCAGAGCGAGCCGCAUACACCGAGCCCCAUUGACGGCACGACGGCUAAGUGAACUACACCCCGGAUCCUCUAAUUAUUCAGCUAAGGGCACCCCAUUCCACCCUCAUGGUUGCACUGUUUUCCCGGGCGGUCAUCCAUAGAACAGGUCCUUACGGAGAGGCACUCGAGAAACCGCUCGAGUCCCCUUGAAAACCACAAGUAUAAUCAUAAAGAAGAGCGGGAAAACAGCGUAUCAUAGAUAAUCACAUCAUGUUCAUUGAUUAGAGUUGAGCAAUAGCAUCAGACUAAGUAGUAAUAAUCCGACCCAAAUAGGUAAACAAGGACAUGGAUAACAAAAGCUAGUCAAUCCUUAGGUAUAAAUGUGUAAAGCGGGAGGUGAAUUAAAGAAUGAAUAGGACAUAGAUAGGUCAAAGGACACUUGCCUCCACCAAACGACUGCUGCUCAGGGGCUUCUCCUGCGAAUUCCUCGGGCUCUUCGACCGGAUCGUUCUCUAUGCGAGCGCAAACAUACAUACAUACAUCCACAUAUUUAAUACAAAAGAACAGUACACCAUACAAGAUAACAAAUAAAGCGAAUAUGCAUCAAGUAUGACAUUCGAUAACGCAUUUGUUAUGGUUAGAAAGAAACGGGAAAGGUCUCGCAGGGGGGUUAAAUCUUAUGCACUAAUGACACAAUUGGUUUUUAACAAAAGAAUUCUGUUACAUAUACACUAAUGGAAACCUAAUCACUUUUAGUUGAUCAACAUUGCACAGGGUAAACAAUUAACUACGUGCAUCAAUAGCAUAACGGAAUUUUAAAUUAAACUUCCUAUUUUCCCAUAGCAUGAACAGUGAUUAGCCUACUUAAAAUACAGUAAUCAUGAUUACAGAAAGUAAAUAAAAUAAAAUAAAAAAAUAAAAAAAAAACAGAAGGGGGGGGGGCGGUUGAACCGGCCCUAGGGCGGUUGAACCGGCCCUAGGCGGGGCGCGGGCGCGGGCGGCUGAACCGGCGGGGCAGGGGGCGGCGCAGGGGCGGCCGAGCCGGGGGGGGGCGGCCGAACCGGCGGGCAGGGAGGCGGCGCAGGGGGCGGCCGAGCCGGGGGGCGGGGCGGCCGAACCGGCGGGCAGGGAGGCGGCGCAGGGGCGGCCGAGCCGGGGGGCGGGCGGCCGAACCGGCGGGCAGGGAGGCGGCGCAGGGGGCGGCCGAGCCGGGGGGCGGGGCGGCCGAACCGGCGGGCAGGGAGGCGGCCGAACCGGCCAUGGGGAAAGGGGAGAGGGGAUGGGGGAGGGAGGAGAGGGGGAGGGGGAGCUCACCGGGGAGGGGCGCGACGGCGAGGGGCGGCCGAGGGCGGCGGUUGGGCAGGGGCGGCGGCGGCUUAGGGCAGGGGUAGGGGCGGCGGCUUAGGGAGAGGGAGAGAAAAUGAGAGAAAAUGAGAGGGAGAGGGAGAGGGUUUGGGGAAAAAGGGGAGGUGGGGGGGGCGGUUGGGCCUAUUGGGCCCAGGGGGGGGGCGCGCAGGGGCGGCUGGGCCGGCGGGGUCGGCCCACGGCGCGGGAGAGAGAAAAAAAAGGAAGAGAGAGAGAAAAGAGAAAGAAAAGAGAAAGAAAACAUUUUCGAAAUCCGAUUCUUCUACAUGAAUGCAUUUGCACUUUCAAAGCAAUCAAAGGAAAUGCAAGGUUCGGCAUGGUGCAUCGAGCAACAUAAAGCAUUUAGGGUUUUUCUUACACGGGAAAUCCAAACCGAAUCCCGCUAGAACUUUGGAAAAGGUCAAGGUUUAGCGAGGGAAAAAGAAAAGGAAAGGUAACGCCCGAAUUUUGGCGAGUAAAGAAAAGAAAAAAAUUCAACUGCAAAAUUCGGGGCGUUACAUCUGCGAGGCGGUGUAGAAUUCCCCCUUCAUUCGCUACAGAUGAGAUUGUCCCGAAGCAGAAUACAGAUCCGGGACGCACGGUGAUCUUGCUGUGGAAGGUGACGGCCAUUGAGCUAGCUUGGAUCGUCGACACACCCCCUACCUGGCGCGCCAGCUAUCGGUGUUUUGGGUCCGACCGCACACCUGGGGUUACCCCUCAAGGUGUUUUUAGGAGUAGGACGGUGUCAACGACUGUAGCAAAAUGGUUCGUGCCGAUCGCACGAGGGACAGUGGACAAGAUUUGCAGGUUCGGGCCGCUUAGAGAUGCGUAACACCCUACGUCCUGAUGAGUAUUUGAGUGCGGUUACAAGAGGGCUCUCUGGAACUGAGGCACAGAGAGUUUACGUGAGUGGCUAAGUAAAGUAGGGUCGAUCGUUCUGAAGGGGUGCCCCCUAGGCCUUAUAUACUCGACCGUGGGGCAGUACACGUGGAUAUGAUAGCUACAAGUAGCUGAAAGAUAGUAAACCUCUUGAGUUUAUCCCUACGUAACCCUUCCCGACUUAUCCUCGCAUGGCUCUGUUGCAUGGGGGCUUCAGCGCGGGAAAGUCGGGUCUCUGUUGCGAUUUACUCGUUCGACGUUGUGGGCCGUCCGGGUUUGCUCCAAUCCAGUCUUAUGUCUUCUCCGCUUCGUUGAUUGUCUUUCCCCAGGCCCACGAAAGACGACUUNNNNNNNNNNNNNNNNNNNNNNNNNNNNNNNNNNNNNNNNNNNNNNNNNNNNNNNNNNNNNNNNNNNNNNNNNNNNNNNNNNNNNNNNNNNNNNNNNNNNNNNNNNNNNNNNNNNNNNNNNNNNNNNNNNNNNNNNNNNNNNNNNNNNNNNNNNNNNNNNNNNNNNNNNNNNNNNNNNNNNNNNNNNNNNNNNNNNNNNNNNNNNNNNNNNNNNNNNNNNNNNNNNNNNNNNNNNNNNNNNNNNNNNNNNNNNNNNNNNNNNNNNNNNNNNNNNNNNNNNNNNNNNNNNNNNNNNNNNNNNNNNNNNNNNNNNNNNNNNNNNNNNNNNNNNNNNNNNNNNNNNNNNNNNNNNNNNNNNNNNNNNNNNNNNNNNNNNNNNNNNNNNNNNNNNNNNNNNNNNNNNNNNNNNNNNNNNNNNNNNNNNNNNNNNNNNNNNNNNNNNNNNNNNNNNNNNNNNNNNNNNNNNNNNNNNNNNNNNNNNNNNNNNNNNNNNNNNNNNNNNNNNNNNNNNNNNNNNNNNNNNNNNNNNNNNNNNNNNNNNNNNNNNNNNNNNNNNNNNNNNNNNNNNNNNNNNNNNNNNNNNNNNNNNNNNNNNNNNNNNNNNNNNNNNNNNNNNNNNNNNNNNNNNNNNNNNNNNNNNNNNNNNNNNNNNNNNNNNNNNNNNNNNNNNNNNNNNNNNNNNNNNNNNNNNNNNNNNNNNNNNNNNNNNNNNNNNNNNNNNNNNNNNNNNNNNNNNNNNNNNNNNNNNNNNNNNNNNNNNNNNNNNNNNNNNNNNNNNNNNNNNNNNNNNNNNNNNNNNNNNNNNNNNNNNNNNNNNNNNNNNNNNNNNNNNNNNNNNNNNNNNNNNNNNNNNNNNNNNNNNNNNNNNNNNNNNNNNNNNNNNNNNNNNNNNNNNNNNNNNNNNNNNNNNNNNNNNNNNNNNNNNNNNNNNNNNNNNNNNNNNNNNNNNNNNNNNNNNNNNNNNNNNNNNNNNNNNNNNNNNNNNNNNNNNNNNNNNNNNNNNNNNNNNNNNNNNNNNNNNNNNNNNNNNNNNNNNNNNNNNNNNNNNNNNNNNNNNNNNNNNNNNNNNNNNNNNNNNNNNNNNNNNNNNNNNNNNNNNNNNNNNNNNNNNNNNNNNNNNNNNNNNNNNNNNNNNNNNNNNNNNNNNNNNNNNNNNNNNNNNNNNNNNNNNNNNNNNNNNNNNNNNNNNNNNNNNNNNNNNNNNNNNNNNNNNNNNNNNNNNNNNNNNNNNNNNNNNNNNNNNNNNNNNNNNNNNNNNNNNNNNNNNNNNNNNNNNNNNNNNNNNNNNNNNNNNNNNNNNNNNNNNNNNNNNNNNNNNNNNNNNNNNNNNNNNNNNNNNNNNNNNNNNNNNNNNNNNNNNNNNNNNNNNNNNNNNNNNNNNNNNNNNNNNNNNNNNNNNNNNNNNNNNNNNNNNNNNNNNNNNNNNNNNNNNNNNNNNNNNNNNNNNNNNNNNNNNNNNNNNNNNNNNNNNNNNNNNNNNNNNNNNNNNNNNNNNNNNNNNNNNNNNNNNNNNNNNNNNNNNNNNNNNNNNNNNNNNNNNNNNNNNNNNNNNNNNNNNNNNNNNNNNNNNNNNNNNNNNNNNNNNNNNNNNNNNNCUUGCACUUACAAAUUAUGCAAACUAGUUCAAUUAUGCACUUCUAUACUUGCUUUGGUUUGUGUUGGCAUCAAUCACCAAAAAGGGGGAGAUUGAAAGGGAAUUAGGCUUACACCUAUUUCCUAAUUGAUUUUGGUUGUUGAAUUGCCCAACACAAAUAAUUGGACUAACUAGUUUGCUCUAGUCUAUAAGUUCUACAGGUGCCAAAGGUUCACAAUAAGUCAAUAAAAAGACCAAGGAUGGGUUCGAACAAAGAGAGCAAGGGAUAACCGAAGUGUGCCCUGGUCUGGCGCACCGGACUGUCCGGUGUGCCAUCGGACAGUGUCCGGUGCACCAGGGGACUCCAAGCUGAACUCCUCACCUUCGAGAAUUCUCAGAGGCGCUCCGCUAAAAUUCACCGGACUGUCCGGUGCAUCACCGAAUAGUGUCCGGUGCCCCAGAGGAGAGCGACUCUGAACUCGCCAGCUUCGGGAAUCUGCUCCGCUAAAAUUCACCGGACUGUCCGGUGAGCCAGCGGAGCAACGACUACUUCACGCUCAACGGUCGACUGCAACGCAUUAAAUGCGCGCCAGCGCGCGCAGAGGACAGAGCACACGCGGGUGGCACACCAGACAGUCUACAGGACUUGUCCGGUGCACCACCGGACAGCUAGGCGGGCCCACAAGUCAGAGCUCUAACGGUCGGAACCCAACGGCCAGGUGACAUGGCUGGCGCACCGGACAGUGUCCGGUGGCGCACCUGACUGUCCGGUGCACCAUGCGACAGAAGCUUUCACCAAACGACUAGUUUGGUGGUUGGGGUUAUAAAUACCCCCAACCACCCCACAUUCAAGUCAUCCAAGUUUUCCACCUUCCAACUACUUACAAGAGCUCUAGCAUUCAAUUCUAGACACACCAAAGAGAUCAAAUCCUCUCCAAAUUCCACACAAAGCCUUAGUGCUUAGAGAGAGUGAUUGUUGUGUUCAUUUGAGCUCUUGCGCUUGGAUUGCUUCUUUUUCUCAUUCUUUCUUGUGAUCAACUCAAUUGUAACCAAGGCAAGAGACACCAAUUGUGUGGUGGUCCUUGCGGGGAAGUUUGUUCCCGUUUGAUUGAGAAGAGAAGCUCAGUCGGUCCGAGGGACCGUUUGAGAGAGGGAAAGGGUUGAAAGAGACCCAGUCUUAGUGACCACCUCAACGGGGAGUAGGUUUGCGAGAACCGAACCUCGGUAAAACAAAUCCUUGUGUCUCACUUCUUAUUCGCUUGCGAUUUGUUUUUUGCGCCCUCGCUCGGACCCGAUUAUAUUUCUAACGCUAACCCGGCUUGUAGUUGUGCUUAAGUUGUUAAAUUUCAGAUUCGCCCUAUUCACCCCCCCUCUAGGCGACUUUCACAUGCACAGUUCGUGGACGCGUACCGGGAGCUGGGUGCGCGGACCGCUGCCUUCGAAGUGCCCGGUCAAGAAGCGGGCCUUCGCUUUCUGGAAUGGUUGUAGGAGGAGCUGGGGGUGCUCCCGACCAUCGUGACGAGUUUCAUGUCCUUCGCCUCCCUCGUCACCUGCGAGGGGGCCGUGAAUGCUUUGUCCCGUGAGGGGUGCAGGCAUUACGAGGUCUUCGACCAAGCGGACGAGAACUUUGAACGUGAAAUCUUCAAGGUCGAAGACCUUGUGCUGAAGCAAUCGGCGGGGGCGCUGUUCGAUAGGAUGUGGGGCCCGCACGGCCGAGAGGCGGUUAGGGAGCGGUCCGACCGGGCAAUAGAUCAGGUAAAGGCUAUUUUUGGUGUGGUUGUGUGUGUAGAUGUGUGUGGUUUUGCUGAAGGAGUGUGCUGUUGUUACAGAUGGCGCACGCCGAAGACAUCGAGGACCUUGGGGGUCUGGACGGCGCGCCGCCUGAGGCCGCGGAGGCCGAUCCGGUGCCGCCAUCUGCAGCCAACAAGGGCCCCUCGGCGACCCCUGCACCGACUGCAACCAGCGAAGACCCCGCACCAGCCCUUGGGCCGACGUGUGAGGACGCCUCCAAGACGGUGGCCGAGCCGGCUGCCGAAGACUCCACGACCUUGGUCGGGUCGUCGCAGGUGGCUGAAUAGGUGUUGGGGAGUUUGUAAAUUUUAUCUGUGUGAUAGUGAAACUCGGUUGUUGCGCAGGUUCUGAGGUUUGGGCCUGCGCACGCAACCGCUACUGACAAUACUAUUUUUGUGGCGGCUUCGACCAUGACUGCCGAUGAUGAUUCGUUUGGCUCUGUGUCUAAGUGUUUUGAGUCUGAUGAUUCUGGGAGUUCGACUGCAUGGACGGAGGAGUCUUCGGAUGAGGGCUUAGAUUAUUUUGUUGCGAUGGAUGUGGCUGCGGCGGAGACUUCGCCGCGUGUGGAGGGUGCUGGGGAUCUUCCUGGUACAAGUACUGGGUAUAGGCAGCGAAGGGCGGUGGCGAAACAGAGAGUGAGUGAAUUGCCGCGAAGUGGUAGGCGUCAUCGUAGUGAGAUGGAGAGUGGUCGUCUUCGCGUGGACGGGGCUGUUAAACGAGAGUUGUUAUCCUCACCAACUGGGGCGAGUAUAGGUGAGGGGGAGAUGCAAAAUCUGUUUGAAGGUGAAGAAUUGAGGAUAAUGUUGUUUAAUUACAGGGAGAUGGGUAUCAUCCCGAAGGUUGAGCCGAUGUAAUAUACGAUGUCCUCGCUGUGUGUAUGUAACCAAAAUUUGUAUGAUAAGGCUGCGCGCCUUCGUUGAUUCGGCUGCACCCGUAGGCUACUUCUGCACGGAGUCUUUUGUAAAGGACUUCGAUCUUUGUGUAUUUAUUGUGCUGUUCCAGCUGCACCCUUAGGCGACUUUUUGCACGGAGAGUCUUUUGGAAAUGACUUCGAUUUUGCAGUAUUCUGUUGUUCCGGCUGCACCCUUAGGCGACUUUUGCACGAAGAGUCUUUGGGAAAAGACUUCGUUUGUCACACUUGUGCUAUUGCGGCUGCACCCUUAGGCAACUUUUGUGUGGAGAGUCUUUUACAAAGACUUCGAUUGUCGCACUUGUUGUGCUAUUCCGGCUGCACCCUUAGGCGACUUUUGCACGGAGAGUCUUUUACAAAGACUUCUAUUGUCGCACUUGUUGUGCUAUUCCGGCUGCACCCUUAGGCGACUUUUUGCUCGGAGUGUCGCACGCGAGGGUAGUCUACGCUGCCUCUCGCGGUGACUUUGGAGUGGUCGAAUGCCGAAGACCGUUGAUGCGGUCUUUUUCGACAUGUAUCUUAAUUUUUGUGGGGGAUUUUUGCAGAUAUAUUACAUGGCUCCGCCUCGUUAAAAACAUCACCCCCUGGGAGGAAAAGAGUGCGAGCCGGAAUGAUACUGUUUGGUGAAUUACAAGGGCAAGUUGGCCCUGAGGAUUCAAACAAAAAAUUUGUGAAGAUUAUCAAUGUUCCAGGAAUGAUCUAGGUCUUCGCCGGAUGACGUUGUUAGCCUGUACACACUAGGGGACGCCUUUGACUUGACGAUGAAUGGACCCUCCCACUUCGGCUCCAGCUUGCCUCGUGACUCUGUCCGGGUUGUGCGGACGAGUACGAGGUCCCCUUCGCUGAAUUCUCUUGGGACGACUGCGUGGUCGCGCCAGGCCUUCGUUUGAGCUUGGUAUUUGUUAAGGGCCUGUAGGGCGAAGACGCGGUCUCCGUCAAUGAGGUCCUUGGAGGUUGGUCCAUCUAUGUUGGGGACGGCUGAAGUGCUUGUUUGUGGUGACCCAUGCUUUAUCUCCUGCGGGGUCAUAGCCUCCGAUCCGUAUAGUAGGCGAAAGGGAGUGAACCCAGUCGCCCGACAUUCGGUCGUGUUUAGCGCCCAGACUGCUUCGGGUAGCAGGUCGGCCCAUUUUCCCUUCUUGUCGUCGAGAAGCAUUUUUUUGAUGGCAGAGAAAAUCUUGUCGUUGGCGCGCUCGAUGACGCCGUUAGUUUGUGGGUGAUAUACUGAGGCGAAGGCAAGCUUGGUGCUGAUGGAGUAGCAGAAGUCCCUGAAGUCCUGGCCGUCAAACUGUUUGCCAUUGUCGACUGUUAGCUCGGACGGGACUCCGAAUCGGCAAACAAUGUUCUGCCAGAAGAAUUUCUGGGCGGUCUUCGACAUUAUUGUUGAUACUGCCCUUGCCUCGAUCCACUUGGUAAAAUACUCGACGGCAACGAAGGUAAACUUGAGGUUCCCCUGGGCCGUGGGCAGUGGCCUGACAAUGUCUAGCCCCCAGUGUUGAAGUGGCCAUGUGUGAGCAAUCAGCUUUGUGAAUUGCGAAGGGUUGCCCAAACAAGGAGAGAACUUCUGGCAGGCUUCGCACGACCGCGUAACUCGAUUCGCGGCGCAGAUUAUAGCGGGCCAGUAGAACCCUUGGCGGAUCACCUUGGCAGCGAGGGCCCUAGGCCCUGAGUGAGAACCACAAGUUCCACUGUGGACUUCGCGCAGGAUCUGGGUGCCUUCGGUUUCGGUGACACAUUUGAGCAUGGGUUGACUGACCCCCUUCUUGUAUAGCUGGCCCUCAAUAAGUGCGAAGUCCUGGCUUCGGUGCUUGAGGCGCUUGGCCUCGUUGAUGUCACUGGGAUGGUAGUAUCCUUGCAGGAACAGGAUUAUUGGGGCCCGCUAGUCUUUGGUCAUGAUGAGGUUAACUAUACGAUGGCCCUCAGCGUCAUUUGUUAUUUGGAGACCCUCUGGAUUGCGGACGGCUGGCGUGCCGAUGACGUGGUAGAACACGUCAAAGGGCAAGGCUUCGCCUCUGGCCGCUGCUUUGGCCAAUGCGUCGGCCUCUUCGUUCCUGGCGCGGUCCACAUGCUACAAGGUGAAACCCUUGAAUUGUUUCUCAAGGCUGUGAACAGCCGUAAGAUAUUGCAUGAGUGCGGGGUCCUUUGCUGAAUAUUCUUUCUCAACCUGGCCAGCGACAACUUUGGAGUCUGUCUUGACAAUGCAGGUGGCAACGCCGAGUGCUUUCAGCAUGCGAAGGCCCAGAAUGACGGUUUCAUACUCUGCUAUGUUGUUGGUGCAUCUGUCGGAUUCCAGAGCAAAGCUAAGGCGUGCUACGUAUCUGUGCUUGACGCCGGUAGGUGAUGUGAUAAUUGCAGCCGCACCUGCCCCCGCAUGUCACCAUGCGCGUCACAGUGGAUGGUCCACACCUUCUCUGAGGGCUCUUCUUGCUGCCGUGCCGGCCCUGUCCAGUCGACGAUGAAAUCUGCGAGGACUUGCGACUUGAUUGUUGUCCUGGGCUCGAAGGUGAUGUGGUAUUCGGAGAGUUUGACCGCCAAUUUGGCGAUACGGACGGACGCCUCCGGAUUUCUGAAUAAUUCGCCGAGUCCCCUGUCCGAGGUGACUCGCACCUUGAACGCUUCGAAGUAGUGGCGCAACUUGCGCGAUGCCAUGACGACUGCGUAGGCAAUUUUUUCCAACUCUGUCAUGUUGCAUUUGGAAGUCGUGAGGACUUCGGAGACGUAAUAAACCGGACACUGCCGAGUUGUGCCCUCUCUAUCCUGCUCUUGGACCAAUGCUGCGCUGACUGCGUGUGGCGAAGCUGCAAUGUAAAGCAACAGAGGUAGCGAGGGGUCGGAGCUUGUAAGGGUUGCUAUCUCUGAUAGGUGCUGCUUGAGUGAUGCGAAGGCUGUCGCUUGCUCUGGUCCCCAUGCAAAGUCUUUUGCGCCGCGUAGCGUUUUGAGGAAAGGUAGGCUUCGCUCUGCGGACUUGGAAAUGAAUCUAUUGAGGGCAGCCAAUCUGCCUGUUAGACGCUGGACAUCUCUGGCUGACUACGGAGGCGUCAUGUUGAUGAUGGCCUGGAUCUUGGUCGGGUUGGCCUCGAUCCCGCGGUGUGACACCAGGUAGCCCAGUAUCUUCCCGUGGCGAACUCCAAAGACGCACUUCUCGGGGUUCAGGCGAAGUCGUGCGUCCCUGAAAGGGAAAUGUGCCCUUGGGCCAUUUCUAAGUAUUUUGGUGAUUGAGUGCCAACACAAGUGCUUAAAUGUGAAUCUAUACCCAUGGAUGGACAAAGUGCAAAUCAAGAGUAAAGGUAUGUUUCUAAGCCUUAGUACAUUGUUUUGAAGACUAAUGUAUUGUGUCUAAGUGCUUGAAAUAGGAGAAAUCGAGUCAGAGAAUAAGUUGGCUGUGUACAGCCAAAAGGCUGUUCGGUCUAGAGCACCGGACUGUCCGGUGGUGCACCGGACAGUGUCCGGUGCGCCAGGCUGUCUCGAGCGAAGUGGCCGCUCUCGGGAAUUCGCCGACGGCGUACGGCUAUAAUUCACCGGACUGUCCGGUGUGCACCGGACUGUCCGGUGAGCCAACGGUCGGCCGGGCCAACGGUCGACCACGGAAUCUGCGCGCGACACGUGGCCGGGCCAACGGUCGGAAGGGGGCACCGGACUGUCCGGUGUGCACCGGACUGUCCGGUGCGCCAACGGCUCCCAGAUCUGCAACGGUCGGCUGCGCCAUUUAAGGAAAGAAAUCGGGCACCGGACAGUGUCCGGUGUGCACCGGACUGUCCGGUGCGCCCGAUGACAGAAGGCAAGAUCAGCCUUCCAGAAUUGCUCUCAACGGCUCCUAGCUGCCUUGGGGCUAUAAAAGGGACCCCUAGGCGCAUGGAGGAGAACACCAAGCAACCUUAGAGCAUUCUUGAUCAUCCACACUCAGUCUUUGCGCAUUCGUUUGUCAUUUGCAGUGAUUCGAGCUCCGUUCUAGUGAGAACUUUGAGAUAGUCUUUUGAGCUCGAUUCUUGGCCGUGCAUGUGCGCAUUUUGCUGUGGAUUUGUGUGUGUUGCUUCCCUCCCUUACUCCGUAUUUCUUUGUGAAUCUCAAGUGUAAGGGCGAGAGACUCCAAGUUGUGGAGAUUCCUCGCAAACGGGAUAUUGAAAGGAAAAGCAUAACACUGUGGUAUUCAAGUUGAUCAUUGGAUCACUUGAGAGGAGUUGAGUGCAACUCUCGUCCGUUGGGACGCCACAACGUGGAGUAGGCAAGUUUUGUACUUGGCCGAACCACGGGAUAAACCACUGUGUCUUCUCUGUGUUGAUCUUUUGUGGUAUUGUGUUUUGUUGAGACUCAUCUCUAGCCACUUGGCGAUUAUUGUGCUAACACUUAACAAGUUUUUGUGGCUAUAAGUUUAAGUUUCACAGGAUCACCUAUUCACCCCCCCCCCCCUCUAGGUGCUCUCAAUUGGUAUCGGAGCUGUUCUCUUCAAGAAGGGACUAAUCGCCCGAAGAGAUGGAUCCUAAGGGGAAGGGAAUCGUGAUCAACGACAAGGAGAAGGAGUCCUUCGUCAACGAGCCGAAGGAUGACAAGCCUACUGACUCGGGCUCGGGCCACAAGCGUAAAGAUGGGAAGAAGAAGAAGAUAAGGCGCAUCAAGGAGAUCGUCUACUACGACGAUAGCGAUGAGUCUACUUCUUCCCAAAAGGACGACGACAACGACUACAGGAAGACGGUCAAUUCGAACUUUUCAUUUGAUUAUUCUCGUAUUCCACAUAGUUCGAAUUCGCAUUUGCUUUCCAUUCCUCUUGGCAAACCUCCACACUUCGAUGGGGAAGACUACGGAUUUUGGAGUCACAAAAUGCGUAGUCACUUAUUCUCUCUCCAUCCAAGCAUAUGGGAGAUUGUAGAGAAUGGAAUGAAAUUUGAUAGCUCGGAUAGCCCUAUGCUUAUAAAUGAACAAAUCCAUAGAAAUGCACAAGCUACUACUGUUCUAUUAGCAUCUUUGUGCAGGGAAGAGUACAAUAAGGUGAGCGGCUUGGACAAUGCCAAGCAGAUCUGGGACACCCUCAAGAUCUCUCAUGAGGGGAACGAUGUCACCUUACUCACCAAGAUGGAGUUGGUGGAGGGCGAGCUUGGACGGUUCGCAAUGAUAAGGGGAGAGGAGCCAACUCAAACAUACAACCGGCUCAAGACCCUUAUCAACAAAAUAAGGAGCUACGGAAGCACGCGAUGGACGGAUCACGACGUCGUCCGCCUAAUGCUAAGGUCCUUUACCGUUCUUGAUCCUCAUUUGGUGAACAAUAUUCGUGAAAAUCCUAGGUACACCAAGAUGUCGCCCAAAGAAGUACUUGGGAAAUUCGUUAGCGGGUGAAUGAUGAUCAAGGAGGCAAGAUACGUGGACGACGCCUUGAAUGGUCCGAUCAACGAGCCGCAACCCCUUGCUCUCAAGGCAACAAGGAGCAAGGAGGCGCUACCAAGCAAGGUGGCGCAAGUUGAGGCGGCCGGGCUAAAUAAUGAGGAGAUGACCCUCAUCAUUAAGCGCUUCAAGACGGCGCUUAAAGGUCGCAAGGGACAGCCAAGCAAGACCAAAGCCAAGGGGAAGCGCUCGUGCUUCAAAUGCGGUAAGAUUGGUCAUUUUAUUGCUAACUGUCCCGACAAUGAUAGUGACCAGGAACACGGGAGCAAGAGGGAAAGGAAGAAGCAUUACAAGAAGGCCAAGGGAGAGGCACAUAUCGGAAAGGAGUGGGAUUCGGAUUGCUCCUCCUCCGACUCCGACAAUGAAGGACUCGCCGCCACUGCCUUCAACAAGUCAUCCCUCUUCCCAAACGAGCGUCACACUUGCCUCAUGGCAAGGGAGAAGAAAGUAAGCACUCAUAAUACUAGUACUUAUGCUUCUUCAAGUGAGGAUGAGUCUAGUGACGAUGACGAGAUAGAUUACUCAUGCUUAUUCAAGGGAUUAGAUAGAACCAAGGUAGACAAAAUUAAUGAAUUGAUUGAUGCCUUGAAUGAUAGGAAUAUACUUUUAGAAAAGCAAGAGAAUUUGUUGUAUGAAGAACAUGAUAAAUUUGUAGAAGCUCAGAAAUCUCUUGCUCUAGAAAUUAAGAGGAAUGAAAUGCUCUCUAGUGAAUUAUCUUCUUGUCAUGAAACCAUUGCUACUUUAAAGAGUGUUAAUGAUGACUUAAAUGCUAAACUAGAAGUAGCUAGUAAAUCUAAUUCUUGUGUAGAACAUGUUGAGAUUUGCACUAGGUGUAAAGAUUUCGAUGUUGAUGCUUGUAGUGAUCAUUUAGUUUCAAUUUCCAAAUUAACUGAGGAAUUGGCUAGUCUUAAUGCCCAACUUAAGACUAGCAAGAAUGAAUUUGAUAAACUAAAAUUUGCAAGGGAUGCCUACACGAUCGGUAGACACCCCUCAAUUAAGGAUGGACUUGGCUUCAAGAGGGAAGCCAAGAACUUAACAAGCCAUAAGGCUCCCAUUCCCGCUAAGGAGAAAGGGAAGGACCCUAUGGCUACUAGUGCUAAAAAGAACCAUGCCUUUUUGUAUCAUGAUAGGAGACAAACUAGAAAUGCUUAUAGGAGUUAUAAUGCUUACGAUGAUUUUUCUCAUGCUAUGUUUGCUUCUAGUUCUUCAUAUGUGCAUGAUAGAAAUGUUGGUAGAAGGAAUGUUGUUCAUAAUAUGCCUAGAAGAGAUGUUGUUAAUAUUCCUAGGAAAGUUAAUGAGCCUUCUACAAUAUAUCAUGCUUUGAAUGCUUCCUUUGCAAUUUGUAGAAAGGAUAGAAAGGUAAUUGCUAGAAAGUUAGGGGCAAAAUGCAAGGGUGAUAAAACUUGCAUUUGGGUCCCUAAGGAAAUUGUGACUAACCUAGUAGGACCCAACAAGAGUUGGGUACCUAAGUCCCAAGCCUAAAUUUGCCUUGCAGGUUUAUGCAUCCGGGGGUUCAAGCUGGAUUAUUGAUAGCGGAUGCACAAACCAUAUGACGGGGGAGAAGAAGAUGUUCACCUCCUACGUCAAGAAUAAGGAUUCCCAAGAUUCAAUUAUAUUCGGUGAUGGGAAUCAAGGCAAGGUAAAAGGGUUAGGUAAAAUUGCAAUUUCUAAUGAGCACUCCAUAUCUAAUGUGUUUUUAGUAGAGUCUCUUGGAUAUAAUUUGCUAUCUGUUAGUCAAUUAUGCAACAUGGGGUAUAACUGUCUAUUUACAAAUGUAGAUGUGUCUGUCUUUAGAAGAAGUGAUGGUUCACUAGCUUUUAAGGGUGUAUUAGACGGCAAACUUUAUUUAGUUGAUUUUGCAAAAGAAGAGGCCGGUCUAGAUGCAUGCUUAAUAGCUAAGACUAGCAUGGGCUGGCUGUGGCAUCGCCGCUUAGCACAUGUGGGGAUGAAGAACCUUCACAAGCUUCUAAAGGGAGAACACGUGAUAGGUUUGACUAACGUGCAAUUCGAAAAAGAUAGACCUUGUGCAGCUUGUCAAGCAGGUAAACAAGUGGGAGGAGCGCAUCACAGCAAGAAUGUGAUGACCACUUCAAGACCCCUAGAGCUGCUGCAUAUGGACCUCUUCGGACCUGUCGCCUAUCUGAGCAUAGGAGGGAGUAAGUAUGGUCUAGUUAUUGUUGAUGACUUUUCCCGCUUCACUUGGGUGUUCUUUUUGCAGGAUAAGUCUGAAACCCAAGGGACCCUCAAGCGCUUCCUCAGGAGAGCUCAAAAUGAGUUUGAGCUCAAGGUGAAGAAGAUAAGGAGCGACAACGGGUCCGAGUUCAAGAACCUUCAAGUGGAGGAGUUCCUUGAGGAGGAAGGGAUCAAGCACGAGUUCUCCGCUCCCUACACACCACAGCAAAAUGGUGUGGUAGAGAGAAAGAACAGGACGCUAAUCGAUAUGGCGAGGACGAUGCUUGGAGAAUUCAAGACCCCCGAGUGUUUCUGGUCGGAAGCCGUGAACACGGCUUGCCACGCCAUCAACAGGGUCUACCUUCAUCGCCUCCUCAAGAAGACUUCGUAUGAGCUACUAACCGGUAACAAACCCAAUGUAUCUUACUUUCGUGUAUUUGGGAGCAAGUGCUACAUUCUAGUAAAGAAGGGUAGAAAUUCUAAGUUUGCUCCUAAAGCUGUAGAAGGGUUUUUGUUAGGUUAUGACUCAAAUACAAAGGCGUAUAGAGUCUUCAACAAAUCAUUGGGUUUGGUUGAAGUCUCUAGCGACGUUGUAUUUGAUGAGACUAAUGGCUCUCCAAGAGAGCAAGUUGUUGAUCUUGAUGAUGUAGAUGAAGAAGAUGUUCCGACGGCAGCUAUACGAACCAUGGCGAUUGGAGAAGUGCGGCCACAGGAACAAGAUGAACGAGAUCAACCUUCUUCCUCAACAAUGAUGCAUCCCCCAACUCAAAACGAUGAAUAGGUUCAUCAAGAGGAGUGUGAUCAAGGGGGAGCACAGGAUGAUCAUGUGAUGGAGGAAGAAACACAACCGGCACCUCCAACCCAAGUUCGAGCGAUGAUUCAAAGGGAUCAUCCCGUCGACCAAAUUCUGGGUGAUAUUAGCAAGGGAGUAACUACUCGAUCUUGAUUAGUUAAUUUUUGUGAGCAUUACUCCUUUGUCUCUUCUAUUGAGCCUUUCAGGGUAGAAGAGGCCUUGCUAGAUCCGGACUGGGUGUUAGCCAUGCAGGAGGAACUCAACAACUUCAAGCGCAAUGAAGUUUGGACACUGGUGCCUCGUCCCAAGCAAAAUGUUGUGGGAACCAAGCGGGUGUUCCGCAACAAACAGGACGAGCACGGGGUGGUGACAAGGAACAAGGCUCGACUUGUGGCAAAAGGUUAUGCCCAAGUCGCAGGUUUGGACUUUGAGGAGACGUUUGCUCCUGUGGCUAGGCUAGAGUCAAUUCGCAUCUUGCUAGCAUAUGUCGCUCACCAUUCUUUCAGGUUGUACCAAAUGGAUGUGAAGAGCGCUUUCCUCAAUGGGCCGAUCAAGGAGGAGGUGUACGUGGAGCAACCCCCUGGCUUCGAGGAUGAACGGUACCCCGACCACGUGUGUAAGCUCUCUAAGGCGCUCUAUGGACUUAAGCAAGCCCCAAGAGCAUGGUAUGAAUGCCUUAUAGACUUUCUAAUUGUUAAUGCUUUCAAGGUUGGGAAAGCCGAUCCAACUCUCUUUACUAAGACAUGUGAUGGUGAUUUGUUUGUGUGCCAAAUUUAUGUCGAUGAUAUAAUAUUUGGUUCUACUAACCAAAAGUCUUGUGAAGAGUUUAGCAGGGUGAUGACGCAGAAAUUCGAGAUGUCGAUGAUGGGCGAGUUGAACUACUUCCUUGGGUUCCAAGUGAAGCAACUCAAGGACGGCACCUUCAUCUCCCAAACGAAGUACACGCAAGAUCUGCUAAAGCGGUUUGGGAUGAAGGAUGCCAAGCCCGCAAAGACUCCGAUGGGAACCGACGGACACACCGACCUCAACAAAGGAGGUAAGUCCGUUGAUCAAAAAGCAUACCGGUCAAUGAUAGGGUCUUUACUUUAUUUAUGUGCUAGUAGACCGGAUAUUAUGCUUAGCGUAUGCAUGUGUGCUAGAUUUCAAUCCGAUCCUAAGGGGUGUCACUUAGUGGUGGUGAAGCGAAUUCUAAGAUAUUUGGUUGCUACGCCUUGUUUCGGGCUCUGGUAUCCAAAAGGGUCUACCUUUGACUUGGUUGGAUACUCAGAUUCCGACUAUGCUGGAUGUAAGGUCGAUAGGAAGAGUACAUCAGGGACGUGCCAAUUCUUAGGAAGGUCCCUGGUGUCGUGGAACUCUAAGAAACAAACCUCCGUUGCCCUAUCCACCGCUGAGGCCGAGUAUGUUGCCGCAGGACAGUGUUGCGCGCAACUACUUUGGAUGAGGCAAACCCUCCGGGACUUUGGCUACAAUCUGAGCAAAGUCCCACUCCUAUGUGAUAAUGAGAGUGCUAUCCGCAUGGCGGAAAAUCCUGUUGAACACAGCCGCACAAAGCACAUAGACAUCCGGCAUCACUUUUUGAGAGACCACCAGCAAAAGGGAGAUAUCGAAGUGUUUCAUGUUAGCACCGAGAACCAGCUAGCCGAUAUCUUUACCAAGCCUCUAGAUGAGAAGACCUUUUGCAGGUUGCGUAGUGAGCUAAAUGUCUUAGAUUCGCGGAACCUGGAUUGAUUUGUAGCAUACAUGUGUUUAUGCCUUUGAUCAUGUUCAUUCUGCAUUUUGUUGCUUAUUGUGGUGCUCAAGUUGUACAAACAUUCCCUGGACCUCACAAGUCCUUGUGUAAGUGAUGCACAUAUUUAGGGGGAGUUGUGUUACAACUUGACCCUUUGAGACUAACCAUAUGCUUGAGUUUACUUGAUUUAGUCUCGAAGGAGAAUUGAAAGGGAAAAGGUGGACUUGGACCAUGAAAGACUUCCACUGCACUCCGAUGAGAGGGUAACUUAUUCCAAGUUCAUCUUAUGAACUCUUAUUGCCAUUUGCUCUUAAUUGAAGAUUUUGGUGAGGCAAUGGGGUUAUAGGGCCAAGAUUGAUCCCGUUUUGGUGCUUGAUGCCAAAGGGGGAGAAAAUAAAGGCCAAAGCGAUAAAUGGAUCAGCUACCACUUGAGAGAUUUUGAAAACAGUAGAAUAGAGCUUUUGUUUUGUCAAAACUCUUUUGUUGUCUCUCUUGUCAAAAGUUGGCUUCUUGUGGGGAGAAGUGUUGAUUAUGGGAAAAAGGGGGAGUUUUUGAAAUCUUUAAUCAAUCUCUUUUGGAAUGACUCUCUUUAUGCUUCAACAUGUGUGUUUGACUUAGAGCUAGAGAUUUGAGUUUGAUUUGCAAAAACAAACCAAGUGGUGGCAAAGGAUGAUCCAUAUAUGCCAAAAUUGAAUCAAAAUAAAUUUGAGUUUUAUUUGAAGUGAUAUUGCACUUGUUCUAGUUGCUUUAUGUUGUGUUGGCAUAAAUCACCAAAAAGGGGGAGAUUGAAAGGGAAAUGUGCCCUUGGGCCAUUUCUAAGUAUUUUGGUGAUUGAGUGCCAACACAAGUGCUUAAAUGUGAAUCUAUACCCAUGGAUGGACAAAGUGCAAAUCAAGAGUAAAGGUAUGUUUCUAAGCCUUAGUACAUUGUUUUGAAGACUAAUGUAUUGUGUCUAAGUGCUUGAAACAGGAGAAAUCGAGUCAGAGAAUAAGUUGGCUGUGUACAGCCAAAAGGCUGUUCGGUCUGGAGCACCGGACUGUCCGGUGGUGCACCGGACAGUGUCCGGUGCGCCAGGCUGCCUCGAGCGAAGUGGCCGCUCUCGGGAAUUCGCCGACGGCGUACGACUAUAAUUCACCGGACUGUCCGGUGUGCACCGGACUGUCCGGUGAGCCAACGGUCGGCCGGGCCAACGGUCGGCCACGGAAUCUGCGCGCGACACGUGGCCGGGCCAACGGUCGGAAGGGGGCACCGGACUGUCCGGUGUGCACCGGACUGUCCGGUGCGCCAACGGCUCCCAGAUCUGCAACGGUCGGCUGCGCCAUUUAAGGAAAGAAAUCGGGCACCGGACAGUGUCCGGUGUGCACCGGACUGUCCGGUGCGCCCGAUGACAGAAGGCAAGAUCAGCCUUCCAGAAUUGCUCUCAACGGCUCCUAGCUGCCUUGGGGCUAUAAAAGGGACCCCUAGGCGCAUGGAGGAGAACACCAAGCAACCUUAGAGCAUUCUUGAUCAUCCACACUCAGUCUUUGCGCAUUCGUUUGUCAUUUGCAGUGAUUCGAGCUCCGUUCUAGUGAGAACUUUGAGAUAGUCUUUUGAGCUCGAUUCUUGGCCGUGCGUGUGCGCAUUUUGCUGUGGAUUUGUGUGUGUUGCUUCCCUCCCUUACUCCGUAUUUCUUUGUGAAUCUCAAGUGUAAGGGCGAGAGACUCCAAGUUGUGGAGAUUCCUCGCAAAUGGGAUAUUGAAAGGAAAAGCAUAACACUGUGGUAUUCAAGUUGAUCAUUGGAUCACUUGAGAGGAGUUGAGUGCAACUCUCGUCCGUUGGGACGCCACAACAUGGAGUAGGCAAGUUUUGUACUUGGCCGAACCACGGGAUAAACCACUGUGUCUUCUCUGUGUUGAUCUUUUGUGGUAUUGUGUUUUGUUGAGACUCAUCUCUAGCCACUUGGCGAUUAUUGUGCUAACACUUAACAAGUUUUUGUGGCUAUAAGUUUAAGUUUCACAGGAUCACCUAUUCACCCCCCCCCCUCUAGGUGCUCUCAGUCCCGCAUGUUCGCGAAUGUCUCUGCAAGGUCGGCUAGAUGAUCCUCUUUGUUUUUGCUGGCAACGGCGAUGUCGUCCACAUACGUGAAAAUGUUCCAGCCUACUUGACUCUCGAGCACCGUCUUGGUGAGGCGAAAGAAGGUGGACCCAACGUUCUUUAGUCCCUCCGGCAUUCUAACGAAGCAAUACGUGCCGAAGGACGUGAUGAAACUGGUACUGGCCUUGUCUUCCUCCUUCAUAUAUAUUUGGUGAUAGCUAGAGAAGCAGUCGAGGAGUGACAUGACUUCGCAUCCGGUCGCACUAUCGACGAUUUUGUCGAUCCGAGGCAGCGGGAAAUUAUCAUUGGGGCAGGCCUUGUUGAGGCUGGUGAAAUCGAUGCACAUCCGCCACUUGCCGCUUUUCUUUUGCACCAUAACUACGUUGGCGAGCCACGUAGGGUAGGUGAUUGGCUCGAUGAAAUUGGCCUCCAGCAGGCGGUGUACUUCGGUUUUGGUGGCUUCUGUCUUUUCAUCGGACAUUUUGCACAACCGCUGCUUCUUUGGGCGCACAGAAGGGUCGAUGCCCAGGCUGUGCUCGAUGAUAGUGCGACUGACUCCGACCAGGUCGAGGGCGGACCAGGCGAAGACGUCCUUAUUUCUGGAGAGACAGGAGAGGAGUUUCUCCUCAUCUUGCGAAGUCAGGUCUUCGCUUAUGAUGACCAUUUGUUUUGGUGUUGCCUGGUCAAGGGGGACUGUCUUUGUCCCAUCGUUGCUCUGCAGCUGUGCCUUUUCAUGUUCGUUGGCGGCUGGGCGGGUAGCCUCGGGGACUUCGCGCUGCGUCGUGAGGUAGUGUACGUUCUGUUGCCCUAGAACGAAGUCUCUUUCAAUGUUACGCGCAGUCUGCUGGUUGCCAUAGACUGUGAUCACGCCUUGCGGACCCGGGAUUUUCAUGCACAGGUAAAGUCCGUGAAUGGCUGCUUCAAACUUGUUGAUGGAGCCCCAUCCCAUUAUGGCAUUGUACGGGUAUACCAUAUCGACGAUGUCGAAGGUGAUCUGCUCACUUCGUGCAUUGGGUGCUACGCCGAAGGACAAGGGUAGCUCUAUCUUGCCCACAGGGAAGGUGCCCUUGCCACCGAAGCCAUAUAGUGGGUUGUCCGAAGGCUUAAGUAGACUGUGGCUGAUGCCCAUGCGGUCGAAGGCAUGGAGGAAGAUGAUGUCCGCUUGGCUACCGUUGUCAACUAAGACUUUGUGCAGGUCCCAGCUAGCCACACUGCAGUUGAUAACCAUGGCGUCCAUGUGGGGUGCGCUGCGCAAAUCAACAUCUCUAGCGUCGAAGGUCAGUGGCACAUGUGACCACUUUGUUUGCACGACUGGGCCAGUGAUGGUGACGUGGUUGAUGCUUCGAUAGUGAUCCCUCUUCUGUCGCUUCGUGUCGAAGUCGACGCUGGACCCCCCAGUGAUCAUGUGAAUGACUCCACGAUACGGUUGAUCAGCGAAGUCUUCCUGUUUUGGUGCUUGGGGUGAUUUGGGUGGUGGAUGUUUGGCUGAUGUGGGUGCAGAGGCGGGAGUGGGGGUGGUACGACUUGUACCUCCUGGUGGUGCUGGUAUGCGUGGUUAGGUGGAUGCUGAGCGGGGCCGUGGUUGUAUGGUUGUGGGAGUUGGUGUUGAUAUGUGUGCGCGACAACUCUUGGGUUGUCAGCGGGUUGUGCCCGAGACAUCCUAUCCCUGGUGGCCUUCGUUUCUAGGAAAUCCCUCGUCGGGUGCGCACAGUCUUCGCCGUGAAAUAGGCAGUAAAAUCUGCGCGGCUGCUGUGCCCGUCCUCGGCCCCGACCACGAGUGCCAUUGAUGUGGCCCUGGGGGGAUAAUCUUGACGGCAAGGGGCGUCGCCGGCGGGGUGCUGGUUGGCGAUGUUGUGCACCUGCUGCUGACUGCGGCCGUCCCGACCGGAGUCUGACUGCGAAGGUCUUAUCCACGUUCGGCUGGACUGCGGAGGGUCCUUGGGUUUCCUCUAGGACUCGACCUUGCGCUGGUGGAGCUCCUCUAAUCUGGCAUACUUUUCGAACAGCUGAUAGAGCUCUUGGAGGUUCUUGGGUGGGUCCUUGAUGCAGUGACUGUAAAGGACGCCAGCCCAAAGGCCACUGAUGGCGUAGUGGAUGGCAAUUUGGUCGUCGACCGAGGGCAGCUGUGACUUGAGAGUCAGGAACUUGCGGUAAUACUCCCGCAGGGUUUCUUUCUCUAGCUGCUUGCAGAGUGACAGUUCGGCCAAGGCGUCAGUGUCUAGGCGGUACCCUUGGAAGUUGAGCAGAAAUUUGUCCCAGAGACUUCUCCAGGAGUCGAUGGACAGUGGGGGCAACCUAGUGUACCAGGUCAGGGCUGGACCCUCGAGGGCGAUGAUGAAAGACUUGGCCAUCGUGGCGUCGUCCCCUCCGGAUGAUGUGACAACGACUUAAUAACUCAUGAUGUACUAUGUUGGGUCGGUGCUGCCGUUAUACUUGGGGUAGGUCCCUGCCCUGAAGUUGGCGGGCCAUGGUGACACUUGUAGUUGCGGCGCCUGGGGGCUCCGCUCGUCAAGGUAGUUGAUGCCUUGGAAUGCUGCGACGUGCGGGACGAAGGGUUCGCGCUGAGGGAUGAAUAGGUCUCCGUCCGGCGCGCGCUGUUGGAGGGGCGGACCGUGUUGCAUAUCAUGUUGGCCUUCGCAUUGCAUGAGUGCAAUCUCUUGCUCGAGUUGCUAAGCCCUCAGUUCCUCGUCUCGUAUCAUCUGGCGCACCUUGGCUUGCGCGGAGACACGUUGGCGCUUGGCCUCGAGGAUUUCUUUCUGCCUCUGGAGGUUGCGGUUCUUCAUGCGCAGGGCCCGCAGCUGUAGUUGUUCCUCUACUGGAAUGCCGAUGAUUUUGCCGUCUUCGGUGGCGUCCUCGCCCUCUAGUGGAGCGAAGCCUGGUGGUGGUUCUUGUGGCUGUCCUCCGGAGCUGCAGGUGCGGAGGGUGCCUUCGGAAGUUGGUUGAUUGUUGCGUUGUCUCUUGCUGAGUGCGUCGUCCUCGCAGACUUCUUAGUGGGUGGUGUUUGCAAGGGCCUUGCUCUUUUUCUCGGCUAGCAGCGCUGCCUUCACUGCUUCGUCGACGGAUGGGAUUGCCUUCGAGUUAGCUCUCUUGGGUGCCAUCGCGGGUGAUUUGUUCGUAGCACGAACGGUGGACGGCAAAUGUUGGAGCUUGCUCUUCCGGGCAAGAUGAUCCAACGAGAGAGUGAAAGAACGCAAGCAAGGUUUUUCUCGAGAUGGCAAUAGCUCUGUUAAUCUAGCCUCUCGAGGGCACUGUACGGGGGUAUUUAUAGGUGCCCGGGUGCCCAACGUCCUGAUGUUAGGACGUUUAUGCCCCCAGGCAUCUGGAUUAUCCCUAGGAUAUUCCCAUAAUGGAGGGUUACAGACUGUCAUUACAGGAAAGUCAUUACAAAUCGGGCCCGUAACUCAUAUCGCCGUCGCGGGGCCUGAUACGACGGGCCGCUUCCCACGUGGGCCUCCAGGUUGGGUGAGGAUAGGGAUGGCAGCGGGUCGGGUUGUGUUCGGGUCUGAUAAUACCCGACCCGAUAUCAUACCCGACCCUUAUACAAAUAUCCAUACCCACCAAGUCAAUCGGGUAAAAAAAUGGACCCAUACCCGUACCCACCGGGUAUCCGUCGGGUAUCGGGUAUCCGGUGGAUAUGGUACUGUAAAAUAUAAAUCUGCAUGCAAAUUGAUGAGCAACACAGUUUAUGACAGAUGGGAGUUAAAAAACAACAUCACAACAUGUGAAAUAUAUAAGCAACAUCACCAGUUUACAAACCAUAGAUUCAUAGUACAAUUCAUGACUAGUACACGUCCAAUUCACAUAUCAUAGUACAGUUCACAAAUCAUAGUACACGUUCAGUUCACAAAUCAUAGACUCAUAGUACACGUCCAGUUCACAAAUCAUAGUUCACACAACACAAAUAUAAGCAACAACACAAUGACAGGAAGUCCAUGAUGUUCAUGUAGUAGCAGGCAGGCAACAACGUCGUAGUAGCAGCCAAUAAGUUCAUGGAUCAAUGAUUUCAGAUUGCAUGCCAUCCUAACAAAGUGACAAAUCAUAUAGUUAUUCAAAUAGAAAUUUAGUAAAAUAUAGAAUGGCUAAAUUUCAAUAUAUCGUUGCUUCAUCUUCAUCAUCAAGGCAAGUCAUGAGUGCAUUGAGUACAUGAGAUCCAUGACCUAAUCAAAGAGAAGUUUGAAACAUUAGUGCUAUCACAGUGAAAGGAAUGAAAAUAAAACAACAUUAUAGUUCCACUAGUAUUCAUACCAAGCAUGUCAGCGCGAGCCCAAGCUUGCAUACACAUCAAGGCUUCAACCAUUUUUGGGGCUAGUCUACUACGACUUGGGCUAAUGACCCUUCCACCAGUACUAAAGACAGACUCAGAAGCCACGGUUGUCACAGGAAUAGACAUGAUAUCUCUAGCAAUCUUUCUCAAAGUGGGAUACUUCACCCCUGCCACAUUCCACCAACCAAUGAUGUCUAAGUUUGUAGUUCUAGCCAACAUUUCCUCUUCCAAAUACAGAUCCAAUUCUGUGCUAACAAAAGCGGGUGGGGCAGCAGGUUCAGCAGAUAAAUAUUGAUCAAAAAUGUCAAAAACAGCUGCAUCCCCUUCAUUUUGGAUAGUAGUACUGCUGCAAGGCCCAGCAACACCAUCUGUUGUGCCAAAACCCUCCAUGGAACCUUGGUAUUCCUUCACUAAAUCAACCAACAAAUCCUUAACUUUCGUAGUUUCUCUACCCACAUUCUCAUGUCCAUAAAUUUCAGUAAACAUAGCAUACAAGAACUUCAUUUCAAACCGAGGAUCAAGAACCGUGGCAACAGCCAUAAGACCAUGAACAUCUGUCCAAUAUUUCAAAAAUUUAUCUUUCAUGGCUGUUGACAUGUCUUCUAUGGUUGGGUUAUCACUAGAUCGCCAUUUCUUAAUUGUUAAAUAAAUUCCACAGAUUUUUGGGAAAAAAAGGUUGGCUGUCACAUAAGAAGUCCCAGACAACAGUUCUGUAAUAUCAUAAAACAACCCCAACCUAUCACAAAGAUGCCUAGAAAAAUUCCAAUCUUCUUCUGUUGGUUGAAAAGGGGCACACAAUUUUUCCUUUUUUGCAAGGCGAUUAAAAACUGGAACAUAAAGCAUUGCAGUGCUAAGCAUUAGAUAUGUGGAAUUCCAUCUAGUUUUAACAUCAAGUGCUAUUCUUUUGUCAUACUUAAUGCCCUCUUGACCAACAGCCUUUUCAAAUCGUUCAUGCCUUUUUGGUGUAGAUGACCAAAACCCAACAGUGUCCCGAAUCCUACCAAUUCCCACUUCCAUGACUUUUACUCCUAAUGCAUCGUUUAUACCCAUACCAUCUUUGACAAUAAGAUUAAUGAUGUGAGCAGCACAACGCAUAUGCAACAAUUUGCCAUGCAACAUGAGGAAGUAAAGAGGCAUCUUAUCUUGCAUUUCCUUCAUAACAUUGUCAUUGGUGCUACAAUUGUCAAGAGUUACAGUGGAAACCUUCUUGUCAAUCCCCCAAUCCAUGAGUACAUCAUGAAGUACAUCACUUAUGACUUCGGCUGUAUGUGGGUGUGGCACAUACAUAAACCUACAAAAUGGAGUAACAAGAAAGUGUAACUCUUGACAAGAAAGUGUAACUAGUAUAUAUGCAUGGCAGCAAAAAUAAAGAGCAGCAGAAAUAUUACCUUAAAAGAUAGCUUUUUAGACUCCAAUUUUCAUCAAUAUAGUGUACAGUCACUGCCAUGUAACCCUUCUUUUGAUGAUUUGCUGUCCACAUAUCUGUGGUGACCGCAAUACGAGAUUUUUGUUGUUGGAACAUUGUCACCAUAGAGAGCUUUUGAACUUCAUACAUAUCCAGAAUAUCAUUUCUAAUGGUAUUUCUUGACACUAAUUUAAACAACGGUUGCAGGGAAGCACAAAACUUUCUAAAGCCUACAUGGUCAACCAUAGACAGCGGGUACUCAUGCACACAUAUCAUUAAUGCAAGUUCUUUCCUAGCAACAUCUUGAUCAAAUACAUACUUCUCUAAACAAACACUGCCAUCUGGAUUUUGUGAAAAUUUCAAGGAGGAUUGUUUUAGGCCUUUUCUAGCUUGUCGUGACUCACAUGUAUUUAUGUGGCUUUGUAAAUGGCUGGUACCACUUUUACCUUCAGCUGUCAAUAGUUUGCUACACCAAUUGCACUUAGCUUUCCGUUUACCAGAUACAGUAACUCUAACAAAAUCCUCCCAUACUUUAGACUUCAACUUCCUCUUACACCCAACCUGUGCAGCAUCAUCUAUUUCAACAUCAUUCCUUGUCCCUUGGGUUGCUGCAUCAGAUGGAGUGGGAUCUCUAGAGCUACCAACAUCAGCAGGAGCUGCUCCUAUGCCACUGCGACGACUGCUACUGUCUUGUGGAGUUGACAUUGGAUUUGGGCUUCUAACUGAGUGAGCUACUGAGUACCUGAGGGCCCGACGGCGGACGGCGCAGGCGCGCAGGCACAGCUCGGGGACGCCGGUCGGGCCUAGGGCUCGGGGACGCCGCAGGUUGGGGACGGUCGCCGGCCAUAGUCGCAGUCGUAGCUUGGGGCCGGUCGCCGGUCGCAGCUUGUCAGUCGCAGCUUGGACACCGCUCGGGGCUCGGGGCUCGUCGCAGGCCGCAGGCGUAGCUCGCGCGGGGCUCGUCGCAGGUCGCAGCCGCGCAGGCCGUAGGCGUAGCUCGCGCGGGGAUGUGGCCUGGCCGCCGCCGGGGACUGGCUGCUGGGCGGGGGCGCGGGGAUGUGGCGUGGGGCGUUGGGGUCCUGCCGUCCUGGCCUCCUGGGAUGGGAGUGGCGACUGGGAAUCUGGGAUGGGUGGACGGGACGAGAGCUCGGGAAGGGAAGGCCGGAAGGGAGUUAGGGAAUUUAGGGUUAGCUUAGCCGGUUGCUGAUUUAGCCUUUGGGCAGUUGGGCUUCUUUUCUUUGCUUCAUGGGCCACAAAUCACAAUUCGGGUAUCCAGUGGAUAUCCAUGGGUAAAACAUACUAUCCGUACCCUACCCGACGUAUUUCGGGUACCCGACCCGAUACUAUCCACGGGUAAGAUUUCAAACUCGUAUCCAUGUCCACCGGGUACGAAACCCGUGGAUAUCCAUACCCACGGGUCCAAUUGCCAUCCCUAGGUGAGGACGUGGGAUGGCGGGACUUUGUCGUGGCCAUUUGUCUUGCGAUGAGAAGGACGAAGGGUAGCCUGCGCCGGUCAUCUAGCUUCCGUAGGUGCGCAGAGUUGAUAAGGGCUUCGAGGGAAGGGUAGUGCCUUUGCCUUCGCCCCAACAAUGAUGAUGAUGAUCCUACGAAUGUCUAAAUGAAUGUAUAUGAAUGCAAUGAAUGAUGUGAUGUAAUGUGCAAAUGAAUGUCCAAACACACGCGUACGAAGCCACAUCCAGACCCUACAUUCUCUUAGGAAUGACCAAAAUCUCUUUGUCGUUUAUUUUUCGGCUUCAUCGCUUAUUUUUCGGUGUAAGUUCUACAUUCCCUUAGGAACGUCUUUUAAACUUCUUCGUCUUCUAUUUCGGUGGUAUCACCAUUGACUUUUCGGUGUAAGUUCUGCAUCCCUUAGGAACGUCUUUUGAACUUCUUCGCCUUCUAUUUCGGCGGUAUUUAGCUCUGCAUUCCCUUAGAAACGACUUUUGAGCAGAAAACUUACGCUGCGCUCCCUUGGGAACGGCUUUUUUAGCUUCGUCGUGCUCUGCAUCCCCUUAGGGACGACUUUCGAGCUUCUUCCUGUUUUUUUCUUUUUCUGCACUCGAUGAUGUAUGCUCAGAUUUUAUAUUUUACAUUCUUUUGGGGAUUCUACUCUUGUAUAGCUAAAUAAGAAAGGAAAAUUACAAGCUAGGGUCCCAUUAAAAACCUUUCUCUGCUUUUGUAUAAAUGACGCGACGGGUUCAGCGCAGAGACAGCCACCGCAGAAGGCAGGGGUAUCCGGGUGAUCAGGGGAGUGGAGGUACAAGAACAGAAGCCUGAAUUCUCGCUGCGCUCGCUUCAGCGCAUCAGCGAACCCCUCGGCCACGAAGCGCGGGCCGCGGCCAGCGCCGAACUCGCGCUCGAACUCAGCGACGAAGUCGGCCGCCUCGGCAGCUGACGGCGGCAACUCUAGCAGGCGGUCACCGCUGCCGGCUUGCCCCGCGAGGCCGAGGAGGGAGAGGGAGCGGGACAGCACGCCCCCGGCUACCCAGGCGCCAAGGCGGAACGUGCCGGCGACGAGGCCGACCCCACCCGAGACCACGUGGAAGGGGAGCGUCACCAGCUUCCACGCGAUCCCCGGCUGCUGCUGGGGCGGCAGCGGCAUCGGCGGCGGGGGCGCGACGAACUCUGCAUCUACCGCCAGCGGAGCGGAAGGGGCCGGGUCACGCGAGGAGGUGGAGGCCGAAGCGGAGGGCGAGGAGGGGUUGGCGGUGAUGGUGGACACCGCGAGCUGCAGGUCCCAAUUGUGCGCGGCGAGGAUCUCCGUGCAGAGGUCCGUGUUGGAGAUGCCGGUGACGGCCUGGAAGUAGCUGACCUUGUCGUCGACGGUCUCGGCCAUGGCCGCCGGCGACGAGGGCUAGGGUUUGCAGAUUGAGGCCAGUGGUAGUGGUGGCGGUGGUAGUUAGGAACUAGGAAGAGGCCAGAAGCCGAGAGAGAUGCGGUUGCGAGCCGGGAGGGCGACGGCCGACGGGUCAGUGCUGAACUGCUGAGUGCUGACGUCUUCUAUUCUCCGUCUCGCCGUCCCGGUAGAUUGAACGGCGUGCCGUAUUACUGCACUCCGCGACAACGCGUCAGUUUCUACGAGAUUUUAUUUUACGACUGUGGGGCAAAGAAAACGGGCGAAGAAUUCUGAGAACCACAUGAUCAAAUUUUCAAAAAAUAAAAAUAAAAACACUCCGUUUUGGACCAAAGCUUCGUUUCACAGACUUCGCUCACAUAGUCACAUGUUCUGCCGACAUUUGGCUGACGGCAACCCUCUGAAGCUUGGCUCAUCAGCCCAACAGACACCGCAACUGUUGAUCAUGAACUUGUUUCCAUAAAGCUGAAAAACUAGCCCUGCAAAUAAAGGACGGCGCAAUAGGCUAAUGCAACAAUUAGUUUCACGAUGAUGGACAAGACGGAGACACACACUGGAAAUACCCGCACAAACUUGCAAUCAUAAGAAUAUCUGAACCGCAUAAGCUCCAACGCAUGGAUUAAAUCAGCCCGCAAUUUAACAAGCAAAGUAAAGCAGGAUCGCUUCAACUAGGAUUUCAAACUCGUAUACAAAUACAAUUUUUUUCAAAAAAAAGUGUACACAAAAGCAACUAACUGCAUUACAAGGACAAGGUCUCUCGUUGGAUUCAUCCUGAGCGAUACACAAGGGUACAGAGCCUCGCGAUCCAGUUUCCAGUGGUACAUCCAUAUGCCUACAGCUCCUCGAUAAGAACCGCGGAUUGUGGUUUGCUCUUUCUAUCCGCCUUCCAAUUCCCGGUCUCCAACUCCUCCAUAGAUGCUUUCUGCACCUGGACGAUGUGAGCUAAAGAUGGCCACGCCUCAUCUGGCUGCUCAUGGACCCAACAAGUCAUGAAGAAUAGCUUCCUAGCUGCACUACGAAGCUUCGGAGAGUUCUGUGCCCUCUCCGUCUUGCCCACUUUCUCCACCUUGAGCAUGCUCUUACCAACUUCAAUGAGUCGAUGGAAGUCGCAUAAGGCACAAAUAAGUGCGUUCUGUCCCAAGGAGAGAAUGGCGAUGAUAUCGUCCACGAGUCCAAUAGCAAACCUGAAACCACCAGUAUGCCUGUAAGCUGGUGAGCAUGUCUCCUCGAUGCAGGCUGCGAGUGCUUCAGGUACAGUCUCAGGUUUAGCAUCCUGGCCCAUGACUUUCGACAUCGACAGGGCGACAGUGCAAGCACCCAAAGGAUCUGAGUGCCAAUCACCGUUGUAGAGCCGAAGUGUGAAGCAGUAACUGUACAGAAUGUCAACCAAGUGGACAGCAAGCAAAGGAGAUGGCUCUGUCCUUGUUAACUGUUUCAAUGACGGGAGAGGAGAUUCUGGCCCUUCAGGGAUUUCGUUGAUGCUAGCCUCUUGGUCAGUAUUUGGAUCUGGAUAUGGUACAGCAGUGUCUUCUGCGUUUACUUGUCUGAUAAGCUGACUUCCAUCCAGGCCAAGGGAAAUAGAUCUGGCUGAGGGUUUUUUCCACCAAGGUGUCCACGGUUCAAUCAUCUUACUGAGCUCACCUGAGGCCAGAGCUUGACGGAAUCGUUUGAUUUCACAAUCAGAGAGGUCUUCCAGCUUUAUCUCUUCCCCUGUACGAUAGAAAGAGUAGAUCAAUAUGUGUCUGGUGAGAUACUUGAUAUGCAUAUCAACAUUUACUGAUUCCAACGAACUUGCAGUCUAAAAGGGUAAGGACAUAAAUAUCACCCAACGUUUGUAGAUGGACGAAUGAGUAAAAUGGACAAGUAUAGACAGUUAGACACUGCUUUAUUGCAUUGCUCAUCUCAAAACAUAAACCAUGAAAACAAUUGAUAAAAAAGAAAUAUCAGAACAAAAUAAUUGGAGUUGCCACUGAUCACCAGCAUAGGUAAUUGCUAGGAGUUCAGGCCACAGAAAGCCAGGUUAAAUAUGAGAACAAUUGGGCAGAAGGAAAUACUAGAACAAAAUAAUUGGAUGUCAGUCCCACCUGGGGGAGGGUGCUGUGGCUACUGCUGCUCCAACUAGUGGGGGCGGCUAGGGCAGGGAGAGGACUGGGUGGCUGCUGUAGAUGGCGCAAGGGGAGGCAGAGGCGGCGCAGAGAGAGAUGAGGCACAGGGAGAGAUGGAGAGGAGACCGAGGCACAGAAGGGGGAGAGCUUUCGCUCUAUUUCUGCUUAAGAUCUGAAAGGUUAAAUGACCCCUCUUAUUUAUAGUCCUGGGGGACUUUGACUUCCAAGCAAUCUAUAAAGUCCUUAUAGAUGUGGACUCUCUUUUCCUAAUUAAAAGUCAGGCAGGACUAUAUAAAAAACUAGAGUCGUGGCGGGAGAUUUUAGAGUCAAAAGGUUUUAGACUCAAUAGAACUAAAACCGAAUACAUGAGAUGUGACUUCGGCACUACUGAACAUGAGGAAAGAGAUUAGUUUGAAAGGUCAAGAAGUGCCCCAAAAGGACACUUUUUGGUAUUUAGAAUCAAUGCUACAGAGAGAUGGAUGUUGAUGAUGAUGUUAGCCAUAAAAUCAAAAUAGAGUGGAUGAAGUGACAUCAAACAUCUAGUGUUCUAUGUAACAAGAGGGUAACACAAAAGCUAAAAGUUAAUUUUUAUAGGACGUCGAUUAGACGAGAUAUGGUGCAGAAUGUUGGCUAAAAAAGACAUGUUCAAUAGGUAAAAAUACGUAUGUUAUGUUAGAUUUGUGGACAUAUAAAAAGAAAUCAAGUUCGGAGCGAUGAUAUACGUAAUAAGAUAGGGGUAGCACCAAUUGAAGAAAAACUUGUCCAACACCAGUUGAGAUGGUUUGAACGUAUCCAACAAGACCUCUAGAGACACCAGUGCGUAAUGGAAUCCUAAGAUGUGGUAGCGAUUGAAAGGGAGACAGAAGAAGGGCGAAGUUGACAUAAAAAGAGACAGUAAAAUGAGACUUGAAAGGAUAGAACAUACCCAAAGAUUAGCCUUGAAUAGAAGUGCAUGGAAAACAUCUAUCCAUGUGUCAUAACCUUGACUUAUGGUUUCUAUUGGGUCUUAACUCUAGCCGCCCCACCUUGCUUGGGACCAAAAGACUCAAGUUUUUGUUGCAAUCUAGACUAUCCCGAUUGGGAGGCGCGCUACAGUACCGUGCUACAGUCAUGGUGGAUGUCUGUUUUGGGGCCCAGUCGGAUGUCUAAGCUUGGCAGCUUGGCUGACCAGGGCCCUUCUCUAGGCUUUGCAGGGCUUAGCCAGGGGCCCAUAUUUAGGCCCGUGACAUUGGAGUUGACACCGAUCACCAGCAUUUGACAGCUUAAUUAAUUCCUAGAAGAUCAGGUCACAGAAAGACAGGUUAACCAAAAGGGAGUAAUGAACAUAAUUCUCACACAAAGAGUUAAUCAAGAAAUUCAACUGUGAAAGCUCUUCCCAGACAAGUGCAAUUCAAGUCGACAUAAGGUAUUAUGAUUUCUAAGACUAAGAGAUAAGAGUGUUUAAAAGACACACAAAAUUUCAUAAACAAUAAAUAACCUAUUAUAGUACUAGGAAAAGCUACUGUGCUGUCACAUUUAGAAUGGCAUGAAAGUAAUCAUAACGUACCAGACAUAACUUUUUGAAUAAGCUCCUCUGAUAACAUGGACUCUGCAGGACAAAAAGGUACAUGUCAAAAAUAAAAUCUUCAGCAGUCUACUAAAGCAAUAUUGAAGGGCAGGCCUGGUACAGUGGUGAGAGCUGUCGCACAAAGUCACCAGGUCACAGUUUAUCCCUUCCCGGACCCACUCAUGUGGAGACCUCCGGCACUGGGUUUGCCGUUUCUCAGUCUACUAUAUAAAUAUGUACAACCAAUUAUCUACAAGAUGACAUAUAAUUUAUCUGUAAUACCGAAAGGAAAUACAUUCAUAACAGACAAGCCACCAUAACUCGAUAACUACCUAUAAACAGGAAAACUUAAUGUACCAAACAGUAAAAUCGUAAGUGUAGCAUACUGCGCAUGGAGCAGGGGCAGCCCUAGAGCCCAAGCGGUAGGGGGGCUCAUCCCGGGGUGAGCCCAAGAAAAAUGAGAAUACCCCCUGUAAUUUUCACCUCAGCAGCCCAGGGAAAUUCCAGGUUUGAAGGCCCAGCCCCACCCGACCUAACAACGACACAGCCAGCCUCUCCCUCUCUCGCAGCUGAAAAAUAUUUUACAUGUUGCUUGAACAAUGUUAGUUUACAUAGUUAUUCUUUAUUAUAUAAAUUAUAGCUUUUAGUUUACGGUUCAAUUAUAUUUAGCUCCUCUCUUGUCUCAUGUCUGAAUCCACCACUGGCAUGGAGGUAUCUGUAGUUUUGUCCUCAUUAGCAGUUAUCACAAUAUAAAAAAAUGAAAUUAUGUGCACCUCUAGUGUUAUUAUUAAAGAAAGUAAGAUAGAUCAAUGGCAUAGGAACAUGUAGCACGCAGAACAUACCAUCUUCACCAUCUGAUGCCAUCUCUUCUUCCAAGUGGAGCCGCUUGAGGAUAUCUAGCAUCUUUUUCUUUGAUUCAUCCUCAGGUUGCAUCUGCUUAAGCUCGUCCAUAACAUUCUCACGCAUGAAGGAUUCAGUGCAUUGAACACUAUGACCCUAUGAAACAAGAAUUGAGAAAAACAUUUAAAGCAAUAUCAAGAAAAUAAAGCACUCUAGUGCAAAAUUAGCAAACAACAAUGUUCCUUUGCAUCUGUGUGCAUAGAAAAGAAGACACACGAACUUGUCAGCUUCAAUCUCUCAGUUUUAAAUAAGACGUUAUAACAACACAAACUGUUAGAGCUGUAAUGCCUAAUGUAAUGGGUUGUGAUUGUGUAAUGGGCUUAUGUAAGGAUCUGGUACGCCUAGAGGGGGGUGAAUAGGCUACCUGUAGAUUUUCAGUUCAAGAAACUAUUAAAUUCCAGAGCGGCAGUUCCGCUCUCAGCCCGGCACUGGCGCACUGCCAUGCAGAAGUCCGGCACUGCCGGACAAUAGUAAAUGCUCCAAACACGGUCAAAUUUUUACAGAAUCUGAUAGAUAUGAUUUAUUACUUCUAUGUAGAAUAUGAGAAUGAAAUGAGCAAUGCGCAGUAAGCAGACAGAAUAGGGUAGAGAAGUAUUCAAAUGUAAACCACUAAAACCCUAACUAUUCAAAUCACCAUCAGAUCAGCACACUUGGACACAACAUGUAUCCGGUGGUUUAGCUCGCCACAAAGGUUUGCCUACCUCCACGUUGUUGAGGAGAGUCACAAAGGCCAAUGGUCACACACCCUUCCUCGAUCUCAAGCCAAGAGCUCUUGCUCUUAGUAUGAGAGGGUUUUCAUUAUGAAUGAGGGAAACUUACAGCAAUCCAAGAGGGGGGAUGUCACACGCCGGCUAGGAGCAAGCUCCAAGAAUCAAUGUGUCAAGCGCCUCAGCACCUAACAACGCCGGACCGCGACUACGCAGUCCGUAGUCGCGCUCCAGACCUUCAGGGCUGAUUUGGUGACCCGGGAUCCCGGGAGGAUCGGAGGGGAUUGAAGGGGAAAUUAGUUUAUUUCCCCCUCAAUCCCCUCCAAUCCUCUCGGGAUCCCCUUGUCACCAAAUCAACUCUCACCGUGAAGGAAAUCCCCACCGGCGGCUUGAGAGUAGCGAGAGAGAGAGAGAGAGAGAGAGAGAGAGAGCAGGUUCAGGAUAACUGAUUGCUUGAUUCCUUUCCUCCAAGUUUGGUUACAAUAUAUAUGCCAAUGCCCCAACUAAUCACUCCUAGAUUUAAGGCAUGGAAAGGAAACUGAUCUCAACUAAUCACUCCUAGAUUUAAGGCAUGGAAAGGAAACUAAUCUUUUAUUUCUAAAUCUGGCCACUAACGGUGGCACCUUCCUGUGUCGCGCGAGCAGCCCGCUCUGCCGCGCGCCUGAUGUCACGACGGCGCCUAUACGUUUGCCCGUACAUGACACAAUGAGUGAAUGUCGGCCUUAAGUUGCUCCAAUGCUCAAUGAGAAACUGGGGAAAACCUAGGGUUCUUGUUGUUCUUGGGGUUUUCUCUCAGUUUUGGAGGAGAAGCCACAGAAAUUUGAGCCAAGGUGGAGCAAGUGAGGGAGAGGGAGAUUCAAAUGGGACAAAGGGGUACUUGUAACCUGUCUGUUGUAUCCCUAUGUCAGGAUACGCAACAGGUAACUGUUGGAAACCAAGGAAUUAAACAAAUCAAGAAAAUUCAGAUUCCAACGGUCAAUAAAUGUCCAUCAGUGCCGGAGUUAAGGCUGGCAGUGUCGAGGCACCGCAGUGACGCACAACCCACACUGGUUAGAUUGAUCUGAAAUUUUGGCACUAGCUAACUGGGUUUAGGUAUGAUAGGAAAGUAAUCCUUGAUUGGUGGUAGUUCUGUUUUAGGAAAUAGCUAAUAUGGUAGUAGUUCAGUCCUAUAUGGACAGAUCUGGUCGACAGGAUCAGGACUGGUAACAGUCCGGUUUAUUUCCUUGUAAUGGUUAGUUUGUUUCCAUGUAAUGGUCUAUAAAUAUAUGGCCUUAGAGGCUAAGAAAAGGCAGUCAAUAGGGCGCCACCAAAACACAUGUGUUCUGUCUCCGAGUUUCCUGUGUUCUGUCUCCGAGUUUCCUGUGUUCGCAUGUGUAUGUGAGACUGACCUGGGAGGUAGGAGUUCGCCGGCAACCUGCUGAAGGUUGUCUCUCCGGCGUGGUUCCUGACAAGUGGUAUCAGCGCCAGGGGGUGCCAAGAUGUCGUUAGGGAAGACUGUUGACACCCGUGCGACAUUACCAUAUCCUACCUGCUGCAAGCCUACAACAAAUAGAACAUGUUGUAAAAUGUAGUUUCACAUUAGCUCACAAUUAACAGGAUCAAAUCCGCUAGAACAAUUAGAACAUGCUAUACAAAAACCAAACACCGAUCAAAUAACCACAUACAUUGCAAGAUUCCUCCGAUGUUGGUGUUGUUCUUCUGUUGGCUUCACCACAAGCGACAACGAUUCAACGUCAGGCACCAGGGCGUGGGCGUCGUGCUUCGGCAAGGCAAUUCGGUCUUCGGUGUGCUGCCGCGUGUUGCCAUGUUGGGUUGUCGGUCAGCCGGCCGCACGCACGGGCAGACCGGCGAGAAGUCAGAGGCGGACUAGAGGACAGCCGGAGACGAACUAGAGCCCUGGAGGUGUGGCCACGUGGAGCAAGUAGGCGGACAGCAAGUUGGGUGUGGCGGGCUAGCGGCGGACAGCAACUUGGUGCUUGGGCGGCCAGCGACUGGUGACCUGGUGGCUGGUACUGGAGCGGCCGACAACCAACGACCUGAUGGCUGGUACUUGUGCGACCGACGACCGGCGGCCGACGAACGGCGGCUAGCCGGCUGCUACAGUUGCAAAACUCUUGGUCGUCUUGGACUCUUGGCCGGCUACAAGACUCUUGAUGUUGUGGCCCGUGAACGUGACUCUGUGGUGGUCGUGGUCUAGCCCAUUAGGAUGAGGUCGUCAAGGACUGAAGGUGAACGUGACGUGAAGCGUUGGUGUGUAGUGGAAGUUCGGGUAGUAUGUCUAUUCGGGUACUGAUACAACUGACCCAAAAUUUGCUAAAAACUUUGGGUACCGGAAGUUCGUACCCAAAAUGUUUCUCAAGUUUUUCGGGUUCGGGUUAUUUGGGUUUGGGUUUGGUUUUGGGUUCGGGCUUCUAGUAUCGGGUUUUCUGCCCACUCCUACAUGGCGGCACGGGAGACUCCUUGACAGCACAUCGCACACAGGGGUGUGGGAAGCAAGGGAGCAAGAGGGGGAACCACAGAGUGCCUCAAGGAGGUUGUCGUACUCAAAGGAGGAGGCAGCGGAAGGGGAGACGGAGAAGGGAAAGUCGGAGACGAGGACUCUGUAGGUGGAGAGGUCAAGGCACCGGUACCCCUUAUGAGCAGGAGAGUACCCAAGGAAGACGCUACGAGUGGAGCGAGAUGCAAGCUUAUGAGAGCAGUGGCAUAGAGAUUAGGAUAGCAAGCGCACCCGAACACGCGAAGGUGAUCAUAGGAGGGAGAGGUACCAAAGAGAGCAAAGUAGGGGGUGGGGUGAUGAACCGCCUUGGUGGGGAGGCGAUUGAGCAGAUAGGUAGCAGUGGCCAGUCCAGUAGCGAGCGGGAAGGGAGGCCUGGAACAACAAGGAGCGCAUGACGUUGUUUGUGGUGCGAAUCAUGCGCUCAAUCCUGCUGUUCUGAGAAGAAGUGUAGGGGCACAACAUCCUCCACUGAACGUCGUGUGAAAGGAAGAAGUCACAGGACGCGGAGUUAUCAAACUCUCGCCCAGUGUCACACUGGACAGCCCGGAUGGUGAGUCCAAACUGAGUGGAAACCCAAGCGAAGUUAGAGAGUGUGGGAAACAUAUCAGACUUCAAGCGUAACGGAAAAGUCCACAAGAAAUGAGAGUAAUCAUCCAGAAUGAGCAAGUAAUAUUUAUUGCCAGAAAUGAUGAGAACGGGGGAUGUCCAAACAUCACAAUGAACCAGAUCAAAAUUGCUCGUUGCUCUGGAAGAGGAGGGAAAAGGGAGCCUAACAUGUCGACCUAACUGAAAGGCGUGACACAAAUGCUCAAAAGAACCCCGACUACAUGAGAUGAUAGAACUGCUAGACAACUUAGACAUCACAUCAGGCCUGGGGUGGCCAAGGCGGUGGCGCCAAGUGAUAGAUGAGGUAGCAGCGGUCAAGGCAUGCAGCGUGGAGGUCGGGGAAUUGGAGGCAAGCAGGCGAAUAGUGUACAGCGGCUCGGAGCUGUCACACCGCGUGUGAAGGAUCCUGGUAGCAAGAUCCUUCACAGACAAGCCAAAGGGGUCACCGGGAAAUGGAUCUUCAACAGAAGCUGAAGGUGGAUGGCUCCUUGGAUCGGCACAAGGCUCGUUGGGUCCUGUGGGCUUCACCUAGCGUCCCAGGGUGGACUAUGACAAGACCUUCAUCCCCGUGGUGAAGCCUGGUACCAUCAAGAGUGUUCUGACUCCGGCUCUCUCACAGGCUUGGCCAGUGCAUCAGCUCGACGUCAAGAAUGUCUUCAUGGCACUCCGACAGAGACGGUGUAUUACACUCAAUUGGUCAGCUCUGUGGACCCGGCUCACCCAACAUCAGGGAUGAAAGUGGCAAUCCGAACUAUUAGAACAAAUUUAUUAUUUUAAAAUAGAUCUGUAUAAAAUUUGAUGUUGAUGUUUUAUUAUGUUAUGAAGCACAUUAUUAGAAAUAAGAAUAAAAUAUUGCAUAAAUUGUUUUAUGCAUUAUUUGCUCUCUACAACAAAAAGUGAAACAUUACCGAAUUUGUUUCUGAAUCCAUACCGAAUUUUACAUCUAUCAUUUAAGAAAAUAUAGGAUGAAUUUGUGGUUUACCUUUUAUGAAUAUCUAAAAGCUCAAUGUUAAAAACAAGAAUACAAAUUUGUAUAGUAGAUUAUAUAUCCUAUUUAUUCGCAACCAAAGAAAAAUGACCAAAAAUUGAUAACUGAAUAAAUAUCGUUCCGACCAUUUUCAUCCCUACCCGACAUGGUUUGCAAGCUCAACUGGUCCCUCUACGGCCUCAAGCAGGUGCCCCGAGCUUGGUGUAGUCGCUUUGUCGCCUUAUUGCUCUCACGAGGCUUCUUCGAGACCAAGGCAGACACCUCCCUAUUUGUCUUCUAUCGUGGCCUGGACACGACGUACAGCCUCCUCUAUGUCGAUAACAUCGUCCCCACGGCCUCCUCGCACGAACUCCUGUGGCGUAUCAUCUCCUCCCUCUAGCAGGAGUUCGCGAUGAAGGACCUGAGUGAGUUGCACCACUUCCUGGGGAUCACCAUGGAGAGCCGGUCCCAGGGCUUGUUUCUCCACCAGCACCAGUACAUCGUCGACAUCCUCGAUCGCGCUAGCAUGGCUGACUGUAAGCCUUGCACGACUCCGGUGGACACUCAGGGCAAGGCCUCCUCCAACGACGGCCCCCGGUGGCUGAUCCCACCAGCUACCAGAGUCUUGUUGGGGCACUGCAGUACCUCAUCUUCAUCCGGCCCGACAUCGCAUACGUCGUCCAACAUGUGUGCCACCAUAUGCACGCCCCGCAGGAGCCACAUCUCACUGCUAUGAAGCGGAUCCUGCGGUACCUCCAAGGCACUUCCGACUUCGGGCUCCUUCGAUGAUCUGCGACCAACGACCUCGCCAUCUACAUCGACGCCGACCGGGCCGGCUAUCCUGACACACGUCGAUCCACCUCCAGUUUCACCAUGUUCCUCGGCGACAGUCUUGUCUCGUGGUCGUUGAAGAGGCAGCCAGUCGUCUCCCGCUCCAACGCCGAGGCCGAGUACCGUGUUGUGGCUAACGGCAUAGCCAAGGCAACAUGGCUUUGUCAGCUACUUCAGGAGCUGCAAAGUCCGCUAAUGUGCAGUACUCUUGUCUACUGCGACAACGCCAGCGCCACGUACCUCUCCACCAAGCUCGUACAGCACCAACGCACGAAGCAUGUCGAGCUUGACCUCCAGUUUGUCCGCAAGUGUGUCGUCGUUGGGGAUGUGCGUGUUCUUCAUGUCAUGUCUCCACGACUUCUCAGAUCACCGACAUCUUCACCAAGGGCCUCCCUACGUCAGUGUUUUAGGAGUUUUGGUCCAAUCUCAACAUCUGUUGUGGCUAGAGUUUCGACUACGGGGUGUUAGAGUUGUAAUGCCUAAUGUGAUGGGUUCUGAUUGUGUAAUGGGCUUAGGCCCAAGUACUCCUAUUAUAAAUACAUCUCCCAACCCUGGUUAGGGUUAGGGUUUCCAACACAAAGCAGUUUACUUCCAGAAGCUUGUUUCGUGCAUGAAUAAACAAGCAGUUUCUUUCAAGAACUGAUUGAAAGUGUCAUACAGACAUACUGAUCCUCUCAGACCAGCAACUAGAGGUGAAUUACAGCAUAUAAGUAAAAAAAAUCAUGUUACCUAGAGUCUAGCUUUGACGAAUUUUUACAACUUACUGUCACUUCAGAUGUCAGCUGAUUCAAAUUAUGCUGGGUUAGGUCAGCAAAGAACCCAACUAUUAAACUAUUAGGAGAGAUUCACUAAAGGGGAGAACAUGGAAACUAUGACAUAUAAAUUUCUUUGAACUUUUUUGGAUUGCUCCUUUAAUCUAAAUGUAUAUUUGUUAAACCCAGCACAGCAAAACAAAAUGCAUUAUUCCACGCAGAUCACCAAAUAUAGAGGCCAAAGUGAACAAUUGGCAUGUGGUUUGUAUGAUUCAGAGGUAAGUCGUAGUUUAUAUCAUGGAUAAUUACACAUUUUGAGCAGGAAUCAGAGGAUUUCUUGUCCAAAAGCUUCAAAAGUCAGUGAGCGAUUCGGCAAACACCUUGUGGGCGUCAGCAGAGGGCAGCCCGGGCAUGAGAGUAACAAAGUGAAUGAAAUACCCGAACGGUAUUCUACAAGCCCUAAGACAGGACGAGCGCGCAACGAGAUCACACACACACGAAGCGAGAGGAGGCCGCACCUUGUAGCACGAGAGUGAGCAGUACCGGGCGUUGCAGCGGGGGCAAGUGUACUGCGCGAACUGCUUCUGACACCUGCAAGCAAGCGGCGCAUAGAAUAACGCAUUAGCACGAGCAGGUAGGAACCAAGAUCCGCUAGGGCCCGAUGCUUUGCGCCAGCAGGAGAGGAGAAGCCGUAUGUCAGAGCCAAGCCUUACACGCGGCAGAUGACCCUGGUCUCGGCGAAGGAGGAGUACGACGAGGAGGCGGGGGAGGACGAGGACCCAGCGGCCUCGGGUGCGGAGAGCACGACGUCCCUCUCCAUCGCCGGCACGCGCGGCGCCUGCUCUUGCGCUUCCAGUCUCUGUCCUUCUCGGCGGUGUUGGCUUUGGGAAUUUGGGGAUGGGGGGACUUCCUUUCCUCCGGCGUGCGGCGGGCGCGGAGGCUUCUCGAUGCUCGGCGAAGGCCCAUUGGUGGUCAUGGCCCAAGCAUAGGAUUUCCAAGUGUCAUGGCCCAUUGGUGGUCCUGAUCCUGAUUGGCGGUGAAGGCGGCUGGAGUUGAAGAGGAGGGUGCGGAAGAGACGAGGACUCGAGUGUUUGCGAGGGUUGCGGCCUGGGGUUUUCCUUUGCUUUGCGCCGCCUCAAUCGGUCGGAAGGGCGGAGCAGCAGCAGGAGCACAACGAGGCUGCCUCCUCGGCUUUUCUGGGAGUUCGGACCCGUGCGGCGCGACGGGCGACGGCGACUGAACAUUCCAGAAGGGGGCGCGUGGGAAAGCGACGGGCCGGCGGACGGAGGCCGGGUGGGCGGCGGGAUCGGCACAACAACUCAACAAACUUGGCCUAUUUCUUGCUGGGCUUUGUGCGGGUCGAACCGCCCUGUGACUGUGAUUCUGUAUGGUUGUGGCCCGCUCUGUCGGGCGCAUUUUUGGGUAGACGUGUGGUCUGGUGACGGCGCCGGCCUGGCCAAAAAGUGGCGUCGUGCGCUGGGCGGCGGUGGGGUCUAGCCGCCGUCUGGGCGCUCCGCUGCCGGGUCGAAGGACCUAUAAAACGGAGGGGUCGAGGAAGCUAGUGAGUGCCAUCGUUGGGCCGGCGCAAACCCUAGUCGCCACAUCACUGCCUCCUCACACCAUCUGCCUGUGGUUCCCAUGUCAUCCUCCCCCGUUUGAGGUCUUCCUGCUCCUUCAGAUCCGUCUAUGUGUGUGUUUGUCGUGCCUGAUACUGGCUCGGAAGGUAUUCCGAUCUGUUUCUUCGGUGCCGUAUAUUUCGUUGCGAUUUUGGUUCGGUUCUUUCUUGCUCUUCGUGGGUCGUUGCUGGAUAACACGGAUCGAUGAUGCUGUUCAAGAAGUACUGCGUUAUCUUCCUGAUGCAAGUGUUAGGCCCUCGUUACGAAGGCUUCCUGACGACACAAAUAUCUUGCUGAGAUCCAAGUGCGCAACUUCUCUCUUUUUUCUCUUUCUUUUCCGUAUUUCUCGCCGUGUGCUUUUUCUCCUCUGGAUUGAAUUUUGCGUACAGUUUAGUUUUCACCAAAUGCAAUCGUAACUUACGGGCAGGAUGUUUCAGCAACGAAGUAAAGGAGGAGAUUAUUCCGUCAACCGUAAGGUUCCGCUAAGAGCUUUAGAAUAUGAAAGGCAUUAGUGGUAACAAGAUUUGAUUUGGUUAGGUGUUAGUACAAAAAUGAGAUUCCAUUCCAAUGCUGUUGGGGGUACUGCUAGUGAAUAUGGCCGGGCAUCUAUCACGGUGUUGUAUGUGUACGAAAUAAUGUCUGCUUUCGAUACGGUAAGUUUUGCUUUAAGUUACAUAAUCAUCUCCAGUGUGACCUAUAAAAAUACCCUGUAAUUUUAAAAUUUGAAAAUAGUAAAUUUUGUAUAGUUUAAGACACUAAUAAAAUAUUCUUCAAAUCUAGGUUAUAGAAUAGCAGUAUAUCUAAUGCACUUGAUAGGAUGUUCUAUAAUUUUAACAAAUUUUAGAAAAUAAGAUAUUAUUAAAGUAGUUUUUCUAUCUCCAGCUCUAUAUUUCAAUUUGAGUUCAAUUUGAAAAUAAGACAUUGUUGAAAAUGCUCAAACAUUUUACAUUUACGGUAUAACAAACCACACACGGAAAGGACAUGAAUGUGUUUAACAUACUACGGUUGGCGCAACUACGGUUUCAAAAUAAUAGCAAACCACGUAGCGCAAGACGUCUGGACGGCGGGCACAUCCAGAAGCGUGGCAUUAGUAAUCAGAAACAAUGAAACUGGAAGUUGUAAGCAGCAAACCCAACCCAACGAAAUGGACUGCGUACAUGUUUAGUGAAUCCAGCGAAAAACAAUAGUUCAGCCAGUUGCCAGUUUAAAUGUCUUAGUUAUCAUCUGGCGGACACAGGUUAACUGAGAUAAUGCACGUAGGUGAGCAUCUAACAACACUGUUCCACAACUGUCAAGCGAGCUUAUUUACAUCAACAACUGCAGCAUCCUCCAGUAGCUGCCAUCAACUAUCUUUCUACCCAUCAGCGGCAUAGAAGGGAAGUGACUUGAGUGGCAUCACCUUCUCC
RNAcentral lists this long non-coding RNA (241575 nucleotides) under Zea mays. RNAcentral describes it as "long non-coding RNA (ZMAY_LNC005882)". The stretch from base 93074 to 93146 matches the Rfam family "tRNA". The record is from RNAcentral. Lineage: Eukaryota; Viridiplantae; Streptophyta; Magnoliopsida; Poales; Poaceae.